RNAcentral lists this long non-coding RNA (275795 nucleotides) under Citrus x clementina. Its description in RNAcentral is "Citrus clementina (C. clementina) long non-coding RNA (CCLE_LNC002866)". The stretch from base 84390 to 84496 matches the Rfam family "Plant small nucleolar RNA R71". Lineage: Eukaryota; Viridiplantae; Streptophyta; Magnoliopsida; Sapindales; Rutaceae. The record is from RNAcentral.
CUGUCAGGGCAAUUGGGUCAGGGCAAUUAGGUCUGAGCAUAACUUCAUUAGGAAAAGAGGCUUCAGCUACGUUAAAUAUUACAGGAUGUACUGAGAUGGCUGAAGUUCUUGAGGUUUUAUGAGAAAGAUGAGUGUUUGUUUGAACAAAGUUGUUGCCAAUCUUGCAGAGUUCGAAAACAAAGAUCACGGAGCGAAUGCCACCAAUUUCUUCAUCAUUUUAGCCUCCAUAGCUGAAGUUUCCUCAUUUGAAGCUGUUUAUGCAUAUGCUUUUUCCCUUCUCAAGUACAGGAAAUUGAAGAAUUAACCAGAUGUGAUAUGCUGAAAGAGGGAAGUUUUCUUCCUUGAAUGUGGCCUUUGUGAUUUGUCUUGAUGGAAUAGGGUGAUCACUGGCGAGAACCCAAUCAAGGUAGAUUUUAUGAUGUUAACAUAUUAUUAAGCAUUUUGUUGCAUCAGCAAUGAUGCUUUCAUAGAAUGAAAGUGUUUAAAUUUAACUGAAUGAUCUUGAUUGAUCAAUUAUGAGUUUUAAUCGAGUAAAAACUAAAUACAAUGAUCGUUAACAAAUAUUGAAAUUGGGUAAAUAUGAUCUUGAUAUUGAAGAAUUUGAAAUCACAACCCACACAGGAAAUCACCCUUCGCGUGGGGAUGGUGAUGUUUACUGCAGCGAUAUUGAAUAUGUCCGCUGCUCUUUGGGUUAUGGUGCGACUUGCGAUUUCAAGGUUGCCAUGAAACAAUGGAAAAGAUUAACAUGCCCUCCAAUGAAUGAAACUAUUAUGUUAUUAACAAUGCACAGUCCGAGUACUUUUCCAGGAUCAGAUACGAGGUGGUCUAAUGUUGAUAAUAAUAGAUUAUCAAAUGACAAAUCGUUGUUCUUGGGUGGUGAUUUCAGAAAUAAAAUACAUUCUGAGAGAUGCUGGUUUACUAUUGCAAGCCCCCAGAUUUAAGAAUCUUUUGAUGAUAAUUUAUCACCUGCAGCUGUGCCGGAAGAUUCAAGUAGCACUGAAAAAGAUGAUAAUUUAAUUGAUAUGGACAGUUUCCAUAUCACUUUUAAAUCAUCUUAUGUAAUUGUAAUGUUAGGAAGCAUUAGUGAUCUAAAAGUGAACUAUUCUUGGUGUCAUUGGUGGUUUUAUCUUGUUAAAAUAUGGAUGACUUCCUGUUACUAUUUUAUUAUAGACAAUCUUAUUCAAUUAACAUAUGGUUUAAAACCAUUAUGUUUUAUGUAAAUCAAUCUAUUAAUUUUCAUGAUACUUAACUGAGUUAAAACCAAGUGCACUCAAUAAAUGUCUUUUCCUUUAAAAAACUGCUACGCUUUGAUUUUAGUGCUUAAUAUUUCGUAACUACAGAUUAUCUAAUUGCGAGUUGCUGUCCAUAGCUACUAAUUUGUAGUGAUUAUCUAAUUGACGGAGGUGACAAUAAUUCUUUUAUUUUCAAUAGCACAACGUGGAAUUCAAUAAUUAAAUUCUCCUGUUUAAUUUGUUUUAAGUUAAAUUAUUAAUUACUUAAACUCAGUUUUAAGUCUUUAAUUUUCUGUGUUUAUGCAGAAUUGGAUUCUUGAGCGUGUUGGACAUGACCAACAAUGAAAUUGACGUAAACAAACAUUACAAUGUGUGGACUCCGGUAGCUACCCCGCAAGUCUACAACUUUACAAAUAAUAAUUGAGUAAGCACCUUUGAUUUCUAGCCCCGUUGACUCCACCGACUAAAGUUUUGUAAAAUAAAAAAAAAAUACAUAGAAUUCCACCAAAUGCAAAACGCGUGGAAUUUAAUUUUCGGCCGUGUGGAUCAAAACAUAAUUUAAUGAAAAAGGAAAAAAAUGAUAAGAUUUUUAAAAUGUGUGGAAGGUGAUUCAUAUUUUACUGAAACAACUUGUUAAAUUUUUCAAGGAUUUAAAAUAUUUGGUCAUAAAUUACGUGCAUGUUAAUUUUUCUGCCAUUGACUAUCAUAUUCUAGACUUAAUGGUACCUUUCUUGAUGAAGGGUACUUAAUCUCUCUUCUCCUCUUAUAAAAAUUAUAUUAAUUGAUUUCUUAUUAUAGUUAAUAGUCUUCAAGAACGGAUAGAUUUAUUGUUUUCAUGACCAAAUUAUGCAUGCCUAACGUUGCAAAUAUUAAUAAAAUUAAUAAUUAAUGUUUAUGUUAAAAUAUAUAAGAUUUUAUGCAUUCAUUAAUUGUUAUUAGCUAAAGGAUGAAUUAUUUUUUCCCAAUCAGUUGAUGCAUCUGCAAGAGUUUUUUUUUUCUUUUAUUGACCAUAAUUAUAUUCCGGGUACAAUAAAUUGUCUUUGGUGCUUGGAAGAUAUGACAUCUCUCUGUCAACUUACUGGAAAUAUCUCCUCAUCUACUCUCAUUUAUCUAAUAUCAAUUGAAGAUCUCAUAUUUCCAAACUAUGACUUCCAAAUCUCAUUAUCAUUUGAGCAUUCAAAACUAAUCAAGUGUGGAAAUAAUCAAAUAUAUGCAAAAAUCGAGUCACAAUCUUUGGCCCCUCAAAAUUCUAAUUAUAUAACUUCAUAUCUCAUACAUUUUCCAAAUUCCUCUUCCAUCAACAUCACUAGGAGUAUGUUCAUCUCUCACACAUUAACUUGAGUGGAGAGUUUCCAAAUUGAUUGUCAGAAAACAAUACAAAAGCUAGACAAACUUGAUCUGUCUACUAAUUAUCUUUCGGUAAAAUUAAUUAAUUUUAGGGUAAUAUUCAGCCAACCUCUGUAAUUUUAGAGUGAUCAUUAAUUAAUUAAUUAAACGAUACAAUAUCUAAAGUGAUUAGAUGUUUGUGGACAAUACAAGUUCAUGGCUUGAAAUUUGAUCUCUAUCGAUUGGUUUACAGAUUGACGUACUUGUGCUUUUGUGGUGAUAAUUGAACCAGAGAUGUGAAGCUGUAAGGAUUUGGCAGUAGUAAAUUGUUAUAAAGGCAUAAAGACAACUAUUUUACAACAAAUUCAUCUCGCCAAAAAUUCUAUUUUGCUAACUAACAAUAAUUGAGCACUUGACCGCAUUGACUCCACGUCUCCAGCUACUUUCUAAGUAAAAACAUGGAAAUGUAAUCUCCACAAAAUGCCAAACGUGUGGAAUUUAAUUUUUGGCCUUGUGGACCAAAAUGCAAAUGAAAGAAAAAGAAGGAAAAAAACAAGGCCCAAAGACUUCUAAAAGAUGUAAAAGUCUUUGGGUUUUUUUAUAAUGGUGGAUUUUUUAAAAGAAAAAAAUAACAACAGUUCUAUGGUUUGUUUUGAUAAUCACAUUUACAUAUACUCUCUAAUUUUCAAAAUGGACACAUAAAUCUUUUUUUUUCUACAAAUGUAUAUUAUUCGUAUUGUUUAUUAUUUUUAAUAUCAUAUUGUUAUUUAUUAUAAAUGUUUAAAGUAAAUUUUUAGGUUGAAAUAUAAUAAACGGGUAUAAUCGUUCUCUUAUUAAACACCCAUACUUUUAGUUUCUAUCCAUUUGUCAUCUCAAUCUCUCUCAAUUAUUCUUUAUUGCUAGCUCAAAACGCAUUGCUGUUGCAAAUUAUAGCAAAAAGACAAAUAUGGAAAAGAAAAAAGGGUAGAAAAUUAAUGCAUGAAAGACUUGGAGAAAACAAUGAACUAAGUCAACUAUAAUCUAGCUGGGUGUAUAAAUUGUUUGAUGCUUUAUAAGCAAAUAACAUACAGAGACAGACAAUGUGUGUUCGUUUUUUCAUAGUUAAAGAUAUAGUUAGAAUGGGUGGUUCAAAAUCAAAAAUGGUGAUAAUGUUUGUUAUGUUAUUAAUAAUAUUUAAAAGUGGGUGGACUGAGGGAUGUUUGGAUCACGAGAGAUUUGCUCUUUUGCGACUCAAACAUUUCUUCAAUGAUCCUCAUAAUUCUCUUUACGACUGGGCCGAUGAUGAGGGAGCUAUUGAUUGUUGUCAGUGGGAAAGGGUUGAGUGCAGCAACACCACAGGCCGAGUGAUAGCGCUAGACCUUUUUGAAAUGUAUUCGGGAGAGUACAGCUGGUAUCUGAAUGCUUCUUUGUUUACUCCCUUCCAACAACUUGAGUCACUUGAUUUAACUUACAACAAUAUAGCCGGUUGUGUUGAGAAUGAAGGUGCUUCGUUUAAUUUAAUUAAUUUACUUUCUCCCCCCUAAUUUAAGUUGAAUAUCAAGACCGAGCAAUUAUAUGCAUAUUCAUUCAGUUGACAAUUUUGACUUAUUUUUUUUAAAUGAUUAAUUUUGAAAUUACACCAGUAUCUAUCAUCUUUUUUUUUAUUAUUAUUGCAGGUAUAGAGAGGCUAUCAAGAUUGAACAACUUGAAGAUGCUUAAUUUAAGUGAAAACUCAUUCAAUAAUACCAUUUUAUCAUCUCUAACUCAUCUUUCAUCAUUAAGAUCAUUAAAUUUAUAUGGGAAUAGUUUGGAAGGAAGUAUUGACGUUGAAGGUACAUAAUUAAAACUUCAUCCCUUCUCCAACCUCUUUCAUUAACUUGCUAAAAUAAGAUUCAAGGCUUUGAAUUCAAUUUUUUUAUGAUUAAUAUUAAAAAAACAGUUUUAAGCAAUUUAUAAAUACAAGUUUUAAUGUUUCUUGUAAUUUCAUCUUGUACUUUCAUAUGUCUUGAAUUUAAGAUUAAAAAAAAACUCUAAUAGCGAACCAAACACCUCCACAACUUCUUAUUAUUUGUGGUGAGGUUUGAAACAUUCAACUCAAUUUGUACUUAUUACAGAAUUUGAUUCUUUGAGAGAUUUAGAGGAGCUAGACAUUGGCGGGAACAAGAUUGACAAAUUUGUGGUCUCAAAAGGUACUACAAAUACCAUAAAAAAAAUAUGCUAACUUUUACAAAUUAGUUAGAUUCUUUGCCAUUUGGUUUAUUAUUUUACAGGUUUGAGUAAGUUGAAGUCUCUCGGUUUAAGUGGUAUCAAACUCAAUCGUAGCAUCUUAUCUUCUCUUUCUUCGUUAAGAGAAUUAGAUAUAAGUCGUACGGGAUUCAAAGGAACAUUUGAUGUUCGAGGUAAGCCUAAACCUUGCUUUCUCAUUUUAUAUAUGCCAACUAGAUUUGUGUAUCAUCGACAUAAUUUAAUAUUUAAUUUGAUAAGUCUGAAUGAAUUACAUGCUAAUUUAAACAUACUUUUAUUUACUCUAUCAAUCAAUUAAUUAAUUAAUUACUAUUUGGCUUGGUUUGGACGAAAUUCUCAUGAUGUUUUAAUUUCUUUAAAUUAAUUAAUUAAUUAACUCUGUUUUUAAGUCUUAAGUCUGGGCGUGUUUGCAGAAUUUGAUUCAUUCAACGACUUAGAAGUGUUGGACAUGAGCUACAAUGAAAUCGACAAUCUUGUGGUUCCUCAAGGUAAACAAUUAAAAUGUUAUUCAAUUACAUUAUUUUAAUUCAUUUGAUUAGGGAAGGCCAAAAAGGUCCAAAAAAAUAAUAAUAAUAAAGAAACAUAUAAUUUGUAUUAUUUAAAAAACAGAAUGUAAUAAAGAUUUGAUUCCAGUUCUUCAAUCUUUAAAGCGAUUGAAAAACAAUGUUGCUCUUUUCCCAAAGCAUAAAAUACGAAUUGAAUGCCAAUUAACUUAAUCAUUCAUUUCGUUUAGCUCUAAAUUUAGACAAUGAAUUUUUAUAUUAUUUCAAAAACAGGACGUAAUAGAAUUUAAAAAAAAAACAGAUUGUAAUGAAGAUUUGAUUCCAAUUUUUUAAUCUUUGCAGCGAUUGAAAAACCAUACCGCUCUUUUCCCAAAGCAUAAAAUACGAAUUGACUCCCAAUUAAAUUAAUCAUUUAUUUUGUUCAUCUCUGAAUUUAAAUAAUGAAUUUUGAUCUUCAAUCAUAUUCUAACUACUAUUAAAAAAAUAGGUUACAAAGGUUUGAGGAGGCUGAAAAGUCUUGAUCUAUCGGAAUUUGAAAUUAGAGAUGGAAGCAAGUUGUUACAGUCAAUGGGAUCAUUCCCAUCCCUCAACACACUUGUCCUGACGGAUAAUAAUUUUACCGAUAUAGCGACCGCUACUCAAGGUAAGUAAAAGGUACAGAUGUGGCCAAAUUUAUAAAUAAAUUGUUAAUUAAUUAAUUUUUCCGUAUUAUUAAUUAAGCUAAAUUUGUUGCUCCUUCCUUCUAAUUCUAAACAGAGUUGCACAAUUUCACCAACUUGGAAUAUUUGACAUUGGACGAAUCCUCUCUCCAUAUAAGCCUUCUGCAAAGCAUUGCAUCAUUAUUCCCUUCGUUAAAAACUCUGUCGAUGUUUGGUUGUGAAGUCAACGGUCUCGUACGCGGUCAAGGUAAAAGAAAAGCGUUGAUUGUGAACUCACUCAAUGGUGUCCUACGUGUUCAACAUUUUUGUUUAUUUAUUUAUUGUUUAAUGUUUCUGCUAGGUUUUCCCCAUUUCAAGAGUUUGGAACAUUUGGAUAUGGAUUACACGCGCAUUGCACUCAACACCAGCUUUCUUCAAAUCAUCGGUGAAUCGAUGCCUUCUCUUAAGUACUUAUCACUGUCAUAUUCUAAUCUUAGCACUAACAGCAGCAGGAUUCUUGAUCAAGGUUAAUGAGAUGCUGCCACCCUCCCCUCUUAAUCUGUAAUAUUAAUUUUCAAUUCAAUAUUUAAUUACACAAACCAAUCACUUCUAUAUAAAAGAAUACUAUGCUUUUGUUAAAUUUUUUUAUUGUACUGAUGGAUAAAUUAAUAAAUUUUCAGGCCUCUGUUCGUUGGUGCAUCUGCAAGUGUUGUACAUUUAUAAUAAUGAUCUGAGAGGCAGCUUGCCUUGGUGCUUGGCAAAUAUGACAUCCCUCCGAUUAUUAGAUGUUUCUUCCAAUCAACUUACUGGAAGCAUCUCCUCAUCUCCCCUCAUUCAUUUGACAUCCAUUGAAGAGCUGAUGCUUUCAAACAAUCACUUCCAGAUCCCAAUUUCACUUGAACCACUUUUCAAUCACUCAAGACUCAAGAUUUUCAAUGCUUAUAACAAUGAAAUAAAAGCUAAAAUAACUGAGUCACAUUCUUUGACCGCCCCAAACUUCCAAUUAUCACGUCUCUCAUUGUCUUCCAGUUACGGAGACGGUUUCAUAUUCCCCAAAUUCCUUUACCAUCAACAUGACCUGGAGUAUGUUGAUCUCUCACACAUAAAGAUGAAUGGAGAAUUUCCAACUUGGUUGUUGGAAAACAACACAAAAUUAGAAACUCUUUCUCUCGUCAAUGAUUCUCUUGGAGGACCUUUUCGGUUGCCAAUUCAUUCACACAAGCGGUUAGGAAUGUUGGAUAUAUCCAACAACAACUUCCGAGGCCACAUUCCAGUAGAAAUUGCAGAUGUUUUACCAAGUUUAUACGCUUUCAACAAUUCCAUGAAUGCUUUAGACGGUAGCAUUCCCUCUUCAUUUGGUAAUAUGAAAUUCCUCCAAUUUCUGGACUUAUCCAACAAUCACUUGACUGGUGAAAUUCCCGAGCACUUGGCCGUGGGUUGCGUCAACUUGAGGUUUCUUGCGUUAUCAAAUAACAACCUACAAGGUCACAUGUUCUCUAGAAAUUUUAACUUGACAAACUUGAAAUGGUUACAAUUGGAGGGCAAUCGCUUCGUAGGUGAGAUCCCACAAAGUUUGUCUAAAUGCUCCUCACUAGAAGGAUUGUAUCUUAACAAUAAUAGUCUUUCGGGUAAGAUUCCACGAUGGUUGGGUAAUCUCACAAGGUUACAAUGUAUUAUAAUGCCCAAUAAUCAUCUUGAAGGCCCUAUUCCAGUGGAGUUUUGUCAGCUUGAUUUGCUUCAGAUUUUGGACAUUUCAGACAACAACAUAUCUGGAAGUUUACCAUCUUGUUUCCAUCCUCUCUCUAUCAAACAAGUUCAUCUUUCAAAAAAUACGUUACAUGGACAACUAAAAAGAGGUACAUUCUUUAAUUGCUCUUCCCUUGUGACAUUAGAUCUUAGCUAUAACCGCUUGAAUGGCAGCAUUCCGGAUUAGGUUGAUGGGCUUUCUCAGUUAAGCCACCUUAUCUUAGGUCACAAUAAUCUUGAAGGUGAAGUGCCAAUUCAAUUGUGCGAAUUGAACCAACUACAAUUGUUAGAUCUUUCUAAUAAUAAUCUUCACGGUCCUAUUCCUUCUUGCUUUGAUAACACCACACUUCAUGAAAGUUACAGCAAUAGUUCUAGUCCUGAUGAGCAAUUUUAAAUAUCUUUUUUCAUCCAAGAAACUCAAGGAUAUGUAGAAAAGCAAAUCCAUGAAAUUUUUGAGUUCAUAUAUGUAGAAAAGCAAAUCCGUGAAAAAUUUGAGUUCACAACAAAGAACAUUGCGUACAUUUACCAAGGAAAAGUGCUUAGCCUCCUAUCAGGACUUGAUCUUUCUUGCAACAAGCUAAUCGGUCCUAUUCCUCUUCAAAUUGGAAAUUUGACAAGGAUUCAAACAUUGAAUCUAUCACACAACAACUUGACAGGAUCGAUCCCAUCAACAUUUUCAAACUUGAAGUAUGUCGAAAGUUUGGAUCUUUCCAACAACAAAUUGAAUGGGAAAAUCCCUCAUCAACUAGUGGAGUUAAAGACAUUGGAGGUUUUCAGUGUGGCAUACAAUAACUUAUCAGGCGAAAUUCCAGAAUGGACUGCACAAUUUGCAACCUUCAAUGAGAGUAGCUAUGAGGGAAAUACUUUUCUUUGUGGAUUGCCAUUGCCCAUUUGCAGAUCACCAGCAACUAUGUCGGAGGCUUCAAUUGGCAAUGAACGAGAUGAUAAUUUAAUUGACAUGAACAGUUUCUUUAUCACAUUUACAACAUCGUACGUAAUUGUGAUAUUCGCAACUGUUAUUAUUUUAUAUGUAAAUUCUUAUUGGCGACGUAGAUGGUUUUACUUUGUUGAAAUGUGGAUAACUUCAUCUUACUAUUUUGUUGUAGACAAUCUUAUUCCAACAAGAUUUUGUCAUUGAAAUUAAUUAGUAGCUUAAUUACGAUUCUUUAAGUACUAAUCAAGUUUGCUUAGGAAAUAUUUUUUUAUUAAAAUUGUAGUAGUAUUUAGCAUUAUAUAGCUUCCAACUUCCAAGCACUUCACAUUUGUCUCUACACUUAAAAAACUGAGUAAUCAUGUUUUGCAGAUCUGUCCACCAUAACUUAUAGCUUCCCUAUACUGUGCAGCAUACUUAAAUAAGAGAACCAUCUCCAAUGUUAAAAGCAUUCACUCUAUAACAUUCAUUUAGAAACUAUAUUCAGAAUAAUUUUAUAAUUAAACACGAGAAAUGAAACACAUAGAUACACUUGAUCGCCUAUUUUACUCUAAAAAAGAACGAUUAUUGUGCUAUCAUCAUCUUCUUCACUAGCAACAUUAACACCAAAUCGAUGGACCCAUACAUUUCAUCAAGAAAGGUAUAUAUCCAAUAAAGUUGAAGCCUAACAAAAAAUUCAAGAAGAUUAAUGCCUCGCCACAACAAGGGGCACAACAACAUCAAAGUAGAGAUUAAGCAGUAUUCUCAAAGCUAAAACUCUCAAAUCCACCCACCAGAAUUUCAUAUCUCCUCAACAAUUUUAAGAACUAAAGAUAAUUAGGAUUUAACAUUAGUUUUUUAUAUAUUAGUUUCAUAAUUUACAAAUCAAUGAAGAUGAAGAUUAUGCUAAUAAAUUCAAAUUAUACCAUACAUUCUCUAGAUGUUACCAAAAAUUUCUAAGUCAAUCCCACAUAUUUCAUAAUUUUAAGACUAGAAAAUUUCACUAGUUAGAAGUUUCAUUACCUUCAAGUGGAAGAUAAAGAACAUUAUACAAGUGAUUCAGAUUAUAUCAUACAUACUCCAAAUGCAACUAGAAAUUAACAAGUUCAUGCGCACAUAUUUCAUAACAUUAUGAUUGAAAAGUUUCACAAAGAGAAAUUCUAAAUUCAAUCUCUUGCAUGAAGGCAGUUUGAUUGAUUUGAGUUACUUUCUUAUCAAGCUACUAAUAUAACAUUCAAGUCAGGGAGAAAAUAAAUUAAAACUGGGAAGAAAUAAUAGUAAAAAUUUGUUGCUCAACAUGAUGUGUAUUUUUUUUCAAGGCAAUUUGGAAACACAAUUGUUACUACAGAUAUUCUUCUCAACUUGGAGAUAAAUACAAAUAUUAAAAUGCAUAUGAUCGCACAUAUUACUUCGAGUUUAGUAAGAUUUCAUUAAAAGAAGCAAUCAAACCACUUAUCAAUUGUCGCAGUCGUUCUAUAAACUAAAAUAGCAAUAUAAUACAAGAAAAAGAACAUAUAGAUACUUGGCAAGAGUUCAUUAAGAAGUCGCAUCACAUUCGGGUGAGGAGUUUGCUUCUGAUAUCUUGCUAGCUGGGGCUUUUUCUUGUCUUUCUACGUAUGCCGAGGGAAACCAACCAGCUUGGCCCUUGCAUUCACCUUCCGACCAUCCAAUAGGAGCCACCUUGAGAAGUUAUAACUAAAACGGUGAAUUAAACAAAAGUUGACCGUUCAAAGACCUAAGGGGAAAACUAAUUCUUUUACGUAGGAGGAGUGAAUUAGUUGUGAUCACUGAAAUAACAGCAUAACUAUGGAAGCAUAACAAGAUAUAAAUUCACACGUCUAUAAGGAUAAACUGGGUGGUUCAGAACUGAGCUAGCAACCCUACUAUAUUCUGAUUUGCACUUCAAUGUAAAAGGGAAUAUAUGGUAGGAAGAAAGAAAACCAACCAUCAUUUGUUAACUCAUUGCUUUUCAAUCAAAAUUUUAAGAACAAAAUGCCAUGUGCUUUGAACAUCAAAUAAGUAUAAGCAUUAGUUCUAAAUUCCACAUAUCAUAAGUUGUUAGAAGGAUAAGUUAAUAGCAGAGUAGAAAAAUCUAUGUGUUGGUAUUUAGAGGGGAAAGUACCUGGCGAAUCACAACAUAAUCAUCAAUUGAAAGACUUAGCUCUCCAUUUGCUUGAGCAUCAAAUGGAUGUAUAACCUGCAAGAUAAUGGGAUAAAUAGAACUUAAAAAAAGCAUAACAAAAGCAGCAACAGUAGCAGCAACGUUCAUUGUAACCACUAUGAUCAUGGCCAACAAAGAUAUAUUAGAAACAAAAUUCCAUUUUUACUACGACAUUAAUAUGUACUAUACAAAUUCUAAUAAGUUCUGUAUAACUUUAUGUAGUUAUUUAAAUUAUGGAUCAGAUUUUAAAUUUGAAAUUUUGACUGCUCUCCACAAAACAUGGCCUAUGCACAAGAAAGUCAUAGAUAAUGAGGAUUACAAGUGUCCGGCAUCUUUUGAGUGAUGGAUUUAACAUGAGAGCUUAUGGUCAGUCAAUUUCCUCUGCCUAGCAAUAUAAGCUUUCUCGGCCAGAUUUAUCAUCAAAUACAUAGAUUGCCCCCAAGUCACAUCCAUAUAAACAUAGUUUUUCUAGGUAAACCAAGUAAGGAGUAUCAUAAUUCAGACAUAAUCAUAAAAAGGCCCAUCUAAAUUAAGAGAAAAUCUCAAAAAGAGGGAUGCUGAGCUAUCAGUCUUGUAUCUAUAAGCAAUAUCAAGACUUUACAUCACCUGCUACAUCGUGAGUGGCUACACAACUUUCAGUGGUUUGUCUUUCUUUGGCACGCCUAACUCAGCUUUGAUGUUAGUGAGAUAUUGAUAGUAGAGACACAUGAUACUUCUAGCUCAUGCAUUCUAUCUAACCCAUCCAACAACUAUCUCUUUUUUAAUUCAUUAGUGUUUGCUAAACCUCAUGCUUAAAAGUCCUAUUCUCCUUAGCACCACAGUUGGACACUUGUAGAGCAAUUUUAUUUGGGGGAAAAGAAUUUUCAAGGUGUUAACUAAUAAAUUUUAAAAAAUAAUUACAAUUUGUCCUACGAUCAUAUGACAAUUUAUCUGGGAUGAAAGGAUACAGAUAGACAUCUUCCACUUUCAAGACUAAUCACUACUUCCAUAGAUGUUGUGCAAUAAUACAAAUACUUGACCAGAUGGUAGUGAUGGUAGAAAAAAAUUUUAUUGCUCCAAAAUUAAAAUAAGAAUGCAAUAUGUUAAGCAAAAGGCUGUGCAACAUCAAAUUAAUUGAUAAGUUUGUAAUUCAGUAAAUUAACAACUUUCGUGGUAAAAUACAACAAAUUUCUUUUGAAAAAAAUAAAAAAAAUAAAUCUUAAAAGACAGCAUUCAAUUUUGUGCGCAUCUUAUUUCUUAAGAUUUUUCAGGAGGAGGGCAAUAGAGGGACUUUCACCUAUGCAAGAGAGCAGAAGCCUUACUUUCCCUAUAAAGUAGACGUCAUUCUGAUUAAUAUGCGUUUGCAAAUCAGCUCCGUUUGAAUCAGUAUUCUGAUAGACACACGAGCCAUUUACAUCCAUUUCCAAAGUCACAUGUUGCGAGGAGGACUCAUUUGAUUGCUCCUAUACGAUCAUCUAAUUCAAGUAGCAAGGGUUGGAAGAGAAUAAAAAGUCACAAUUAUUCUUUUGCAUAAGUGAGACGAAAAUGAUAAAUGCAAUAUUAUCAGCAGUAAACAAGAAGAGAACGCUCCAAGAAAUAGAUAGAUGCAGACAAGCAAGUUAAAAUGCAUAGUCCCAAACCUCCGCAUACAACUUCUCUAAAAUAGCAAUAACGUGUUGAUGCUAUGUUUUCUCAGCAUCUACCUGCAAAGGCCCGAGACCAGGAAAACAACAAUAAAACCACUAGCUGAAGGAGAAAGCAAAGAAAGAAAUACACUUGACAUAAAUCUUGACAAGAAGCACAAUUUAAGACAUAACAAACCCCAAUCAUAUUGUUUAGAACUACCAUUCGUUAUUUCGUUAUUGUAACAUUUCGAACAAGUGUUGACUUAAUUCAACAUUGUUGGAAAGAUGGGCUUUUAGAAGCAGAAGAAAGCCUCUCAAACCAAAGUGCUUGUCCUUGUAUUGAUCAAGGGAUGUAAACAUAUUACAUUUGCAGGAUGAGAUUUAAUCACUCCCCUGAUUUAUUUGGGUUGCAGUAAAACUAAGCGAGCAACUGUUUGACUUCCAAGCAACAGCUAAAUCAGCUAUUAAAAUUCAAAUAAAAUCAUAAUAGAAUAAUAACAGGCCAUCUUGCAUCAAAAAUUAAGUUUAAUUUGUGAAUUGUUUUCUAUAGACAUGUCAGUUUCUGCUAUUGAAAUGUUAAAAGCAUUGAAAAAUUAUUCAAUAAAUUAUGCAAGCAUUAAAAUAGAGGACAUAUUAAAAAGUUUCUAAUUACAAUGUUAAUAUUUCCUAUAUUCUAGCAUUUGCAUAUUUUAAUUUAUUUAAAAGCUACGUCGAUCAACUUUGGGCAUGAAGAUUUUAGCUUCUACGAGACUUGCUUGGAAUAUGCACAAGAGUGUUAAAAUAUGAUGCAUCCAACGAAAGACAAACCACGUGUAGUCUUUUAAUUAAGCCAAAGUAGCAGCUCAAACAAAUGACACUUGGACCAACAUGCAAUCAUGAAGUGGCCGGAAAAAGGACAAAUGCUACUUUGGCUUAAAUAAAAAAUAACAUGUGACUUGACUUUUGCUGGACAUGCAUCAUGUUAUUACAAGACAACAGAAAUCAGUAUGAUAGUACUAAAAGUUGACAAUAACAUGAAGAUAAGAGGCAGACUGUCAACACAUGCAUAGGCACACACAAGAAAGUAUUAACUUCUAUACCAUAGCAAAAAGUCUUUGAUAUGUCAUCUGUUGCUGCUGUGAUUCAACUGACAGCAUGGCAGCUGUUGCUUCUCUACCAAGAGCCAUUAUUGUAGAUUUAAGCUCCGUCUAUCUUGCUUCUGCAUUUCGAAGCUUCACAGCACUCUCUGCUGAUAUAUCAGAUUCCCUAAUCUUUGAUCGGCGCCUAAAUACUUCAGCUGCCUGGUGAAAAUAUUCAAUAUAAAUCUAACAUAAUUCUAAUCUUGCCUUAUACAUGCAUAUGUUACCUCAAAGCUUACCUGGGCUUCAACUUCAUGUCGAAGUUUGUCAUAACGAUGAGUCAGGUGUCGAGCAUCUUCCAAAGGUGUUCCGUUGAUUAACGCCCGUAGUGGCUCAGGUACCUACAUGUCCAAAAACCUGUAACAUAGUUAGAAAAAUGAAAAGAAAGAGCGAAACCUCAAUUAAAAAGUUCCUCCAACAUAAUCAUGGAAUUUGGGCCUACUUCAAGGAUAUAUAUAAGGAUAAUUUAUGCAAUUUUGGGUCUGAGGAUGAUUCAUAUUAGGUUAGUGUUCUUCUCUUCUGUAUUUAAGGUUAAAAUAGAAAUAAACCUAUGAAAAUAUCUAAAUUAGGGCUGUAAGACUUCCACAUGCAUCCUUCAGUCUCAUGGAUUUGAUUUUACUAUAGAUGCAAGUGUCUUUAAAGAAAAUGCUUGGAGUCAAUUGAGAGAACUCACGGCCAAAAACUUGUCACACGCUAGUCUUUGCUAGUGAUGUAAGAAGUCACAGGGUCUCUUCAACAUUUGAACCAAUAAAAUUAUUAAGUCAUGGAUGUCACUAGCAAUGAUUUUAAUAUAAAACAUUAAAUAUUUCAGAGUUGUAACUUUAAAAUGGAUUCUUUUAUUCAAUAUCAUAGAACUAAGUUUCCUUAUGAGAAGAUAAUAGUUUCGAUAAUAAUUUUACAUAUAAUUUUCUAUAUUUGAAUUAUUUUCUAGUUAGGGAUGAACUAACCUGAUCACGAAGAAUCCCGAGCAAAGUUUCCCUCUCAUUUUCCAUCAAAUCAUGUGAAGUGCCAAAUUGAAGAGCAGCUCUUGCAACGCAAGAAUUGUCACUUUGAUUCUCUGCUCCAUACUUGCAACAAUCUUCAGCCAACUUUCUCGCUACAAUAUUUGAAUACAAAAAUAUUGUACACAAGAACUAUAAAAAACUAAUGAAAAAUGCCAAGAUGGAGCAGAUGCUUCAAUACUGCCCGUACAAACCAUAAAAAACUAAUGAAAAAUAAAUAAAAUCAAGAAAUUUUACUAAUUAAAAGUCUAAAUAUAAUUUUGAAAAAAGAAAAGAAACGGACUUGCUGCUGCUUGGCGACUUGUUCUCGGAGCUUGAUUGCUUGUUUCUUGAUAGCUUCCAUACUGUUUCUUUCAAAAAGCGACGACGGCUCAGCUCAUGGAAGUGGAAAAAAAAAGUGUGAUCGAGAAAAAUGAAAAGGCGUGAAUAAUUUUUGACAAAAAGCGAAAAUCAAGGAAAGCCGGCUCUUUCCAGAAAAUAAAAAAAGAAAAAAGAAAAUCAUAAGUUUGAAAGGAGAAGAUGAUAGUGGAAGUAUGCAGUGUGGCUGCCAGGUACUUGGAUUGUAUUGUCGGGUAAGGUAAAAGUGGAGAAUUAUAAGUUUGAACAGAGCAUGUUGGACUUUUGUUGACCAAAUUCAAAAGCCCAAUGGGACGGUCCAGAAGCUUUUGAAUAGAAAAACUUGCUAGAAAGCAUCAGUUUAAAUCACUACUUAAACGCUUGCUUUAACUGCACCGCUUUGUACUGUUUUAUGUAUGUAGCGGUUGUGCGGUUGUAAUUCACGGCUGACGCUACGUGUUUGUUUGUACUGUUCUAUUCGGUGACAGAGUAUUAUUAGUUAGGCCAAAACUAUGUUGCAACAGUGGUACAAUAGCACUGUUGUUUUCAGUCAUUAGAUCUAUAGUUGUACAGUUGCAUUAACAAGAUCCAAUGGUUGAAAACAACAGUGGUACCGAACUACUGUUGCAACAUAGCUGGACCCUAUUAGUUAUUUCAAAGGGAUAAAUAAGAUUGGUUACAACAAACCUACUAAUUUUAUAAAAUUCAAGUAAUAUAGAAUAAAAUAAAAAAAUAAAUACAAAAUUGACUUUUAUUUUUUAUGGUUGACUAUAUUUUGUGUUCUCUUCGGGCACUGCUACAAUUCUUCCCUAUAUAUCAAUUACACCACAUACUAUCGACACAAGAAAUGAAAUCUAAUAUCACCUAUUUAGUUAAAAAAUCACUCAUGAAAAAAUUUUACCAUUUUGAUUUGAGGAUCCAUAUUUUGAACUACAAGCUAAUGUUCAUCAAGAAUCACUGAUGGCCGUUGAGUAGAAAAAUUAUUUUUGGACAAAUUAUUUUUGUUGAUAGAAGAAUUUCUUUAGGGACUACUAAAUUAUUAAUAAAAAUAUCGAACACACCCAAAUAUCAUCGACACAAUUGAUUUUGAGGAUCCAUGCUUUGAACUGCCGCCUAAUGUUCAUCAAGAAUAGAGUAUGGCUUGUGAGUAUAAAAUUUUCUUAUUUUGGCCCGAAAUAAAAAAAAAUUAAAUUGGAUGAGAAUCUGCCACUUUCUCAUGAAGAAAGGCAUACGGAGCAUACCAUGGUACCAUACAAUAUAAGGAGCCUCCGUUCUUUGGUUUUUCAAACUCUGAAGGGGCCAAUAUUGCCAAAUUCCCCCUUGAAAAUUCUGAUUACGACAUUAUUCAUCGCUUGAUGCAAUCAAAGUAGUGACAAAGUAAUUGCUAGGCAAGGUUGCUGAGAGCAAAAUUGUCCUAAGCAUUAUAUGCAUACAUGGUGCGGUACAUAGAGCACGUUGAAUUCCCCACUAUAACACAAAUCCAGAAAGACAAGUAAUAACUCAACUGAUAUAAAGACAAAAAGAAGAUAAAAUGAUAUAGAACAAAGAAUUUCAAAGAGACAGCAACAUACGAUAGACUGAAGCCACUUGAUCUGCUCAUUGAUUGCAGCCUUAAACUUGCAAAUAGUUACUGUACGCUAGUGCUCUAAGAAGUGAAAAUGAUGCAAGCCCUGAUUCCCUUUUGACUUCCAUUUACUGUCAAACAUUCUAGUAAUACAAAAAAUUGUUUAGAUAUCUUGCUAUAAAUAUAGCCGUUUGACUGUCAUAAUAAAGUCACAAAUAACCAUUCAUAUUGAUCUACUAUCACACAGCAUGCUUUAUGCAUACAACAGCUGUAUGUAUACCAACUCCUAACCUUAUCAACACAUUUGGCAAAAACUUAGGAAGAAAACUAUUUCUCCAUCUCUUUUUUGAAAUUUCACAAUAACCAGCACAAUGUGAAAGCUAUGUUCUAACCUUAUGAUAAAUGCUCCAGACUCCAAAAGGAUUUUAUAUAUGAGAGUUUGUUGCAGCAGAUAUAUUGACUUAUCAAGUAUGAAUCAUUGUCUGGAUGAACUAUCUUUAGAUAAAAGAAUAUUAGAACCACUGUAGAAUAUCUUUACGCUGCUGGUUCUAACAGGAAUCUGCAUGUGGCAACAAUUGCUAGAUCCACAACUCCCCAACUUGAAAUACAUAGUUGCACACCAUGAGAUAGUGCUACAAUCUACUGAGAUCUAACUUAUAUGGUACUUUAAGCUACUAAUGUUUGCAUAUUUCUACAUGUUAAAUUAACACUAUUAUCUAUAAUCACUCCAAAACAACAAAUGAUAAGCAACUUUUGGCCACUUAUUACUAGCAUCCACAAUUAUAAAUAAGAGAUCAUGGGUUUACUUGUUGCACCUACUUAAUUAUCUGCAGUUGACAUCCUGACGCAAGGUUUAAAUAGUGACUGCUUAGAACCCUUGUAGUUGGAUCUUGACCUCUCCCAUUGUAGCCAAGAUUGGUUACUCUGGUAAUGAAUCAACACUCUCCUGCUCAGGGCCAUGAAGAUCUGAAAGCUCAGCACUAGUGGAGAACUUCAUCAAUCUCUUCUUCUCAGCAUACUUGAGACAAGGCUGCCUUACGAGACCAAUCACCAUAGCACCAACGCUUAAAACUGCAACUUUUAAAGAAGAAAGAGCCAACACAACACAACACAACACAAAUCAAUAUGGUUGGAGGAAUACACAUGAUAAUGGCUCCAACAGUGACAGUGGGUAUCUUGUAGGGACGAGAUGCAGCAGGAUAUUGCAUCCUUAACCAUACAAAUGCUAUGAACUCCAUAAUCAUUCCAAAACAGUACAGGAAGUUCUCUGCAGCUACAAUAUCUCAAAAGCUCAGCCAUGAUAGCAAAACCACACCGGAUGCUGAGAAUAUGAUUCCAAUCAAAGGAGUCCCAUAACAAGACCUCUUAGCAAAAAACUCAGGUAGCGUUCCACGCUCAGCCAUCCCCAAAAGUUGGAAAGAGUCGCUGCUCAUCUCAGCCACAAACAUGCCCAUAUUGGACAUUGCUGCAGCCCCCUGGAUGCACCAUCUCAACCAAACUCCUCCAAGCACUUUAGCGAUAUCUGAAAAGUAACCAUCGGUCCACAAGUCGCGAUCUAAUGGAAUAGCUCCAGUUCCAACUAGAAGGGGAAAGAAAUAUCCAAAAACGACCAAGAUCAAAGCAUAAAACAAAGCCUUUGGAAGAGUCUUCUUUGGGUUAUCCACCUCUCCAGCUAGUUUACUUAUUGAGUCCCAGUAGUUGGAGAUUCCAAAACAGGGUGUUCAAAUACAAAUUCCAGUCCACUUCACCUAAAUUUACUACAAGCCAUCUUGAAGGCUCUAACUUGGGAAGGGACACAAGUCCCAUAACCACAAAAGGAAGGAAUGAGAAAAUCUCUAAAAGAACAGCAGCCCAUCCCACAAUGGUUAGACCCCUAUAGUUCAUGAAAGUGAGAACAAAAGUCAAAGCUAACGCCGCAAAGGCUCUAGGUAACCCAUCGCCCAAAGCAGGGAUAUACCAGACUUCAAGUAGUCAAGAAACAGAACUGGGUAUAAAGCAUUAUCAAUAACCCCACUUAGCCAUUUCAUCCAAACUUGCUGAAAACCCCAAUAUGGGCCUAAGGCAGAUGAAACCCAAACCACAUAACCACAAUUUUCAGGAAACACGGUACCCAUCUCGGCAGUAAUUAAAGCUUCAGGGACACUCCAUAUAAUCGGAAACACCAAGAAACCAAGAAGUGCUAAAAGAGGACCAGCUGCCUUUACACUAUCCUCAACACCAAACGCCCCCCCAGAAACCUCAUAGAAUAUAAGGAAAAUAAGUGGCAAGAUUGAUACUUUUUUAGCGCCAUGGACUCUAGGAGAAGAUGGUUGGUCAUUGAUAUUAACAUAUUCAACAGCAUCAGACUGCCCCAUUUCUACUGAAAGUUGCCUAUUCACAGUGUUCCUCAAUUUCUGCAUCAAGUUUAAGCAUAACUAUCAAAAGGGUAUCGGCAUCUAAAUUAUGAAACAAAAUGAGCAUUUACUUAUUAAAAAAAUUCAAAAAAACAGAAAUGGAUUUCACAGAACACAUGAAUUUAAGUUCAACAUUAAACAGGCGCUUAAGAAAACAAAAGGGUCUGGUCGUAAAGCCAUCAGAUUGCAAGAUUGAACAACAUUAACGGAAUCAAUAGAAUCGAUGUAAAGAGAUCUGAAAAGAAAAUAAAAUAAAAGAUGAAGAGGGAUAAAACGACCCAUCAAAUAAGUGCAUGCAGAGCAGAGAGGCAGAUACUAGAGAAGCUCCGUCAUGUUAGAGAGAGCCUAAAUCAAUCAGAGCUCACUGAGUUUCUUUUCAACUGACCGGCAGAUUUGGAGUAGCAUAACAUAAUAUUUUUGCUUUUAAUUUUCGGAACACUUUUGAAUGGAAUUUUUUGUUUUUCAAAACUAACGAAAUCGUAAAAAUAAAUAAACACGUGUUUGGUUUUGGGCUUCUUCUUUUGUUCAUUUAAUAUCAUUUGGUUCCCUGAUUUUUGACUAAUUAUCAACGGUAUCCUGUUAGUUUCCAAAUUGAAAUAAUAUUAGGUCAUGAGAUUAUUUACUCCAUUUAGCAAUGUAGACUUAAUAGUGUAUUGAAAAAGCUUUGUCAAAUAGUAGUAAUAGGGGCAUAAGAAAUAAGUUCUUCAGAAUUUAGAUAAUAUACUUGGCUCUAGGAAGAUUCCCCUCUUAUCACUCAAGUUAGGCUUUUACCUUAGAGUUGAGUAAAUUAUUAAAAUAAAUUAUAGCUAUCACAAAUUCGUCAGGAGACUUUCAAUUUUUUUCCAUCAAAUGGCAAUGAGGCAAAAUUACCUCAACUUAUAUUUCAAAACUAAUACUUCAAAUUCUGACAAUAAAUUUGAUGACAGUCAAUUUUAUGUAUAGUAAUUUUGACUCUUUUGUUUGGUCUAAAAGUAAUUAUUUAAAAUGACAAUAUAACUUAUUUAGAAGAAAUGGUAAACUUAUAGUUCGUAAUAUUAUUUACACAAAUAAUAAAGACUAAUUUGAUAAUAAUCUUUCAAAUAAUAAUGAAGUGUUAAUUACUAUUUAACAUUUUUGAUUAAUUUCUAAAUUUAAAACAAAUAUGAAAGUUGAUUGCUUUGAAGGUUGGAUCGUGACAAAUUGACAAAUGAAAAGAGAAGUAGAGAAUAUAUAUUCUGAUGAAAGGGACAAGAUUCAGCAAGGGGACAAUAUUCUCUAUUGGACCGACAAAUGGGGGAAAAGAAUAUAUAUAUAUAUAUAAUUUCUUAUUUGUGGAUUGGCCAACACGUGUAACAAAUAUGAAAAGAUAAAAUUUGGCGUGGUUUUAACCGAUAUAAGACAAGAAGAACAAAGCAAAGCCCAUGAAAAUUCACCUUUCAUGUGGGUUGGAUCGGAUAAAAUCAAUAUCUUGAAUCAAACAAAAUGUUUGGUACAUAAAGUUUUUUUUUUUUACAUGAUAUUAGAUUUUUAUCCCUCGAAUUUUUACAUGAUAUUAGAUUUUUAACCCUCACUAAUAUUCGAGAGAUAUCUACUCCUCAUUUUUGGGUAAGGGAGAAGACUACCUUCACUCAAUUAUAAUUAAGGAAUGAAAUACCCCCACAUUACACUUGUAGGGGUUCAAACUGUUGCCCUCCAACUUGGAGUGCAGCAGCGCUGACCACUCGGCCAAAGUCCGAGUGGCUGGUACAUGAAGGUUUUGAGUGUGUGUAAUGAGCCAAAAUUUACAUAAGGAUAUUUUAGUAAAUAUAAGAAAAAAAGGCUCAGGGAAUGGCCUAUAGAUAGAAGCACGCAGCCCAUGAGUGAUGAGAAUACAAUUUAACUGUUCAAACUAAUUAGAAGCAAAUUCUUUCAUAUCUUUCUUUAAUUUUUCCGCUUAGUUCCUUAGCAUCCAAUCAAGUUCAAGUUAAAACACUGUUGAGACAACAAUAUGCAGGCAUCAAUAAGCAUAGUAGUUUUUUAUAUGUAUUCUAUACGACAAUUAUAGAACUUUUUGCAGCAACUUUUUUUCAUUAACUAAUGUUUGAAGAACUUGUUAAAAAAAAUGGUAAAUUUAUAAUUUUGAAAAAAAAGAAAGAAAGUGACGUUACCUCAUCGUCAUUAGAGACUUGUUGCAAUGAUAGCUCAAAAUUAAAAUUUUUGAAGAAUUAGUAGACGACGAUGAUGUAAUAUUUAUACAGUCACCAACAUGUUGAUUUUUGUUUAAUGUUUGAUCGAUAGAAACGCUUGUCGUCGUCGCUGUUGUUGAAUUCAUACAUAGAACACAGAAGAGAAGGAGGGAGGAAAGGGAAGAGAAGAAGAGAGAAGUGGCAUAUAGCAAAUAUGAUAUGCUAGCUGCAUACCAGCCUUAGAGAGAUUUUUUUUAAUAUUUAUUAUAUUUUUGUUUUUGUUAUUGGUUUGUCAUAUGCUUCCAGGGAAGCAAUACGUUACAUCAUAAAUUGCACCUUUUAGGGGAGGUGGUAAAAAACGUGAGAGCACUACGCUCCAGCGCAUACAUAUAGAAAGAGUUUUCGAAUUUUAAAAAGUUUCUUUAUUUCUUCCAUGUUUUUGUGCUUAAAAUAAAAUUUAAUUGUAUUUUGCAUUAACUUAGAAAAGAAAAGCCAGUUCUAUAUAUAAACUCAUGCAUUAAUUAGAAGAGUUGAACUAUUGGCACCCCUCUAUAAUCUUUAUAAAAUUCCUCUCCUAUUGUAAUUACAUUAAAGGACAAAAUAAAUCUAAUUAUAUCAUUAUAUUUCUCUUUUCAACUCUUUACACCCGUGCAACUACACCAAAGUCUUUUACAAUUUUUGUUUCCUCACAAACAACUUUUUCUUGAGAGAUUUACAAAACUUAUUUUUAAUUUUAAAAAAUAAAUAAUAGUUAUUUGAGUCCACUUUAAUUUACAAAACUUUCUAAUAAUAAGUUUUGUAGACUUAUUUUUCAUUUACAAAACUUUCUGAACUUAUUUUUAUUUUUAAAAAAUAAAUAAUAGCUAUUUGAGUCCACUUUAAUUCUACUUAAUUCAUACAUGUAUUUGAUUUUUUUGAGUAAAAUAUGUAUGAUUUAAUAAUUCAAAAAUUUAUAAAAACAAUAUUUGUAAUUGGAGUUAUUUGGAAGAAACUGAAUUGUUUUUCUUUUUGAAUAAAAAAAAGCUGAAAAAAGAAAAAGGAUAUUUUAGGAAUUAAAAUAGAUUUUGAUAGAAAAGGGGUUUGAACAGAAAAUUACAGGGUGCUAAUAGUCCCACUCUAAUUAAAAAAUGAGUUCAUGUGGAUGCAAAUGUACAAUAAAAGAGAUUCUCUUUUGUAUAUUGGAAGUAACAUAACUAGUGAGUAUAAUAUGUAAAUACAAGUUACCAAGAAUUUGCACUAGUGCUAAUUAAUGGCACAACUUUUGAGCUAUGAAUUUCUUCUUGAUAGUUUAAUUAUAUUUUUGAGUUUUCGGUAAACCUAUUUUAAUAAUUAUUAAAUUAUUUUCACUUCUUACGCCUUAAUAAAAAAAAAUCAAUAUUUUCUGGUCUAUUCUAUAUUUUGAAACUUAAUUUUUAAUUCUUUAUAUUGCAAACCAAACUAAGUCAAACAGAGUAUGCUCUUCAAAGAAUUUUUCCAUUGGCCAUUGCCUUCAAGAAGAUUUUAUUUUAUUUUUAUAUAUUAAUUUAACAUUUUUCCGUGCACUUGUAAACCGGGCCGUCGGAUUCCACAUAAAGCAAAUGAUCAAACCGUUACAAGACCGACCCGGACCCACUGACUCUCAUUUUCUUUCAUUUGACCAUUAAAAGCUUUUGACCACCCCCGCCAAAUAAAUAAAUAAGCUCUUGUUCUCUUUUGUUCCUUCUUAAAGGAAAAUAUAUCUGAUCACCAGAUAAUGAUUCCGGUGUCACAAAAUAUCAAGACAACCCCUAAAUUCCCUUAAAUUUACGAUAACACCCCACCAUGGAUGAUUCCGUUGAAAUGCCGCCUUACGAUGAAAGGCCUUAGAAGGGUUUUAACUUCACACCCAUGCGCUUGAUCUUAACCCUCAUUUUCCCAAUUUUAACUUUCUUUUCGUUGGCAUUUUUGAUCGAGAUCGUUACUGUUUUAUUCGGCGAAUCAUCAGUUUCGAGUUCCAUUUUUGUCCCUUCCCAGUGCAAGAUAGUGCCAGCAGUAAGCUUUUUUAAAAUUUUCAAUUUUUUUCCAUUUAUGAAGCUCAAAAAUUUUAUUAAUUUUUGAAUUUUUUUUGAAUGAUUUUGCAGGUGUUGAUAUAAGGUCAUCAAAGGUUUGUGAACUUGGAGUGUUGAAUUAUAAGGCGAAGCGUGUGUUUUAUCCAUUUGAAGCAAGUAAAUUUCGCCGUCGAUAUGAUUACUAUUGGGCUUCUAUCUUCAAGGUAUUCAUACAUUUUCUCAACUUUAAUUACUUACCUGUACUAUUAGCUUCUUAGUGGCGGUCUUGUUUUGUGUUUUUGAUGAAUGUGUUUAAGGGUCAGUUUGGGAAUGCUGGUAAUAGGAUGUUGUUAGUGUUUGGCAGUAAAUUUGCUAUGCAUAAUUCAGCAAUGUGCUUGAUUUUGGUUAUUGUCUUUAACAAUUUUUAGGUAGAGUACUUAGAUCAUUCACUGGGACAAACGCAGAGCUUGGUUGACCAAAGAUAAGUUCCAGGCUGGGGUCGGCAAUGCAGAGCUUCUGCGUGUAUUAAAAUUUGAAGCCUAGUAAAUGAAUUUCUAAUUUAUUUAUAGUGUUUGUUUUAUCUUGAUAGAAAUGAAUGCUAACUCAAGAUUUUCCCAACUUUGAUUACUUACCUGUACUAUAAGCUUCUUAGUGGCGGUCUUGUGAGCGGUGUGGCUGACAGCUUCUUGAAAAUUAUAAGUUUGAACAGAGCAUGCUAGACUUUUGUUGACCAAAUUCGAAAGCCAAAUGGCACAGCUCAGAACCUUUUGAAUUGAAUAACUUACUAGAAAGCUCCAAUUUUUUGUUGGCUACGGUAAAAGGAUGUUGUUUUAUUCUUCUUAUACUUUACGCUUGCAUCAGCUUAAAUCACUUCUUAAACGCUUUGCUUUAACUCCACCGCUUCAUACUGUUCUAUAUAUGUAUCGGGUAUGCGGUUGUAGUUCACUGCUGAGACUACGUGUUUGUUUGACGUGGUAAUUACGUUACGAGUCUGUUAAACAUUCGGUGAUUAAAGUAUUAUCAGUUAUUUCGAGGGGACAAAAAAGAUUAGUUACAACACACCCACUAGUUUUAUAAAAUUUGAAUAAGAUGGAAUAAAAUAAAAAAAUAAAUAAGUAAAUUGACUUUUAAUUUAGUGGUUGAAUAUAUUUUGUAUUCUCUCGGGGUACUGCUGUAAUUGUUCCUUAAAUGUCAGUCACACCCACAUGUUACAGACACAAGAAAUGGAAUCUAAGAUCACCUGUUUAAUUAAAGAAUCACUCAUGAAAAAAUUUUGCCAUUUUGAUUUGAGGAUCCACAUUUUGAACAACCAACUUAUCUUCAUCAAGAACAGAUCAUGGCCUGUGAGUAGAAAGAUUAUUUUUGGACAAAUUAUUUUUGUUAAUAGAAGAAUUUCUCAAGGGACUAUUAAAAUUACUAAUAAAAAUGUCAGACACACCCACGUACCAUCGACACAAUUGACUAUGAGGAUCCAUGUUUUGAACUGCCACUUAAUGUUCAUUAAGAACAGAGUAUGGCUUGUGAGAAGAAAAUUUUCUGAUUUUGGCCUGGAACAAAAAAAAAUUAAAUUGAAGGAGAAUCUGGUACUUUCUCAUUAAGAAAGGCAGACGGGGCAUACUAUGGUACCAUAAAAUACGAAAAGUCUCCAUUCUCUAGCUUUUUAAACUCUGAAGGGGGCAAUAUUCCCCAAUUACCCCGUGAAAAUUCUGAUUACGACAUUACUCAUCGGUUGAUACAUAAGUACAAGUACUGACAAAAUUAGGAAAAAUAUGACUCAUAAGUAAUUACUAGGCAGGGCUCUUGAGAGCAACAUUAUACUAGGCUUUAUAUGCAUACAUGGUGUGGUACAUAGAGCACGUUGAAUUCCACACUAUAACACAAACCCAGAAAGACAAGUAAUAUCUCAACUGAUAUAAAGACAAAAAGAAAAUAAAAUGAUAUAGAAAAAAGAAUUUCUAAGAGACAGCAACAUACAAUAGACUGAAGCCAGUUGAUCUGCUCAUUGAUUGCAGCCUUAAACUUGCAAAUGUUUACUGUAGCCUGGUGCUCUAAGAAGUGAAAAUGAUGCAAACCUUGAUUCCCUGUUUACUUCCAUUUACCAUCAAACAUUCUAUUCAUAAGAAAAAAAAUCUUUAGAUAUCUUGCCGUAAAUAUAGCCAUUUGAUUGUCUUAAUAAAGCCACACACAACCAUUCAUAUUGAUCCACAUUGCCACAUAGCCUGAUUUAAGCAUACAACAGCUGAAUGUAUACUGACUCCUAACCUUAUCAAUACAUUGGCGACAACUUAAGAAAAAAACUAUUUCUCCAUCUCUUUUUUGAAAUUUCACAAUAAAACAGCACAAUGUAAGAGCUGGAAUGAAAAUGGACCGUUUGGAACUAUGGCGGAAGCUUCAACUAGUGUAGUGAGUUGACCUUCUUAUUAACCUAGCGAGAUCAAACACUGCCCUUGAUCUUGAACAUAUCAAUACGAUACGCACAACUUAUGAUUGAAUCCAGAAACAAUCAAAUCUUUAGCAAGAAUAAUUAAUCAGAAUCAAGAAACAAGUUUAAUGAAUAUAAACCUAUAAUUGGAACAAACACAGCCAAAGAACCCAAGAAUGACACAACGAACACCAAGGGAGAAGCUUUCCAGUGAGAUUAUAUUAAUGAUCAAAGAAGAAUCUUUUUACAAAGAUAACAAAAGAGAUUUCAGAGAAUAAGCUAUGACCCUCUCUCUCUUCAAUCUCUGUCUAGUUUGUUAACAGUGAUGACCCCAAUCUGCUUCGUUAGCCAGCUUCAUAACUGCGUCAGUGACAAACUAGCAAACCCAGAUUGAGCAGACUAACGACACGUGCAUAACGGCUUUAACGAACUUGGUUAAAGAACUGCUCACAUGUUCGUCACGCGUGUUGCUUAAAUGAUAGCCAAAACGACUUCAACCAAAUGCCGUUUUGAAGCUUAUGAAUUAUAAGUGAAAACACGUGCUUGUCUCGUGACAUUUAAAUGCAACAACAAGCCCAAAACACUGCCGGUUCACUAUGUUGAGUUUGCCAUCUCUAAGCUUCACAACUAGCAGCGGACAAGAUGAUAAUUUAAUUGACAUGGAGAGCUUUUAUAUCACUUUUACAACAUUCUAUAUAAUUGUGAUAUUGGGAAUCGUCGGUGUUGUAUAUGUGAACCCUCGUUGGCGACACUGGUGGUUUUAUCUUUAUUGAAAUAUGGAUGACUUUUCGUUACUAUUUUGUUGUACAUAACAUUAUUCUCAGGAGAUUUAAUCAUUGAAAUUAACAUGUUAGUUUCAUUAGAAGGCUGAGUGGUUAGGGCUGCUACCCUCCAACUUGGAGGGCAAUAGUUUGAACCCACAAGCGCAGUGUGGGGGUAUUUCAUUCUUUAAUUACAUUGUAUAAUUGAAUAAAGAUAAUAUUCUCUCUUACCCAAGUGUGAGUGGAGUAGACAUCCUUCGAAUAUUAGCGAGGGUUAAAACUUGGGCAGAGCUCAAUAAGUAUUGAUGUAAGUUGGUCCUAAUAAUAGUCUGAUUUGUAAAUAUCAGUUAUAGUCUCAUGUUUCCUUCCUUAAUUAUAUUGUAUAAUUAAGUAAAUGUACUCUUUUCUCUUACCCAAGUGUGAGUGGAGUAAACAUCCCUCGAAUAUUAGUGAGGGUUAAAAUCUGGGUAGAGCUCCAUAAGUAUUGAUGUAAUUUGAUCCUAAUAAUAGUAUGAUUUGUAAAUAUCAGUUAUAUUAUCAUGUAAUAUGAGUUGUAAUUUGAGUAAUAAUUUCAUGUAAUUACAAAAAAAAUGUUACUUUCAUUACUUUUUUCUUCGUUAAAAUUCUCAAGUAUCAAUUAUGUUUGCUUAAGAAAUAAAAUUUCGUUAUGAAAAUUGUAGCAGUAUUUCCGAGCACCUCACAUUUUCAAUGAUUUUUCAUAAAUCAAUUAAUCUGCCAUACCAAUAUCAGGUUUAGUUUUUCAGACUAAAUGAUCAAGAAAGCAAACAUACAAAUUCACAUUUUAGAGGGGUAAACUAGCUUUUAGAUUUUAGAACUAGGCUAGCUACCUCACCAAAUUCCAAUCUGUACAGUGAACUACAAGAUUAAGAAAAUAAUGUAUUUAUAGUUUAAUUGAAUCAUGAGAAAACAAUGUAGUCAUAGCUCAAUCGGACAUGAUCACGGAGAGGCAUAUUCUUUUCAAGUUAAUUUGAUCCAUUUAUAAGAAAUGAAGUGGAUUGAAGUUAAAAGUUCAAAUAACAAAUCCUUGUUCUUGAGUUUUACGACGUCGUUACUCCUUCAAGAGGCUGAUUAUGCAAGUGAAUGCGGAAACAGAAUGCAUUAUCCACGGGGAUGAUAAAUCAAAAGGCGGGAUCAUAGUCUAUGCCCGCAGAUUAACAAUUUCACUCAUAUAGAAAAUUAAUUUUUUUAUAUAUACUAAUCAACACUAGAUUGAUUAUGUUUUGUAUGUUUAUAUGCUAAUCAACAAUAAAUUAUAUUAAAUGAAGAAAUGCUUCAAAUUUUUCUAAUUUAAUUUAGAAAAUCAAUUAUUAACAUUAAUAUUCCUAAUAAAAAUUAUUUUCCAUCGGUAUUCAAAAUUUUCACUUAUAGAAAAUGUGUUUUACGUGAAUACAAGUUAUUGUGUAAAUUUGAAUGAUAGCGAAAAAUAAUUUUUUUAAUUAUUGUAAAAAUAAUUAACCAUAACAAAUCCCUUGUGUAAAUAAUAAUCAUUAUUUAAAAGGUAGAAAGAUGGUUAGUGCACAAUCAAAUUUUAAGCCCCUACCUCCUCGGCCCAAGAUUCAAACUUAGAUGAUCAGCCAAAUAAAAUUAUUUGAAAAUCAUUCAAUCAGGUUCUCGGGGAAAAAAUACAAGAUCCGUAUUUGCAUGAUAUAUAUGAAUUAAUGUAAUUUAUUUGAAUUAUCCAAAUUCAUUAGAGAUAAAACUAUAAAAGAUACCAAAAAAGUUAGAAGGAAGGGUGUGCUGGGAUAUUUUACAAACUAUAGGAAUCUGGUGAGAUUUUGAGCCAAACUGUAGGGAGUUGAAGGCAUUUGCCCAAUAUGUUUAGACGUACACUAACCGUUAUUUGAUCUUGUUGUUGGUCAUGUGAACUAAGAUGUAAAUUAAAGAAAAAGUAUAAAAUUAAAAAAAGAUAAGAUUUCUAAAAUGUGUGGAAGGUGAUUCAUGAUUCACUAAAAUUACUUGCCCCACAUAUAAAGGUAAACAUGUCUAAUUUCAUUAAAAAUAGGUGGAAAAAAUUAACUAAUAGAAAGCUACGGAAAUUAACCCCCACAAAAAUGACUUUUUAUAGAAGAAUUUAUGUUUUUUAAAAUAUGUUAUCAAAGUGUAUUUGAUCAAAUCUCAAUUGCUUAGUAUGGUUAGGAUUUUGUGAACAUAACUAAAAAGUGAAAAAUAUGAAUGAUAGGGGUGAUGCUUGCAAUAUGAAUAAAUAAUGGACUGAUUCAAUUGAUGAUUAAAUUUAUAUAUUAUUGAUUAUUUAUGAAUUUUCAGACUUGUUAUGAUGUAUAACUAUGUGAUUUUGAAACUUGAAACCGUGGCAAACAUUGAAAGGAAUUAUAACUUGAAAUCAUGACUCACGGGGUAUGUCAUGAUUCACGUGCACAAAAAAGGUAGAAUUGUGGAAAUUUACAACCCAACGACAAGUACGGAAAGAAAGGAAGAAAAUUAAAAGACUUCGGGCCUAGCCUGCGUGUAUUAAUUAUUAGAUUACUUUUUUUUAUAAGGGUAAUCAUCAAUUUACUCCAUAACAAUCUUUAAUUCAUUUCUUAAAAAUAUCAAAACUUUAAUUUAUCUUUUAAACAUCGUUACCUCUCUAUUGGUUUUAACAGUUCAAAGGGUAAAAUUAUAUUUGCAUAUUUUCUUGACCGCCAACUAAAUGAUAAAACUCAAAAUUCAAUCUUGUUAUCUUGUUUCAAUCCUCUAUCAAUCAAAUAAGAUUUCUAAAAUAUGUGGAAGAUAUUGCAUGAUUUCCUCAACCUACCUGGCCCGAACAUCAAGGUAAAUAUCUCUAAAAUAGUUGAUUAAAUCUCAGUUGCUAAGUAUAGUUAGGAUUGUGUGAACAUCACUGAAAACUAUGAUUGAUAGAAGUGAUCUUUGCAAUAUGAAUAAAUAAUUAACUGAAUCAAUUGAUUUAUAUAUUAAAGUUUAUGAAUUUUCGGGCUUGUUGCGAUAUAAUAAUAGCAUAUGAUUUUGAAACUUGAAACAGUGGUAAAUAUUGAAAGGAAUUAAUUUGAAAGCAUGAUCCGUGGGGAAUGUGAUGAAUCGUGUUUACAAAAAAGGUAGAAUUGUGGAAAUUUAUAACAGAACGAUAAAUAUGGUAAAAAGGAAGAAAAUUGAAAGACUUGGGGCCUGGCCUGGGUGUAUUUUCUAACUAUCCAAUGGACAAAAUUAUAUUUCUAUACUUUCUCUUACCUAAGUUUCAUAGAAUAGCUCAUUUCAUUUUUAUUUUUUAAAUAAUAGCCCAAAAUAUCAUUAUGUUAACUCAUUAUUAGUUGAAUGGCGUUUGUUAGUAAUUCAUUAAGGGUAAAAAAUGAUUUUCUAUCAAAGAGAAAAUUAGAAAAAUAAAUAAAAAUUGAUAUAUAACUAAAAAUUAUUUUAUCUAAUCCCACUAAAUAAGAAAUGCCAAAAAAGAUGAAAAAAUUAUAUUUCAAGCAAUUCUUUUUUCACUUAUUUCUAUUUUGGCAACAUGAAAGCCCUAUAAACCCUAGAUCUAAGUACCAAAAAUAUCACAAUUUUCUUAUUCAUAUAAGUAUACUCUCUAAUUGCAUUGUAAAAUGGCUUGAAUUGAAUUGAAGAUAAAGAAGAUAUUCAGCACAUGCAAGCACAUAAAAAUUGGUGGCAUUUUUGAGUUUUUCUUCCAAUGAUUUAAAGAUAUUGUUUUAAUUACAGUUUGUUCCUUAUGACAAUUAUUCAAUGGCGAUAUCAAACUAUAUCAUCGUUGAUUUCAUUUAAGAAAAAAGUUAAUGAAUUUUGCAUACUUUGUAGUGUUAUUUAAUUGUGUAAAAAAAUUAUUUUAAUAUAGUUUGUAUCGCUUUAAUGAAAAAUCCUAUUUUGCCCUCAAUGAAUUACUGGUUAACGAUUUUACACUAAUGGUGAGUUAAUGGAAAGAUAUUUUAGGCUAUUGUUUGAAAAGUAGGGAUAAAAUGAGCUAUUGCAUUAAACUCUAAGGAUGAAAAAUGAUUUUUCCCUUUUAUUAUCAAUCAACUAUCUGAUAAAAGUCAAAACUCAUAUUUUUUUUUCCCUUGUUUCAAUCCCCUCUCAAUCAAAAAAGUUUCCUUGUCUAAGCAAUGAGGAAUAUGGCUAGAAAGAUUGUUAUUAGAAAGAUUUAUCAAUAGUAAUUAGUUCACAACUGAACAGUUUUAGAUUAUUGUGAGUCAAUAUAGGUCCUGUUUAGGAUUGAAGUGUUGCAGUUUUUAAGCUACAGCUGCUGUAGAAAAAAAAACUAUAAUUAUGAAAUAAGAGUUAAUAAUAUAUAAUAAAUAUAAAUUUUAAAUAAUAAUUUUGACAAAAUUAUUAAAAAUAUAAUAGAUUUUUCAUAAUACAAAUAAAAAAAUCAUAUCAACAUAGCUUGCAAGGUACAACAGUUAGUAUGAUGUUAGUUUAUUUUUGCGUCAAUAUAAGUAGUCAAAUUGAAUAAGUUAGUGAAAUGCUGCCUCACUGUCCCAUUGAAUAUGAUUCAGCUAACAGGGCUAGAGCUUGUGGAUGCCAAUGGCACUGAACAAAGUAUUGGGUGGUAAUUUUAAGACCACGCUAUGCCCAAAACCCAAGUUAGGCGAUUACAAAUACGGGAAUCAAUGUCACUUUGCUAGGAAUGGAGAGGAUAGAUUGCUUAGUGAAAUGCAACUUUGUAGAAUGCUGAGAGAUGUGCUGAGAGAUGAGGAUAGUUGUCGAUUUCUUCAUGUAAAUGCUGAGAGAUGUGCGGAAGUUUCUACUCAGUUUAGGCUUAGUUUAAGAAUAGCCUGGUGAUAAACAUUUUGAGUGGUGGAUCUUCUGUGGAUAACAAAAGUAGGUCUAUUCAAUGGGAACGCGACAAGGGGCUGGCUAACUCGCUCAGGUUGUGCAAAUGUUAAAAGCAGAAUGCCAGUUGUAUGAAGUUAUGUCAUUUUCUUUAUAGAACUAUGAAAGCUUGGAGUCCACGAUUCAAUGGAAUCUCGGGCUGUGCCAAUGAUUGUUUCAAGUACUUUUUCUACUUUCAAUGUCCAGACUAAGACUAUUUCUAAGCAGCAAGUGCAGGAUAUAAAGUGCAAAUCAAAAUAGACAGAAGUGAAGAGGAAGAUACGUGGUAUAUAUGUUGAUUGGAUUGAAGAUAUACCACUUUUGCCUAGUUCUUAGAACAAAGCAGAAAGCUGUAGUUAAAAAUAUACCUUCUGCUAAAGAUAAGUAGUCAAUAGUUCUAUUAGUGCAUAACUUUGCGAUUAAGGAUGAUCGCUGUCUAUUUUAAGAGCUUUUAAUAGAAUUUAGUAGCCCUGAUUUUCAAUCUCAGUGUUUUGCGGCUGUUAUCGACAUCCCUCUGUUACAUUUUUCAAGUUUCAUUGAUAAAUUAGUAGUUAGCCUUAUGAAGAAUGCACACACCAUAACCAUGUACGUUAAAUAGCAAACCUGCAUUUUAUUGAACUGUGAACUACUGAUUCAAUAAAGCUCAACAUAAGCUAACAAGUCUUUGUGAAAUUGCUUCAUGGUACAUUGUUUGAAGUAUUUAAGCUAAUAUAUGAUUAUUAAUGGGCUCGUGAGCCAACCCCAUUAAUUAUAUGUACAUAUAUAUAAUGUUACCAUCAAUAUGAUAUGUGACAUCCCAUAACAGCUAAUUAUAGAUCUUUAUCCAUUUUCAUAAUUUGCCUUCUGGCUUCCACUGCUCGUCACUAAAUUCAAAAUCCAUUGCACCUCAAAACAACAUGAGAAAUCUUAUAGGCAAAUCAUGACCAGUUCAAAGAUAAUAGCGAUUAUAGGGAAAGAAAAUUAAAAUCGAAGACGCAUAUAAAAUAAUCAAGCUACUGAUGAACAAAAUAACAUGAAAGUGUAAGUAUUUAUACUAACCUUCACUUAUUAGGAAGUUUGUUUCGCUAUUGGGUAAGAUCAAGCUCUCUGCAUAUCCUAUUGGCAAAAGGAAAUCACGCACGUGUGAUCUCUCUCUCUCUCUCUACACACGCACACAUAUACACACGCAUAUACAUAUACAUGCAUGGUCAUCAUCUUAGAAACCGAUUGAGAAAUUAUUGUCAGAGUUUGAAUUUGCGCAAUGACUAGUCAUGUUGCUAAAAAGAAAAAAGAUUGAGAUUGAAAGAAAUUCAUUAUCAUCAAAUUGGUCCAAUAUCCACUUCACUGUGUGGAUCAAAUACGUUUUCGAAUAGUGCACUGAUCUACAAUCUACUGCAAUAAUUUGUUAGGACCCUACAUCAACAAAUUAUGGGAUUAGUUGGUUUAUUAACCCUAAUACAUCCGGACAAGUCAAUCCUUUCAUGAGAAACAAAAUGAAUUUUGCAUCCCAUGAAACACAACAUACUCAGCUAGUUGAAAUUGUGGAUAUACGGGGGUAACGUAAGCAUGCUUUCACAAUUUGAAAGAUUUAUUUUUUAAGAUUUAGUAUUUCUGGGAUCCUAUUGAGAUAGAGGGGUGGUGAAGGUCUAUAGAUUUUAACUUGACAGCUUCCUAUAACCAAAGAUACAUAACUAUACUAAAUGAGCAUCAUUGAAUUUCAAAGUUAUUCAUUAUAAAUACUUAAAGAAAGAAAAAUAGAUAUUUUGGUAAUAGUAAUACAUUAUACCUUUUCUCUUUUCCAAAUUUGCUUAACCUUACUACAAGGCAAGCUGAGUCCAAUCAGGUUCUCCAAUUCAAAAUCUGAUGUCAGUAUUUUCAAAAGAUAUUUAUGCCAAUGGAGAUUUCUCAAUUCUAUAGGAAGGCAUUUUUUUUUUUUGAAACUGAUUAAGCAUCAGUUGGUUACUGUAUUACACAGAGAUAUAUACAACUGCUAUGACAGCAGGUCAUUACACUGAUAUUUACAAUCAGAUAUAUACAUGUGACUUAUAUUAUUACAUUUUUAUUCUAUGAAGUACAUGCCCAUCCAAAUACCCCUCACAGAGGAGGGAUGUCUCUACUCCACUCCCAUUGCGCAAGGGAGAAAGACGUUGUAAGAAGUCUCCAUACAAUUAUAUUUAAUUGAGGGAGGUUGAGUCCGUGGGGACUCGAACCAUUGCCCUCAUAGUCAUGCUUAACUUUGAGGGCAAUGAUUCACCACUGGGCUACAAGCCCAAGUGGCUAUAGGAAGGCAUUCUAAACCUCAGUGAAGUUACACCCUGGAGCUUAUAAUUAGAACACCAUCAUACUCGGAUAUAUAAAAUUUCAGCAAUCUAAAAUUUGACAUUGUUUUAAAUGCUCCAGAAUCUAAACGUAUGUCUCUUAUCCUGGAGAAUUCAAGAAUAUACUUUCGGUUGCAUGUGUCCCUUCAGAAAAGAAGCAAAUAAUGAGUUCGCAUAAAUUUUCUCAGGAAAAAAAUCCUAAAAUUUAUAAAGAGCUCCUUAAAUGAAGACAAAACCUGCACUCGCUCAACUCUUUUUUUUUUUUUUUAUGUUGUUCUAGUCUUCUUCAAUCCCCCCCUCUAAAACUUUAAUCCAAGCGUUAAGUGUAAGUAAACUAAAAUAUGAUUUUCGUAUGCAAGUACAACACAACAUACCCAUAAAAAUGAAGAGCGGAAGUUAGAAUCAAACCUCCAGCAAUUGAUAUUUUGCAAACUGAUAUUUGAUUCUUCUGAGACUUAUGUAAUCGUUUUGAUGGUGCAGUUUUUGAAUUAGAUUACAUAGCCUCAGGUACUAAUACCAUUUUCACCAUUUUGUUUUUAUUUCAUCUUUCCAUCAAAGAUGAAGGGGUGGGAAAUUAUCAAAGCAGCUGUUAGAUGACACCUGCUUCUAGACCUGCAAGUAAAACCAAAGAAUGAGCUCCAUUAGAUACAUUUGAGUUAAUAAAAUCCCUUGUUCCUCCUAAUGAUUAUAGACAUUAAUUAGGAGGGAGAAAUGAAGUAAAUUAAAUUAAAUGAAGGACCUUCAUUCUCCACGCAUGCAGCCGGCUAUUUUGUUACCAAGUUGUUGAAAGGAAGUAAAUAGAGAAGCAUUCAGAUACCACUCUCCCAGAUCGAUAUUCCUAGUAAGACCAAGGUGUAGUUGUACCACUCGGCCUGUGGAGUUGCUGCAGUCAACCCUUUCCCUUUGUUCAUCUACCCAGUUUUGAAGUCUAUAAGGGGAAUUGAAGAAAUGUUUAAGCCACAAAAGAUCAAAUUCCUCAUGCUCCAAACAUCCCUCACUCCACCCCCCCCACCCCCCGGCGCCCUCUUCUAAUAUUAUUAAUACGAGAACUAACAUUGUCACCAUUUUGAAUUUUGAACCACCCAUUCUAGCUAUAUCUCUAACUAUUAAAAAACACACAUUCUCUCUUUCUCUAUAACUAUAAAUAACAAAAGGGCUCUAUGUUAUUUAUAACAAACACAUCUAACAAUUUAUACACUCAGGCCCCAGCUAGCUUUCAGUUGUCUUCUUUGGUAGUCUUCAGCCUUCUCAAAGACUUUCGUCAUGCCUUACUUUCAGCCUUCCUUUCCAUAUUUGUCAUUUUGCUUUAAUUUUCCACAAUUCUACCUUGGAUGGUAAUAUUUAAUUCGCCACGAAUUGAGUGAAACGCUGGUCCGUUACCCAUCCCACUUCAAUAUUAACAAUAUUAAUAAUAAUAAAUAAAUUCUUCAAGCAAUUGAGAUUUGACACCCACCCCACUUCAAUAUUAAUAUUAAUGGGAAAUCAUAAAUUCUUCUACAAAUGAGUCAUUAUUUUAAAAUUGUUAUAAGCUUAUUUAUUUAAAAAAAAAAAAACGAGAAGGGGAACUUGUUAUCUUAAAAUUAAAAGAUUCUGGUGUGGCUACCCGAAUCCGCACGUUUUUUAAGAUUUUUUUUCCAAUCUUGUGUACCGUUCAACACCUAUAUAUGCUUUGCAAUUGAUUAGUUAACAAAAUAAAAUUCUUGAUCAGUUGUGCGGUAAAAAUAAUAUUAUUUUACAAAGCUUUACCUGGUGCAGUCAAUACGGCUAGAAAUUAAAGGAUCCCCAGCAUGAUAAUUAAGGAAUAAUUAUUAUUCUAGAUUUGUGCAGUGGCGAAGCUAAUAGCAUUUUUCGUUUUCGAGUGAGCUGAACUUUUUCCCCCCCCUAAUUCAAUACAUUUUUAUCGUACAAUAUAAUUUUGUAAAUAAGAAAUUAUAGAUGCACCUAAUAAUGCGCGACAAAAUAAGCUUUACCUCUCAAAAUAUUUGUUCUAAACAUUAUUUAAAAUAAUUUAGACACAUAUUUAUUCACAAAAUGAUGAACAGACAAGAAUUUGAUGAUAAUUGAAGAGGCAGCAUAACUAAUUAAUAUAAAAAUUUUUAUAUAGGUUUCAAUAAAGGAAAUUUUGUAACUAAAUAAUUUUUUUUCUGAGAAGCCCGGCCUUGCCCUCUCCAAAAUUCGCCACUGAAUUUGUGGGGUGGUUACUGGAGUUCACACGUUUUCAAAUUUUUUUUUCCCGAUCAUUCAAUAGUAAUUUUGCUUUUUAGUUUAUUAUUAUUGUUGUUAUUAUUAUUAACUCAGGCAUUUAUUAAAGCUCGAACACAUAAUCUAAACUUUGAUAUAUUUUUUGCUGAGAGGAGUCAAAAUUUGGGAAUUAUAUGCGCAUCAUAACAUAAUAAACAACCGCAAAGUAUCCUACGGAAACUUUCAGUGCACUCUGACAGCAGCUUUUGGUAGUCAAAUAGUCUUGGAAUCAUUUUUUAGCGCAUAUUCUUUUCGGUAAUGUGAUGAAUUCAUAUCUAAAGAAUCAAAACUAUGAUGUGAAUUUGCUGCAAAAACUGAUCCAAGACUAUUCAUUCAUUAUUAAACAUAUGAUAUCGUCCGUAAGACUGGAGAAAUAUGAAUGAAUUUGUUGAUGAUAACUCAGAAGACGGUUAACGGUUAAAUAUGCUAUGUUGAAAUGCACUGUACAGUCAAUUAAUUUAGUUAGGACUCUGUUUCUAGAAAACAGAGUAUAAAAGAUGACUAACUGUUUUGGGAGAUGCUUUUGGAGGGACUUCUAGAUGAAAUUGAGAGAGAGAGAGUGUGAGAGAAACUCUGUAAAGUCUUCUCCAAUUGGUAACCCCUUUUGUUGCGAAUAAUAAAGCUUCAAGGCUGUUCAUUUAUUUGUACAUAAGCAGGGGGAAAGCCUAUGUAUAGACAGCUUCAAAUGAGGAAACUGCACCUAACUACGCAGCAGCUGUAAUGAAGAAGACAUUGAUGCAUUAGCUUCCUGUUCCGUCUUCUUGGUCUUCGGGGAGGUUGGUAGCAGCAACUUUAAUUGUUCAAAGCAAACACUUAUCUUUCGUUUCUCAUAAAACCUCGUGAGGUAAUGCUUUAGAUGACUGGUAUGCAAUAUUGUCAAUGACAAAAUGUAAUGUUGUAUUCUGCUGAUCAACAUGUAAAAACUACAUAUUACUUGAAUUAGUUUUUUUUUUUUUUAAUUUACUAAAUUUCAGAAUUUGUUAACGAUGUUUGUACUUGGUUUUAACUCGAUUAAAGCUCAUGAAACUUAAUUGAUUAAUUAAUCAUUUAGUUAAAUUUAUUCGCUUUCAUGCUAUGGAUCUUUGCUAUAAUAACAAAUGCUUAAUUAUAUGCGUAUGUGUGAUAUAAUAGCUGCGUCUUACAUAGCAUAACACUACACCAAAUAUGCCCCCCUCAGAUACUAAUUAAUUACACAAAUGUACUUUUAUUCAAUUUAUUAUUUAAAAUAAUAUUUGAAAAAAAAUGGACUUGAGCAGAGCAAAGUAGAGAUAAUAAACAAGGGUAGAUUAUGCAUGCGUCAAAAGAUUUUAAAAAAGAAAAAGAGAAAAUAUACGGAAAACAAGAAAAUUGCGGGGAGCCACUCUUGUCUUUUACUUUGGACUUGAAGUCGUUCCAGGUGGAUAAUGUUUUCCUUUUAAAUAUUUAGAAUUAUAUUGUGGCGCUAUUUAAAAUAAGUUAUAAUUUUCUUAAAAUCAGACUAUGAUUACGGUACUCCAUGGUCAGAGUGUCGUUGAAUAAUGCUGAGUCUAUUGAGUCCUUUUCAAAUCGAAACCAGAACUAAAGAAAAAUCCAGAACUGAAACAAGGGCACGAACCAGCAAGAUUUGAAGGAAAAAUUUACUUCGUUAGUGAUCAACAACUAAUCAAACGUAAGUGGAUUUACAGAAGACUUUGUACAGAUCACAAUGAAACAGAUUCUAUGCAAAUUGACGAACAACUGAAGAAGAAAAAGGAUCGUACAACAGGCACUGCUCAUAAGCUUCUAUUUAUACUGAUGUUUCUGGAAACGUUGUAACAGAUUAUAACUAAUUCGUGCCACGUCAGCAUAAAAUAUCUACUAGACCCAUUUAACUGAAGUCAAUCUGCACAACGACUCUGAACCUCUUCAUAUUUUCCAUUUCAGUCCACAGACUCAACUACACACGUCUCCAAAAAUAAUAAGUUUUAUUUAUUUAUUUUUAUUAAUAAAAUAAAUUUUUAUUAACUUUCGUUGAUUUUGGUAGAUUUUGUUUUUGAGCUGUUACUACACUGUCGGCUGGUGUGUCAUCAUACGUAGUAGCGUCAUCAACCCUCUCAUGACUUUGACGGCCGAAACAUGUUUCAUGGCACAAAUAAUGACAGAUUUGUUUGAGGUACGGCGGAGAUGCCUAUUCAAAUAUUUGAAGCCAGCCCCUCCUUGUUUAACAUUUUUUUUUUUAAAAGGGGAACAACUGCUUUAGCUGUAUAUAUCAAGAAAAUUAGCUAACAGUUUAUGCACUUAAUUAUUUAUUUUGCCACACAUUUGUAAGUGGUCAAUGCUGCCGUAAAAUUAUUAGACCCAAAAUAAAGUGUGAUGAGGGACAGGAAUUAAUGUUCCCAUUAGCUGUAGCACCUAUCUUCCAUCUCUAAUUUUAACUUUCGAUUGAUGAAGUGUUUUCAAAUUUGUCAAAUGUCUGUAAACUGUUUAAUAAUUGAAGAAAGUUAAAAUUCAUUUUCUAAAAAUUAUUUUCAUUCAAAAUUGCGAUUGGAUGGUAAUCAGGGUUAAUAUCAGAGCUUAAGAUACUAUAACCGUGAGAACCUAUUGACUGCCAAUUAAAAUAUCCAUUAAAAUGUCUAGGGAGUUAUGAAGGUGGGGGUAACUUCCAAUUUCUAAGGCCACAGAGUAGACAUCAUCCAGGAUCCUAGGAAAGUCCAGUUAACCUCCUGCUCGAUGCAAUUAAUAAAUUUGGUCAAUGCCACUGAAACCUGCUAACUGACGUCACAAUGCGACAUGAGCACUUCAAAAUGGGACGGACAGUCAGUAGCACUGAAUUUUUCUUGCCUAAGAUUGAGCAAUUGGUCUAACUACUAAUCCCUAUUGUAGGUUGAUCAUUAUUUUUUCAAUUAUGUUCAGUUUGACCCAAAAAGUUGCAGAAUCUUGAGCUGAAUAUUGUCACGGAACACUGUCAAUGUCGCUUAGCAUAGCCAACAAACUUGAUGUUAAAACAAACACACAGUGUGUCUCAUGUCUCACAAAUCAAAUUAUCAUCUGUAAUGAUGGAGAAUUUUUCCAAUGUAUGAAGUAUGCUUUGAUACGUGGGUUACCUUGGAGAAGAUAUCUCAAAAUAAAGAAUAUGGGGAGAAAACAGUUCAGUAGUUUAUUAUUCUGUAGUCAAGUUUUGUCUCGAAAAUGGUCAAAAUUUAAAUGAUUAAGGACAGGGGAUCUUCAUUCUUUUUCCCCUUUUUUAUACCAAGAUAUCUCUCAACCUUUAUAUAAUCCCCACUGGAUAUCUGCUUCUCAUAAUUAAAAUAAAAAUUUCACCGCUCUAACAAUAAAAAGUAACAUCUUUAGUCAAAUAAUUUUGCGGUUCCUCAUCAUCUUAGUGUGAGACUAUCAGUACUUCCAAAAACAUAAUAAAACUGGUUUGAUCCUGUUUAUUAAUGUUUAAAUGUUGUUCAUUGUGACAUGUAGAAAUGAUGAGGCGAAGUUUAUUUGGGCAUCAAUUAGUAAGAUCUUGUUCGAAGUUGUUUUCUGAAAUGAACUGCCAAAUGGUAGUUUUUUGGGGGCAUUUGAUGGCUCUUUUUUUUUCCUCAUUUUCAACAUGUGCCUGCUUGGAACAGGAAGGAUUAGGCUUUAGAGUUGUUAUUUAUUUUGAGAUGCUCUGGUCAUUGCACAAUUUGUUCACACUGGAAAUUAGAAUGAGAAAUUUGUUGAUGCUGUUUUGAGAGAUCUGCAUUCUAUGCACAAUAACAUGAUUAAUGAAAAUGUAUUGUAGGACUGGAAAGAUCUGUGGCAGCCUGAGCUCGCAGGAAGAAUUUCAAUGGUUAAUUCUCCCCGAGAGGUUAUUGGUUCAGUUUUGAAGUAUAGGGGAGCAUCAUACAAUUCAAACGAUAUUGAUUCGCAAGUUGCUGGUGGGAAGAUUGCUGUUCAGCAGAAUCUGGCAUUACUGGCAAACCAGGUACUCUUACAGAAAUGAUAUCUGGUCAUUGCAUGUUAUUGCCUGACAACUGAUUUUGUUUGUAAAAGUCUACUUCUUCAUACAUAUGAAUGCAUAUGUUAGUGUUUUCUUCUCGUUUUCAUACAUAUAAAUGCAUAUGUUAGUGUUGUCUUUUCCUUUUCAUACAUAUUACUACAUAUGUUGGUGUUCUCUCCUGAGAUGGAUGCAAUAAAGGCUUUUGCUCCUAAAUUUAGCUGAAGAAAUGGCAAGGGAUGUGAGAUUCUGUCUCAUUAAAUUAACAAAAACCCAAAGCAAUGAAAAUCCAUAAUAAUGUGGUGUGGGUAAAUUGGCUCCAUUUGGUUCGUUUCCUUAAUGUGAAUGCGCGAGCAAUAGAGACUAACAAAAUGAAGUGACAACAAGAAGUCAGUGUCCUUUGAUGGAUGCAUUUUUAGGCAGAAAUAGGUUUGUAAUUGACCAAAUUUGUCUGGCAUGCCAAUUUCAAAAAAAUUAAAUUAUGUGGUUAUUAGCUGUAAUGAAGGGGGAUAGUAGGUGCAAUCAGGUGGAUCCUGGAAAGUUCAAUAAAGUUUUGGUAUGGCGUAGUGAAAUUGGUUUGUGCAACUCAGGAGUCUUUCAGGUGAACGAUGAUAGGUUUUGAUUUAUGAAUAUUAUAAAUCUACUGUGCAUAGUAUUCUAGUAGAAUCAUCUAUAAGUUCUAGUUAUUGAAAUUGUAUACUUUGCCCGGUUUGAGUUAAGGGCACAUGUAAUAUGAAAGAUAGUUGUCGCAUCUUUUAGGUUACCUAACAUUUGAUCAAUCCUAUUAUGGGGGCUUCAAGAUGUCUAACAAUAUGUAGAAUGCCCAUGCUCCUCCCCAUUGUUUAUCUUCUACAAUAAUUUGUUUUAGAUGCUAAUAUCUUUGUCGAUACCGGUAACAAUAUUACAAUAUCUGCGUUUAUUGGGUUUUACAUAGGUUCGACUGUUUGACAGUACACACUAUCUGAAGGCAUUUGCAAUUGGAGAUGUAUGGGUUGCUGUUGGGUGGAUUAGUGAUGUUCUUCCUGCUGUCAAACAUAUGUCUAAUGUUGCUGUUGUUGUUCCCAAGUCUGGUGCUAGCUGCCUGCCAUUCUACUUCGAUAUUCACAUUGUUAUCUCCUUCAUAUUAGCGAUCAGUAAACACGAUAAUGUGACUAAUAAGUUCGUAUUCUCUUUAUAGGCAAUCCCUGCUGCCUCAAGACUUGAAACAAAACAAAUUGGAGGGCGAGUCGGAGGUCCAUCUCCGUUAAUCCAUCAAUGGAUAGAAUUCUGCUUGCAAACAGCGAGAGCAUUACCUUUCAAGCAAGAGGUAAUCCCAGGUGCAUCUCCCUCUGCCCUUGAAAGUACUCUGGUUAAGUUGCCUGAAGAACUUCUGGAGGGUAAACCAAGUCUGGAUACUAACUUAAUUGCUGGAGUACUCCCGGCUGAAAUUCUGGCCAGAUGUGAGUUUUUGGAGCCAUUAUCUGAAGCUACUUUGUCAGAUUAUGAGUGGCUGGUUGUUAAUCUGCAAAAACCUGCUCCUGUCUUGAUGAAAAGGGUGCAACAUUACUUGUCAUCAUUAAUCCAAAGCUUUCUAGCAAGAGCUACAUUGAAAAGUUAAUGGCGCUGCAUGCCAGUCAUUAUAAUGCUGUCAGGACAAUUGGGUCAGGGCAAUUAGGUCAGAGCAUAACUUCAUUAGGAAAGGGGGCUUCAGCUACGUUAAAUAUUACAGGAUGUACUGAGAUGGCUGAAGUUCUUGAGGUUUUAUGAGAAACGAAAGAUGAGUGUUUGUUUGAACAAAGUUGUUGCCAAUCUUGCAGAGUUUGAAAACAAAGAUCACGGAGCGAAUGCCACCGAUUUCUUCAUCAUUUUAGCCUCCAUAAUUGAAGUUUCCUCAUUUGAAGCUGUUUAUGCAUACGAUUUUUCCCUGCUCUAGUACAGGAAAUUGAAGAAUUAACCAGAUGUGAUAUGCUGAAAGAGGGAAGUUUUCUUCCUUGAAUGUGGCCUUUGUGAUUUGUCUUGAAGGAAUAGGAUGAUCACUGGCAAGAACCCUAUCAAGGUAGAUUUUAUGGUGUUAACAUAUUAUUCAGCAUUUUGUUACAUUAGCAAUGAUGCUUUCAUAGCAUGAAAGUGUUUAAAUUUAACUGAAUGAUCUUGAUUGAUCAAUUAUGAGUUUUAAUCGAGUAAAAACUAAAUACAAUAAUCGUAACAAANNNNNNNNNNNNNNNNNNNNNNNNNNNNNNNNNNNNNNNNNNNNNNNNNNNNNNNNNNNNNNNNNNNNNNNNNNNNNNNNNNNNNNNNNNNNNNNNNNNNUGCUACCUUUUGAUUUUAGUGCUUAAUAUUUAUUGAACUAUGAUGCAGGGAAUUUGAAAUCAAACUCGUAAUACAGAUUAUCUAAUUGCGAGUUGCUGUCCAUAGCUGCUAAUUUGUAGUGAUUAUCUAAUUGACUGAGGUGACAAUAAUUCUUUUAUUUUCAAUAGCACAAUGUGGAAUUCAAUAAUUAAAUUCUCCUGUUUAAUUUGUUUCAAGUUAAAUUAUUAAUUACUUAAACUCGGUUUUAAGUCUUUAAUUUUAUGUGUUUAUGCAGAAUUGGAUUCUUGAGCGUGUUGGACACGACCAACAAUGAAAUUGACAGUAAACAAACAUUAGAACAUGUGGACUCCGGUAAGCACCAAUGAAUUUCUAGCCCCGUUGACUCCGCCAACUAAAGUUUUGUAAAAUAAAAAAAAAUACAUAGAAUUCCACCAAAUGCAAAACGCGUAAAAUUUAAUUUUCGGCCGUGUGGACCAAAACAUAAUUUAACAAAAAAGAAAAAAAUGAUAAGAUUUUUAAAAUGUGUGGAAGGUGAUCCAUAUUUUACUGAAACGACUUGUUAAAUUUUUCAAGGAUUUAGAAUAUUUGGUCAUAAAUUACGUGCAUGUUAAUUUUUCCGCCAUUGACUAUCAUAUUCUAGACUUAAUGGUACCUUUUUUGAUGAAGGGUACUUAGUCUCUCUUCUCCUCUUAUAAAAAUUAUAUUAAUUGAUUUCUUGUUAUAGUUAAUAGUCUUCAAGAACGGAUAGAUUUAUUGUUUUCAUGACCAAAUUAUGCAUGCCUAACGUUGCAACUAUUAAUAAAAUUAAUAUUUAAUAUUUAUGUUAAAAGAUAUAAGAUUUUAUGCAUUCAUUAAUUGUUAUUAGCUAAAGGAUGAAUUAUUUUUUCCCAAUCAGUUGAUGCAUCUGCAAGAGUUUUUUUUUCUUUUAUUGACCAUAAUUAUAUUCCGGGUACAAUAAAUUGUCUUUGGUGCUUGGAAGAUAUGACAUCUCUCUGUCAACUUACUGGAAAUAUCUCCUCAUCUACUCUCAUUUAUCUAAUAUCAAUUGAAGAUCUCAUAUUUCCAAACUAUGACUUCCAAAUCUCAUUAUCAUUUGAGCAUUCAAAACUAAUCAAGUGUGGAAAUAAUCAAAUAUAUGCAAAAAUCGAGUCACAAUCUUUGGCCCCUCAAAAUUCUAAUUAUAUAACUUCUAUAUAUCUCAUACAUUUUCCAAAUUCCUCUUCCAUCAACAUCAUUAGGAGUAUGUUCAUCUCUCACACAUUAACUUGAGUGGAGAGUUUCCAAAUUGAUUGUCAGAAAACAACAAAAGAACUAGACACGCUUGAUCUGUCUAAUAAUUCUCUUUCGGUAAAAUUAAUUAAUUUUAGGGGAAUUCAGCCAACCUCUGUAAUUUUAUAGUGAUCAUUAAUUAAUUAAACAAUACAAAUAUCUAAAGUGAUUAGAUGUUUACUGACAAUACAAGUUCAUGGCUUGAAAUUUGAUCUCUAUCGAUUGGUUUUGUAGUGCUUAAUAUUUACAGAACUCCGGGAAUUUGAAAUCAAACUCGUAACUACAGAUUAUCUAAUUGUAAGUUUUUGUCCAUAGCUGCUGAUUUGUAGUGAUUAUCUAAUUGACUGAGGUGACAACAAUUGUUCUUUUAAUUUUCAAUAGCAUAAUGUGGAAUUCAAUAAUUAAAUUCUCCUUUUUAAUUUGUUUCCAAUUAAAUUAUUAAUUACUUAAACUCUAUUUUAAGUCUUUAAUUUUAUGUGUUUAUGCAGAAUUGGAUUCUUGAGCGUGUUGGACACGACCAACAAUGAAAUUGACAGUAAACAAACAUUACAACGCGUUGAGUGUCGACUCCGGUAGCUGCCCUACAAGUCUACAACUUUACAAAAAAUAAUUGAGUACACACAUUCGAUUCUCGGGACCCUUCAAUGAAUUUCUAACCCCGUUGACUCCACCGACAAAAGUUUUGGAAAAUAAAAAAAAAAUUUAUAGAAUUCCACCAAAUGCAAAACGCGUGGAAUUUAAUUUUCGGCCGUGUGGACCAAAACAUAAUUUAAUGAAAAAAAAGAAGAUAAAAUUUCUAAAAUGUGUGGAAAUUGAUCCAUAUUUUACUGAAACAACUUGUUAAAUUUUUCAAGGAUUUAGAAUAUUUGGUCAUAAAUUAUGCUCAUGUUAAUUUUUCCGCUAUUGACUAUCAUAUUCUAGACACAAUGGUACCUUUCUUGAUGAAGGGUACUUAGUCUCUCUUCUCCUCUUAUAAAAAUUAUAUUAAUUGAUUUCUUAUUAUAAUAAAUAGUCUUUAAGAACGUAUAGAUUUAUUGUUUUCGUGACCAAAUUAUGCCUGCCUAAGGUUGUGACUAUUAAUAAAAUUAAUAUUUAAUGUUUAUGUUAAAAGAUAUAAGAUUUUAUGCAUUCAUUAAUUGUUAUUAGCUAAAGGAUUAAUUAUUUUUUCAACCCAAUCUGUUGAUGCAUCUGCAAGAGUUUUUUCUUUUAUUGACCAUAAUUAUAUUCCGGGUACAAUAAAUUGUCUUUGGUGCUUGGAAAAUAUGACUUCUUACUUCAAGUUUGAUAUGUCUCUCUCCAUAAGCUUACUGGAAAUAUAUCCUCAUUUACUGUCAUUUAUCUAAUAUCAAUUGAAGAGCUCACUUUUUCAAACUAUCACUUCCAAGUCUCAUUGUCACUUGCCAUUCUUGGACCAUUCAAAACCAAACAAGUGUUGNNNNNNNNNNNNNNNNNNNNNNNNNNNNNNNNNNNNNNNNNNNNNNNNNNNNNNNNNNNNNNNNNNNNNNNNNNNNNNNNNNNNNNNNNNNNNNNNNNNNNNNNNNNNNNNNNNNNNNNNNNNNNNNNNNNNNNNNNNNNNNNNNNNNNNNNNNNNNNNNNNNNNNNNNNNNNNNNNNNNNNNNNNNNNNNNNNNNNNNNNNNNNNNNNNNNNNNNNNNNNNNNNNNNNNNNNNNNNNNNNNNNNNNNNNNNNNNNNNNNNNNNNNNNNNNNNNNNNNNNNNNNNNNNNNNNNNNNNNNNNNNNNNNNNNNNNNNNNNNNNNNNNNNNNNNNNNNNNNNNNNNNNNNNNNNNNNNNNNNNNNNNNNNNNNNNNNNNNNNNNNNNNNNNNNNNNNNNNNNNNNNNNNNNNNNNNNNNNNNNNNNNNNNNNNNNNNNNNNNNNNNNNNNNNNNNNNNNNNNNNNNNNNNNNNNNNNNNNNNNNNNNNNNNNNNNNNNNNNNNNNNNNNNNNNNNNNNNNNNNNNNNNNNNNNNNNNNNNNNNNNNNNNNNNNNNNNNNNNNNNNNNNNNNNNNNNNNNNNNNNNNNNNNNNNNNNNNNNNNNNNNNNNNNNNNNNNNNNNNNNNNNNNNNNNNNNNNNNNNNNNNNNNNNNNNNNNNNNNNNNNNNNNNNNNNNNNNNNNNNNNNNNNNNNNNNNNNNNNNNNNNNNNNNNNNNNNNNNNNNNNNNNNNNNNNNNNNNNNNNNNNNNNNNNNNNNNNNNNNNNNNNNNNNNNNNNNNNNNNNNNNNNNNNNNNNNNGUAUUUUACUUGGAAGAUAUGACAUCUCUCUGUCAACUUACUGGAAAUAUCUCCUCAUCUACUCUCUUUUAUCUAAUAUCAAUUGAAGAUCUCAUAUUUCCAAACUAUGACUUCCAAAUCUCUCAUUAUCAUUGAGCAUUCAAAACUAAUCAAGUGUGGAAAUAAUCAAAUAUAUGCAAAAAUCGAGUCACAAUCUUUGGCCCCUCAAAAUUCUAAUUAUAUAACUUCUAUAUAUCUCAUACAUUUUCCAAAUUCCUCUUCCAUCAACAUCAUUAGGAGUAUGUUCAUCUCUCACACAUUAACUUGAGUGGAGAGUUUCCAAAUUGAUUGUCAGAAAACAACAAAAGAACUAGACACGCUUGAUCUGUCUAAUAAUUCUCUUUCGGUAAAAUUAAUUAAUUUUAGGGGAAUUCAGCCAACCUCUGUAAUUUUAUAGUGAUCAUUAAUUAAUUAAACAAUACAAAUAUCUAAAGUGAUUAGAUGUUUACUGACAAUACAAGUUCAUGGCUUGAAAUUUGAUCUCUAUCGAUUGGUUUUGUAGUGCUUAAUAUUUACAGAACUCCGGGAAUUUGAAAUCAAACUCGUAACUACAGAUUAUCUAAUUGUAAGUUUUUGUCCAUAGCUGCUGAUUUGUAGUGAUUAUCUAAUUGACUGAGGUGACAACAAUUGUUCUUUUAAUUUUCAAUAGCAUAAUGUGGAAUUCAAUAAUUAAAUUCUCCUUUUUAAUUUGUUUCCAAUUAAAUUAUUAAUUACUUAAACUCUAUUUUAAGUCUUUAAUUUUAUGUGUUUAUGCAGAAUUGGAUUCUUGAGCGUGUUGGACACGACCAACAAUGAAAUUGACAGUAAACAAACAUUACAACGCGUUGAGUGUCGACUCCGGUAGCUGCCCUACAAGUCUACAACUUUACAAAAAAUAAUUGAGUACACACAUUCGAUUCUCGGGACCCUUCAAUGAAUUUCUAGCCCCGUUGACUCCACUGACAAAAGUUUUGGAAAAUAAAAAAAAAAUUCAUAGAAUUCCACCAAAUGCAAAACGCAUGGAAUUUAAUUUUCGGCCGUGUGGACCAAAACAUAAUUUAAUGAAAAAAAAAAGAUAAAUUUUCUAAAAUGUGUGGAAGGUGAUCCAUAUUUUAUUGAAACAACUUGUUAAAUUUUUUAAGGAUUUAGAAUAUUUGGUCAUAAAUUACGCUCAUGUUAAUUUUUCCGCUAUUGACUAUCAUAUUCUAGACUCACUGGUACCUUUCUUGAUGAAGGGUACUUAGUCUCUCUUCUACUCUUAUAAAAAUUAUAUUAAUUGAUUUCUUAUUAUAAUAAAUUGUCUUUAAGAACGUAUAGAUUUAUUGUUUUCGUGACCAAAUUAUGCUAGAUUAAGGUUGCGACUAUUAAUAAAAUUAAUAUUUAAUGUUUAUGUUAAAAGAUAUAAGAUUUUAUGCAUUCAUUAAUUGUUAUUAGCUAAAGGAUUAAUUAUUUUUUCAACCCAAUCAGUUGAUGCAUCUGCAAGAAUGUUUUCUUUUAUUGACCAUAAUUAUAUUCCGGGUACAAUAAAUUAUCUUUGGUGCUUGGAAAAUAUGACUUCUUACUUCAAGUUUGAUAUGUCUCUCUCCAUAAACUUACUGGAAAUAUAUCCUCAUCUAUUAUCAUUUAUCUAAUAUCAAUUGGAAGAUCGCACUUUUUCAAACUAUCACUUCCAAGUCUCAUUGUCACUUGGCCAUUCUUGGACCAUUCAGAACCAAUCAAGUGUUGAAAUAAGUCGAGAGGGGGGGCAAAAUUAGAGUCACAAUUUUUGGUCCCCCAAAUUCUAAUUAUAUAACUUCUAUAUAUUUCAUUGCCAGGUCACGAACUUGUUGGCACAUUUUCCAAAUUCCUCUUCCAUCAACUCUCACACGUUAACUUAAGUGGAAAGUUUCCAAGUUGAUUGCUAGAAAGCAACGCAAAAUCAGACACGCUUGACCUGUCCCCUAAUUCUCUUUUCUACGUUGAAAAAGAAAAAAAAAAUAUAUAUAUAUAUCUAUGUAAAAAUAAAUAAUAAACUGAAUAAAAGUACAUUUGUUUAAUUAACAUCUGAUCGUGGCAUUUUUGGUGUAAUUUCGUGCUGUGUAAGCCACAACUAAAAUCAAACAGCCCCUUAGCAUACUUCUUCCAUUUUAUCUGGUACUUUUGUGGAUCUUAUAGGGUGGGCAUGUGGACAGAAUUUAAAAGUUUUAAUAGUCUCAAAGAAUAAGAUAUGUUAAAGCUAAAGUUGUUGCACCUUCUAAUUAAAUAAAGUUGUACAAUUUCACCAACUUGGAAGAAUUGACAUUAAUGGACUGGUCCCUUCUCCAUAUAUGAAGCCUUCUUAAAAGUUAAUUUUUAUUUCAGAAAAAAAAAGUUAAAGUUACAUAUAUUAUAGUAAGAUUUUUUGAGACCAAUUCCCUUCUUGAAAUAAUAAUGGAAAAGUAUUAAUUUAAUAAUAAAAUGAAUAUGUAUUGAUUAUAUCUUGAUUUUCAUCGAUUAUAGUGAGAGUUUCUCCAAAUCAAUUCCCUUAUUCAAAUAAUAUCGAAAAAAUAGUAAUUUAAUAGUAAAAUAAACAGGUGUUGAUUAUAUAUUCUAAGUUUCAUCGAUUAUGUGAUCAAAGUGGCAUUGUUGAUUUAUUUCUUGUUCAAUGUUAAUUUUUAGGUUAUCUAAAUUUCAAGGAUUUAAAAUCUUUGAUCAUGGAUUACACGCUUGUUAAUUUUUCUGCCAUUGACUAUCAUAUUCUAGACUUAAUGAUACCUUUCUUGAUCAAGGGUAAUUACUCUCUCUUCUCCUCUUAUAAAUUCCUCUUCCAUUAACAUCACUAGGAGUAUGUUGAUCUCUUACAAAACAACAAAAGAACUAGACACACUUGAUCUGUCUAAUAAUUCUCUUUCGGUAAAAUUAAUUAAUUUUAGGGGAAUAUUCGACCAACCUCUGUAAUUUUAGAGUGAUCAUUAAUUAAUUAAACGAUACAAAUAUCUAAAGUGAUUAGAUGUUUGCUGACAAUGCAAGUUCAUGACUUGAAAUUUGAUCUCUAUCGAUUGGUUUACAAAUGGACAUACUUGUGCCUUUGUGGCGAUAAUCGAACAAGUUCCAAUGAUUAUUAUUUUUUCCAAAAACUUUUUUACAACAAAUUCAUCUCGCCAAAAAUUCUAUGUUGCUAGCUAACAAUAAUUGAGCACUUGGCCGCAUUGACUCCACGUCUCCACCUCUUUCUAAAUUCUAAGUAAAAACAUGGAAAUGUAAUUUCCACAAAAUGCCAAACGUGUGGAAUUUAAUUUUUUGCCUUGUGGAUCAAAAUACAAAUGAAAGAAACAGGAAAAAAAAAAAAGGCCCAAAGACUUCUAAAAGAUGAAGAAGUCUUUGGGCCUUUUUAUAAUGGUGGAUUUUUUAAAAGAAAAAAAUAACAACACUUUUAUGGUUGGUUUUGAUAAUCAUAUGUGCGUAUAUACUCUCUAAUUUUCAAAAUGGACACAUAAAUCUUUUUUUUUCACAAAAUAUAUAUUAUUCAUAUUUUUUAUUUUUUAUUAUCAUAUUUUUAUUUAUUAUAAAUGUUUAGAGUAAAUUUUUAGGUUGAAAUAUAAUAAAAGGGUAUAAUCGUUCUCUUAUUAAACACACAUACUUUUAUUAGUUUCUAUGCAUUUGUCAUCUCAAUCUCUCUCAAUUAUUCUUUAUUGCUAGCUCAAAACACGUUGCUGUUGCAAAUUAUAGCAAAAUGACAAAUAUGGAAAAAAAGGGAAGAAAAUUAAUGCAUGAAAGACUUGGAGAAAACAACAAAAUAAGCCAACUAUGAGCUAGUUGGGUGUAUAAAUUGUUAGAUGUGUUAUAUACAAAUAGCAUAGAGCCCUCUAGUUGGUUCUAGAGACAGAAAGAGCGUGUGUGUUUUUUCACAGUUAGAGAUAUAGUUAGAAUGGGUGGCUCAAAAUCAAAAAUGAUGAUAAUGUUUAUUAUGUUAUUAAUAAUAUUUAAAAGUGGGUGGAGUGAGGGAUGUUUGGAUCACGAGAGAUUUGCUCUUUUGCGACUCAAACAUUUCUUCACUGGUCCUUGUAAUUAUCUUUACGACUGGGUAGAUGGUGAGGGAGCUACUGAUUGUUGUCAGUGGGAAAGGGUUGAGUGCAGCAACACCACAGGCCGAGUGAUAACGCUAGACCUUUUUGACACGUAUGGGGGAGAGCACAACUGGUAUCUGAAUGCUUCUUUGUUUACUCCCUUCCAACAACUUGAGUCACUUGAUUUAACUUACAACAAAAUAACCGGUUGUGUUGAGAAUGAAGGUGCUUCGUUUAAUUUAAUUAAUUUACUUUCUCCCCCCUAAUUUAAGUUGAAUAUCAAGACCGAGCAAUUAUAUGCAUAUUCAUUCAGUUGACAAUUUUGACUUUUUUUUUAAAGAUUAAUUUUGAAAUUACACUAGUAUCUAUGAUCCUUUUUUUUUUUAUUUUACUUGCAGGUAUAGAGAGGCUAUCAAGAUUGAACAACUUGAAGAUGCUUAAUUUAAGUGAUAACUCGUUCAACAAUAGCAUUUUAUCAUCACUAACUCAUCUUUCAUCAUUAAGAUCAUUAAAUUUAUAUGGGAAUAGAUUAGAAGGAAGUAUUGACGUUAAAGGUACAUAAUUAAAACUUCAUCCCUUCUCCAAGCUCUUUCAUUAACUUGCUAAAAUAAGAUUCAAGGCUUUGAAUUCAAUUUUUUUUAUGAUUAGUAUUAAAAAAAAACAGUUUUAAGCAAUUUAUAAAUACAAGUUUUAAUCUUUCUCAUAAUUUCAUCUUGUACUUUCAUGUGUCUUGAAUUUAAGAUUAAAAAGAAAUCUAAUAGCAAACCAAACACCUCCACAACUUAUUAUUAUUAUUAUUAUUAUUUGCGGUGAGGUUUGAAACAUUCAACUCAAUUUGUACUUAUUACAGAAUUUGAUUCUUUGAGAGAUUUAGAGGAGCUAGACAUUGGCGAGAACAAGAUUGACAAAUUUGUGGUCUCAAAAGGUACUACAAAUACCAUAAAAAAAAAUGCUAACUUAUACAAAUUAGUUGGAUUCUUGGCCAUUUGGUUUAUUAUUUUACAGGUUUGAGUAAGUUGAAGUCUCUCUGUUUAAGUGGUAUCAAACUCAAUCGUAGCAUCUUCGCUUCUCUUUCUUCGUUAAGAGAAUUAGAUAUAAGUUAUACGGGAUUCAAAGGAACAUUUGAUGUUCGAGGUAAGUCUAAGCCUUGCUUUCUCAUUUUAUAUAUGCGAACUAGAUUUGUGUAUCAUCGACAUAAUUUAAUAUUUAAUUUAAUAAGUCUGAAGGUAUUACAUGCUAAUUUAAACAUACUUUUAUUUACUUUGUCAAUUAAUUAAUUAAUUAAUUAAUUACUAUUUGGCUUGGUUUGGACGAAAUUCUCAUGAUGUUUUAAUUUCUUUAAAUUAAUUAAUUAAUUAACUCUGUUUUUAAGUCUUAAGUCUGGGCAUGUUUGCAGAAUUUGAUUCCUUCAAUAACUUAGAAGUGUUGGACAUGGGAUACAAUGAAAUCGACAAUCUUGUGGUUCCUCAAGGUAAACAAUUAAAAUAUUAUUCAAUUACAUUAUUUUAAUUCAUUUGAUUAGAGAAGGCCAAAAAGGUCCCAAAAAAAUUAAUAAUAAAGAAACAGAUAAUUUGUAUUAUUUAAAAAAAACAGAAUGUAAUAAAGAUUUGAUUCCAGUUCUUUAAUCUUUAAAGCGAUUGAAAAACAAUGUUGCUCUUUUCCCAAAGUAUAAAAUACGAAUUGAAUGCCAAUUAACUUAAUCAUUCAUUUCGUUUAGCUCUAAAUUUAGACAAUGAAUUUUUAUAUUAUUUCAAAAACAGGACGUAAUAGAAUUUUUUUAAAAACAGAUUGUAAUGAAGAUUUGAUUCCAAUUUUUUAAUCUUUGCAGCGAUUGAAAAACCAUACCGCUCUUUUCCCAAAGCAUAAAAUACGAAUUGACUCCCAAUUAAAUUAAUCAUUUAUUUUGUUCAUCUCUGAAUUUAAAUAAUGAAUUUUGAUCUUCAAUCAUAUUCUAACUACUAUUAAAAAACAAGUUACAAAGGUUUGAGGAAGCUGAAAAGCCUUGAUCUAUCGGAAGUUGAAAUUAGAGAUGGAAGCAAGUUGUUACAGUCGAUGGGAUCAUUCCCAUCCCUCAACACUCUUUACCUGAAGGAUAAUAAUUUUACCGAUAUAGCGACAACUACUACUCAAGGUAAGUAAAAGGUACAGAUGUGGCCAAAUUUAUAAAUAAAUUGUUAAUUAAUUAAUUUUUCCGUAUUAUUAAUUAAGCUAAAUUCGUUGCUCCUUCCUUCUAAAUCUAAACAGAGUUGCACAAUUUCACCAACUUGGAAUAUUUGACAUUGACCGGUUCCUCUCUCCAUAUAAGCCUUCUGCAAAGCAUUGCAUCAAUAUUCCCUUUGUUAAAAAUUUUGCCGAUGAUUGGUUGUGAAGUCAAUGGCAUCCUACGUGGUCAAGGUAAAAGAAAAGCGUUGAAUGUGCACUCACUGAGUGUUGUCCUACGUGUUCAAUAUUUUCAUUUAUUCAUUUUAUUGUUUAAUGUUUCUGCUAGGUUUUACUCAUUUCAAGAGUUUGGAACAUUUGGACAUGGAUUACGCGCUCAUUGCACUCAACACCAGCUUUCUUCAAAUCAUCAGUGAAUCGAUGCCUUCUCUUAAGUACUUAUCACUAUCAAAUUCUACUCUUGGCACUAACAGCAGCAGGAUUCUUGAUCAAGGUUAAUCAGAUGCUCCCACCCCCCUUCUUAAUCUAUAAUAUUAAUUUUCAAUUAAAUAUUUAAUUACACAAACGAAUCACUUAUUAUAAAAGAAUAAUACGCAUUCAUUAAUUUUUAUAUUGUAUUAAUUGAUGAAUUUAAUAAAUUUUCAGGCCUCUGUUCGUUGAUGCAUCUGCAAGAGUUGUACAUUGAUAAUAAUGAUUUAAGAGGUAGCUUGCCUUGGUGCAUGGCAAAUAUGACAUCCCUCCGAUUAUUAGAUGUUUCUUCCAAUCAACUUACGGGAAGCAUCUCCUCAUCUCCCCUCGUUCAUUUGACAUCCAUUGAAGAGUUGAUGCUUUCAAACAAUCACUUCCAGAUCCCAAUUUCACUUGAACCACUUUUCAAUCACUCAAGACUCAAGAUUUUCAAUGCUUAUAACAAUGAAAUAAAAGCUAAAAUAACUGAGUCACAUUCUUUGAUCGCCCCAAAAUUCCAAUUAAAUACACUCUUGUUGUCUUCCAGUUACGGAGACAGUUUCAUAUUCCCCAAAUUCAUUUACCAUCAACAUGACCUGGCGUAUGUUGAUCUCUCACACAUAAAGAUGAAUGGAGAAUUUCCAACUUGGUUGUUGGAAAACAACACAAAAUUGAGCCAACUUUCUGUCGUCAAUGAUUCUCUUGCAGGACCUUUUCGGUUGCCAAUUCAUUCACACAAGCAGUUAAGACUGUUGGAUAUAUCCACCAACAACAUCCGAGGCCACAUUCCAGUAGAAAUUGGAGAUGUUUUGCCACGUUUAUACGUUUUCAACAAUUCCAUGAAUGCUCUAGACGGUAGCAUUCCCUCUUCAUUUGGUAAUAUGAAAUUCCUCCAAAUUCUGGACUUAUCCAACAAUCACUUGACUGGUGAAAUCCCCGAGCACUUGGCCGUGGGUUGCGUCAACUUGCAGGCUCUUGCAUUAUCAAAUAACAACCUACAAGGUUACAUGUUCUCUAGAAAUUUUAACUUGACAAACUUGAGAUGGUUACAAUUGGAGGGCAAUCGAUUCGUAGGUGAGAUCCCACAAAGUUUGUCUAAAUGCUCCUCACUAGAAGGAUUGUAUAUUAACAAUAAUAGUCUUUCGGGUAAGAUUCCACGAUGGUUGGGUAAUCUCACAUGGUUACAAUAUAUUAUAAUGCCCAAUAAUCAUCUUGAAGGCCUUAUUCCAGUGGAGUUUUGUCAGCUUGAUUCGCUUCAGAUUUUGGACAUUUCAGACAACAACAUAUCUGGAAGUUUACCAUCUUGUUUCCAUCCUCUCUCUAUCAAACAAGUUCAUCUUUCAAAAAAUAUGUUACAUGGACAACUAAAAAGAGGUACAUUCUUUAAUUGCUCUUCCCUUGUGACAUUAGAUCUUAGCUAUAACCGCUUGAAUGGCAACAUUCUGGAUUGGGUUGAUGGGCUUUCUCGGUUAAGCCACCUGAUCUUAGGUCACAAUAAUCUUGAAGGUGAAGUGCCAGUUCAAUUGUGCGAAUUGAACCAACUACAAUUGUUAGAUCUUUCUAAUAAUAAUCUUCACGGUCCUAUUCCUCCUUGCUUUGAUAACACCACACUUCAUGAAAGUUACAGCAAUAGUUCUAGUCCUGAUGAGCAAUUUGAAAUAUUUUUUUCCAUCGAAAGCCCUGUGGGAGAUGUAAAAGAGCAAAUCCAUGAAAUUUUUGAGUUAACAACAAAGAACAUUGCGUACAUUUACCAAGGAAAAGUGUUUAGCCUCCUAUCAGGACUUGAUCUUUCUUGCAACAAGCUAAUCGGUCAUAUUCCUCCUCAAAUUGGAAAUUUGACAAGGAUUCAAACAUUGAAUCUAUCGCACCAUAACUUGACAGGAUCGAUCCCAUCAACAUUUUCAAACUUGAAGCAUGUCGAAAGUUUGGAUCUUUCCAACAACAAAUUGAAUGGAAAAAUCCCUUAUCAACUAGUGGAGUUAAAGACAUUGGAGGUUUUCAGUGUGGCAUACAAUAACUUAUCAGGCGAAAUUCCAGAAUGGAAAGCACAAUUUGCAACCUUCAACGAGAGUAGCUAUGAGGGAAAUACUUUUCUUUGUGGACUGCCAUUGCCCAUUUGCAGAUCACCAGCAACUACGCCGGAGGGUUCAAUCGGCAAUGAACGAGAUGAUAAUUUAAUUGACAUGGACAGUUUCUUUAUCACAUUUACAACAUCGUACGUAAUUGUGAUAUUCGGAAUUGUUAUUGUUUUAUAUGUAAAUUCUUAUUGGCGACGUAAAUGGUUUUACUUUGUUGAAAUGUGGAUAACUUCAUGUUAUUAUUUUAUUGUAGACAAUCUUAUUACAACAAGAUAUUGUCAUUGAAAUUAAUUAGCAGUUUAAUUACGAUUCUUUAAGUUCUAAUCAAGUUUGCACUUGAUCGCCUAUUUUACUUUAAAAAAUAAUGAUUAUGGUGCUAUCAUCAUCUUCUUCACUAGCAACAUUAACACCAAAUCCAGCGAUGGACCCAGACAUUUUAUCAAGAUAUCCACCAUAACUUAUACUUCCCUAUACUGUGCAGCCUACUUAAAUAAGAGAACCAUCUCCAAUGUUAAAACCAGCCACUCUAUAACAUUCAUUUAGAAACUAUAUUUAGAACUCUCCAAUCCACCCACCAGAAUUUCAUAUCUCCUCAACAAUUUUAAGAACUAAAGAUAAUUAGGAUAUAACAUUAGUUUUUUAUAUAUUAGUUUCAUAAUUUACAAAUCAAUGAAGAUGAAGAUUAUGUUAAUGAAUUCAAAUUAUACCAUACAUUCUCGAGAUGCUACCAAAAAUUUCUAAGUCAAUCCCACAUAUUUCAUAAUUUUAAGACUAGAAAAUUUCAUUAGGUAGAAGUUUCAUUACCUUCAAGUGGAAGAUGAAGAACAUUAUACAAUUGAUUCAGAUUAUAUCAUACAUACUCCAAAUGCAACUAGAAAUUAACAAGUUCAUGCGCACAGAUUUCAUAACAUUAUGAAUGGAAAGUUUCACAAAGAGAAAUUAUAAAUUCAAUCUCUUGCAUCAAGGUAGUUUGAUUGAUUUGAGUUACUUUCUGAUCAAGCUAUUAAUAUAACAUUCAAGUCAGGGAGAAAGUAAAUUAAAACUGGGAAGAAAUAACAGUAAAAAUUUGUUGCUAAACAUGAUGUGUAUUUUUUUUUUAAGGCAAUUUGGAAACACAGUUGUUACUACAGAUAUUCUCCUCAACUUAGAGAUAAUACAAAUAUUAAAAUGCAUAUGAUCGCACAUAUUACUUUGGAAGCUUAGUAAGAUUUCAUUAAGAGAAGCAAAUCAAACCACUUAUUUCAUUGUUGCAUCGUUCUAUAAGCUAAAAUAGCAAUAUAAUACAAGAAAAAGAACAUAUAGAUACUUGGCAAGAGUUCAUUAAGAAGUCGCAUCACAUUCGGGUGAGUUUGCUUCUGAUAUCUUGCUAGCUGGGGCUUUUUCUUGUCUUUCUAUGUAUGCCGAGGGAAACCAACCAGCUUGGCCCUUGCAUUCACCUUCCGACCAUCCAGUAGGAGCCACCUUGAGAAGUUAUAACUAAAACAGUGAAUUAAACAACAGUUGACCAUUCAAAGACCUAAGGGGAAAACUAAUUCUUUUACGUAGGAAGAGUGAAUUAAUUCUGAUCACUGAAAUAACAGCAUAACUAUGGAAGCCUAAAAAGAUAUAAAUUCACACGUCUAUAAGGGUAAACUGGGUGGUUUAGAACUGAGCUAGCAACCCUACCAUAUUCUGAUUUGCACUUCAAUGUAAAAGGGAAUAUAUGGUAUGAAGAAAGAAAACCAACCAUCAUUUGUUAACCCAUUGCUUUUCAAUCAAAAUUUUAAGAACAAAAUGCCAUGUGCUUUGAACAUCAAAUAAGUAUAAGCAUUAGUUCUAAAUUCCACAUAUCAUAAGUUAGAAGGAUAAGUUAAUAGCAUAGUAGAAAAAUCUGUGUUGUUAUUUAGAGGGGAAAGUACCUGGCGAACCACAACAUAAUCAUCAAUUGAAAGACUUAACUCUCCAUUUGCUUGAGCAUCAAAUGGAUGUAUAACCUGCAAGAUAAUGGGAUAAAUAGAACUUAAUCUCAAAAAAAGCAUAACAAAAGCAGCAACAGUAUCAGCAGCGUUCAUUGUAACCACUAUGAUCAUGGCCAACAAAGAUAUAUUAGAAACAAAAUUCCAUUUUUACUACGGCAUUAAUAUGCACUAUAUGAUAUCAUGACGAUUGGGUUACCAAGAGCUAUCAAAGUCCAAUAAAUUCUGUAUAACUUUAUGUAGUUAUUCAAAUUAUGGAUCAGAUUUUAAAUCUGAAAUUUUGACUGCUCUCCACAAAACAUGGCCUAUGCACAAGAAGGUCAUAGAUAAUGAGGAUUACAAGUGUUUGACAUCUUUAGAGUGAUGGAUUUAAGAUGACAGCUUAUGGUCAGUCAAUUUCCUCCGCCUAGCAAUAUAAGCUUUCUCGGCCGGAUUUAUCAUCAAAUAUAUAGAUUGCCCCCAAGUCACAUCCAUAUAAACAUAGUUUUUCUAGGUAAACCAAGUAAGGAGAAUCAUAAUUCAGACAUAAUCAUAAAAAGGCCCAUCUAACUUAAGAGAAAAUCUCAAAAAGAGGAAUGUUGAGCUAUCAUUCUUGUAUCUAUAAGCAAUAUCAAGACUUUACAUCACCUGCUACAUCGUGAGUGGCUACACAACUUUCAGUGGUUUGUCUUUCUUUGGCAUGCCUAACUCAGCUUUGAUGUUGCUGAGAUAUUGAUGGUAGAGACACAUGAUACUUCUAGCUCAUGCAUUCUAUCUAGCUCAUUCGACAGCUAUCUCUUUUUUAAUUCAUUAGUGUUUGCUAAACCUCAUGCUUAAAAAUCAUGCUGUUCUAAACAAAGUUUCCUAAGAAUGACUUCCUCAGCACCACACUUAGACACUUUUAGAGCAAUUUUAUUUGGGGGAAAAGAAUUUUCAAGGUGUUAACUAAUAAAUUUUAAAAAAUAAUUACAAUUUGUCCUACGAUUAUAUGACAAUUUAUCUAGGAUGAAAGGAUACAGACAGACAUCUUCCACUUUCAAGACUAAUCACUACUUCCGUAGAUGUUUUGCAAUAACACAAAUACUUGACCAGAUGGUAGUGAUGGUAGAAAAUAUUUUAUUGCUCCAAAAUUAAAAUAAGAAUGCAAUAUGUUAAGCAAAAGACUGUGCAACAUCAAAUUAAUUGAUAAGUUUGUAAUUCAGUAAAUUAACAACUUUCAUGGUAAAAUACAACAAAUUUCUUUUCAAAAAAUUUUUUUAAAAGACAGCAUUCAAUUUUGUGCGCAUCUUAUUUCUUAAGAUUUUCCAGGAGGGCAAUAGAGGGACUUUCACCUAUGCAAGAGAGCAGAAGCCUUACUUUCGCUAUAAAGUAGACGUCAUUCUGAUUAAUAUGCGUUUGCAAAUCAACUCCAUUUGAAUCAGUAUUCUGAUAGACACAUGAGGCAUUUACAUCCAUUUCCAAAGUCACAUGUUGCGAGGAGGACUCAUUUGAUUGCUCCUCUAGGAUCAUCUAAUUCAAGUAGCAAGGGUUGGAAGAGAAUAAAAAGUCACAAUUAUUCUUUUGCAUAAGUGAGACGAAAAUGAUAAAUGCACUAUUAUCAGCAGUAAACAAGAAGAGAACACUCCAAGGAAUAGAUAGAUGCGGACAAGCAAGUUAAAAUGCACAGUUCCAAACCUCCGCAUACAACUUCUCUGAAAUAGCAAUAACGUGUUGAUGAUAUGUUUUCUCAGCAUCUACCUUUAAAGGCCCGAGACCAGGAAAACAACAAUAAAACCACUAGCUAAAGGAGAAAGUAAAGAAAGAAAUACACUUGACAUAAAUCUUGACAAGAAGCACAAUUUAAGACAUAACAAACCCCAAUCAUAUUGUUUAGGACUACCAUUCGUUAUUUCGUUAUUGUAGCAUUUAGAACAAGUGUUGACUUAAUUCAACAUUGUUGGAAAGAUAGGCUUUUAGAAGCGGAAGAAAGCCACUCAAACCAAAGUGAUUGCCCUUGAAUUGAUCAAGGGAUGUAAACAUAUUACAUUUCCAGGAUGAGUUUUAAUCACUCCCCUGAUUUAUUUGGGUUGCAGUAAAACUAAGCGAGCAACUGUUUGACUUUCAAGCAACAUCUAAAUCAGCUAUUAAAAUUCAAAUAAAAUCAUAAUAGAAUAAUAACAGGCCAUCUUGCAUCAAAAAUUAAGUUUAAUUUGUGAAUUGUUUUCUAUAGACAUGUUAGUUCCUGCUAUUGAAAUGUUAAAAGCAUUGAAAAAUGAUUCAAUAAAUUAUGCAAACAUUAAAAUAGAGGACAUAUUAAAAAGUUUCUAAUUACAAUGUUAAGAUUUCCUAUAUUUUAGCAUUUGCAUAUUUUAAUUUAUGUAAAAGCUACGUCGAUCAACUUUGGGCGUGAAGAUUUUAGCUUCUACGAGACUUGAUUGGAAUAUGCAUAAGGAAGAGUGUUAAAAUAUGAUGCAUCCAACGAAAGACAAACCACGUGUAGUCUUUUAAUUAAGCCAAAGUAGCAGCUCAAACAAAUGACACUUGGACCAACAUGCAAUCAUGAAGGGGCCGGAAAAAGGACAAAUGCAACUUUGGCUUAAAUAAAAAAUAACAUGUGACUUGACUUUUGCUGGACAUGCAUCAUGUUAUUACAAGACAACAGAAAUCAGUAUGAUAGUACUAAAAGUUGACAAUAACAUGAAGAUAAGAGGCAGAAUAUCAACACAUGCAUAGGCACACACAAGGAAGUAUUAACUUAUAUACCAUAGCAAAAAGUCUUUGAAAUAUCAAUAAAAAAAAAACAAUUAAUUAAAGGUCGAAGAUGGGUCCUUUACAUAUGUUUUUGUUUUCGUAUUAGGUAGGAGGUUAUUAUAUUAUAUCAUGUAAUUAAUUUAUAUUAUAUCAUAUUAUAUCAUAUAUAUAUGAAAAAAAAAAAGAAUUUCAAAGAGAUAGCAACAUACAAUAGACUGAAGCCAUUUGAUCUACUCAUUGAUUUCAGCCUUAAACUUGUAAAUACUUACUGUACGCUAGUGCUCUAAGAAGUGAAAAUGAUGCAAACCCUGAUCCCCUUUUGACUUCCAUUUACUGUCAAAUAUUCUAUUCAUACGAAAAAAAUGUUUAGAUAUCUUACUAUAAAUAUAGCCGUUUGACUGUCUUAAUAAAGUCACACACAACCAUUCUUAUUAAAUUAGCAAGAUCAAACACUGCCCUGGAUCUUGAACAGAUCCACGCAAGUUGCACAACUUACGAUUGAAUCCGGCCAGAAAAAAUCAACUCUUUAGCAAGAAAAAUUAAUCAGAGUCAAGAAACAAGUUUAAUGAAUAUAAACCUAUAAUUGAAACAAACAUAGCCAAGAAACAAAUAGAGAUUUUACAUGUUUCAGUUGUACCAAGGAUGGCACAACCUACACCACGGGAGAAGCUUUCUGGUGACCCCAAUCUGCUUAGUUAAUAAUAGAGAUUUCAGAGAAUAAGCUAUAACCCUCUCUCCCUCUUCAGUCUCUCUCUAUUUUGUUCCCAUUGAUGACCCCAAUCUGCUUAGUUAUCCAGCUUUAUAGCUGCAUCAGUAACAAACCAGCAAACCCAGAUUGAGCAGAUUGACGACACGUGGAUAACGGCUUUAACGAACCUGGUUAAGAACUGCUCACAUGUUCGUCACGCGUGCUGCUUAAAUGAUGGCCAAAACGACUUCAAACAAAUGUCGUUUUGAGGCUUAUGAAUUACAAGUGAUAACACGAGCUUGUCUCAUGACUUUUAAAUGCAACAACGUGCCCACAACGCCGUCGUUUUACUCUGUUGAGUUUGAUUCAUUACUAAGCUUUACGACUGGCAAUGGAGAAGAUGAUAAUUUAAUUGAUACGGACAGUUUUUAUAUCACUUUUACAACAUCCUAUGCAAUUGUAAUAUUGAGAAUUAUUGAUGUUUUAUAUCCUCAUUGGCAAAAACUAGUGGUUUUAUCUUUGUUGAAAUAUAGAUGACCUCUCGUUACUGUUUUAUUAUAAACAUAUAGUUUCAUAAGUGAAACUAUAUGUUUAUAAUAAAAUUAACAUAUAGUUUCGUUACAUUUCUGCCUCAUUAAGAUUCUCAAAUACCAGUCAGGUUUGCUUAAGAAAUAAAAAUUUUCCAUUAAAAUUGCAGUAGUAUUUCCAAGCAUAUCGCAUUUUCUAUGAUUUUUCAUAAAUUAAUUAAUCUGCGGUGCCAAUAUCAGAUUUAGUUUUUCAAACUAAAUAAUCAAGAAAGCAAACAUACAAAUAUACAUACAAAUAUACUAAGCCAGCUACCUCACUAAAUUCCGAUUCGUACAGUGAACUGCAAGAAAUUGAGAAAACAAUGUAUUUAUAAUUUAAUAGAAUCAUAAGAAAACAAUGUAGUCAUUGCUUAAUAUAAGAUGAUUUCGGAGAGCCACAUUGUUUUCAAGUUAAUUUGAACCGUUUAUAAGAGAUGAAGUGGAAUCAAGUUGAAAGUUUAAAUAACAAAUCCCUGUUCUUGAGUUUUACGACGUCGUUACUCCUUCAAGUGGCAGAUUAUGCAAGUGAAUGCAGAAACAUGUGCAGAGCAUGUCAACAUGGCACAUUUAACCAUCAUUCAAGUGAUGAUGGGUUUUAUAAGACUGCUUAUGGGUUUUAUCAAGUUCCUCUGCCUCUAAGCAAAAAAUUAAAUUCGUAAUUUGUAAACGAAUUUUCCUGACAUGUAUAGUAAAUGAAGUUGUUGAUCCUUUCUUUGGAUUAUUGCAGCUCUGGUUGUGGGUCACCGAUGAGCCAAAGUCUUAUGGGUUUUAUCAAGUUCCUCUGCCUCUAAGCAGAAUUACUAUUGAAGGGCCAAAAAGAAAAUGAAAACGUGUGAACUCCAACAACCACCCCACAAAUUCAAUGACGAUGCUCAGAGACGGUUACGUUGGGCCUCUGAGAAAAAAAAUUUAUUUAGUUAAAAAAUUACCCAUAUUGAAACAUGUAUAAAAAUUUUAUAUUAAUUAGUUAUGUUUCCUCUUCAACUAUGAUCAAAUUCUUAUUCGAGCUCAUUAUUUAAUGAAUAAACGCGUAUUUUAAUUAUCUCAAUUAAUAUUUAGAACAAAUAUUUUAAGAAAUAAAGCUCAUUACAUCUCCCAUCAUUAGGUAUCUCUUUAAUUUCUUAUUUACAAAAUUAUAUUGUACAUUAAAAAUGUAUUGAAUUAGAAGAAAAUAAAUUCAACUCACUCCAAAAAUAAAUAAAAAAUGCUGGUAGCUUCGUAAUAAUUACUGUAUUGACUGCACCAGAUAAAGUUUUGUAAAAUAAUAAGUUCCCAUUAGAGGUUUUUAAAUUUUUUUUUCCGGCACACCUGAUCAAGAAUUCUAUUUUGUUAACUAAUCAAUUGCAAAGCAUAAGUGUUGAACGGUACAAAAAAUUUGAAAAAAACACUUAAAACGUGGGGUGGGUAACGGUUCACUCAAUUCGUUAGGUAGAAUUUUGGAAAACUAAAGCGAAAUGAGAAAUAUAGAAAGAAAGGAAGAAAGUUAAGAUAUGAAAGAUCAGCAGUGAAAUUGAUAGUCAUGUUUGAUUCAUCCUUCUAUGAAUUUCUAGCUGUAUUGACCCCAACUGCUAAAGUUUUGUAAAAUAAAAAAAAAAAAAAACUGGAAUUUCAACAAAAUUCAAAACGUGUGAAAUUUAAUUUUUGGCCAUGUGGAACAAAAUGUAAAUUAAGGAAAAAAAGUAUAAAUCUGAAUUGCUUAGUAUGGUUAGGAUUUUGUGAGCAUCACUAAAAAGUGAAAACUAUGAAUGAUAGAGGUGAUGUUUGCAACAUGAAUAAAUGAUGAACUGAAUCAAUUGAUGAUCGUAAUUAUAUAAAAUUUUACAAAAUCAACAAAAGUUAAUAAAAUUUUAUUUAAAUAAUAAAAAAUCAAUAAAAACUUAUUAUUUUACGACGCUCUAACCAUGGAGUACCAUAAUCAUAUUCUUCUUUUAAGAAAAUUAUUCUAGAUAUUUAAAAGAAAACAUUAUCCACCUGGAAUGACUUGAAGUCUAAAGAAAAAGAGAGAAUGGCUCCCCGCAAUUUUCUUGUCUUCAGUAUAUUUUCUUUUUUUUUUCUUUUUUAAAAUCUUUUGCCGCAUACUUAAUCUACCCUUGUUUAUUAUCUCUACUUUGCUCUGUUCAAGUCCUUUUUUUUUUCAAAUCUUAUUUUAAAUAAGAAAAUUGAAUAAAAGUACAUUUGUGUAAUUAAUUAGUAUCUGGGGGGGGGGGGGGGGGAUAUUUGGUGUAAUGUUUUGCUAUGUAAGACUCAGCUAUUAUUAAACAGUUCCUUAACCUGUUUCGCAGUUUAUUUGCUAUCUUUGUGGAUCUCAUAGGCGUUGCAGAAUUUAAUAAUUUUAUUCGUCAGAAGAAUAGGAUAUUGGCUUCAAUAAAUUUAAUUUAAACCAACUUUUAUUUACUCCAUCAAUUAAUUAAUAUUAUGCAUUUAUUAAUUGUUAUAAUCUAAAAAAAAUUAAUUAGUUCAGGUCAAUCUGAGUUGAUGCAUCUGCAGGAGAUUUUUUUUAAAUUUUUUUUUCCCCUUAUUGACCAUAAUGAUCUAAGGGGUAUAAUUCGACCUUGGUUCUUGGGAAAAAUGACAUCUCCUUCAACAUGACUAUUGACUAGGAGCAUGUAAAAACAUGGAAACAGAAUUUCCACAAAAUGCCAAACGUGUGGAACUUAAGUUUUGGCCAUGUGGACCAAAUGCAAAUGAAGGAAAAAUGAUUUCCCCUGCUUAUGUACAAAUAAAGGAACAACCUCGAAGAAAAAGGGGUUACCAAUUGGAGAAGACUUUACAGAGUUUCUCUCACACUCUCUCUGUCAAUUUCAUCUAGAAGUCCCUCUGAAAGCAUCUCCCAAAACAGUUAGUCAUCUUUUAUGCUCUGUUUUCUAGAAACAGAGUCCUAACUAAAUUGAUUGACUGUACAGUGCAUUUCAACAUAGCAUAUUUAACCGUUUUAACUGUUAUUUGAACCGUCUUCAGAGUUAACAUCAACAAACUCAUUCACAUUGGUCCAAUCUUACGGACGAUAUCAUAUGCUUAAUAAUGAACGAAUUGGAUCAGUGUUUUGCGGCAAGAGCAACUCGACACAAUCUGGAUUCAACCUCCUCCUAUCUAACAAGGGAUUUCGAUUUGAGUUACUUUGUGCUCAAGCAAAUUCACAUCAUAGUUUUGAUUCUUUAGAUAUGAAUUCAUCACUUUACAUAUAUCAGAUUAAUGUGUAACAAAAUUUUUAAUUUACUGCGAAAAGAAUAUGCACUAAAAAAUGAUUUCAAGACUAUUUGACUACCAAAAGCAGCUGUCAGAGUGCACUAAAAAUUUCUGUAGGAUAUUUUGUAGCUGUUUAAUAUGUUAUGAUGGGCAUAUAAUUCUCAAAUUUUGAUGCCUCUCAGCGAAAAUCUAUCAAAGUUACAGAUGAUAUCACGUAAAACAUGCAUGGCUCAGGCUCAGGCUCAGGUAAGAAGCCACGGAAAAGGAAAAUCUCACUGUCACGACUCACGUCACGCAUCAUUCAAGUGAUGGAUUUAACAAGACUGCUUAUGUUCUAUCAAAUUCCUCUGCCUCUCAGAAGAUAACUUUUCUGGGCCAAAUUUCUCAUCUAAAGCAUAUUAUGCCCCAAAGUCACAGAUAACAAAAUGGGGCACUACCGAUUAUGAAAGAGAACUAGUAGUUGUCAGAAGCCUAAGUCAAAUUCCGGUAGUAAGAAGAGGCCUUUCUUGAGUUUAGAUUAUGUGUUCGAGUUUUAAUAAAUGCCUGAGUUAAUAAUAAUAACAACAGUAAUAAUAAACUAAAAAGCAUAAUUACUAUUGAAUGGUAAAAAAAAAAAAAUUGUGUGAACUCCAAUAACACCCCAGUGGCGAAUUUUGGAGAGGGCUAGGCCGGGCUUCUUAGAAAAAAAAAAUAUUUAAUUACAAAAUUACCUUUAUUGAAACCUAUAUAAAAAAUUUAUAUUAAUUAGUUAUGAUGCCUCUUCAAUUAUCAUUAAAUUCUUGUCUGUUCAUCAUUUGAUGGAUAAAUGUGUAUUUAAAUAAUCUUAAAUAAUGUCUAGAACAAAUAUUUUGAAUGGUAAAACUCAUUAUGUCUUGCAUUACUAGAUGUAUCUAUAAUUUAUUAUUUACAAAUUAUAUUGUAUGAUAAAAAUGUAUUGAAUUUUUUUUUUAAAGUUCGGCUCACUCAGAAAAAAAAAUGUUAUUAGACUCGCCACUGCACAAACCUAGAAUAAUAAUUAUUCCUUAUUAUAUUGACUGCACCAGGCAAUAAACUAAUAAGUUCUCAUCAGUGGUUUUUAAUCUUUUUAAUUCUUUUUACCGCACACCUGAUCAAGAAUUCUAUUUUGUUAACUAAUCAAUUGCAAAGCAUAUAUUAGUGUUGAACGGUGCACAAAAUUGAAAAAACAAAAUCUUAAAAAACGUGCGGACUCGGAUAGCCAGACCAGAAAUCUAUGACAAUAAUUAGAUUUGAUGCUGGGAAUCUAUUAAUUUCUGGCCGUAUUGACUCCACCAGUGAAGUUUUUAAAAUAACAAGUUCCCAUUCUCGGCUUAUAAUAAUUUUAGAAUAAUGACUUAUUUGUAGAAGAAUUUAUGAUUUCCCAUUAAUAUCAAUAUUGAAGUGGCAUGGGUCAAAUCUCAAUUGCUUGAAGAAUCUAUUUAUUAUUAUUAUUAAUAUUGAAAUGGGGUGGGUAACGGUUCACUCAAUUAAUAUGUGGGGAAUUAAAUAUUACCACCCAAGGUAGAAUUGUGGAAAAUUAAAGCAAAAUGAGAAAUAUGGAAAGGAAGGCUGAAAGUAAGGCAUGAUGAAAGGCUUUGAGAAGGCUGAAGACCACCAAAUAAGUCAACUGAAAGCUAGUUGGGGCCUGGUAUAUAUGUUAGAUGUGUUUGUUAUAAAUAACAUAGAGCCCUUUUGUUAGCUAUAGCUAUGGAGACAGAGAGAGUUUGUGUUUUUUAGUAGUUAAAGAUAUAGCUAGAAUGGGUGGUUCAAAAUCCAAAAUGGUGACAACGUUAGUUUUGUUAUUAAUAAUAUUAGAAGGGGGUGAAGUGAGGAAUGUUUGGAGCUUGAGAGAUUUGCUCUUUUGCGGCUUAAGCAUUUCUUCAAUUCUCCUUAUAGACUUUAAAACUAGGUAGACGAGCAAAGAGAUUGUUGUCAGUGGGAAACCGUUGAGUGCAGGAAAGUGAUACGACUACAUCUUAGUCUUACCAGGAAUAUCGAUCUGGGAGAGUGGUCUCUGAAUGCUUCUCUAUUUACUCUCUUUCAACAACUUGGCAACAAAAUAGCCGGUUGGGUUAAGAACGAAGGUCCUUCAUUUAAUUUAAUUUACUUAAUUUCUCCCUCUUAAUUAAUGUCUAUAACCAUUAGGAGAAAUAAGGGAUUUUAUUAACUCAAAUAUGUCUAAUGGAGCUCAUUCUUUGGUUUUACUUGCAGGUCUAGAAGCAGGUGUGUCAUCUAACAGCUGCUUUGAUAAUUUCCCACACCUUCAUCUUUGAUGGAAAUAUGAAAUAAAAACAAAUUGGUGAAAAUGGUAUUGGUACCUGAGGCCAUGUAAUCUAUUUCAAAAACUACACCAUCAAAACGAUUACAUAAGUCUCAGAAGAAUCAAACAUCAGUUUUGCAAAAUACCAAUUGCUGGAGGCUAGAUUCUAACUUCCCCUCUUGAUUUUUAUGGGCAUGUUGUGUCGUACAUGCAGACAAAAAUCAUAUUUUACUUUACUUAUUUCUUACUUUCACUUGCAACCCAAAGUGGCAAGAAAUAAAUAACAUGCUCCGAUUAGCUGGACAAAAGGAUGAUGACAAUCGAGUCGAUAUUAUAUGCAGAGUUUUCGAGAUAAAAUUAUUCCAACUAAUGCAAGAUCUGAAAAAAGAUCAACCAUUUGGAAAAAUAAUUGCAUGUAAGUUCACUUCAAAUUCGUAUACAUAACAAAUUCAACUCAUUUGUUAUUGAAAAGUGCAGGGAAGAACAAUAAUUUCACAAUUGAAAUCAAUGUUUCUAACUUUUAAAUUUUACUCCAUUUUGUGGCAGGUCUAUAGACAAUUGAGUUUCAAAAAAGAGGCUUGCUGUUGUGCAAAUUUUAAUGUACUCGCAAGCGCACGAAUCUAUUGUAGUAUAGAUCAAUGGUGACGAGUGUCGAUCCCACGAGGAGGUGGAUUUUAAUUGUGUAGAAUUAAUUUUGUGAAUGGGUGAUUGGAUUUUGUGGUGAAGGUGACUUAGAUUAUCCUAAAAUUGGAAUUGAAAUGGCGAGAAUAACUUGAAGAGAAUUCUAUUGAAAUGACGUACUUGGGUAUCUGGAUCCGUAUCAACAUGCAUCAUGGGCUAAAUAAUCUGUAUUAAUGCCAAUUAAAUCAUGAGGGGGGAAUCCACACUUCAUGAACCACGCUCUAAUCAAUAUGGUGCUAAGGGCUUAUCGUGCCAAAUAAUAAUAACCUUGUACUAGAGGGCCGGUGAAACCAAGGCGGUACUAGACAAGAUUAGUAUUAUUUAUCGACGAGAAGUCAAAACAUCCACAAAAACUAGAGGGGAAGAGAAAAUAAAUUUACCAAAUUAAGCCCAUGACACAUGUUGAGACUUCACCUUCAACCCAAGCUUGAAAGAAAAUUAGCCACUCAUAAUUGAACUAGGGGUAAAAUGGGAAUUUAUUACAAUACGAAGAAAAUACAAGAUGGAGAGGGAAUUACAGAAAACAGAGUCCAAAAAUGGAUUCAGAGGUAUCAAAUUAGGGGGGGGGAGGCCCCCUUUUUAUAGAUACAUGGAGUAAAUCAUGGCCAUCGGAUUAAAAACAGUUUGGACGCUCAGGAUUGCGCCACGUCAUCAGUCAACAGUCCACGGUUUGACCACGCGGAUGAACAGUAAUACGGUUUGACUCGGAUGAACAGUAACGUGGUUUGACUCGGAUGAACAGUAACGCAGUUUGGUUGAAAAUAAUCCUGUGUGAUGCAUGUACCGUACGCGAGAUUUUUCAUCCACUGAUAUGCUGCCACGUCACCAUCAACAGUACAUAAGAAUUUUAGCCCAACAGGAUCGUGACACCUCAUCAGUCAAUGCCACAUCAUCGGUCAAUGCCAUGUCAUCGAUCCGUCUAUGUGAACAGUGUUGUGAACAGUAACGUAGAUAGUACCGUACACGUGAAUAGUACCGUACAUAUGAAUAGUGCCAUUUUUCCUUUUAUGCUUCUCCUAAGGUUUUCGACCGUCCUGAGUUCAAAAGUGAUGUUCGUUUUGCCGUCUGAUCUCUCCUUUAUUGUGAAAUGACUAUAAUGCCCCUAAAAUACAUAAAAUACUUAAUUAAAAUAAAACACAUGUAAUUAAAUCACAAGAAGGUUAAAUACAUAAAAGUAAGGGUUGUUAGUAAGACUUGAAAUGUAAAAUGACGGUUUUCUCCUUUAUAAAUAUGCAUUUUCUAACACUCAACACACCCCCCAACCAGCUUAUUGCUAGUCCCUAGCAAAUAAAGCGAAAACAAAAUUUAAUUCAAAAUAUUUUUUUUUUUUAAUAAAAACACUCGUAUUUAUUCCAUCAGAUUAAUGAUAGCAAUCAAAUAAAAGUAUAAGCAUUAUCUCCAGUCUAAAGCAACAUCACACCCACAUCAACCAUCCACAUGAAUCAGCCCAGUAGACUUUUUUAUAGCUACUUUCAAGAAUGACAUGUCAAACCCCAAAAUCUCACUGGAAGUAGUGACACUCUCACAAAGAAAUUAAAACCAAUAAAAAUAGUCACUCCAAUGAAUGGUAAUUGAGAGAGAAAAUAAUAAAGAAGUGAUAUCACAUGCUCUCACCAAGAUGAAAUAAAUAUGCCCUUAGCUUAUAAAUAAUACGAUCUCAAGUCAAACAAAAAUGGUAGUCAACCCAAUUUAUUUAUCUUUUAUUUAUUUAUUUUUAUUAUGCACCACUACAUCUUUUUAGCCCAUAUAACUAGCUUCUACUUCAAACUAUAGUUCCCUAAAAUCAAGAAGGACUUUUAUUAGGACGUAACGUAGGCUAGGGAUAUGGCUAACAAAGAAAGGAAAUAAGGAAAACAAAGUGUAUGUUUGAGAAAAAUGCAGAGAAUUUUUUUUUUUUUUUGGAAGUUGCAAGGUGGAUUUCACCUAUUUUUAUUCUUUUGAAACAACAACUUUUGUUUUUGUUUUUUUUUUUGCUUUUAUUUGGCAUAACUUCACUGAACAAAAUAAUUAUUUACAUUUUCUCAAACAUAAAUAGGUGAUGGAACUUAUAAGAUAUCGGGUAACACUCCAAAUCGGAGUGGGUCAAGAUGAUAAGUUGACAAAGAAAAUGAUUUUUUUUUUAAAGGCUCAAAAUGGUUAACUAUGGAUAUUUAAUAAAAGGGAUGGCUAGAAAGGCUCAAACGGAUCAAAGAUGGCCUUUCCAUCGUCUUUUAGGGCUCUAAAUAAUCAUCCAUAUCUACUAGUUAGAUGGGCCUCCCAAUGUAGCAACACACAUUUUUUUUUCUUUUUUUUUAUUUUACCAUUUUUUUUUAAGGGUUAACGCAAAAGAAAUCUAGAGAUCGUGUAUAAAAUAAUAAACUGUUAAGCUGUAUAAAGAAUGGGCAAAAGGGUUACUCUCCAAGAAAAAUGAUAGGCUCAAAAACUCACUUAGUACUUAUUAUGACAUGUUCAUUCCUUCAAGCAACUCAUAUAUGUCUCCGACAUCAACAUGUAGAGUAGCAAACAUAAUGUAACAUCACUUAAGACCAAAGAUAAUACAAAUACUAAAAUUUGAAAUUAAUCAUGUCAUCCAAUGUUAAAACAAAUCACACAAUUUUUAUUUUUUUAAACAACAUUCUACCCCCCAACCUAUUCUAAACAUGAAAGGAAAAAUAUGCAUGCAGGAAUGUGAAAAUGAUGCAUAAAAACUAAUUAAAAAAAGUUACACUUAAAAUGAUAGAAAACGAAAAUGGGUUUUUUUUUUUUAACUUAGAAGAUGCGUUUCUAGAGGCACUACUCUCCAUAUUCAGCCAUCUUCGACUCAAAAUUUUGAAAAUAUAUAUUUAUAAGGAGAAAUUAAAAAGAAGAAGAAAAAUAAACAUCAAAACAUAAUAAAGAAAAAAAAAAUGUCUGAAUUUUUUUUUUUAGUUUUUUUUUUAAUUUUUUUUUUAAAACGAUGAAGAUGCGUUUCUAGAGUCACUACACUCCAUAUUCAGCCAUCUUCAACACAAAAAGUUAGCAACAGUUAGUUUCUACAACAAAAAAUUAGUAAAAACCUAACCAAAAUUCCACAAUUGUCGACUAUUCCCUCCCCCCAACCAGAAUGAAACAUUGUCCUCAAUGUUUGAAAGGAAAGAAGUAGAGUUUAGAAGACAUCACCUGGGUGGUGCAACACAGAAGAAAAUAUUUACAGGCGGAGAGUUAAAUCUAAUUUGUACUUCUUACUGCUGCUACUGUUACCAUCAUUAUUUGGACGCUCCAACACAAAGGUCCAGGGGUCUGGCUCCGGUCUAUAAGCUUGUAACAGAUCAAGUAGCUCAUUAGCAGUGUGAGCACAAAUAAAGAGUUUUUUCACAUUAGCGGGAAUGAAAUAGUUUUUUAUUGCAUGGUUAAGAAAUGCGAUAAAGCCAUCAUAAAAGUUAUUGACAUUUAACAAACCGAUGGGUUUCUGGUGGAUGUGGAGAUGGGCCCAAGAUGCUAGUGUGAUAAGUGCCUCUAGUGUUGCAAGAUCUCCUGGAAGGAAAAUAAAAGCAUCAGCAUGAUUAAGCAUUUCAGUUAUUCUUUCUUGCAUACCUGAGACAACUAACUCUUCUCCAGUUGAUGAGUCAGACGAACUGCCCAACGGUUUUAGGACUCUUGGGAUGAUGCCUAACACUUGGCUGCCUCUGAUUAAAGCUGCUUCUGAGACCAUUUUUGAUAACCCUCGAUUACCUCCUCCAUACACCAAGUGUAAUUUUCUCUCUGCUAUACUUCGACCAAGAUCUAUGGCUGCCUCAACGAACUCUUUAUGUUUGCCAUAGGUAAAUCCGGAAAGCACACAAAUGUUCUUGAAUUGUCUAUUGGGAGUAGCUACCAUUGCGAUACUUCUCAAAAACAAUUUGUGAGUGCUUGACAAAAGAUAUCACAUUUAAGAGUCUUGGUGAUAGUGGGUCAUGGUUGUGUAUGAGGUAAUAUGUCAGUGUCAAAUAACGCUUAAAGCACGUGGCUCGCAAGUAAAAAAGGAAACAGUAAAAAUGAAAAAGUAAACAGUAAUAAGAAAAAAGCAAACAGUAAUAAAAUUAUUAAGGACAAUAAUACACACAAUAAACAAUAGUGAAAUAAAAUAACAGUAAAGUGAAAGGAUAUUUACAGGUAGUUGCGACUGUGGCUCACAUCUUCCUCUGGUUUUAUGUCCAGAAAUGGCUUGAACGCCCUCUAUGGGUCGAGGAUAGGCUUCCUAUCCAGUUUUCUUAUAAACUGGCAAACAAGGUCGUUUAUAGUCAGAUUCCCAAGACUAUAUCGUGCAUGCUCUUUCUGGAAUAAUGGCCAUAACUGGAGAAUCGCUCCUUGCACAUAUCCACUGGGAUGCGUUUCAAGAGACAAAAGGAUAUCAUCCAAUGACUCCUUAUUCAAGCCAUCCCUAAUGAAUUGAAUCUUAUCUUCCCUGUUAUCAGACAUCAUUCCUAAAGAACAUGGGUUUUUAUUGCAACUCAUUCUGGCACACUUAUGACAAGCAACAGAAAUUCUUCGAGCUCGUCGUUUUCUUGCAUAAUUUCCUUUACCACAACCAGGCAUGUAUGUAAUAAAUUUUGGAGGUAACUCACCUGCCGAUCGUACUUUAGCCUCAAUUAACCAACGGAUGUCAGCAGGUAUGUUAUUCCUCAUAAGUAAUCGCAUGCGUUCGGACCGAGCUUUAUAGACCGUAAGGAGGGCAUUCUGAGGAAGUGAAGGGAAUCGCUUGUGAAGCUUCGCUAGAGUCUCGUUUCUGUCCAUACUUUCGCCUCAGAAUAUCAGUUAUUAUGGGAAACUGAAGUAACCGACUUGAUUGUCACGGAGUACCGUUAUCCGCCACUUCACCGGGGUAACAAACUAAAGCACACAAAUAGAAAAAAAAAAUUAAAACACACAAAGAAAAUUAAAAUCGUCCUCUUAUUGAAUAUACCUCAAGCUCCAACUGGAUGUCGUAAACACUUCUCUCAAUGUCUCUGAGUUGGAGUUCUAAACCCUCAACAUAGGCUACUAACUCUGGUGGUUGUAGAGCCCAAAUGCGUUGUGUUUUACAAAAUUGAAUCUGCCUUUUGAGAUGAGUUUUGACACGUUGAAGUGGUUUAAGAAUGUUCAGGAGGAACGGUCUAAGUAAUGUACUCAUGAUUAAAAAUGAUAAAAGAAAACAUACUAGUUAAACAAAUACACUUAUACAAAAAUAAUUUCAAUUAGCAAAAGAAUAAUAUAAAGAAAGAAAGAAAAAUCAAAUCAACGAAAAGAAAAAUCAAUUCAAAUCUGGUGGGUCACUCAAAUUUAUUUCGGUGUCUUCUCCAUGUGAUUGGUAUUCUAGAUAUGGCUUUAAUCUUUGACCAUUAACUUUAAACGUGACACCGUUCUUUGGGUCCUUAAUUUCAAUUGCCCCAUGUGGAAAAACAGUAUGAACAAUAAAUGGGCCAGACCAACGAGAGCGUAACUUACCUGGGAAUAGGUGCAAGCGAGAAUUGAAUAAAAGCACUUUCUGACCUGGAGUGAAAGAUUUUCUCAUAAUUUGCUUGUCAUGGAAGACUUUCAUUCGUUGCUUGUAAAUCUUGGCAUUUUCGUAUGCAUCAUUGCGAAUUUCUUCAAGUUCUGCCAACUGUAAUCUUCUUUCUGAGCUGGCUUGCUGCAUGUCAAAAUUGAAUUUCUUGAUGGCCCAAUAUGCACGAUGCUCGAGUUCCACAGGUAGGUGGCAAGCUUUUCCAUACACUAGCCUGUAGGGUGACAUCCCAAUCGGGGUCUUGAAAGCCGUUCUAUAUGCCCAUAAGGCAUCAUCAAGUCUUAAUGACCAAUCUUUUCUGUCUGGCCUCACCGUCUUUUCUAAUAUGUGCUUUAUUUCUCGAUUGGAGAUCUCAACUUGGCCACUGGUUUGCGGAUGAUACGGAGUCGCCACUUUGUGUGUGAUUGAAUACUUUGUCAAAAGAGAUUUGAAUGCUUUGUUACAAAAGUGGGCACCACCAUCACUAAUUAUUGCUCGAGGGAAUCCAAAGCGCGAGACAAUGUUGCUUUUCAAAAAUCCUAUCACCACCUUGUGAUCAUUAGUACUGCAUGGAAUUGCUUCUACCCAUUUGGAUACAUAGUCAACAGCAACCAAUAUGUAUUGAUGGCCAAAAGAAGGGGGAAAGGGUCCCAUGAAGUCGAUACCCCAUACGUCAAAAAUUUCAACCACUAAAAUUGGAUUUAAUGGCAUCAUGUUCCUUCGUGUAAUGCUCCCCAUUCGUUGACACCUAUCACAUGAAGAACAAAAAGUGUAAGCAUCUCGAAAUAUAGUUGGCCAAUAGAAACCACAUUGCAAAACUUUAGUAGCUGUUUUCUUAGCACUGAAAUGGCCUCCACAAGCUUGUUCAUGGCAGAAUGAAAGGAUAUUCUGAAUUUCAUUUUCUGGGACACAUCGUCUAACAAUUUGAUCAACACAAUACUUGAACAAAUACGGGUCAUCCCAAAAGAAAUUCUUUAUCUCUGCAAAGAAUUUAGCCUUAUCUUGCUUGGUCCAAUGCUUUGGAAGUUGACCUGUAACAAGAUAAUUCACGAUGUCAGCAUACCACGGUAAUACUUCCACAUUCAUCAAUUGUUCAUCAGGGAAUGACUCAUUUAAUGGUAAUGGCUCUGUAGUUGUGUCAAAAUGGAGACGAGAGAGGUGGUCCGCCACAACAUUUUCUGUCCCUUUCUUAUCUUUGAAUUCCAAGUCAAAUUCCUGCAAAAGUAACACCCAACGAAUUAGUCUAGCUUUUGCAUCUUUCUUUGUGAGAAGAUAUUUAAGAGCAGCAUGAUCCGUGAAUAUAAUUAUUUUACAACCAAUGAGAUAAGAUCGAAAUUUUUCUAAUGCAAACACUACUGCUAGCAUUUCUUUUUCAGUAGUUGAAUAGUUCAACUGUGCAUCAUUCAAUGUCAUACUAGCAUAGUAAAUAACGUGGGGAAUUCGAUCAACUCUUUGUCCUAAUACUGCUCCUACUGCAUAAUCAGAUGCAUCACACAUGAGCUCAAAUGGUAAGUUCCAGUUCGGGGGCUGAAUGAUGGGUGAUGAUGUCAACAAAUGCUUUAAUUUUUCAAACGCAACAAGACAUGAAUCAUAAAAAACAAAAGGUACAUCUUUAGCAAGUAGAUUGCAUAAGGGUCUAGAAACUUUGCUAAAAUCUUUAAUGAAACGUCUAUAAAAACCAGCAUGCCCAAUGAAAGAUCUUACUUCUCUGACUGUUUUGGGUGAAGGAAGAUUAGAAAUGAGAUCCACCUUAGCUUUGUCAACCUCAAUACCUUUGCUCGAAAUGAUGUGACCGAGAACAAUACCUUGUUUUACCAUAAAAUGACACUUCUCCCAAUUUAAGACCAAGUUCUUCUCGAUACAUCUCUGCAGAACUAGUGUUAGAUGAUGUAAACAUUGAUCAAACGAAUCACCAAAGACAGAAAAGUCAUCCAUAAAGACUUCAAGGAAUCGUUCAACCAUAUCAGAAAAAAUGCUCAACAUGCAUCGUUGAAAUGUAGCAGGUGCAUUACAUAAUCCAAAUGGCAUCCUCCUAUAUGCAAAAGUGCUAAAGGGCAAGUGAAAGUAGUUUUCUCUUGAUCUUUUGGUGCUAUGGGAAUCUGAUUAUAUCCUGAGUAGCCAUCUAGAAAGCAAUAAAAUUCAUGGCCUGCCAAUCUAUCAAGCAUUUGAUCGAUAAAUGGUAAAGGAAAAUGGUCUUUACGUGUGACAGAAUUCAACUUUCUAUAAUCAAUGCAUACACGCCAUCCUGUAGUCACUCUAGUGGGUAUCAAUUCAUUAUCAGCAUUGGUAACUACUGUGACUCCUGACUUUUUGGGGAUGACUUGUACAGGACUGACCCAUGAACUAUCAGAAAUUGGGUAAAUGAUACCUGCAUCUAAUAGCUUAAGGACUUCUGUUCUAACAACUUCUUUCAUAUUAGGAUUUAACCGACGUUGCAUUUCCCUAGUAGAUUUAGCAUUUUCAUCGAGGUGAAUGUAAUGCAUGCAGUCUACUGGAUUUAUACCUUUUAUAUCUGCUAUGGUCCAUCCUUAUGCUCCUUUGUGCUCUUUUAAAACAUCCAACAACUUACCUUUUUGUUCGUCAUUUAGGGAUGAUGAGAUGAUUACCGGCAGAGUACUUUCUUCUCCCAAAAACGCAUAUUCCAAAGUGUUGGGCAAUGGUUUGAGCUCGAGUUUCGGUGGUGAUUCUGAUGAUGGGAUGAGUUUCUUCUCUGAUGGUGCUACUCUUGACUUCCAUUUAUUAGUGUCCAUGGAUGGUGCUGAGUCAAGUAGGGCGUUGACCUCAUCGACCGAUCUGUCAAUAUCAAUAUCAAAAUCCAAACCAAAGUGAGUUAAACAUGUUUGUAAAGGAUCACCACUAAGGUUUGAAAGAAAAGUGUCAUCAACUAAUGAUUCAAUUAAAUCCACAUCAACAAUUCCAUCAUCUACACUGUGAGGUUGUUUGGCAAUGUUGAAAAUGUUUAGCUCCAUAGUCAUGUUGCCGAAGGACAACUGCAUAUUUCCAGUCCUGCAUUGAAUGUGAGCAUCCGCAGUUGCCAAGAAAGGUCGGCCUAGGAUAAUGGGGAUGUGCUUCCUUGAAUCCUGUAUUGGUUGAGUGUCAAUUACAAUGAAAUCAACAGGAAAAUAAAACUUGUCUACCUGGAUAAGCACGUCCUCCACAAUACCACGAGGUAUUUUCGUGGACCGAUCUGCGAGUUGUAACACCACUAGAGUUGGGUGCAAUUCUCCAAGUCCAAGUUUCACAAACACAGAGUAAGGCAAUAAAUUUACACUAGCUCCUAAAUCCAACAAAACAUUCUCAAUUGUGUGGUUCCCUAUACUACAUGAGAUAGUGGGGGAGCCUGGGUCUUUGCAUUUUAAAGGAAUUUUAUGUUGGAGUAUAGAACUAACGUUUUCUGUUAAAAAUGCCUUCUUUUGAACAUGCAUAUUUCUCUUUUUAGUACAAAGGUCUUUAAGAAACUUGGCAUAAGAUGGAACUUGCUUAAUAGCAUCAAGCAAAGGGAUGUUAACACUUACCUGUUUGAAGAUUUCAAGAAUCUCACUUGUGGAUUUUCCCUUUUUUCCUUUAGCUAACCUCUGAGGAAAUGGAGCUUUGGGAACAUAUUCCCGUGGGUUGGUUUCUUCUUUCUCCUCCGGUGAUGAGUCUUCAACAUUCACAGGUACAAUUUGAUUUUCUUUUGUCACCGGCAUCUCCACUUUGUUGUCGACUUCUUUUCCUUUUCAUAAGGUCAUGACUGCUUUGACCUCUCCAUGCUGCUGUGAUGAACUGGUACUUGCUUCAUGUACUCCUUUAGGAUUAGGCACUGGUUGACUUGGAAAUUUGCCUUUCUCAACAGUCAUUGCCAAUGUCUGAACUGAAGAAGCAAGUUGUCCCACCAUCUUCUCGAGGCUUGAAACUGAUUGAGCUUGUGAGUUGAAGCCUUCUCUCAACUCAUUUCGUAGUCCAUCAAUGGUGCGGUUCUGUUGCUCAAUCGUGGAGUGAGUAACAUUCCUGAAAUUCUGGAAUUCAUCCUCCCAUGGUCUAGGUUGAGAGUGGUUCUGGUUCUGAUUGUAUGGUCUAAAUGGUGGCUGAGAGGCUUGAGGAACUUGAGGAAUUUGUUGCAUUGGUGGAGCUGGAGCUGCUGGUCCAUUCUGUUGGAAUCCUUGAGACCAUGAAAAAUUGGGGUGGUCUCUCCAUCCAGGAUUAUAUGUGUUGGAGUAUGGGUUGUAAUUUGAUGGUUUUUUCAUUAUACCUAUGGCAUUGGCUUGAUCUGAGUAUGAGUCAAGGUCAUGUGGUUCAGUUGAUUUAGCAGUCGAUAACGAUGCUAUUUGUCGAGCAAGACCUUCAACCAUCUCCUUGACUUCUUUGAUUCCUGAAGUUGAUUCGCCAAUUUAAACCUCAUUCACUCCUUUAAUUCUUCUAGUAGUCCUGAGUGAUCGACUCCGUUGUUGGGAAUUAUCUGCUUGUCGUUGGAAGAAUUCCCAAAUUUCUGAUGCACUUUUUGACAUUAGCUCUCCUCCACUUGUUGCCAUUAGCCAUUCUUGCACAUUUGGUAGUAAUCCCUCCAAAAAGUAUUGGCAUUGGUGCCAUUUCUCGUACCCAUGAUGUGGACACUUCAAGAGUAGCCCAUUAAAUCGCUCCCAUGUUUCGAAAAAUUGUUCGUCCUCUCUCUGGGUAAACUCCGAGAUUUCCCUGCGAAUAGCAUUGGUUUUAUGCACUGGGAAAUAUUUAUUCAAAAAUUUAGUUACCAUUUGUUCCCAUGAUGAAAUGCUAUUAGCAGGUAAAGUAUUUAACCAUGAACGAGCUCUAUCUUUUAAAGAAAAUGGGAAUAGUCUAAGUUUAACAUUAUCGUCUGAAAAAUUUUCAUAUUUAAAAGUUUGACAAAUGGCAUGAAAAUCAUUCAGAUGAUUAUAUGGAUCCUCAUUUUCUAGGCCAUAAAAUGUUGGGAGACAAUUUAGCACACUGGGUUUUAAUUCAAAACUCCUAGCAGCUACAUUUGGGUAUCUUAUGCAUGAUGUGCUCAAAUUAGCUAAGGGACUGAAGUAGUCCUUAAAUGGCCUCUCCUGUGGUUGCAAAUCCAUUUUAUUUUUAAUUUGUUUGUGUGUGCGAAGUGUUCUUUCUAGUUCAAGGUCCAUAGGUUCAAGAUUAGGUAAUAAUGACCUACGACCAUGCAUGCAAAACAAAUAAAAAAAAUAAAGAUGGGAACAAAAAAAUAAAAUAAAAAUAAAGAAGAGGGAGAAAUUACGAUACUAACCUUAUUGCGCUAUUACAAUCUUUCUAUAAAAAUACACAAAAAUAAAUACGUGAAAUAAAUUAACUAAAAAUAAAUUAAUAAGAUAAACAAAAAAAAAUUACAAAGAAAAAUAAGUUGAAAAUGAAAUAAUAGAAUUUUAAAGAAGAGAAAAAGAAAAAAAAAUACUAACCUUUAAAUGUAGGUUCACUUUUUUUUCUUUUUUUUUUAAGAAAAAAAUAUAUAAGAAAACAAAUAAAAGAUAUUAUUCACACAAAUUAAUUCUAUGAAUUAAAAUUACUUACCUCCCCGGCAACGGCGCCAAAAACUUGUUGUGCAAAUUUUAAUGUACUCGCAAGCGCACGAAUCUAUUGUAGUAUAGAUCAAUGGUGACGAGUGUCGAUCCCACGAGGAGGUGGAUUUUAAUUGUGUAGAAUUAAUUUUGUGAAUGGGUGAUUGGAUUUUGUGGUGAAGGUGACUUAGAUUAUCCUAAAAUUGGAAUUGAAAUGGCGAGAAUAAAUUGAAGAGAAUUCUAUUAAAAUGACGUACUUGGGUAUCUGGAUCCGUAUCAACAUGCAUCAUGGGCUAAAUAAUCCGUAUUAAUGCCAAUUAAAUCAUGAGGGGGGAAUCCACACUUCAUGAACCACACUCUAAUCAAUAUGGUGCUAAGGGCUUAUCGUGCCAAAUAAUAAUAACCUUGUACUAGAGGGCCGGUGAAACCAAGGCGGUACUAGACAAGAUUAGUAUUAUUUGUCGAUGAGAAGUCAAAACAUCCACAAAAACUAGAGGGGAAGAGAAAAUAAAUUUACCAAAUUAAGCCCAUGACACAUGUUGAGACUUCACCUUCAACCCAAGCUUGAAAGAAAAUUAGCCACUCAUAAUUGAACUAGGGGCAAAAUGGGAAUUUAUUACAAUACGAAGAAAAUACAAGAUGGAGAGGGAAUUACAGAAAACAGAGUCCAAAAAUGGAUUCAGAGGUAUCAAAUUAGGGGGGGAGGCCCCCUUUUUAUAGAUACAUGGAGUAAAUCAUGGCCAUCGGAUUAAAAACAGUUUGGACGCUCAGGAUUGCGCCACGUCAUCAGCCAACAGUCCACGGUUUGACCACGCGGAUGAACAGUAACACGAUUUGACUCGGAUGAACAGUAACGUGGUUUGACUCGGAUGAACAGUAACGCAGUUUGACUCGGAUGAACAGUAACGCGGUUUGGUUGAAAAUAAUCUUGUGUGAUGCAUGUACCGUACGCGAGAUUUUUCAUCCACUGAUAUGCUGCCACGUCACCAUCAACAGUACAUAAGAAUUUUAGCCCAACAGGAUCGUGACACCUCAUCAGUCAAUGCCACAUCAUCGGUCAAUGCCACGUCAUCGAUCCGUCUAUGUGAACAGUGUUGUGAACAGUAACGUAGAUAGUACCGCACACGUGAAUAGUAAUGUACAUAUGAAUAGUGCCAUUUUUCCUUUUAUGCUCCUCCUAAGGUUUUCGACCGUCCUGAGUUCAAAAGUGAUGUCCGUUUUGCCGUCUGAUCUCUCCUUUAUUGUGAAAUGACUAUAAUGCCCCUAAAAUACAUAAAAUACUUAAUUAAAAUAAAACACAUGUAAUUAAAUCACAAGAAGGUUAAAUACAUAAAAGUAAGGGUUGUUAGUAAGACUUGAAAUGUAAAAUGACGGUUUUCUCCUUUAUAAAUAUGCAUUUUCUAACACUCAACACUUGCCCCAUGCACACAUACUGCUUUUUUUGCAUCCAACAAUGAAAAAUCCUUCUGCAAACCAUAUUGAUAAAAUAAUAAUUGCAGAAAUCCCUAACUUAAAUGUUGAUCCUGAUGGUUAUAAUGCAGUUAACAAAUUUAUGAUUCAUGGACCGUGUGGAAAACACAAUUCUCACUCUCCAUGCAUGAUGCAAGACAAGUGCACAAAACAUUUUCCAAAAAAAUUCAAUGAUCAAACAAUAGUGGAUACAUAUGGCUUUCCAGUCUUUAAAAGGAGAAAUACAGGUAUUCAUGUCGAAAAGAAAGGUGUCUUCUUGGAUAAUCGAUAUGUGGUCCCUUAUCACAGGAAUUUAAUUGUCAAAUUUGAUGCACAUAUUAAUGUUGAGAUUUGUAAUUACUCGAGACCAGUUAAAUAUUUUUUCAAGUAUGUCCAUAAAGGGUCUGAGAGAACAACUGCAACAAUAGAAUCUAUUGACACUACCCAAGAAAUGGACGAGUGAUGGGUGUUGAAGCCAACAAAAAUAAAUUCCUACUCUAAAUAAAUUGUGUAUAGUGAUUGAGCAGGGUCGUGUCCACAGAGAUCGGUAAUUAUUUAAAUCCUUUUGAAACGUAAAACGUAAAAUGGGGGAAUUGUUGACAAUAAUAAAAAUCAAAUUAAAAAUAACAAGAAUGCAAAUUAAAGUUGUAAUUCAAAUUGGAGAAAGCUCUGGUUGAAGGAAUUAACUCAGCUUGAUUCGACUACUGAUCAUUGAUUCAAAUAUAGAUGAUUAUUACUCAUGAAUAGACUGGUUAUAGCUACUGAGACCCUCUAAUAGCCAAUCUCUCCUUAACUAGUCGAUAACCAAGGUACGACCAUUGGUUAUUUCCCUAAUCAAUAGACAACCCUAGAUACGAUCAUAGAAUUUAAUCAAUUGACAGCCUGAAAAACCAGAGAGACCCAAAUCCUAAUCAACACAUAUGAUGAUUCAUUUAAAUUAGAUUGUUUAUUCUCACAACACAACUCUCUGCUAUGUUAUUUGUCACAAGCAUUAAAUUCUUCAUACGAUGAAUCCUUUAAUUGACAAUAGAUUAAGUUGAUAAUUAAAUAGUGGCCAAUUACCUAAUUAACAAACAUAAUCAUGAAAAUAAUUUAGAGAAUAAACAAAUACCCAAAAAGCAAUAAAACAAUUAAAGCACAAGAAAGAUCUCACAGUAGUGAUGAAUCAAAGCUUCGUUAUCCUUCAACUAGAAAAAUAGGUUUAGUUCUUCAUAGAGAGAAGAGAAAAAUUAAAUCUAGGGUUUCUUUCUUUUUCUCCAAUCCAAAAAAUCCCCCCUUUUUCACAAUUGAUUCCUCCCUUAAAUACUCUCUCUCUCUUCUCUUUUAGAGUUCUAUUUAAAAUAAAAUACUAAUAUCUAAAAUAUUAAAUUCGUAAUUACAAAAAUAGCCAAAAAUAUAAAACACGUUAAACUAAAAACUGCAGGUCCGCAAUUGACAGCACGCGCCCACGCCUUAUCAACAAAGUUCUUCUGCCGCUCAUAAUUUCUCCAAGGGAACAAUCAUCCCUAAACAUCAUCUUGUAGCUCAAUUUUAUCACCAAUCAAUAGAAUUGCACCUACAAAAGUAAAUCACAGGUAAAUCACUAUUAUUAAAUGCAAAACAUCGAUAUUAAGGGAAGUAAACAAUGCAAAACUAGUGCAUAAAUUGCACUCUAACAAAUUCCCCCACACCAAGAUGAUGCUUGUCCUCAAGCAUAUAACUCAAGAUUAAUCUCAAAUUUCCACUCAAUUCUCAUCUCAACUCAUCCAAAAACAAUUUUAAGCAAGCAUACCUCAAGAAAUUAAGUCGUUCAACGUUCGAGAGACAAGGAUUUUAAAGCAUAGAAUUUCGUAAGAUAGAAUAAGAACAUUCAACCACCAAGAAGAUCCAUUCAAAACUCAAGUGCAGCAAGAUUUAAUAGCCCUCUCAAUAACUUCACUCCAUGCACUCAAAGUGUUUAGGGUGUCAUUUAUCCACUCAAAUCAAAUCAAAGAAUGCUAUUACCAUAAGCUUGCUCAUAUAUCACAUCUCAAUCCACAAAACAUGAAUAAAAUGCAAAAAUCUAAGGGUCUUAAAAGGGUUGUAAUGGGGUUAAAUUGGAGAAAUGAAAAAGAAAGGUUUAUGAAAGAAAAAGAGAUCAAAAUGAGAAGAAUGAACUCAUUGAAUGAACUUAUGAUAUCAAAAUGCUUAUUUCUACUCAAGUCACCAAGAAUGUAAAAUUUUUUUUUUCGAUUUUUCUUUUUCUUUUUUUUUCUUUUUUUUCUUUUUUUUUCUUCUUUUUUUUUCUUUUUUUUUUGUUUUUGAUUUUUUUUUUGAAUCAAACAAAAGAAACGAACCUUGCACAAUUUAAUUCAAGCAUAAUGCUUGUUGAUCUAAUUGAGAAACUUUAAUACAAGGUAGAAAAAGCAACAAAAUAUAUCCACACAAUGAGUCCAAAAAUCUCCUUAAAUUGAGGCUCAAAAAGAAGAAAAAUGGUUAAGUCGACGGAGAGAAUUAGAUGGGUAAUGGUUAAGGCUCAAACAAAGGUAGCAAAUAAAGGUCUUCGGGUAGAGAAGGAAAAAAAAAUGCGAGAAUAGAAAAAUGGAAUAUGGUUUGCCCUUAUCAUUUUAAUGCAUAAAAUCCCGUAAUGUGGCUUCAACAUGCAUAAUAAAGCAAGUUCUAGAAUAAACAAAGUAGGAUUGAUAUUCACAUAACAAAAAUAAUUAGAGCAAAGUGGUUGCUCAUAGGCUCAAAUCCUCACAAAGUUGGUAAAUUUGCCAUCAAAUCAUGUACACUCUUCAAAUGAAUCAACCAUCAAUAGUGGUGUAGAAUGAGAAGAAGGUAUGAGUGAGAUGUAAAAGGAAAGGUAAAAAUGAUAAGAAGUGAGAAAGAUGUAUGUAGUAAUAUGAAAAGUGAAAGAUAAAAUGUGAGUGAUGAAAGAGUAUGAUAGAAUAAAAAUAGAUGUAAAUAAUUUGAGAUAGAUGGGAAAAGAGUAGUGAGAGAGAGAGGAAAAGAAAAUUAAUAAUAUAUGAAGCAUACUGCAAAAAUCAUUUAAGGAUGAGUAGAGUGAAAACAAUAAUUUCAGACAUCAAUAAUGCAAAAAUCCCUCCCCCACACUAAGAACUGACAUUGUCCCCAAUGUAAGAUAAUCAAAGCUCACAUAAAAAUUAAAGCGUAAGGAUAAAAGAUUAAGGGCAAAAACUUCCUUGAAUUGUGAGCUUUGAUCCUCAUAACGUCUAUGGGCUUGGCGGGAAUGGUGGGAUAAAUCCCACACUCUUGAAGUAUGCGGCCAAAUUCUGCUCCAUCUUGUCACGGAUUUCGAUUCACGGACCUGGAAUGCAGGUCGUAGGCUGGUUGCGUUGCGAUUGCUGCUCGGCUGGAGCUUGCUUGAUGGACGCGGGAUGGCACUGAUUGUGUUGCGCGCGCGCGCUGGGGCUGCUGGAUCUGCGCGUUGCGUGGGCUGUGUUGUGCGCGAGAGCUGGGCUGACGCUGGUGCUGCGUUGCGUUGCGCGCGCGGGACUGAUGCGCUGCGUGAUGGUGAUGGCUGGAGCUUGCUGCGUUGCGCGUGGCUGGUUUCGCUGGUGGGACUUCGUUGCGCGCUGCUGGGCUGCGAGACACGGGAUGCUGGUGCUUGCGCUCACGGGAUGGUGCGUUUUCCGGCGGGUUGGUUUGCUGCUGGUGUGCUGCAAGCGGCUGGAGAAGAAAACAAGUUCUGGAAAAUUAGGGAUUUUGUGAACAGUGAAUAGUGAACAGUGAUUUUCGAUUUUUGGUUUUUUUUUUAAUAAAUAAAUAAAUAAAAAGAAAGAAAGGAACGAAAAAAGAAAAAGAAAAAAAAAUAAUAAAUAAUUUUUUUUUUUUUAUAGUGAUGAAUCACUUUGAGACACUAAAAAUUUCAGAAGUACUUUUCUAAUAAGUACAUGGGCACGCCUUAUAAAAAAUUUUCUUCUGACCAAAAUAAGCAAACACAUUAAAUUUCAGAAGUACUUUUCUAUUAAGUACGUGGGCACGCCUUAAAACUAUGUUACUUUAAAAAUUACAGAAGUACUUAUUAGCUAAGACGUGGGCACGCCUUAUCAAAAAUUUUCUUCUGACCAAAAUAAGCAAAAUUUUUCUUUUUUUUUUUUGAAUUAAAAUUAAAAGAAGAUAUAACAAAAACCAAAACAAACAAAUCAUUUGGGUUGCCUCCCAAAAAAGCGCCUUUGUUUUAUGUCUUUGGCUAGACACAUUUAUGCAUCAAUCUCCAUAAUUGGGACUCUCGAGAGCCACAUCCUCCACAAUAUUCACCGAAAAACCUUCAUAAAAAGGUUUUAAGCGAUGACCAUUAACCUUAAAAACUUUGUCAGAGGUCGGGCUCCGAAUCUCAACUGCACCAUAAGGAAAAACAUUAGUAACAAUAAAAGGUCCAACCCAACAAGAACGUAAUUUACCCGGAAAAAGUUUAAGCUUAGGAUGAAAAAGAAGAACUUUUUGACCAACAGAGAACUCCUUUCUCAAAAUCAUUCUAUCAUGAAAUGUCUUCGUCUUUUCCUUGUAAAAAAUUUCCUGCGCUAUAGGGUUAAUAACAUCCACAGAAAAUACCGAAUGUUCCUCACUAGGAUAUUUCAUGGCAUCAUUCAUAUUGAAUUCUAUAACCUCUCCAUCAAACUCCAUAGUGAGAGUCCCUUUAUGUAUAUCCAUUUUAGUCCUAGCAGUCUUAAGAAAAGGUCUUCCUAGCAAAAUUGGGAUAGAAUUAGAGGAGUUAUCAUCUUCCAUAUCAAGUACAUAAAAAUCAGCAGGAAAAACCAACUCAUUAACUUGUACUAAGACAUCUUCUAAUACCCCAUCAGGAUAUGCAUUAGACCUAUCAGCUAGUUGAAUUAUCACACAAGUUUCUUUUAAUGGACCAAUAUUCAAAGAUGAAUAAAUGGAACGAGGCAUGACAUUAAUAGAAGCUCCUAGAUCUAACAAAGCCUUUUCAACUCUAACACUACCAAUUUUACAAGGGAUAGUAAACAUACCUGGAUCCUUGCACUUAGGAGGUAGUUUCUUUUGAAGAACUGCUGAAACAUUCUCCCCCAUGUGAACUUUUUCAUCUCCUCUUAAUUUUCUCUUGGAGGUGCACAGUUCCUUAAGGACUUUAGCAUAUCGAGGUAUUUGUUUUAUAGCAUCUAAUAAAGGAAUAUUUACCUCAACCUUGCGAAAUGUCUCAAGGAUGUCUUUCUCUUGUUCCUCCUUCUUGGAUUUUACAAAUCGGCUUGGAAAAGGAGGAGGUAUCACAAUAGGUAGGGGUUUCGCUUUGGUGGGUUGCGCAUCUUGAGAUUUAGGUAUCAAUUCAUUCUUCUCAAGCUCAUCUUCUACAUGCUUUGUCACUUUCUUACUAGGCUCUUGCAACUCCUUCCCACUUCUAAGGAUGACAGCACUAACGUUUUGCUUUGGAUUCACCUCAGAUUGUGAAGGCAAUCUUCCUAAUACUUGAGACUCCAGACGGCUUACUGUAGUCGCCAAUUGACUCAUUUGGUUCUCCAAGUUCUGAAUGCUUGUUGUAGUUGCCUGCUGAAAUUGUUGAGUGUUAGUCGCAAGUGAUUUAACAAUUUCUUCAAGAGAUAUACCUGACUUGGAGUUUGACUGUGGAGGUGUUGGUUGUCUUGGUGGAUACUGUUGUGGGAAUCCUGACGGCCUAAUGCCAUAGCUGAAGUUUGGAUGAUCCUUCCAUCCCGGAUUGUAUGUUUGUGCAUAAGGAUCAUACCUCCUCUGAGGCAUGCCUGGAAAUCCUCCAACUGCAUUGGCUUGUUCAACGGGUUCUUCUUGAAGUGUAGGACACAUAUCAGUUGAAUGACCCAUAUUGUAACAAAUACCACAAGUCUUCACCUGUUGCACAUUACCUACAACAAACUUUUCCACAAGAGAAGUGAGUUUAUCUAAACGUUGUUCAACAGAAGAAAUAUUUACCUCAUUCACAUUCCUUAAGGUGGCAUCUUGUCUGCUGCCAAAUUGUUGUGCAUUGGCAGCCAUAUUUGAUAUCAACUCCCUUGCUUGAGUAGGAGUCUUGUUCACCAACACACCUCCACUAGCAGCAUCUAUCAUACUCCUAUCCAUCAAUGAUAGUCCUUCGUAAAAAUAUUGAAUAAGAAGUUGAUCAGAAAUCUGAUGCUGAGGACAACUGGCACACAAUUGUUUGAAUCGCUCCCAAUACUCAUACAAAGUCUCCCCAGGAAGUUGUCUGAUCCCACAAAUAUCUUUUCUGAUGUUGGCAGCUCUUGAAGCAGGAAAGUACUUCUCGAGGAACUGCUUCUUCAAACCAUUCCACGUUGUAAUCGAUUCAGGAGGCAAGUAGUACAACCAAUCUUUAGCUAGCCCAUCUACAGAGAACGGAAAAGCACGCAGCUUAAUCUGCUCUUCAGUCACGCCUUGUGGCCUCAUACUUGAGCACACAACAUGAAACUCCUUGAGAUGUUUAUGAGGAUCUUCACCUGCAAAACCAUGAAACUUGGGUAAUAAGUGAAUAAGACCAGACUUUAAUUCAAAAUUUACCUCCAAGUCUACAUAUUGAAUGCAGAGUGGUUGUUGAUUCAAGUCUGGGUCAGCUAACUCUCUAAGAGUUCUUUCUACAGGUGCAGGUCUAUCCAUCACUUGUUCUUCUGAAUCGCUAGAUGAUUCAACUAAAUCAGGCACCGUAUCUGUUUCAGAAAGCAAAGGCGACGAGGAUCGUUGCUUAGCUCGUUUUGUCUGCUGUCUCAGCUGGCGAGCUGUCUUCUCAAUUUCAGGAUCAAACGAAAGUGUACCUGUACGAGAAGAACGAACCAUACACCAAGUAAAACGUAAAAAGGAUUAAAUAAAUGACACCAAUCCCCGGCAACGGCGCCAAAAUUUGAUGGGUGUCGAAGCCAACAAAAAUAAAUUCCUACUCUAAAUAAAUUGUGUAUAGUGAUUGAGCAGGGUCGUGUCCACAGAGAUCGGUAAUUAUUUAAAUCCUUUUGAAACGUAAAACGUAAAAUGGGGGAAUUGUUGACAAUAAUAAAAAUCAAAUUAAAAAUAACAAGAAUGCAAAUUAAAGUUGUAAUUCAAAUUGGAGAAAGCUCUGGUUGAAGGAAUUAACUCAGCUUGAUUCGACUACUGAUCAUUGAUUCAAAUAUAGAUGAUUAUUACUCAUGAAUAGACUGGUUAUAGCUACUGAGACCCUCUAAUAGCCAAUCUCUCCUUAACUAGUCGAUAACCAAGGUACGACCAUUGGUUAUUUCCCUAAUCAAUAGACAACCCUAGAUACGAUCAUAGAAUUUAAUCAAUUGACAGCCUGAAAAACCAGAGAGACCCAAAUCCUAAUCAACACAUAUGAUGAUUCAUUUAAAUUAGAUUGUUUAUUCUCACAACACAACUCUCUGCUAUGUUAUUUGUCACAAGCAUUAAAUUCUUCAUACGAUGAAUCCUUUAAUUGACAAUAGAUUAAGUUGAUAAUUAAAUAGUGGCCAAUUACCUAAUUAACAAACAUAAUCAUGAAAAUAAUUUAGAGAAUAAACAAAUACCCAAAAAGCAAUAAAACAAUUAAAGCACAAGAAAGAUCUCACAGUAGUGAUGAAUCAAAGCUUCAUUAUCCUUCAACUAGAAAAAUAGGUUUAGUUCUUCAUAGAGAGAAGAGAAAAAUUAAAUCUAGGGUUUCUUUCUUUUUCUCCAAUCCAAAAAAUCCCCCCUUUUUCACAAUUGAUUCCUCCCUUAAAUACUCUCUCUCUCUUCUCUUUUAGAGUUCUAUUUAAAAUAAAAUACUAAUAUCUAAAAUAUUAAAUUCGUAAUUACAAAAAUAGCCAAAAAUAUAAAACACGUUAAACUAAAAACUGCAGGUCCGCAAUUGACAGCACGCGCCCACGCCUUAUCAACAAAGUUCUUCUGCCGCUCAUAAUUUCUCCAAGGGAACAAUCAUCCCUAAACAUCAUCUUGUAGCUCAAUUUUAUCACCAAUCAAUAGAAUUGCACCUACAAAAGUAAAUCACAGGUAAAUCACUAUUAUUAAAUGCAAAACAUCGAUAUUAAGGGAAGUAAACAAUGCAAAACUAGUGCAUAAAUUGCACUCUAACAACGAGAUCAAAACAUAUUUGGAGUGCAGAUAUAUAUCAGCAACCGAAGCUUGCUAACGAAUCUUCUAAUUUGACAUACAUUAAAGAAAGCCGGCAGUUGAAAGAUUGCCGUUCCAUUUACCGGGAGAGCAUACAGUAAUAUUCGAAGAAUCCAAGUGCUUAGAAAAUGUGCUUACCAUACCUGGAAUAGAAAAAACAAAGUUCACAGAAUGGUUGCAGGCAAACAAGAAUUAUGAUGAUGCACGAGAGCUAACUUAUUCUAAUUUCCCUACAUGUUGGGUAUGGAAUUCAAAAGACAAAACUUGGACUAGGAGAAAAAAUGGCUUAGCAAUUAGAAGAAUUUACUUUGCACAUCCUUCAAGUGGAGAACGAUUUUAUAUGAGAAUGUUGCUCAAUUUUGUAAAAGGAAGCACUUCAUUUGAAAGUACUAGAACAGUAAAUGGAGUGACAUAUCCAACUUUUAAAGCUGCGUGCUAUGCUUUGGGAUUAUUAGACGAUGAUAAAGAAUGGAUCGACUGCUUGACUGAAGCUGCAAUAUGGGCGACUGGAAAUGAAUUAAGACAUCUUUUUGUCACGAUACUCAUUCAUUGUCAGGUUUCUGAUGCAUCCCAACUUUGGAAAUCUAAUUAUACUAGUUUAUCAUAAGGCAUAACUUCAUUGCAAAGGAAAAGAUUCAGAUUGAAAGAUCUUCAGUUAACCGAGCAACAAGUUGAAGCAUACACAUUGUUGGAGAUUGAAACUAUCAUGUUGAAAAUGGGAAAAAGUUUAAGAGACAUAGAUGGAAUGCCACUUCCUAAUUCUUCUUUGAUAAGAGAUUCAGGUAACCGAUUGGUCAAUGAAGAGCUUGAUUAUGAUCGUGAUCAAUUAAAGAAGUUGCAUGAGAAAUCAUUUACUGCUCUAAAUGCUUGCAAAAAAUCAGCCUAUGAAGCAAUAAUGCAUUCUGUUGAGAAUGAAGAAGGGUGUUUAUUUUUUAUCAAUGGACAUGGUGGUACUGGUAAAAUAUUUUUGUGGAAUACAAUUAUUGCAAAGCUCAUAUCACAUUCUAAAAUAGUCUUGCCUGUUGCAACUUCAGGUAUAGCAGCUUUGUUAUUGCCUAAUGGUAGGACAGCUCAUUCGCGAUUUCAUAUUCCUUUGGAUGUGAUAGCAGAGUGCACUUGUGAAAUCCGACAAGGCACCUUAUUAGCUGGACUUCUUAUGAAAACUUCUUUGAUCAUUUGGGAUGAAGCGCCUAUGGCACAUAAGUUCUGCUUUGAAGCUUUGGAUAAGACCUUGAGAGAUAUUCUAAGAACAAGGUAUGAAAAUACUUCUAUCAAACCUUUUUGAGGACUUACAAUAGUAUGUGGUGGUGAUUUCCGUCAAAUAUUGCCAGUUGUGCCAAAGGGGACAAGAGCAGACAUUGUUGACGCUUCACUUAACUCAUCCUACUUAUGGCCAUUUUUCAAAAUUUAUGAGCUCAAACAAAAUAUGAGGCUCUAUAAUGGAAGCAUGAGUGGCUCUGAGGCUGCUAAAAUAGCUUCUUUUGACAAAUGGUUGUUACAGAUUGGAGAUGGUUCAUUAUAUGAUGACAUUGAUAGAGAGUUAGUUAAACUACCUUCUGAUAUCUGUAAGAAACCAUAAAAAAAUCUAAUGAAAUCAAUAGUCGACACUAUCUACCCAUCAAUUCUACAUAAUUACAGUGAUCCAACAUAUUUGAAAGAAAGAGCAAUAUUAACGCCAAAAAAUGAAAUGGUGCAUGAAUUGAACGAGAUGAUUAUGAAUAUAAUACCUGGUCAAGGGAGAACCUAUUUUAGCUCAGACAGUAUAUGCAAAGCAAGCGCAAACACAAAUGAUGAAGAUGUUCUGUAUCCAACUGAAUUUUUGAAUAGUUUGAAAUUCAAUGGCAUCCCUAAUCAUGACAUACGACUUAAGGAAGGUGCUCCCGUAAUGCUUCUCAGAAAUCUAAAUCAAAUAGAAGGCCUAUGUAACGGCACAAGAUUGAUUGUAACUCGUCUUAGUAAAUGGUCCAUUAGAGGUGACAUCAUUUCUGGAACAAAUAUUGGACAAAAUGUCACAAUUCCAAGAAUUGUUAUGUCUCCUAAUGAAUCAAGAUGGCCAUUCAAGCUUAACAGACGGCAACUUCCUUUGGCACCAUGUUUUGCCAUGACGAUCAACAAAAGCCAAGGACAAUCUCUUAAACAUGUUGGCUUGUAUCUCCCUAAGCAAGUAUUCACACAUGGUCAAUUAUAUGUCGCCGUAUCUCGAGUUACCACAAGAGAAUGAUUGACCAUACUAAAUGCUGAUCAAGAGGUAGAAGACCGAACCUUCAUAAAAAAACAUUGUCUACAAAGAAGUAUUUCAAAAUAUUCACACAUUAGCUCACAAAAUCAAGGUAUCACAUUUUUAGAUUAUAUUUUAAAAUUUAAUUUAUACAUUGCAAGCUCUUACUUCACCCUAUAAUAAUGAUUUUUAUUAUGUGUUUUAAUUAUUCAGUAGACAAAUGAAUAAAUCAAAGGAACUAUCGAGACAGCAAAAUGGUAGUUUGGUUGAGUUUUCCAAGCUAUUAUGGAGAAUUUAAUCGCCAAAGAACAUAGUACGUGAAGAAGCAUUCCUUUUUACAUCAACUAUUUCUCCUUUCAUUCUCUCUAAUCCAUGGAGACAUGGUUUAUAUACAGAUAAAGAACAUUUUGGCACUAGGUGUUGCUGAUCCCCAUUGGAACUUGCCAUAGCUGCAAGCUUGAUAUAAACAACUGCUCACCUACGCAGCUACAAACGAUGCAAAAUAACUUACAGAAGUCUUUACAUGUAUUUUACUUAUUUCUUUUAUAAUUCAACGCAUUGCUAAGGAUCCUCAAUUACAAAAUUUAAUUUGGAACUUAUCAACUACAAAAGGUAUAAGGUCUGUACACCUAGACUAUACACGUUAAUAUAUAUAUUUAAAGUUAACAAAAAAAUAGUUAACUUUCAUAAAUAACAUUAGUUUUAUAAGGCUACCUCAUUUUAAAAAAAAUCAAUUUAUAUUUUUUAUCAGUUUUAUUGAGUAUAAAGAAAGAAAAAUUGAUAAUACUAAAUUCAUUUUCUAAAGCCGCGCGAAGCGCGGUUUUAUUUCCUAGUAUAUAUAUAAAGCUGGGACUAUAAGAGGUGAUGUGACAUCACCAUUUCUCAUCUUUGUAUAUUUUCUAUUAUCUAAUAAAUAGAGAAUUUUUCUUUCAAAUUUGGCUUUUCAUCUUCUCAUAAUUAAUUUGAUUGUUAUUACAAUUAUGUAAAUGUUUUAAUGAGGCAUAUUCUUUAUAAUGAACAUCCAAUGGGGAGUGUUAUAAAUUUAUUAAAAUAAAUGUGGAUGUUCAUAACAUAUAUCUCUUAGUCUCUCCACUAUCUCUCAUUAGCAACCUUUAGCUUCUCUGUAACUCCCACAAUCUCACAAGGAAUUAUGAUCCAUAAUUUUUCAUUAAUUUCAUGGAGUGAUUAUGUAACUACAAAAGGAGAGCUCAUCUUUUUGUUUUGUAUACACAAUUGGAAUGAAUAAAAUCACUCUAAAAUAUAUUCUCUCAUUUUAUUCUUUAUCUUGCGUUGCUUCUUUAUUUGUGUUGUUGGCUAAUAGUUUUUUUUUUAUUUAAACCACCCGGUUUCCGACGACCGCAUUGGAUACUUCUACUGCAUUCAACAUUUCUAAUUUUUAUUGGUUGAUAUACGUGUGAAUGACAACACAAUCCUCUGAGGUAUUUUUUUAAUUAUUAAUGUUUGUUAAUCUUUAAGUGUAUAUUAGAAAUUAUUGAUCCUUAUGUUUUAACAUAUUUAUGUUAUUUUCCCAUAAUAUUACAGAUGUUGUCGGAAGUUUAUGUGGUGUGGGUGAUAUUGAGAUUGUUGGAGCUGGUUGGAAAAAAAGACAUAUAAAAGUUCUAAAAGAUUAGCAAGUUGAAUAUAAUUUGGAACUUAUCAACAACUACAAAAGGUAUAAGGUUUGUACACUUACUAUACACAUUAAUAUAUAUAUAUUUAAAGUUAACAAACAAAUAAUUAACUUUAAUAAAUAACAUUAAUUUUAUAAGGUUGCCUCAUCUUUAAAAAAAAUCAAUUCAUAUUUUUUAUCAGUUUCAUCAAGUGUAAAGUAAGAAAAAAUGAUAAUACUAAAUUAUUUUUUUAAAGCCGCGUGAAAUGCGGUUCUAUUUUCUAGUAAUUUAUAAACCGAGGCCGGGCCCCAAGUCUUUUAAUUUUCUUCCUUUCUUUCCAUAUUUGUCGUUGGGUUAUAAACUUCCCCAAUUCUACCUUUUAUGUGCACGUGAAUCAUGACAUACCCCUUGAGUCAUGCUUUCAAGUUAUAAUUCCUUUCAAUCUUUGCCACGGCUUCAAGUCUCAAAAUCACACAGCAAUACAUCAUAACCCGAAAAUUUAUAAAUAAUCAAUAAUAUAUAAAUGUAAUCAUCUAUUGAAUCAGUUCAUUAUUUAUUCGUAUUGCAAGCAUCACCCCUAUCAUUCAUAGUUUUCACUUUUUAGUGAUGUUCACAAAAUCCUAACCAUACUAUGCAAUUGAGAUAUGAUCAAUAACACUUUGAUAACAUAUUUUAAAAAACAUAAAUUCUUCUAUAAAAAGUCAUUAUUCUGGGGGUUAAUUUCCAUAGGUUUCUAUUAGUUAAUUUUUUCCAACUAUUUUUGAUGAAAUUAGAUAGAUUUGCCUUCAUAUUUGGGGCAAAUAGUUUCAGCGAAUCAUGAAUAAGCUUCCACACAUUUUAGAAAUCUUAUCUUUUUUAAUUUUAUACUUUUUCUUUAAUUUGCAUUUUGGUUCACAUGACCAAAAAUUAAGUUCCAUGCGUUUUUCAAUUUGUGGAAAUUCAGUUUUUUUUUUUUGUGGAAAUUUCGGUGGAGUCAAUAUGGCUAGAAAUUCGUAGAAGGAUGAAUCAAAAUACUCAAUUAUUGUUGUAGACUUGUAAGGCAGCUAACGGAGUCCACACGUUUCAAUGUUUGUUUACAGUUCAGCUUUCCCUUUGAUUAGUUAUCAAAAUAGAAACAUGAUUAUCAAUUUCAACUGUAUGUCUUUCAUGCCUUAACUUUCUUCCUUUCUUUCCAAAUUUCUCAUUUUGCUUUAAUUUUCCACAAUUUACCUCCACGAAUUGAUUGACCUGUUACCCACCACACUUCAAUACUAAUAAUAAUAAAUAAAUUCUUCAAGCAAUUGACAUUUGACCCACCCCACUUCAAUAAUAAUGCUAAUGGGACAUCAUAAAUUCUUCUAUUCAAAUAUAAUACUCAUGACUUUGACGGCCGAAACAUGUUUCAUGGCACAAAUAAUGACGGUUUUGUUUGAGGUACGGUGGAGGUGUCUAUUCAAAUAUUUGAAGCCAGCCCCUCGUUUUAUCUAAACCACAAGCAGGCUCAGCCGAAAUUGUUUAAUAUUUUUAUUUUUUCAAGAAACUCUCACUAUAAGGCUUAUGUGAAAAUUUGGUUGACAGUUUAUGUAUUUAAUUAUUUAUUUUACCACACAUGUCAUGUGUAGGUUUUAUUUACCUUGAGCAGUGGUCAAUGCAUUAGACCCAAGAUAAAGUGUGUUGAGGUAGGGGAAUUAAUGAUCGCAUUAGCUGUAGCACCUAUCUUCAAUCUCUAAUUUUAACUUUCUAUAGAUGAAGUGUUUUCAAAUUCCUCAAAUGUCUGUAAUCUGUUUAAUAAUUGAAGAAAGUUAAAAUUCAUUUUCUAAAUUUAAGGUUAAACUCCCAAUAAAAAAUUUUAUUUUCAUUCAAUAUUGUCAUUAGAUGGUAAUCACUUUGUACGAGAGAUUCCAAAAAAUUUGUCUCAUUGCUCCUCACUAGAAAGAUUGUAUCUUAGUGAUAAUAAUCUCUUGGUAGGAUUUCACAAUGGUUGGAUAAUCUUUCAACAUUACAACAUUUUAUAAUGCUCAAGAAACACAUUCUUGAAGGUCUUAUUUCAAUGGAGUUUUAUCAGCUUGAUUCUCUUCAAAUUUUGGACAUUUCAAACAAUAAUGUAUUUAAGAGUUUAUUAUCUUGUUUACAUAAAAAUAUAUGCCUAUAGGCAGGUAAAAGAAGGUACAUUUUUUAAUUACUCUUCCUUAGGGACAUCAUAUCUUAGCUAUAGCCACUUGAAUGAGAUCAUUUCAAGUUGGGUUGAUAGGCUUUCUCAAGCAAGCCACUUCAUACUGACCCACAAUAAUCUUAAAGAUGAAGUAUCUGCUCAGUUGUGCCGAUUGAACCAAUUGCUAUUGAUAAAUCAUGCUGAUAACAGUCUUUCCAGCCAUAUUCUUCAUUGCUUAAACAAGUGAACUUGUUUCAUUGAGAGAGUAGUGAAACAAGGAAAAAAAAAAGUUUUGACUUUUAUCAGUUAGUUGACUGUUAAGUAAAAAGUAUGCAAAUAUCAUUUUAUACUUUAGAUUGUUAAAAACUAAUGGAAAAAUAACGUCAUUUGAGGAUAAAUUGAAAUUUUCAUACUUUUAAAAAGUAAAGUGAAAAUUAUCAUUCUAAGUGUGGAUAAAUUAAAGUUACACUCAUAAAAAACACAUCUAAUAAUUUAUACACCAAGGCAGGCCCAAGUCUUUCAAUUUUCUUCCUUUCUUACCAUACUUAUCGUCCUGUAAUAAAUUUCCACAGUUCUACCUUUUUUGUACACAUGAUUCAUGACAUACUCCAUGAGUCAUGCUUUCAAGUUAUAAUUCCUUUCAAUAUUUGCCACGUUUGCAAGUUUCAAAAUCACAUAGUAAUAUGUCAUAACAAGUCCGAAAAUUCAUAAAUAAUCAAUAAUAUAUAAAAGGAAAUUAUCCACCGUCUAUCCGUUUUUUCAACUUUUUCAAAAAUACACAAUUUUUUUUUUUUUUGCUGGAAUCCACCUGAAGUUACAUUUCUUUUCACUUUUCCACUUCCGUUUGGAAUCCGUUAAGGAAAUUAAGGGAAUAUUGUUAAAUGACUUUUUUACCCUCAAAUGUAAAAGAUAAUUUAUCCAUCGACCACUUGUUUUUUCGUAUUUUUUCAGAAAUACACAAUUCUUAAUUUUUUUUUUGCUGACCUCCACUCGAAGUUGUAUUGUUUUACACCUAUCCACCACUGUGUCGUUGUAAAAUGAUGAUUUACCCUUAUAAUGUUAGCAAAGUUAUAACGGUCUCCAAACGGAAGUGGAAAAGUGAAAAGAAAUGUAAUUUCAGGUGGAUUCCAGCAAAAAAAAAAAAGAAUUGUGUAUUUUUGAAAAGCAGUGAAAAACGGGUGGAUGGUGGAUAAUUUCCCAUAUAUAAAUAUGAUCAUCAAUUGAAUUUGAAUCAGUUCGUUAUUUGUUCAUAUUGCAAACAUCACCUCUAUCAUUCAUAGUUUUCACUUUUUAGUGAUGUUCACAAAAUCCUAACCACACUAAGCAAUUGAUAUUCAAUCAAAGACACUUUGAUAACAUAUUUUAAAAAACAUAAAUUCUUCUAUAAAAAGUCAUUAUUCUAGGGGUUAAUUUCUGUAGGUUUCUAUUAUUUAAUUUUUUUCCAAUUAUGUUUUAUGAAAUUAGAAGAUUUGUCUUCAUAUCUAGGGUACUUAGUUUUAGUAAAUUAUGCAUCACCUUCCACACAUUUUAGAAAGAUGAUCUUUUUUUUAAUUUUAUACUUUUCUUUCAUUUACUUUUUGGUUCAUAGGGCCAAAAUUUAAGUUCCAUGCAUAUGCAUUUUGUGGAAAUUCAGUUUUUAUUUUUUUAUUUUGUGGAAAUUUCGGUGGACUCAAUACGGCUAGAAAUUCUUAGAAGGAUGAAUCUAGGGCAGCUAGCAGAGUCUACGAGUUUUAAUGUUUGUUUACAGUUCAAUUUUCCAUUUGAUUAGUUAACAAAAUAGAAACAUGAUUAUCAAUUUCAACUAUAGUUCUUUCAUGCCCUUAACUUUCUUCCUUCCUUUCCAUAAAUUCUCAUUUUGCUUUAAUUUUUCACAAUUCUACCUUGGAUGGUGUUGAUUCAAAUUUUUUCUCAAUGUACAAUGAUUGAUUUGUGUUUCGGACAUUCUUCUAAAUCGAGUUCUGUGGCAUAUUUUUUUCCUUGAGGCGAGUGUCUCAAAUCAUAUGUCUCCUUGUGGUUAAUUAUUUUGUAAAAAGAAACAAUUAUCAAAGGGUGCCGACAUGCCGGCAAUAACCCUCCGACACUCAAGUUAGUUCUUUUUACUCAAGUUUUAAAGAGAGAGAAUCUAGAGCAAGAUGGGCAGAGUUUUGCUCGCAUUUUAUGCCUUUUUUCCUCUUACUUUCAAAUGCCGGUCUUGGCCUUUAUAUAGACAACUUAGAGUCAAUUGGAGAGAUUAUGUGGCACUUUUCUUGUGACAAGUGUCAGCCAAAGUCCAUGCAUGGCGACAUAUAUUCAUAUGUGUCAAUACUUGCUCAUGACAAAUAAUCUUUGGACAUUUGUCAUGUUUUUGGGCUAUUAACCUUUAAUGGACUUUAGCUUAAAUUCGGCACUUAUAUUGGUUUCUUACAAAGAGGAUUGAUUUUGCAACAUUUUGCCCAUAAGCACAUUCCGCAAAAUGUUUGUUAGCCAGUAGGUGUUGAGUGUUAGAAAAUGUAUAUUUAUAAAGGAGAAAAUCAUCAUUUUACAUUUCAAGUUUUACUAACAAUCCUUACUUUUAUGUAUUUAAGCUUCUUGCAAUUUAAUUAUGUGUGUUUGAUUUUAAUUAAGUAUUUUAUGUAUUUUAGGGGCAUCAUGGUUAUUUCACAAUAAACGAGAGAUCAGACGGCAAAACGAAUAUCACUUUUGAACUUAGGACGGUCGAAAACCUUAGGAGGAGCAUAAAAGAAAAAAUGGCACUAUUCACAUGUACGGUAUUAUUCACGUGUACGGUACUGUUUACGUUACUGUUCAUAAUACUGUUCACAUAGACGGAUUGAUGACGUGGCAUUGACUGAUGAGGUGUCACGAUCCUGUUGGGCUAAAAUUCUUAUGUACUGUUGAUGGUGACGUGGCAGCAUAUCAGUAGACGAAAAAAUCUCGCGUACGGUACAUGCAUCACACAGGAUUAUUUUCAACCAAACCGCGUCACUGUUCAACCCAGGUCAAACCGUGUUACUGUUCAUCCACGUGGUCAAACCGCGUACUGUUGACUGAUGACGUGGCGCAAUCCUGAGCGUCCAAACUGUUUUUAAUCCGAUAGCCAUGAUUUACUUCAUGUAUCUAUAAAAAGGGGGCCUCUCCCCCCUAAUUGGAUAGCUCUGAAUCCAUUUUUGGGAUCCAUUUUUUGUAAUUCCUUCUCCAUUUUGUAUUUUCUACAUAUUUUAAUAAUUCCCAUUUUGCCCCUAGUUCAAUUAUGAGUGGCUAAUUUUCUUUCAAGCUUGGGUUGAAGGUGAAGUCUCAACAUGUGUCAUGGGCUUAAUUUGGUAGAUUUACUUUCUCUUCCCAUCUAAUUUUUGUGGAUGUUUUGACUUCUCGUCGACAAAUAAUACUAAUCUUGUCUAGUACCGCCUUGGUUUCACCGGCUCCGUAGUACAAGGUUAUUAUUAUUUGGCACGAUAAGCCCUUAGCACCAUAUUGAUUAGAGUGUGGUUUAUGAGGUGUGGAUUUCCCCCUUAUGAUUUAAUUGAUAUUAAUAAGGAAUAUUUAGCCCAUGGUACAUGUUGAUACGGAUUCAGAUACCCAAGUACGUCAUUUCAAUAGAAUUCUCUUCAAUUUAUUCUCGCCAUUUCAAUUCCAAUUUUAGAAUUUAUUCUCGCCAUUUUAAUUUAAAUUUUAGCAUAUUCCAAAUCAUUUCCACCACAAAUCCAAUCACCCAUUUACAAAAUUAAUUCUACACACAAUUAAAAUCCACCUCCUCGUGGGAUCGACACUCGUCACCAUUAGUCUAUACUACAAUAGAUUCGUGCGUUUGCGAGUACAUUAAAAUUUGCACAGCAGUAGGCUCGCUCCGUGGAAUGUUUGUUGGCCCGUUGGCACAUUCCAUAAAAUGCAUAUAUUUGCCCGUAUGCACAUAUUGUAGAAUGUAUAUUUCUUCGUAGGCGCAAUCUGCCCGUAGCCGCCAUCCGUAGAAUGUGUAUUUGUCCAUAGGCCUAUUGCAUAGAAUGUGUGUUUGCCUGUAGACCCAUUCCGUAGAAUGUGCAUUUGCCCGUACGCCCAUUUCGUAGAAUGUGUAUUUGCCCGUAGGCUCAUUCUAUAGAAUGUAUAUUUGCCCGUAGGUGCACUCCGAGUAGCUCAUGUGCUCUUAGAAAUAUUUUUGAAGUGUCUAGAUCAUGAACGGACCUAGGUCAUUUUUUGUGAGGAAUGGACCUAGGUCGUUCUUUGUAAAAAAUAGACCUAGGUCCUUCUUUGUUGAAUCAUGCCUUUGGCACUUUGUGAAGACUCGUAAGGAAUGGACUUAGGUCAUUCUUUGUAAGCAAUGAACGUAGAUCAUUCUUUAAGACUUAGGUUUUUCUAUGAUAAAUCACGCUUUUGGCUUUUUGUCGUGUCUUGCAUUUAGACACUUUAGUUAGAAUUGUAAAUACCUUGGCCAUUCUUAUAGAGAACACACAUGGGUUAUUUUAUAUAAAAUAAUUUUAUUGGGCCUAUAUUUUUUGUGGGUUUUGGACCUUUCAUAAUUUGGGCUAACAGAGGCCCCCGAAGUCUUACUUUUCAAUUUUGAGAAGUGAGACUUUUUUUGUACUUUUUUUUAGGCUUUUCUUUGGCUUUUCUUAUUACAAAUUAAAUUUUAAGGCUUGAAAUUUCUCUAAGGCACCUAUCCUAUUAAAAUUAGUCUACAACCAAUCUCACAUACUUCAUUUAAUGAUUUGUAGCUCUCUACAAUCUAUCUUAAUUUAACAAUUAUUGAAAAGUAUAAAAAUAAGGAGUUAGUAAAAGUAUCAUUUAAAAAGAGAUACUUGACUUUUUCUAAAUAGUAUGUGAGAAUUUUCUGACAAUUCUUUGGCGAGCUACUGUUGAAGCUCUUCGAGUGCUCAUCGAUCUAAGAAGCAAUGCCAAAUCUUUUCCUGAAAGGUCAUCUUUGAAACUGAAUUGCUUCAAUGGUAAACAUUUUUGUAGAUAGCGAUCCCAGUCAAUUCUCAUAUAUACUUACCCUUAGGCAUUUUGGUUGAGAUCAACCAAAGCUGUAGUCAACAUCCGCCCUUGGAAGAUUUAGUCAAUAGUUGCCCCUAAGCUUUUUGACAUUGGCUUUAAGGUGUUUCUCGUCAACACUAACUCUCGGACGUUUUUAUCUAAAACAUGUCAUUAGGUGUUUCAGACAAUCAUUUGCCUUUUAAUGUUUCACUUAGAAUAUUUUCCCUCAGGUCUAUUAUUAUAAUUCGCUUGUGGACGGUUUCCUUCAAAAAUUAAUUUGAAGUAAUUGGACCUAGGUCAUCCUUUAAAAGAAAGGACCUAGGCCCUUUUAUCAUAAUUUACUCGUGGGCAGUUUCGUAGAACUUAGCCCGUAAGCAUUCUCUUUAGAAUGAUUUUUCUAAGAAUUGGACCUAGGUCAUUUUUUACAAGAAUGGACCUAGGUCUUUUUAUUAUAAUUCGCAUGUGGGCACUUUUUAUAGAAUACUAAUUCUAAGUGAUUGGACCUAGAUCAUUCUUUGAAAGAAAGGACCUAUAUCUUUUUAUCAUAAUUCAGCCAUAUAUGGUUUCCUUAGAAGAUUAAUUCUAAGUAAUUUGACGUAGGUCUCUUUAUUAUAAUCCGCCCGUAGGCACUUUCCUUAGAAAAUUGAUUUUAAGUAAUUGGGCUUAAGUCUCUUUUUAAAGGAAAUGACGUAGGUCUCUUUUUAAAUUGAUUCUAACUUUGUCACUACUUUGAUUGCAUCAAGUGAUGAAUAAUGUCGUAAUCAGAAUUUUCAAGGGGGUAUUUGGGAAUAUUGCCCCCUUCAGAGUUUUAAAAGCCAGAGAAAGAAGACUUUUUGUAUUGUAUGGUACCAUGGUAUGCCCCGUAUGCCUUUCUUAAUGAUAAAGUAGCAGAUUCUCCUUCAAUUUAAUUUCUUUUUGUUCCAAGCCAAAAUAAAAAAAUUUCUGCUCACUAGCCGUACUCUGUUCUUGAUGAACAUUAGGAGGCAGUUCAAGACAUGGAUUCUCAAAGUCAAUUGUAUCGAUGAUACUUGGGUGUGUAUGACAUUUUUAUUAAUAAUUUUAAUCAUUCAUUGAUAAAUUCUUCUAUUAACAAAAAUAAUUUCUCCAAAAUUAAUUUUUCUACUCGCAGACCAUACUUUGUUCUUGAUGAACAUUAGUUGGUACUUCAAAACGUGGAUCCUCAAGUCAAAACGGUAAAUUUUUUUCAUCAGUGAAUCAUUAACUAAACAAGUGAUCUUAGAUUUCAUUCUUGUGUCUAUGAUAUGUGGGUGUGACUGACAUUUGAGGAACAAUUACAAGAGUGAAAAAGGAGAAUACAUAAUAUAUUCAACCACUAAAAAUAAAAGUCAUUUUUAUUUUAUUCCAUCUUACUCGAAUUUGAUACAACUAGUGGGUGUGUUGUAACUAAUCUUAUUUGUCCCUUUGAAAUAACCGAUAAUAAUCUUAUCACCGAAUGUUUAACAGACUCGUAACGUCAUAACGUAACUACCACGUCAAGCAAACACGUGGACUCAGCCGUGAACUACAACCGCAUAACCGUUACAUAUAUAGACUAGUAUGAAGCGGUGGAGUUAAAGCAAGCGUUUAAGAAGUGAUUUAAGCUGAUGCAAGCGUAAAGUAUGAGACGAAUAAAACAACAUACAAUUCAACAAAAGUCUAACAUGCCCUGUUCAAACUUAUAAUUUUCUACUAUUACCUUACCCGACAAUACAAUCCAAGUAGCUGGCAGCCACACCGCAAACUUCCACUAUCAUCUUCUCCUUUCAAACUUAUAAUUUUCUUUUUUCUUUUUUAUUUUCUGGAAAGAGCUGGCUUUCCUUGAUUUUUGCUUUUUGUCAACAAUUAUUCAUGCCUUUUUAUUUUUCUCCAUCACACUUUUUUUCUUUCCCAACUUCCACGAGCUGAGCCGUCGUCGCUUUUUGAAAGAAACAGUAUGGAAGCUAUCAAGAAACAGGCAAUCAAGCUCCGAGAACAAGUCGCCAAGCAGCAGCAAGUCCGUUUCUUUUCUUUUUUUGUUUUUAAAUUAUUUAGACUUUUAAUUAGUGAAAUUUCUCGAUUUUAUUUAUUUUUCAUUAGUUUUUUAUGGUUUGUACAGGCAGUAUUGAAGCAUCUGCUCCAUCUUGGCAUUGAAAAUGUUGCGGUUGAUAAAGCUGACAUUGAGUGUCACCAACAACUUCAAAAUCUAUACAAUUCCACCAGGGCAGCUAAGGCACCAUCCUCCUUUAGCUAAUAAUAAGACUCUGUUUGAUAUUGAUUUAUUGUGGCUUUUGGUAAUUAGAUAUGAUUUUUAAAUAAUAAUUUUGUCAAAUAUGGUACAAACAACUGUAUUUUCUAGACUGAAGUUGCAAGUAUUUACCAACGGAGCUUAAUGUAUGUUGAACAAUUAUGAUGGUUUGUAUGGUUUUAUCUGAACAAUAAUUUGGAAUAUAUGCUCUGUAGCGCAGCAUUUUCAGAGGAAUAUUGUCCGUGGCGUUGAAGGGUUUGUUGCAGUAAGCUUGAAACAAAUGGAAAUAUGUUGUUUGUUUGCUCUUGCUCUUGUUAUAAUAUUUGAUUUUUUUUUAUUUAUUUUCUUGACUAGUUCUUGUGUACAAUAUUUUUGUAUUCAAAUAUUGUAGCGAGAAAGUUGGCCGAAGAUUGUUGCAAGUAUGGAGCGGAGAAUCAAAGUGACAAUUCUUGCGUUGCAAGAGCUGCUCUUCAAUUUGGCACUUCACAUGAUUUGAUGGAAAAUGAGAGGGAAACUUUGCUUGGGAUUCUUCAUGAUCAGGUUAGUUCAUCCCUAACUAGAAAAUAAUUCAAAUAUAGAAAAUUAUAUGUAAAUUACUACGGAAACUAUUAUCUUCUCAUAAGGAAAUUUAGUUCUAAGAUAUUGAAUAAAAGAAUCCAUUUUAAAGUUACAACUCUGAAAUAUUUAAUGUUUUAUAUUAAAAUCAUUGCUAGUGACAUCCAUGACUUGAUAGUUUUAUUGGUUCAAAUGUUGAAGAGACCUUGUACUUCUUACAUCACUAGCGAAGACUGGCGUGGGACAAGUUAUUGGCCGUGAGUUCUCUCAAUUGACUCCAAGCAUUUUGGAUAAAGACAUUUGCAUCUGUAGUAAAAUCAAAUCCAUGAGACUGAAGGAUGCAUGGGGAAGUCUUACAACCUUUAUUUGCAUAGGUAGAUGCUGAGAAAACAUAUCAUCAACACGUUAUUGAUAUUUUAGAGAAGUUGUAUGCGGAGGUUUGGGACUAUGCAUUUUAACUUGCUUGUCCCCAUCUAUCUAUUCCUUGGAGCGUUCUCUUCUUGCUAUUUUCGUCUCACUUAUGCAAAAGAAUAAUUGUGACUUUUUAGUCCCUUCCAACCCUUGCUACUUGAAUUAGAUGAUCCUAUAGGAGCAAUCAAAUGAGUCCUCCUCGCAACAUGUGACUUUCGAAAUGGAUGUACAUGCCUCAUGUGUCUAUCAGAGUACUGAUUCAAAUGGAGCUGAUUUGCAAACGCAUAUUAAUCAGAAUGACGUCUACUUUAUAGCAAAAGUAAGGCUCCUGCUCUCUUGCAUAGGUGAAAGUCCCUCUAUUGCCCUCCUCCUGGAAAAUCUUAAGAAAUAAGAUGCGCACAAAAUUGAAUGCUGUCUUUUAAGAUUUUUUUUUUUAAAAAAAAAGAAUUUUGUUGUAUUUUACCAUGAAAGUUGUUAAUUUACUGAAUUACAAACUUAUCAAUUAAUUUGAUGUUGCACAGUCUUUUUCUUAACAUAUUGCAUUCAUAUUUUAAUUUUGGAGCAAUAAAAUUUUUUUUCUACUAUCACUACCAUCUGGGCAGGUAUUUGUAUUAUUGCACAACAUCUACGGAAGUAGUGAUUAGUCUUAAAAGUUGAAGAUGUCUGUCUGUAUCCUUUCAUCCUAGAUAAAUUGUCAUAUGAUCGUAGGACAAAUUGUAAUUAUUUUUUAAAAUUUAUUAGUUAACACCUUGAAAAUUCUUUUCCCCCAAAUAAAAUUACUCUAAAAGUGUCCAAAUGUGGUGCUGAGGAAGCCAUUCUUAGGAAACUUUAUUUAGGAGAACAGGACUUUUAAGCAUGAGGUUUAGCAAACACCAAUGAAUUAAAAAAGCGAUAGAUGUCGGAUGAGCUAGAUAGAAUGCAUGGGCUAGAAAUAUCAUGUGUCUCUACUAUCAAUAUCUUAGCAACAUCAAAGCUGAGUUAGGCAUGCCAAAGAAAGGCAAACCACUGAAAGUUGUGUAGCCACUCACGACGUAGCAGGUGAUGUAAAGUCUUGAUAUUGCUUAUAGAUACAAGACUGAUAGCUCAACAUCCCUCUUUUUGAGAUUUUCUCUUAAGUUAGAUGGGCCUUUUUAUGAUUAUGUCUGAAUUAUGAUUCUCCUUACUUGGUUUACCUAGAAAAACUAUGUUUAUAUGGAUGUGACUUGGGGGCAAUCUAUGUAUUUGAUGAUAAAUCUGGCCGAGAAAACUUAAAUUAUUAGGCAGAGGAAAUUGACUGACCAUAAGCUGUCAUGUUAAAUCCAUCACUUAAAAGAUGUCGGUCACUUGGAAUCCCCAUUAUCUAUGACUUUCUUGUGCAUAGGCCAUGUUUUGUGGAGAGCAGUCAAAAUUUCAGAUUUAAAAUCUUAUCCAUAAUUUAAAAAUGGAAUUUUGUUUCUAAUAUAUCUUUGUUGGCCAUAAUCAUUGUAGUUACAAUGAACGCUGCUGCUACUGCUGCUGCUUUUGUUAUGCUUUUUUAAAGAUUAAGUUCUAUUUAUCCUAGUAUCUUAUAGGUUAUACAUCCAUUUGACGCUCAAGCAAAUGGGGAGCUAAGUCUUUCAAUUGAUGAUUAUGUUGUGGUUCGCCAGGUACUUUCCCCUCUAAAUAACAACACAGAGAUUUUUCUACUAUGCUAUUAACUUAUCCUUCUAACAACUUAUGAUAUGUGGAAUUUAGAACUAAUGCUUAUACUAAUUUGAUGUUCAAAGCACAUGGCAUUUUGUUCUUAAAAUUUUGAUUGAAAAGCAAUGAGUUAACAUAUGAUGGUUGGUUUUCUUUCUUCCUACCAUAUAUUCCCUUUUAUAUUGAAGUGCAAAUCAGAAUAUAGUAGGGUUGCUAGCUCAGUUCUAAACCACCCAGUUUACCCUUAUAGAUAUGUGAAUUUAUAUCUUGUUAUGCUUCCAUGGUUAAUGUUGUUAUUUCAGUGAUCACAACUAAUUCACUCCUCCUACGUAAAAGAAUUAGUUUUCCCCUUAGGUCUUUGAACGGUCAACUUUUGUUUAAUUCACUGUUUUAGUUAUAACUUCUCAAGGUGGCUCUUAUGGAUGGUCGGAAGGUGAAUGCAAGGGCCAAGUUGGUUGGUUUCCCUCGGCAUACAUAGAAAGACAAGAAAAAGCCCCAGCUAGAAGGAUAUCAGAAACAAACUCCUCACCCAAAUGUGAUGCGACUUCUUAAUAAACUCUUGCCAAGUAUCUAUAUGUUCUUUUUCCUGUAUUAUAUUGCCAUUUUAGUUUAUAGAACGACUGCGACAAUUGAUAAGUGGUUUGAUUGCUUCUCUUAAUGAAAUCUUACUAAGCUCCAAGUAAUAUGUGCGAUCAUAUGCAUUUUAAUAUUUGUAUUUAUCUCCUAGUUGAGGAGAAUAUUUGUAGUAACAACUGUGUUUCCAAAUUGCCAAAAAAAAAAAAAUACACAUCAUGUUUAGCAACAAAUUUUUACUAUUAUUUCUUCCCAGUUUUAAUUUACUUUCUCCGUGAAUUGAAUGUUAUAUUAGUAGCUUGAUCAGAAAGUAACUCAUAUCAAUCAAACUACCUUGAUGCAAGAGAUUGAAUUUAGAAUUUCUCUAUCUUUGUGAAACUUUCCAAUCAUAAUGUUAUGAAAUAUGUGGGCAUGAACUUUUUAAUUUCUAGUUGCAUUUGGAGUAUGUAUGAUAUAAUCUGAAUCACUUGCAUAAUGUUCUUCAUCUUCCANNNNNNNNNNNNNNNNNNNNNNNNNNNNNNNNNNNNNNNNNNNNNNNNNNNNNNNNNNNNNNNNNNNNNNNNNNNNNNNNNNNNNNNNNNNNNNNNNNNNUUCUAACUAAUGAAAUUUUCUAGUCUAAAUUAUGAAAUAUGUGGGAUUGACUUAGAAAUUUUGGUAACAUGUCGAGAAUGUAUGGUAUAAUUUGAAUUCAUUAGCAUAAUCUUCAUCUUCAUUGAUUUGUAAAUUAUGAAACUAAUAUAUAAAAAACUAAUGUUAGAUCCUAAUUAUCUUUAGUUCUUAAAAUUGUUGAGGAGAUAUGAAAUUCUGGUGGGUGGAUUUGAGAGUUUUAGCUUUGAGAAUAUUGCUUCAUCUCUACUUUGAUGUUGUUGUGCCCCUUGUUGUGGCGAGGCAUUAAUCUUCCUAAAUUUUUUGUCAAGCUUCAACUUUAUUAUAUAUAUACCUUUCUUGAUAAAAUGUCUGGGUCCAUCGCUGGAUUUGGUGUUAAUGACACUAGUGAAGAAGAUGAUGAUAGCACCAUAAUCAUUAUUUUUUAAAGUAAAAUAGGCGAUCAAGUGCAUCUAGGUGUUUCAUUUCUUGUGUAUGAUUAUAAAACUAUUCUGAAUAUAGUUUCUAAAUGAAUGUUAUAGAGUGGCUGCUUUUAACAUUGGAGAUGGUUCUCUUAUUUAAGUAUGCUGCACAGUAUAGGGAAGUAUAAGUUAUGGUGGAUAGAUAUGAGUUUGGAAGUGUGGAGACAAAUGUGAAGUGCUUGGAAGUUGGAAGCUAUAUAACGCUAAAUACUUCUACAAUUUUAAUAAAAAAUAAAAAUAAAUUUAUUUCCUAAGCAAACUUGAUUAGUACUUAAAGAAUCAUAAUUAAGCUACUAAUUAAUUUCAAUGACAAAAUCUUGUUGGAAUAAGAUUGUCUACAACAAAAUAAUAACAUGAAGUUAUCCACAUUUCAACAAAGUAAAACAAUUUACGUCGCCAAUAAGAAUUUACAUAUAAAACAAUAACAAUUCCAAAUAUCACUAUUACGUACGAUGUUGUAAAUGUGAUAAAGAAACUGUCCGUGUCAAUUAAAAUGUCUGGGUCCAUCGCUGGAUUUGGUGUUAAUGUUUCUAGUGAAGAAGAUGAUGAUAGCACCAUAAUCAUUCUUUUUAAAAGUAAAAUAGGCGAUCAAGUGCAUCUAGGUGUUUCAUUUCCUGUGUAUGAUUAUAAAACUAUUCUGAAUAUAGUUGGCGAUCAAGUGCAUCUAGGUGUUUCAUUUCUUGUGUAUGAUUAUAAAACUAUUCUGAAUAUAGUUUCUAAAUGAAUGUUAUAGAGUGGCUGCUUUUAACAUUGGAGAUGGUUCUCUUAAAUAAAGUUUGCUGCACAGUAUAGCGAAGUAUAAGUUAUGGUGGAUAGAUAUGGGUUUGGAAGUGUAGAGACAAAUGUGAAGUGCUUGGAAGUUGGAAGCUAUAUAACACUAAAUACUACUACAAUUUUAAUAAAAAAUAAAAAUAAAUUUAUUUCCUAAGCAAACUUGAUUAGAACUUAAAGAAUCGUAAUUAAACUGCUAAUUAAUUUCAAUGACAAUAUCUUGUUGCAAUAAGAUUGUUUACAACAAAAUAGGAACAUGAAGUUAUCCACAUUUCAACAAAGUAAAACCAUCUACGUCGCCAAUAAGAAUUUACAUAUAAAACAAUAACAAUUCCGAAUAUCACAAUUAUGUACGAUGUUGUAAAUGUGAUAAAGAAACUGUCCAUGUCAAUUAAAUUAUCAUUUUUUGUUGGGGGGGGGAAAAAAGGGGCCCCCAAAAAAAAAAAAAAAAAAACUUUUUUUUUUUAAAAAAAAAAAAAUUUUUAAAAAUUUUUGGAAGGCGUUAAAUGUUGCAAAUUGUNNNNNNNNNNNNNNNNNNNNNNNNNNNNNNNNNNNNNNNNNNNNNNNNNNNNNNNNNNNNNNNNNNNNNNNNNNNNNNNNNNNNNNNNNNNNNNNNNNNNNNNNNNNNNNNNNNNNNNNNNNNNNNNNNNNNNNNNNNNNNNNNNNNNNNNNNNNNNNNNNNNNNNNNNNNNNNNNNNNNNNNNNNNNNNNNNNNNNNNNNNNNNNNNNNNNNNNNNNNNNNNNNNNNNNNNNNNNNNNNAUCAGCUUGUUGCAAGAAAGAUCAAGUCCUGAUAGGAGGCUAAGCACUUUUCCUUGGUAAAUGUACGCAAUGUUCUUUGUUGUGAACUCAAAAUUUUCACGGAUUUGCUUUUCUACAUCUCCGUCAGGGCCGUCGAUGGAAAAAGAUAUUUCAAAUUGCUCAUCAAGACUAGAACUAUUGCUGUAACUGUCAUGAAGUGUGGUGUUAUCAAAGCAAGGAGGAAUAGGACCGUGAAGAUUAUUAUUAGAAAGAUCUAACAAUUGUAGUUGGUUCAAUUCGCACAAUUGAACUGGCACUUUACCUUCAAGAUUAUUGUGACCUAAGAUAAGGUGACUUAACUGAGAAAGCCCAUCAACCCAAUCCGGAAUGCUGCCAUUCAAGCGGUUAUAGCUAAGAUCUAAUGUCACAAGGGAAGAGCAAUUAAAGAAUGUACCUCUUUUUAGUUGUCCAUGUAACAUAUUUUUUGAAAGAUGAACUUGUUUGAUAUUGAGAGGAUGGAAACAAGAUGGUAGACUUCCAGAUAUGUUGUUGUCUGAAAUGUCCAAAAUCUGAAGCAAAUCCAGUUGACAAAACUCCAUUGGAAUAGAACCUUUAAGAUGAUUCUUGUGCAUUGUAAUAUGUUGUAAACUUGUGAGACUGCCUAACCAUCGUGGAACCUUACCCGAAAGACUGUUAUUAUUAAGGUACAAUCCUUCUAGUGAGGAGCAUUUAUAUAAACUUUGUGGGAUCUCUCUUAUGAAGUGAUUGUCCUCCAAUUGUAACCAUAUUAAAUUUGCCAGGUUAAAAUUUCUACAGAACAUGUGACCUUUUAGGUUGUUGUUUGAUAACGCUAGAAACUCCAAGUUAACGCAACCGACGGCCAAGCGCUCAGGGAUUUCACCAGUCAAUUGAUUGCUGGAUAAGUCCAAAAUUCUGAGGAAGUUCAUUUUACCAAAUGAAGAGGGAAUGCUACCAUGCAAGGCAUUCGUGGAAAUGUUAAAAGAAAAUAAACUUGGUAAAAUAUCUCUAAUUUCUACUGGAAUAUGGCCUUGGAAGUUGUUGUUGGAGACACCCAAGAAUCUUAACCGCCUGUGUGGAUGAAUUGGCAAUUAAAAAGGUCCUCCAAUAGAAUCAUUGAUGAGAAAAAGAGUUUCUAAUUUUGUGUUGUUUUCCAACAACCAAUUUGGAAAUUCUCCAUUCAUCUUUAUAUGUGAGAGAUGAACAUCCUCCAGGUCAUGUUGAUGGUAAAGGAAUUUGGGGAAUGUGACACCAUCUCCACAACCGGAAGACAACAAGAGAGAUUGUAAUUGGAAGUUUGGGGCGGUCAAAGAAUGUGACUCAGUUAUUUCAGCUUUUAUUUCAUUGUUGUAAGCCCAUAAGCUCUUGAGUCUUGAGUGAUUGAAAAGUGGUUUAAGUGAAAUUGGGAUGCAGAAGUGAUUCUUUGAAAGUAUUAGCUCUUCAAUGGAUGUCAAAUGAACGAGGGGAGUGAUAACUCUAGGAAAUGAGAGUUAUUACAUCAAUUCUAAACUUGAAUCAGGAUCUUUUAGAGAACAAAUAAGGUGUUUUUAUUACAUUUUGCUUAAACAUUCAUUUUAGUUGAGUAUUAAUAAGUUUUGCUUGAAUUAUAGUAAUUUGUGCUAAAAACAUAUGCAUAAUUGUAGGUUCUUGGAAAGUCUUAAUUCAUGAGGGGAUGUUGAGGCAUUAGAUGAGCAAGAGGAGGAAAUAAGCCAGUCAUAAAAGAACAAAAGCACAAUCGGGAGUAAUGCAGUGCUGUUACGGAUGUUAGAGCAACCCGUUCUGUAGCAAUCUGGAAGUAAAUGCGAGAGAAAACUUGGGCGCGGGUCAGCACAUGUUUCUUAAUUUAACGCAUGCACACUCAUAGGCUUGUGUUUACCCUAAUUUGCAAUAUAAAAGGGAGGCAAUACCACAAAGAAAGGCGGCAAGGAAAUUAUCACUAGAAUAAUCACAAAGGAACGAAGAAGAAGAAGAUCAGAAUUAAAGAGUUUUGUUUUGGAAACAUUGGAGAAUCGUGCAGAAUUACUUGGCUUUGAUUUUCGCCGUGCUCAACUUAUAUUUAUCUUCUUCCUUUAAUUAUUUUGAUGUAUUCCGGGAUCAAUAUAUUUAUGAUUAUUUUUGUCAUCCAGAUUAUGAACUAAAUUUACUUGUAGUUGAGUGACAAAUAAUCCAAUGGGUUCUUGAUUGUUCUUAUAUGUUGUUAUGGUAAUGCUGUAGCAUUUUACUCUAGUAGUUUUUAUGAGUAUAACUGUUAUUUCGGUUGACCACCCAUUUAAUAGUUUCAGUUAAGAGCAGCAAAGGGGCAUGUCUUAGCGGACAUUAUUAGAGUAUUACUUGUUCUUAAAUUGAGUUUCCUGGAUUAGGUUAUCUUGAAUCCCAUAAGGGCAAUACUUGAAGUUAAGAUUUGUGACACUCUGGACAUAGGUGUUCACCUUGUAGGGUAGAGAGAUUAAAGGAUAUAAUGACGUACCAUAAAUAUAUGAGCAACUGGUCAUUGUUAGUAGAUUUAAAGGUAUGAGAUUUCUAACAUGCGAUAGCUGAGGAUGCAGAUUUAUUCUGCCCAGUGCUGCAGCACUUAUUGUAACAACUGGUGCUAAUUUGGUAAACACCAAUCACCCCAUUAGGAGAGUUUGAUUAUUCAACUACUAUAUUCUCAAUUGAAUCUUAGACACAGUUAACUUAGUUUAUUUCAUUACAGUAUUGUUUUAUUUCCAUCUCUCGCAAUUAUUAAUUACGAUAGAAUUAUUUAACAAUUGUUUGUUUCGGUUUUAGUUAAUUUGCACUAUUGUGAUUGCUUUAGCAUUUUGAGUAACAUCAAUCCCUGUGGAGACGAUCUUGAAUACUCAUCACUUUAUUACUUGUUGUGUAUAUGAUGAAGAGUAGGAAUCCAUAUUAUACUAGGAUUAGUUUCCUUAUUAACUAAAGUUUAAGACUUUUAAAUUCCUUUCUAAUUUAGAAUUUUGUUUCCCUUUCAAUUUAGGAUUUUGUUUUUACUUCAUGAAUUAGGAUAAUUACUACUACUAUAAAUAGCUUCCUCUUGUAACCUUUGAAUGCAUAAUUUUGAGUUCAAUAAUAUUUCAAUUUUCAAAUCUCUUUGUGAGUAUUUGAACAGUUAACUCUCGGUAUUCUGCGGAAUCAACGAGUCUUAAUCCCUAAAUUCACGGUAUUCUUUUGAAUCAACGUGAAUUUAAUUAUUAUUUUGUUCCGGUAUUCUCUAGAAUCAACGGAAUAUUUUGAACAUUAAACUUCCGCUGCAUCAGUAUAUUUGCACAUCGGCAUUGGUAGUAAUUGAUUAUAAAAAUAAAUCAAUAAGUGUUUGGGGUCGUUGCCGGGGAUUGAUUGUUUAUUUUUAAAGUGUAAAGUAAAUCUUGAUAGCGCCAAAUUUGAUUUGAUUUAUUCUAUUUAUUAGGAGAUCGGUACAUGCAUGCGCAAAGACAGGUCUGUGGUAUUCUAAUUCGAUCCUGAGAUUGAAAGGACUGUCAGGAGAUUGCGAAGAGAACAAAGGAAUUCAGAAAUUGAUUCAAGCAUGAAUAAUUUGCAGGAUGCGGGAAAUUUGAAUCCUCACGGGCCCUUACAACCAGUAAACAUUCAAGGAGAGCAGAAUGAACAUGUUAACGGGAGACAGCCAGGCAAUAACAAUAUUAUUUACAUGGCUGAUGACAGAGACAGAGCUAUAAGAGAUUAUGCUGUGCUAACUCCUCAAGUUGUACAUCCUGACAUCAUCAGACCUGAAGUAGACGUUGCAAAUUUUGAGUUAAAGCCAGUGAUGUUUCAAAUGUUGCAAACAGUUGGUCAAUUCAAUGGAUUGCCAGAUGAAGAUCCUCAUCUCCAUCUUAAAUUGUUCUUGGAAGUAAGUGAUACUUUCAAGAUUGCUGGAGCAAUACAAGAUGCUUUAAGGCUGAGACUCUUUCCUUAUUCCUUAAGAGAUCAAGCAAGAGUAUGGUUAAAUUCGUUACCAUCUGAUUCCAUCACUACAUGGAAUGAAUUGGCUGAUAAAUUCCUAAUGAAAUAUUUCCCACCAACAAAAAAUGCAAAGUUGCGGAAUGAGAUUACUUUCUUCCAUCAACUUGAAGAUGAAAUGCAAAAAAUGCAAAAAAUGCAAUGUUAGUUAAUGAGUGACCUCAUUAACUAACAUAGUAAAGGCCUUGACAUCUGCUCCAGCAACAGUAAAGCAAGUUACUGAACUUUCUUGUGUAUACUGUGGUGAAGAGCAUAACUUUGAUAAUUGUCCUGGAAACCCAGCUUCAGUAAACUAUGUGGGUAAUUUCAGUUGAUAACCUCAGAACAACCCAUAUUCAAAUACUUACAACCCUGGCUAGAAGCAACACCCAAAUUUUGCAUGGAGCAGUCAGAAUCGAAAUGCUCCAGCAUUAAAUAGACAAAAUAAAAACACACAACCACUUGGUUUUCAUCAGCAGAGUCAAGGGCAAAAGCAUAACAGUCAGGAUCCAAUCACUUCACUGGAAGCACUGAUUAAAGAGUACAUUGUAAAGAAUGAAGCAAUUGUGCAGAGUCAAGCUGUAUCCUUGAGAAACCUGGAAAACCAAAUGGGACAACUAGCCACAGUAAUAAGCAGCAGAACUCAAGGAAGCCUACCUACCAACACAAAAGACCCUAGGAGGGAGGGCAAAGAACACUGCAAAGUAAUUAAUUUGAGGUCUGGAAAGAAUGUUGAUAUCCCAGCUGAUGUAACAAAAAAUGGGAUGGAAUUCAAUUCAGCACAAAAAUUACCUCAAAAGGGAAGCAUGUUACAACAACCUCCUCUUCAAGACACUGGUUACAUGGGCCAAGUUACAGCAACUACAGAGGAAAUUCAACCAAAACAUGUUGAAAAAGAAAUUGCAACACCAGUAGUCACAACCUGCACCAAACCAAACAAACAGAGUUUGAUAUCUCCUGAAGCUACCUAGCAGUUUAGACAUCCACCACCUUUCCCACAAAGGAUCCAGAAGCAAUAACAAGACAAGCAGUUUAGCAAAUUCCUGGAAGGGCUGAAACAACUGCACAUAAAUAUACCUUUUGUGGAAGUUUUGGAGCAAAUGCCAAAUUAUGUGAAAUUUUUAAAAGAUAUCUUAGCAUGAAAAAGAAAGCUGAGAGAGUUUGAAACUGUUGCUUUAACACAGAAGAGCAGCCAUAUGCUCAAGAGUAAAAUUCUCACAAAAGUAAAAGAUCCAGGGAGUUUUACAAUACCCUGCGCUAUAGGAACUAGGUAUGCUGGCAAAGCACUUUGUGACUUGGGAGCUAAUAUUAAUUUGAUGCCAUUAUCUGUAUUUAAGCAGCUGGGAGUAGGGGAGUGCAGACCAACAACAGUCACUCUGCAAUUAGCUGAUAGAUCUCAUGCAUACCCUGAAGGAAAAAUAGAGGAUGUAUUGGUGAAGGUUGACAAAUUCAUUUUUCCAGUGGAUUUCAUUGUACUGGACUUUGAAGUUAAUAAAGAGGUACCCAUUGUAUUGGGAAGACCUUUUCUAGCAACUGGAAAGACUUUGAUAGAUGUGCAGAAAAGAGAGCUCACCAUGAGAGUGAAUGAUCAGCAAGUCACAUUUAAUGUCCUAGAGGCUAUGAGAAACCCCGAUGAAGUAGAAGAUUGCAAUUUCCUAAGUGCAGUGGAUUUUGUUGUAGCAAACAAAAUGGACAGAUGCUACAAUAAUGCACUUGACAAAGUCACCACCUUUGAAGAUGUUGCAGCAAUCCAAACAUAUUAGAUGGACAAACAGCAAUCUAAUAGGCACAACAUGUUUAUUGAACACCUGAAUGUUUCAGACAGGGAAGUAAAAACAACUUUACCAUCUAUUGAAUCACCUCCUAGUUUUGAAUUAAAACUGUUACCUUCACAUUUGAAGUAUGCAUAUCUUGGUCAAAACAACACACUCCCUGUAAUCAUUUCUUCUACUGUGGAUGCAGGUCAAGAACAGAGUCUAGUAGAUUUACUGGGAAAAUACAGAAGAGCAAUUGGAUGGACCAUGGCAGAUAUAAAGGGGAUAAGUCCAUCAAUAUGCAUGCAUAAAAUCCUGUUAGAAGAUUGUUCCAACAAUUCGGUGGAGCACUAGAGAAGGAUGAAUCCUAUUAUGAAAGAAGUGGUGAAGAAGGAAAUCAUCAAAUGGUUGGAUGCUGGAAUCAUAUACCCAAUAUCGGACAGUUCAUGGGUAAGCCCAGUUCAAUGUGUUCCAAAGAAAGGAGGGAUAACAGUAAUGGCUAAUGAAAAGAAUGAACUUAUUCCUACAAGGAUAGUGACUAGAUGGAGAGUGUGUAUGGAUUACAGGAAACUCAACAAAGCCACAAGGAAAGACCAUUUCCCACUUUCAUUCAUAAAUCAGAUGUUGGACAGACUUGCUGGAAAACAAUACUAUUGUUUCUUAGAUGGGUACUCAAGUUACAACCAUAUUGCUAUAGCUCUAGAAGAUCAAGAGAAUACUACAUUUACUUGUCCCUAUGGAACAUUUGCCUUCAGAAGAAUGUCAUUUGGGCUAUGCAAUGCUCUAGCAACUUUUCAGAGAUGCAUGAUGUCUAUAUUUUCUGAUAUGGUAGAGCAGACUUUGGAAGUUUUCAUGGAUGACUUCUCAGUUUUUGGAGAAACAUACAAUGAUUGUUUACACAACUUGGAAGAAGUUCUUAAAAGAUGUGAGAUGACCAACUUAGUACUCAAUUCGGAAAAGUGUCAUUUCAUGGUGCAAGAAGGAAUAGUGUUGGGUCACAAGAUAUCCAAGGAUGGUAUUGAGGUAGACAAAGCUAAGAUAGAGGUAAUAGAUAAACUGCCACCUCCAACUUCAGUAAAGGGAAUUAGGAGUUUUUUGGGCCGUGCUGGAUUCUACAGAAGAUUCAUUAAGCAUUUUUCCAAAGUAGCUAAACCACUGUGUUCAUUGCUGGAGCAUGACAAACCGUUUCACUUUGACAAAGAUUGCCUUCAAGCAUUUGGAGAAUUAAAGAAAGCUUUGAUCACUGCUCCAGUAGUUAUAUCUCCAGACUGGACUUUACCAUUUGAAUUGAUGUGUGAUACUAGUGAUCACUCUGUGGGGGCAGUAUUAGGGCAAAGAAAGGAUAAAGUUUUUCACUUCAUCUACUAUGCAAGAAAACUCUCACUCAAACUCAAAUCAAUUACACCACUACAGAGAAAGAGUUGCUAGUAGUAGUAUUUGCUUUUGACAAAUUCAGAGCCUACUUAGUAGGCACUAGAGUGACUGUAUAUACAGACCAUGCAGCAAUCAAAUACUUAAUUUCAAAGAAGGAUGCCAAGCCAAGAUUAAUUAGAUGGAUUUUAUUGCUUUAAGAAUUUGAUCUGGAAAUUAAAGAUAGAAAGGGGACUGAGAAUCAAGUAGCAGACCACCUGUCACGGCUGGAUGCAGACACAAGCACAUUGACCAGAAACGACAUCACUGAAACUUUUCCUGAUGAACAGCUGUUGGUAGUACAAUAAGCACAGAUGCUGCAGCAGUCAGAAUCUCCAUAGUAUGCAGAUUUUGCUAACUAUUUAGUAAGUGGGUUGCUACCACCUGAGCUAAAGUUUUAAGAGAAAAAGAAAUUUCUUCAUGAUGUUAGAAGUUAUCAGUGGGAUGACCCACAUUUAUAUAAGCUAUGCUCAGAUCAAGUAAUAAGAAGAUGUGUUGCAGCAGAAGAGAUACCCCAUAUACUGGAGUCAUGUCAUGCUGCAGCAUAUGGAGGACAUUUUGGUGGUCACAGAACAGCUGUCAAAGUUCUGCAAUUAGGUUAUUAUUGGCCCACUAUUUUUAAAGAUACUUAUGAAUUUGUUAAAUGUUGUGACAGGUGUCGAAGGACAGGGAACAUAAGUAGAAGACAUGAAAUGCCACUGACCAACAUCCUGGAAGUGGAAGUUUUUUAUGUCUGGAGAAUAGAUUUUAUGGGACCCUUCCCGCCAUCUUUUGGGAACUUAUAUAUCCUUGUUGCUGUGGAUUAUGUCUCCAAGUGGGUAGAAGCUGCAGCAUUACCUACCAAUGAUGCUAAAACAGUUGUGGCUUUUCUUCAGAAAAAUGUUUUCUCUAGGUUUGGCACUCCUAGAGCAAUUAUUAGUGAUGAGGGCACACAUUUUACAACAAAAUCUUUGCUGCAGCAAUGAUGAAAUAUGGAGUCAGGCUGAAGUGUCCAACAGAGAAAUUAAAAAGAUCUUAGAAAAAGUGGUGAAUCCAAUAAGGAAGGAUUGGUCUUUACACUUGCAUGACUCUCUAUGGGCCUACAGAACAGCAUACAAAACUCCACUCGGAAUGUCUCACUACCGAAUUGUUUAUGGCAAAGCUUGUCAUUUGCCACUAGAGCUAGAGCAUAAAGCACAUUGGGCACUGAAGAAAUUAAAUUGGGAUAUGCAUGCUGCAACAGAGCAAAGGAAACUUCAACUUUGUGAGCUUGAUUAAUUACAACUAUUUUCAUAUGAAAAUGCAAGAAUCUAUAAAGAGAGGACAAAACACUGGCACGACAAGCAUAUUCAGCACAGGAAAUUCAACCCUAGUCAAUUAGUGUUGCUCCACAAUACAAGACUAAGAUUAUUUUUGGGAAAGCUCAAGUUACGAUGGUCUAGCCCGUUUAAGUUGUUAAAAUCUUAUUCUCAUGGAGUUGUUGAUCUUCUAGAUGAACAAACAGGCCACGAAUUCAAAGUUAAUGGACACAGGGUUAAGCAUUACAUACAUCCAGCAGUAGAAUGUUCAAAGGAGAUGUUACUCCUUAAAGAACCCAGCUAUUGAACAAUGAAGGAAGGUCAGGCUGAAGGACCUUAAAUCAAGCGCUCCAUGGGAAGCAGCCCAUUUGGGAGACAACCACUUCAAACCAAUUUUGAUCUCCUUUGGUUUAGUUGACAGCUCUCCCUCCUUACCAUUUUAUUUAAUUUUGUUCUUUCAUUCUAGCUAUUUAAUUUUAUCUUUUCAAAUUAUUGCAUUCUUUAAUUUUGCUAUCAUUUAAUCUAUUUAUUUUUAAAUGUUAGAAUUAAUUUGAAUUUGUGGGAAGUAUGUGUAACAAUUGAAUUCCAUACUGACAAGUGAGGUUGUAUGGUGGCAGAGUAUAGAGGUGAGCCACGUGUCAGAGGCUUUAGUGUGGAGUAUGUACCGUUGCUAGAGUAAGCGAAUGGGUGCUGCAGCAACCAAUUUUACCGUUGCAAUAAAUUGAAAGAUGAAGCCUCUCACUUACCGUUGGAGAUAAAUCAUGACAGAUGGAGGCUUGGAUGUGGAUAGAAAUUGCAAAUAAAUCUCUGAAAUUAAUGCCUUAAAUUACCUAGCCGAUGUUUUUGGGAUACGCGCUUUAAAUUAAAAAAUAUUUUCUUCCCUCAUUUAUCUUUAGUUACCGUAUUUAUCUCCAAUUAAAAGUCCACUAUAAAAAAGUCAUUGUACUUAGUGCUCUACACCACUAUUCCCCAUCUCCUUCGCAAAUCCAACUCUCCUAAUUCUUAGCCUCUUCUUCUCUUUUUACUCUCAGGAACAGUAGACUAAAUUUGUUACUGCUACAGUAAUGCCGAGAUAUAAGAAAACAGCAAGCCGCCUCAAAGAUCCGUCACGAUUCUAAAGUUACCACGCCGAAAAAAAAUAUGAAGAAUUCAUAGAGCCGCGUAGGAUUCUGGAAGAAAAAAGGUUUCAAUUUCCAGACCAACUCACGGGAAUUGUGCAAACAAUUCAUAAUGCUGCAGCAAAGCGAGGAUGGCUAGAGUUUUACAAACACCCUCGGGAUCCUGUGCUGCCUGUAGUAAAAGAAUUUUACGCCAAUUUGGUAAGCCCUGAUCAGCACAACAUUUGGAUAAGAAAUACACUUGUCCCAUUAGACUCUCGUGUUAUCAAUGCUUUUUAUAACUUACCUGCUGAAAUUACUUGUGAGUAUGCUAAGUUGCGUGAUAAGUUAACCCCGAAAAAGUGGAACACCAUUUUUACAACUCUUACAAUCGAAAGAGCAUCAUGGGCUAACAAGGAAGGGCGUGUAGUUAAUAGGAUAGAUUUGAAACCUAUUGCUAAGAUGUGGGUGAAAUUUCUGAAAUCUAGGCUUAUGCCCACCACUCACACUACUACAGUUUUGCAAGAAAGGUUGGUCUUGUUAUAUGUCAUAGUUCGCGGGCUUCCCAUAGAUGUGGGUAGCAUCAUCGCAAAAGAAAUCCGAGAUUGUGCAGUCAAGACUCACCGAACUGCUGCUUUGCUAUUUCCAUCACUCGUUACUAGCAUUUGUGUAGUUUCAGGUGUUCAUCUUGACGCCAGAGAUGACCAUGUCAAUAAUGAUGGUGCCUUUACGGCAUGAACCAUUGAGAGAGUUGCUGGUGAGAGUGCUGGAACAACCACUGAACCAGCUGCUGAGACAGGAGCAAGAUGAGCUAUUGGCUUAGAAAAGACCAUCCAGGCACUCAGCACAAGUAUAACUCAAUGUACGGAACCACAGCAGUGGGAAAACGAUCGAUUUUGGAGCUAUCUCCAGCACCUGGACAACCAACUACACCAAUUUUCUCUGUACAUGAAACGCACUCACCGGAACUUCCUUGAUGCACUGCUCCAGCAGUACAAUUUUGACACCAACACCACAAAUGCAUCAACAGAGGCUAGUGCAGAAGCCACUGCCACAGAGGAACCAGCAGAAGAUGCUACAGCCGAACCUCAAGCAGAGGAAGAAUCAGAAGAUGCUGAACCAUCUGAUUAGCCUGAGGAAGAAGGUGACAAGUCUGAGAUUGAUAGCUCACCUACAGAGGAAGAAGACAACUCGGAGAAAGACCGUGAGGAACCAACCAUCCUAACCCAGCCCAAAACCAGAAAAAAAAAAAGCACGUUAUUCAAGAAAAUGAGGAGGAAGACCUUGAAGAGGAGCCGUAUAUUCCAGUCCUUGCAGGCAAGAGAAAGGACAAGGGUAAAGCAAAAAUGGCAACAACUCCAGCCUCUGAAGAUGAGAUGGAGCAAGUCGAUGCUAAGCUGGCUGCUGCAGCAGCCAGAGCUAUGCCUACACCUAAGCAAGCUAAGCAACUACUUGCGGUUAUUGCUGCCAUCACAACUGAGGGCCAGGCAGCUGAUGCAUUAACUCAACAACCUCCACAGCAAACUCCUAGCCAGCCUAUUCGCACAAGUCCAAGACAAUCCAGCAAACAAAAAGGCAGUACGUCUACAAGUACUUCUACAGCAACCCCAGCCACAACUCCUCUCACCAGCCGCGCAGUGAAAAAGACAAAGACAUUGCCAGCUACUUCCCCAAAAGCUUCACCAAAGGAUGAGCUGCGCAGUGCAUCCAAGAAGUGCUGAUAGCAUCCCGUCAUGCACUCCAGUCCCCACCACAGGGGAGUACUCUAUCCUUACUAGUUCAUAUUUAAAAAAAAAAAAUUAUGUUUGUCAAUUUGUAUGCCUUUGUUAUGUAUGCUUGUGAGGACACAGCAUCUCUCAAGUUUGGGGGGAUUGUGUCCGAAUGCAUGUGUUUAUGUAUGUGUUUAUGUUUGUGUUGUGUGAAGCUCUGUUAUCUGUUAUUUGUGUAUGGAUUUGAAAACCUAAUAAAGAUAAAUUGAGUGUUAUUCAGUAUUUAUGAGAAUGCCAAGUAGAGAUAGUUAUAGAUAGAAGUGAAAUUAUGUCCCAACACUUAGACUUUGGUUGAAUUGUAUGAGACUGUUAGAGCAAAGCCAAAAGAAUAGAAAAUAUCUUAAGUUUGAAGGGAGAAGCAAGUUGAUUGACUGUGAUAUUUAUGAGAUAAAACUCUACUCCAAUGGCUCAAGUUGCUGAGUAACCAAAUCUGAGUAUGUACCCCAUAUGCAGAAUUGUGUAAAAGGUAGCAAGAGUUAUGAGCAAUGCUGUAGCAAAUAAAAAAAAAAGUCCUAUGUCUAAGGCAUUGAGUAGUCAGGUCUGUUCAUGAACCCCAUGUUCAGCCUUGAGUAAAAGAUACCUUUAGAUGAGAUUAUACCGCAAAUAUUGCUGCAGCAACUCUGAUCUGGGCAUGGUUUAAGUAAUUGGGUGUCAUCAUUACAAGUGAUUGACAUUCACAUGAAAGAUAAAUGUUACAGUAAGGAGGUUGAUUACUCCCCAGUUUAUCAAUGUAAAACAAUCACAGUUUGAAUAUGUGAAAUUUAUGCUACCCCAUUUAUGAAUGAAGUAUAUCACUGCUGAAAUUUAUGCAGUCCUUUGGUGAUGUUACAGCAUAUCUGGAAUUCAAUCAAAGGAAGCACACACACACAAUGGACAGAAAGAAGCUUAAGUCUAGAACUGAUUUACUAUGGCAUUUUGUAUGAUUGGGAUUGUGAUCUGAAGGUGGAAGAAUCCUUGCAAAUUUGAUAAAAGAGCUAAAGUUGUGUGCAUGUUUGUUUGCGGAAAAUGUUAGUAUGUGUCAUUACUUGAAGGCAAGUAAUGGUUUAAGUUUGGGGGUGUGAUAACUCUAAGAAAUGAGAGUUAUUACAUCAAUUCUAGACUUGAAUCAGGAUCAUUUAGAGAACAAAUAAGGUGUUUUUAUUACAUUUUGCUUAAACAUUCAUUUUAGUUGAGUAUUAAUAAGUUUUGCUUGAAUUAUAGUAAUUUGUACUAAAAACAUAUGCAUAAUUGUAGGUUCUUGGAAAGUCUUAAUUCAUGAGGGGAUGUCGAGGCAUUAGAUGAGCAAGAGGAGGAAAGAAGACGGUCAUAAAAGAAGAAAAGCACAAUCGGGAGUAAUGCAGUGCUGUUGUGGAUGUUAGAGCAACCCGUGCUAUAGCAAUCUAGAAGUAAAUGUCGGAGAAAACUUAGGCUCAGGUCAGCACAUGUUUCCUAAUUUAACGCACGCACGCUCAUGGGCUUGUGUUUACCCUAAUUUGCAAUAUAAAAUGGAGGCAAUACCACAAAGAAAUGCGGCAAGGAAAUUAUCAUUAGAAUAAUCACAAAGGAACGAAGAAGGAGAAGAUCAGAAUUGAAGAGUGUUGUUUUGGUAACAUUGGAGAAUCGUGCAGAAUUACUUGGCUUUGAUUUUCACCGUGCUCAACUUAUAUUUAUCUUCUUCUUUUAAUUGUUUUGAUGUAUUCCGAGAUCAAUAUAUUUAUGAUUAUUUUUGUCAUCCAGAUUAUGAACUAAAUUUACUUGUAGUUGAGUGACAAAUAAUCCAAUGGGUUCUUGACUGUUCUUAUAUGUUGUUAUGUUAAUGCUGUAGCAUUUUACUCUAGUAGUUUUUAUGAGUAUAACUGUUAUUUAGGUUGACCACCCAUUUAAUAGUUUCAGUUAAGAUAGAGCAGCAAAAGGGCAUGUCUUAGCGGACAUUAUUAGAGUAUUACUUGUUCUUAAGUCGAGUUUCCUGGAUUAGGUUAUCUUGAAUCCCAUAAGGGCAGUACUUGAAGUUAAGAUUUGUGACACUCUAGACAUAGGUGUUCACCUUGUAGGGUAGAGAGAUUAAAGGAUAUAAUGACGUACCAUAAAUAUAUGAGCAACUGGUCAUUGUUAGUAGAUUUAAAGGUAUGAGAUUUCUAACAUGCGAUAGCUGAGGAUGCAGAUUUAUUCUGCCCAGUGCUGCAGCACUUAUUGUAACAACUGGUGCUAAUUUGGUAAACAACAAUCACCCCAUUAGGAGAGUUUGAUCAUUCAACUACUAUAUUCUCAAUUGAAUCUUAGACACAGUUAACUUAGUUUAUUUCAUUACAGUAUUGUUUUAUUUCUAUCUCUCGCAAUUAUUAACUACGAUAGAAUUAUUUGACAAUUGUUUGUUUCGGUUUUAGUUAAUUUGCACUAUUGUGAUUGCUUUAGCAUUUUGAGUAACAUCAAUCCCUGUGAAGACGAUCUUGAAUAUUCAUCACUUUAUUACUUAUUGUGUAUACUUGCACAUUGGCAUUGGUAGUAAUUGAUUAUAAAAAUAAAUCAACAGGGAGAUAAGGAGAUGCUUCCAGUAAGUUGAUUGUAAGAAACAUCUAAUAUUCGGAGGGAUGUCAUAUUUGCCAAGCACCAAGGCAAGCUACCUCUUAAAUCAUUGCUUGCAAUGUACAACUCUUGUAGAUGCACCAACGAACAGAGGCCUGAAAAUUUAUUAAUUCAACCAUUGGUACAAUAAAACAAUUAACAAAUGCAUAACAUUCUUUUAUAAGUGAUUGGUUUGUGUAAUUAUAUUUUUAAUUGAAAAUUAAAAUUAUAGAUCAAGAGGGGAGGGUGGGAGCAUCUGAUUAACCUUGAUCAAGAAUCAUGCUGCUGUUAAUGCCAAUAGUAGAACCUGACAGUGAUAAGUACUUGAGAGAAGACAUCGAUUCACCGAUGCUUUGAAGAAAGCUGGUGUUGAGUGCACUGCGCAUGAAUUCCAUGUCCAAAUGUUCCAAACUCUUGAAAUGAGGAAAGCCUAGCAAAAACAAUAAAAUAAAUAAAUAAAAAUGUUGAACACUUAAGACGACAUUGAGUUCACAAUCAACACUUUUCUUUUACCUUGACCACGUACGACACCAUUGACUUCACAACCAAUCACCGACAGAUUUUUUAACGAAGGGAAUAUUGAUGCAAUGCUUUACAGAAGGCUUAUAUGGAGAGGGGAAUCGUUCAAUUUCAAAUAUUCCAAGUUGGUGAAAUUGUGCAACUCUGUUUCGAAGCAAUAAUUUUAGCUUUAUUAACAAUACGGAAAAAUAAUUAAUUAUUUAACAGUUUAUUUAUAAAUUUGGCCACAUAUGUACCGUUUAUUAAUAAUAUGGAUAAUUAAUUAAUUAAUUAGCUGCUUAUUUAUAAAUUUGGCCACAUUUGUACCUUUUACUUACCUUGAGUAGUAAUUGUCACUGUUUCCGUAAAAUUAUUAGACGAAAGGUAAAGAUUGUUGAGGGAUGGGAAUGAUCCCAUUGACUGUAACAACUUGCUUCCAUCUCUAACUCCAACUCUCGAUAGAUCAAGGCUUUUCAACUUCCUCAAACCGCUGUAACCUAUUUAAUAACAAUAAUUAGGAUAGGAUUUAAGAAAAUCAAAAUUCAUUGUCUAAAUUUAGAGCUAAACGAAAUAACUGAUUAAUUUAAUUAGGAGUCAAUUUGUAUUUUAUGCUUUGGGCAAAGAUCAGUAUCAUUUUUCAAUCGCUGCAAAGAUUAAAAAAUUAAAAUGAAAUCUUUAUUACAUUUUGUUUUUGAAAUAAUAAUAUUACGUCCUAUUUUUGAAAUAAUAUAAAUUCUAUGUUUCUUUAUUUUUAUUUUUAUUUUUUUGUACCUUUUGGGCCUUCCCUAAUCAAAUGAAUAAAAUUUAUGUAAUUGAAUAAUAUUUUAAAUGUUUACCUUGAGGAACCACAAGAUUGUUGAUUUCAUUGAAGCUCAUGUCCAACAAUUCUAAGUUGUUGAAGGAAUUGAAUUCUGCAAACAUAAACAGACUUAAGACUUAAAACAGAGUAAAUUAAUUAAUAAAUUUAAAGAAAUUAAAACGUCAUUAGAAUUUCGUCUAAACCAAACCAAAUAGUAUUUAAUUAAUUGAUUGAAAAAGUAUGCUUACUUUGUAUGUAAUUCCUUCAGGCUAAUCAAAUUAAAUAUUAAAUUAUGUCGAUAAUACAGAAGUCUAGCUGGCAUAUAUAAAAUGAGAAAGCAGGGCUUAGACUUACCUCGAACAUUGAAUGUUCCUUUGAAUCUCGUACCACUUAAACUAAGAGACUUCAAUUUACUCAAACCUGUAAAAUAAUAAACCAAAUGGCAAAGAAUCCAGCUAAUUUGUAUAAGUUAGCAUUUUUUAUGGUAUUUGUAGUACCUUUUGAGACCACAAAUUUGUCAAUCUUGUUCCCGCCAAUGUCUAGCUCCUCUAAAUCUCUCAAAGAAUCUAAUUCUGUAAUAAGUACAAAUUGAGUUGAAUGUUUCAAACCUCACCAAAUAAUAAUAAUAAUAAUAAUAAUAAGUUGUGGAGGUGUUUGGUUCACUAUUGGAGUUUUUUUUUAAUCUUAAAUUCAAGACAUAUGAAAGUACAAGAUGAAAUUACGAGAAACAUAAAAACUUGUAUUUAUAAAUUGCUUAAAACUGUUUUUUUUAAUAUUAAUCAUAAAAAAAUUGAAUUCAAAGCCUUGAAUCUUAUUUUAGCAAGUUAAUGAAAGAACUUGAAGUUUUAAUUAUGUACCUUUAACGUCAAUACUUCCUUCCAAUCUAUUCCAAAAUAAAUUUAAUGAUCUUAAUGGUGAAAGAUGAGUUAGAGAUGAUAAAAUGCUAUUAUUGAAUGAGUUUCCACUUAAAUUAAGCAUCUUCAAGUUGUUCAAUCUUGAUAGCCUCUCUAUACCUGCAAGUAAAAUAAAAAAAAGAUCAUAGAUACUGGUGUAAUUUCAAAAUUAAUCAUUUAAAAAAAAAGUCAAAAUUGUCGACUAAAUGAAUAUGCAUAUAAUUGCUCGGUCUUGAUAUUCAACUUAAAUUAGGGGGGAGAAAGUAAAUUAAUUAAAUUAAACGAAGCACCUUCAUUCUCAACACAACUGGCUAUUUUGUUGUCAGUUAAAUCAAGUGACUCAAGUUGUUGGAAGGGAGUAAACAAAGAAGCAUUCAGAUACCAGUACUCUCCCCCAUACGUGUCAGAAAGGUCUAGCGCUAUCACUCGGCUCAUGGUGUUGCUGCACUCAACCCUUUCCCACUGACAACAAUCAGUAGCUCCCUCACCAUCUCCCCAGUCGUAAAGAAAAUUAUAAGGAUCAUUGAGGAAAUGUUUGAGUCGCAAAAGAGCAAAUCUCUCAUGAUCCAAACAUCCCUCACUUCACCCACCUUCAAAUAUUAUUAAUAACAAAACAAACAUUAUCACCAUUUUUUUAUUUUGAACCACCCAUUCUAACUAUAUCUUUAAGUUUUAAAAAACACACACACUCUUUCUAUCUUUGUAACCAACCAGAGGACUAUACGCCAUUUGCUUAUAACGCAUGUAACUAUUUAUACACCCAACUAGCUUAUAGUUGACUUUUUUAGUUGUUUCUCCAAGUCCUUCAUGCAUUAAUUUUCUUCCCUUUUUUUUUCAUCUUUGUCAUUUUGCUAUAAUUUGCAACAGCAACGCGUUUUGAGCUAGCAAUAAAUAAUAAUUGAGAGAGAUUGAGAUGACAAAUGGAUAGAAACUAAAAGUAUGGGUGUUUAAUACGAGAACGAUUAUACCCGUUUAUUAUAUUUCAACCUAAAAAUUUACUCUAAGCAUUUAUAAUAAAUAAAAAUAUGAUAAUAAAAAUAAUAAAAAAAUAUGAAUAAUAUAUAUUUGUAAAAAAAAAAGAUUUAUGUGUCCAUUUUGAAAAUUAGCGAGUAUAUGUAAAUAUAAUUAUCAAAACAAACCAUAGAAGUGUUGUUAUUUUUUCCUUUCAAAAAAUCCACCAUUAUAAAAAAAGCCCAAAGACUUUGACAUCUUUUAGGAGUCUUUGGGCCUUGUUUUUUUCCCUCUUUUUCUUUCAUUUGCAUUUUGAUCCACAAGGCCAAAAAUUAAAUUCCACACCUUUGGCAUUUUGUGGAGAUUACAUUUCCAUGUUUUUACUUAGAAAGUAGGUGGAGACGUGGAGUCAAUGCGGCCAAGUGCUCAAUUAUUGUUAGUUAGCAAAAUAGAAUUUUUGGCGAGAUGAAUUUGUUGUAAAAAAGUUUUUGGAAAAAAUAAUAAUCAUCGGAACUUGUCUUGUGUCUUUAUAACAAUUUACUACUGCGAAAUCUUUACAACUUCACAUCUUUGAUUCAAUUAUCGCCACAAAGGCACAAGUACGUCCAUUUGUAAACCAAUCGAUAGAGAUCAAAUUUCAAGCCAUGAACUUGUAUUGUCAGCAAACACCUAAUCACUUUAGAUAUUUGUAUCGUUUAAUUAAUUAAUGAUCACUCUGAAAUUACAGAGGUUGGCCGAAUAUUCCCCUAAAAUUAAUUAAUUUUACCGAAAGGGAAUUAUUAGACAGAUCAAGUGUGUCUAGUUUUUUUGUUGUUUUGUAACAAUCAAUUUGGAAACUCUUCACUCAAGUUAGCAUCUUAGAGAUCAAGAUAAACAAACUCCUAGUGAUGCUAAUGGAAGAGGAAUUUAUAAGAGGAGAAGAGAGAGUAAUUAUGCUUGAUCAAGAAAGGUACCAUUAAAUCUAGAAUAUGACAAUUAAUGGUAGAAAAAUUAACAAGCAUGUAAUCCACGAUCAAAGAUUUUAAAUCCUUGAAAUUUAGAUAACCUAAAAAUUAACAUUGAACAAGAAAUAAAUCAACACUGCCACUUUGAUCACAUAAUCGAUGAAACUUAGGAUAUAUAAUCAACACCUGUUUAUUUUACUAUUGAAUUACUAUUUUUUCUGUAUUAUUUGAAUAAGGGAAUUGAUUUGGAGAAACUCUCACUAUAAUUGAUGAAAAUCAAGAUAUAAUCAAUACAUAUUCAUUUUAUUUUUAAAUUAAUACUUUUCCAUUAUUAUUUGAAGAAGGGAAUUGGUCUCAAAAAAUCUUAUUGUAAUAUAUGUAACUUAAACUUUUUUUUUCUGAAAUAAAAAUUAACUUUUAAGAAGGCUUCAAAUAUGGAGAGGGGACCAGUCCAUUAAUGUCAAUUCUUCCAAGUUAGUGACAUUGUGCAGCUUUAUUUGAUUAGAAGGUGCAACAUCUUUAGCUUUAACAUAUCUUAUUCUUUAAGACUAUUAAAACUUUUAAAUUAUGUCCACAUGCCCACCCUAUAAGAUCCACAAAAGUAGCAGAUAAAAUGGAAGAAGUACGCUAAGGGGCUGUUUGAUUUUAGUUGUGGCUUACACAGCACGAAAUUACACCAAAAAUGCCCCGACCAGAUUUAAUAAAACAAAUGUACUCUUACUCAGUUUAUUAUUUAUUUUUACAUAGAUAUAUUUUCUUUUUUUUCUUUUUUUUUCUUUUUCAACUUAGAAAAGAGAAUUAGGGGACAGAUCAAGUGUGUCUGAUUUUGCGUUGCUUUCUAGCAAUCAACUUGGAAACUUUCCACUCAAGUUAACAUGUGAGAGCUGAUGGAAGAGGAAUUUGAAAAAUCGUGACUCUAAUUUUGCAUAUAUUUGAUUAUUUCAACACUUGAUUGGUUUUGAAUGGUCCAAGAAUGGGCAAGUGACAAUGAGACUUGGAAGUGAUAGUUUGAAAAAGUGAGAUCUUCAAUUGAUAUUAGAUAAAUGAGAGUAGACUAGGAUAUAUUUCCAGUAAGCUUAUGGAGAGAGACAUAUCAAACUUGAAGUAAGAAGUCAUAUUUUCCAAGCACCAAAGACAAUUUAUUGUACCCGGAAUAUAAUUAUGGUCAAUAAAACAAAAAACUCUUGCAGAUUCAUCAACUGAUUGGGUUGAAAACAUAAUUCAUCCUUUAGCUAAUAACAAUUAAUGAACGCAUAAAAUCUUAUAUCUUUUAACAUAAAUGUUAAAUAUUAAUUUUAUUAAUAGUCGCAACCUUAUGCAGGCAUAAUUUGGUCAUGAAAACAAUAAAUCUAUCCGUUCUUAAAGGCUAUUAACUAUAACAAAAAAUCAAUUAAUAUAAUUUUUAUAAGAGGAGAAGAGAGACUAAGUAUCCUUCAUCAAGAAAUGUACCAUUAAGUCUAGAAUAUGAUAGUCAAUGGCGGAAAAAUUAACAUGCGCAUAAUUUAUGAUCAAAUAUUAUAAAUCCUUGAAAUUUAACAAGUCAUUUCAUUAAAAUAUGGAUCACCUUCCACACAUUUUAGAAAUCUUAUCAUUUUUUUUCUUUUUUCAUUAAAUUAUGUUUUGGUCCACACAACCGAAAAUUAAAUUCCACGCAUUUUGCAUUUAGUGGAAUUCUAUGUAUUUUUUAAUUUUACAAAACUUUAGUCGGUGGAGUCAAUGGGGCUAGAAAUUCAUUGAAGGGUCCCGAGAAUCAAAGGUGCUUACUCAAUUAUUAUUUGUAAAGUUGUAGACUUGUAGGGCAGCUACCGGAGUCCACACGUUGUAAUGUUUUGUUCACUAUCAAUCUCAUUGUUGGUCGUUUCCAACACGCUCAAGAAUCCAAUUCUGCAUAAACACAUAAAAUUAAAGACUUAAAACAGAGUUUAAGUAAUUAAUAAUUUAACUGGAAACAAAUUAAAAAGGAGAAUUUAAUUAUUGAAUUCCACAUUGUGCUAUUGAAAAUUAAAAAAAAAAAUUGUUGUCACCUCAGUCAAUUAGAUAAUCACUACAAAUAGUUCUUUAUGUAGAUGAUAUUCUUCUAAUUGGAAAUGAUAUAGGAAUAUUGACUACAAUAAAGAGUUGGUUAGCAAAACAAUUUGAUAUGAAAGAAAGACAUGAGAGAAGCAAGUUAUAUUCUUGGUAUCAAAUUACUACGAGACCGGAAGAAUAAAACUUUAGCCUUGGCUCAAGUGGUCUAUAUCGACAAGAUAUUGGUUAGAUUUAGCAUAGAAAAUUCCAAGACUGGUUUAUUACCAUUUAGACAUGGAAUUGUAUUCUCUAAGGACCAAUCACCUAAAACAUCUAAAGAGAUGGAGAAAAUGAGACGAGUUCCCUAUGCAGAAGUUGUGGGAAGUCCCAUGUAUGUCAUGCUUUGCACUAGGCUAGACAUCUGUUUUGUGGUAGGAAUGGUUAGCAGAUAUCAAAUCCUGGACCUGAACACUAGACUGUAAUCAAGCAUAUAAUGAAGUAUCUUAAAAAAACUAAAACUUAUAUGCUUGUGUAUUCUAGUGAUGAACUCAUUCCAGUGGAUUCUAGAAAAUCAACUUUCGGCUAUAUGUUUACAUUAGGAAGUGGAGCUAUUAAUUGGAGGAGUGUGAAACAAUUUGUAUCACAGACUCCACAACUGAAGCUGAAUAUGUGGAUGCAUCUGAAGCUGCAAAAGAAGUUGUAUGGCUUUGCAAGUUCCUACAAAAUCUUAAGGUGGUACCUGUUGUAACUGCACCCCUUAAACUAUUUUGUGAUUAUGGUGGUGCAGUAGCUCAAUCUAAGGAACCACAAGAAACAAAAACAUAUUGAGAGGAAACAUCAUCUUAUAAGGGAAUAGUAUAGAAAGACUAUAUGACAGUACCCCAAAUGACAUUAGAUGCUUUAUGGUAGAUUUUAUUACAAUGGCCAUUAGUGGGAAACCUUUAUAACCUGCACUUAGAGCCCCUAGAGCAUGUGCAAUAUGCCAGAUAUGCUUUAAAGAGCUAGUGGGAGAUUGUUGGGAUUAUGUGCUCUUUUAAAAGUAUUAUUAAUUUAUUUUCUGAUUAAUAAAAUAUUUGAGAUAUUUCAAUUGCAUAAAUAUAUUGAAUAAGGUCCGUUUAAUCAUAUUAUAUUUUCUCUUGCUAGUUGCUUUUAGUAGUGAUAAAAGCACCCACACGUCAAGUGCAGAUCAAACUUGAGUCAUAACCCAGAAGAUUAUUUGGUGACAGAUCGUGAUCUAACAAGCGUGGUGGUGACAGAUCGUGAUCUAACAGGCGUGAUGGUGACGGAUCAUGAUCUGGGAAGCCUGGAUUAAUUUCAAUUGUUCAUCUUCUCAGUUGCACUCAAUGUGUAUUAGAAUCCACGAAGGUCCGAUCCNNNNNNNNNNNNNNNNNNNNNNNNNNNNNNNNNNNNNNNNNNNNNNNNNNNNNNNNNNNNNNNNNNNNNNNNNNNNNNNNNNNNNNNNNNNNNNNNNNNNAACGUAGAACCCUGUAGUUGGUUGCAGAGAUAGAAAGAGUGAGUGUGUUUUCCAUAGUUAAAGAUAUAGUUAGAAUGGAUAGUUCAAAAUCAAAAAUGGUGAUAAUGUUUGUUCUGUUAUUAAUUAAAUUUGAAGGUGGGUGGAGUGAGGGAUGUUUGGAUCAUGAGAUAUUUGCUCUUUUUCGACUCAAAUAUUUCUUCAAUGAUCUUCAUGAUUGGGUAGAUGAUGAGGGAGCUACUGAUUGUUGUCAAUGGGUAAGGGUUGAAUGCAACAACACCACAGAUCGAGUGAUAGCACUAGACCUUUCUGAUACUAGGAAUUGGGAUUUGGGAGAGUGGUAUCUGAAUGCUUCUUUGUUUACUCCCUUUCAACAACUUGAGUCACUUGAUUUAAGUUGGAACAAAAUAGCCGGUUGUGUUGAGAAUGAAGGUGAAUUUACUUCUCCCUCCUAAUUUAAGUGGAAUAUCAAGACUGAGCAACUAUAUGCAUAUCGAUUCAGUUGACAAUUCUGACAUUUUUUUUAAGUGAAUAAUUAAUUUUGAAAUCACACAAGUAUCUAUAAUCCUUUUUUAUUUUACUUGCAGGUCUAGAGAGGCUAUCAAAAUUGAACAAUUUGAAGAUGCUUGAUUUAAGUGAAAACUUGUUCGACAAUAGCAUCUUAUCAUUUGUAGGUCGUCUUUCAUCAUUACGAUCAUUAAAAUUAUCUUACAAUAGAUUGGAAGGAAGUAUUGAUGUUAAAGGUACAUAAUUAAAACUUUAUCUCUUCUCCAAGCUCUUUCAUUAACUUGCUAAAAUAAGAUUCAAGGUUUUGAAUUCAAUUUUUUAAUGAUUAAUAUUUUAAAAAAAUAGUUUUUAGCAAUUCAUAAAUACAAGUUCUAGUGUUUCUCAUAAUUUCAUCUUGUACUUUCAUAUGUAUUGUAUUUAAGAUGAAAAAAAAAUUCUAAUUGCGAACCGCACACCCCCACAACUUAUUUUUUUGUGAGGUUUGAAACAUUCAACUCAAUUUGUACUCUUUACAGAAUUAGAUUCUUUGAGAGAUUUAGAGGAGCUAGAUAUUGGCUGGAACAAGAUUGACAAAUUUGUGGUCUCAAAAGGUACUACAAAUACCAUAAAAAAUAUAAACUUUUACAAAUUAGCUGGAUUCUUUGCCAUUUGUUUUAUUAUUUCGUAGGUUUGAGGAAGUUGAAGUAUCUCGGUUUAAGUGGCAACAAACUCAAUCAUAGCAUCUUAUCUUCUCUGACUAUCUUUUCUUUGUUAAGAGAAUUAUAUCUACGUGAUACGGGAUUCAAAGGAACAUUUGAUGUUCGAGGUAAGCCUAAGCCUUGCUUUCUCAUUUUAUAUAUGUCAGCUAGACUUGUGUAUCAUCGACAUAAUUUAAUAUUUAAUUUGAUUAGUCUGAAGGAAUUACAUGCUAAUUUAAACAAACUUUUAUUUACCCUGUCAAUCAUUAAUUAAACACUAUUUGGUUUGGUUUAAACCUACUUUUUUAUUUUAUAUGCUAGCUAGACUUAGAUACUAACUAUUUUGAUGAGUCUGAAGGAAUUAGAUACUAACUAAACAUACUUUUAUGUACUCCCUCAAUUAAUUAAUUAAUUAUUUCACUUGGUUUGGACGAAAUUCUCAUGAUGCUUUAAUUUCUUUAAAGUUAUUAAUUAAUUAAUUCUGUUUUUAAGUCUUAAGUCUGGGUAUGUUUGUAGAAUUCAAUUCCUUCAAUAACUUAGAAGCGUUGGACAUGAGCAACAACGAAAUCGACAAUCUUGUGGUUCCUCAAGGUAAACAAUUAAAAUAUUAUUCAAUUACAUAAAUUUAAUUCAUUUGAUCAGGGAAGACGCAAAAGGUACAAAAAUAAUAAUAAUAAAAUAAAGAAACAGAGAAUUUAUAUUAUUUCAAAAACAGGACGUACUAGUUAUUUCAAAAACAGAAUGUAAUAAAGAUUUGAUUCCAGUACUUUAAUCUUUACAGUGAUUGAAAAACGAUACUAAUCCUUUCCCAAAGUAUAAAAUACGAAUUGACUCCCAAUUAAAUUAAUCAUUUAUUUAGUUCAUCUCUAAAUUUAAACAAUGAAUUUUGAUCUUCAAUCCUAUUCUAAUUACAAUUAAAAAACAGGUUAUAGAGGUUUAAGGAAUUUGAAAAGCCUUGAUCUAUCAGAAGUCGGAAUUAGAGAUGGAAGUAAUUUGUUACGGUCAAUGGGAUCAUUCCCAUCCCUCAACACUCUUUACUUGACUUCUAAUAAUUUUAUCGAUACAACGUCAGGUACAGAUGUGUCCAAAUUUAUAAAUAGGCUGUUAAUUAAUUAAUUAAUUUUCUGUAUUGUUGAAAAAGCUAAAUUUGUUGCUUCGAAACAGAGUUGCACAAUUUCACCAACUUGGAAUAUUUGGCAUUGGACUCUUCCUCUCUCCAUAUAAGCCUUUUACAAAGCAUUGCAUCAUUCACUUCGUUAAAAAUAUUGACGAUGACUAAUUGCGAAGUCAAUGGCGUCCUAAGUGGUCAAGGUAAAAGAAAAGUGUUGAUUAUAAAUAAACUAUUAAUUAAUUAAUUAAUUUUCCGUAUUAUUGAUAAAGCUAAAUUUGUUGAUCCUUCCUUUUAAUUCUAAACAGAGUUGCACAAUUUCGCCAACUUGGAAUAUCUGGCAUUGGACUUUUCCUCCCUCCAUACAAGCCUUCUGCAAAGCAUUGCAUCAUUCACUUCGUUAAAAAAAUUGUCGAUGACUAAUUGUGAAGUCAAUGGUGUUCUAAGUGGUCAAGGUAAAAGAAAAGUGUUGAUUAUGAAUAAGCUGUUAAUUAAUUAAUGUUGUUGCUCCUUGCUUCUAAAAUGAGUUGCGCAAUUUCACCAACUUGGAAUAUUUGAAUUGGACUCUUCCUCGCUCCAUAUAAGCCUUCUGCAUCUGCAAUUGCUUGAAGAAUUUAUUUAUUUAUUUAUUAUUGUUGUUGUUGUUGUUGAAAUGGGGUGGGCAAGCGUUCACUCAGUUAAUAUGUGGUGAAUUAAAUAUUACAAUCCAAGUUAGAAUUGUGGAAAAUUAAAGCAAAAUGAGAAAUAUGGACAGAAAGGAAGAAAGUUAAGGGCAUGAAAGACUAGGAGAAGACUGAAGACCACCAAAUAAGUCAAUUGAAAACUAGCUGGGGCUUGGGUGUACAAAUUGUUAGAAGUGUUUGUUAUAAAUCACAUAGAGCCCUCUUGUUGGUUGCAGAGCCAAAGAGACAAAGAGUGUGCAUUUUAUUAAUUAAAAAAAUAUAUAGAAUGGGUGGUUUAAAAUCCAAAUGGUGAUAAUGUUAGUUUUGUUAGUAUUAAUAAUAUUAGAAGGGGGUAGCGUGAGGGAUGUUUGGUGCAUGAGAGAUUUGCUCUUUCGAGACUUAAAAAAUUUCUUCAAUUCUCCUUAUAAUUUUUGUCACGACUGACCAUUGUCAAUGGGAUGGGGCUGGGUGCAGCAACACCACAGGGCGAGUGGUAUCUGAAUGUUUCUUAGUUUACUCUUUUUCAACAAAUUGAGUGGGUUAAUUUAAGUUGGAACAAUAUAGUUGGUAGUGUUGAGAAUGAAGGUGUUUCGUUUAAUUUAAUACUUUCUCCCUCCUAAUUUAAGUCGAAUAUCAGGAUUGAGCAACUAUAUGUAUCUUUAUUCAGUUGACAAUUUUGACAUAUUUUUUUAAAUGAUUAAUUUUGAAAUUACAUCAAACUGAUGUGAUCUCUGUUUUGAUUUUACUUGCAGCACUAGAGACGCUCUCAAGAUUAACCAACUUGAAGAUGCUUGAUUUAAGAGGAAACUUGUUCAAUAAUAGCAUUUUAUCAUCUCUAGCUCAUCUUUCAUCAUUAACAUCAUUAGAUUUAUCUGAGAAUAAAUUGGAAGGAAGUAUUAAUGUUAAAGGUACGUAAUUAAAAUGUCAUCGCUUCUCCCAACUCUUUCAUUAACAUGCUAAAAUAAGAUUCAAGGCUUUGAAUUCAAUUUUUUUUAAUGAGUAAUAUUAGAAAAAUAGUUUUAAGCAAUUCAUAAAUACAAGUUUCAAUGUUUCUCAUAAUUUCAUCUUGUACUUUUGUAUGUCUUGACUUUAAGAUUAAAAAAAAAAAUUAUUCUAACUGUGAAGCAAAUACCCCACGACUAAUUUAUUAUUUUGUCUAGUUAAAAAUGAUAAAAUUUAUUAUUUGCUUAUAUUGAUUAAUUAACUCUAUUUUUAAGUCUUAAGUCUUGGCGUCUUGGCAUGUUUGCAGAAUUUGAUUCCUUGAGCAACUUAGAGGAGUUGGACAUGAGCGGCAAUGAAAUAGACAAUUUUCAGGUUCCUCAAGGUAAACUAUUAAAAUAUUAUUCAAUUACAUUAAUUUAAUUCGUUUGAUUAGGGAAGGCCAAAAGGUACAAAAACAUAAUAAAAAACUAAAGAAACAAAGAAUUUAUAUUAUUUCAAAAAAUAAAAUGUAAUACUAUUAUUUCAAAAAUAGAAUGUAAUAAAGAUUUGAUUCCGGUUCUUUAAUCUUUACAGCAAUUGAAAAACAAUGUUGCUCUUUUUCUAAAGCAUAAAAUAUGAAAUGAGUCAUAAUUGAAUUAGUCAUUUAUUUUGUUUAGCUCUAAAUUUAGAUAAUAAAUUUUGAUUUUUUUCAAUCCCAUCCUUAUUAUUAUUAUUAUUAUUAUUAUUAUUAUUAUUAUUAUUAUUAUUAAACAGGUUACGGAGGUUUGAGGAAGCUGAAAAGCCUGCAUCUAUCGAGAGUUGGAAUUAGAGAUGGAAGCAAGUUGUUACGGUCAAUGGGAUCAUUCCCAUCCCUCAACACUCUUUACCUUUGGGGUAAUAAUUUUACGGAAACAAUGACAACUACAACUCAAGGUAAGUAAAAGGUAUAGGUUUGGCCAAAUUUAUAAAUAAAUUGUUAAUUAAUUAAUUUUCCACAUUAUUAAUGAAGCUAAAUUCCUUGCUCCUUCUUUGUAAUUCUAAACAGAGUUGCACAAUUUCACCAACUUGGAAUAUUUGACAUUGGACCAUUCCUCUCUCCAUAUAAGCCUUCUGCAAAGCAUUGCAUCAAUAUCCCCUUCAUUAAAAAAUUUGUCGAUGUGUGGUUGUGAAAUCAAUGGUGUCGUACGUGGUCAAGGUGAAAGAAAAGGGUUGAAUAUGAACUCACUCAAUGGUGUCCUAUGUGUUCAACUUAUUUAUUUUUUUAUUAAUUUUAUUUUUUAAUGUUUCUACUAGGUUUUCCUCAUUUCAAGAGUUUGGAACAUUUGGAGAUGGAUGACGCGCGCAUUGCACUCAACACCAGCUUUCUUCAAAUCAUCGGUGAAUUGAUGCCCUCUCUUAAGUACUUAUCACUAUCAUAUUCUACUCCUGGCACUAACAGCAUCGAGAUUCUUGAUCAAGGUUAAUGAGAUGCUCCACUCUCCCCGCUUAAUCUAUAAUAUUAAUUUUUGAUUAAAUGUUUAAUUACACAAACGAAUCACUUAUUUUAAAAGAAUAAUACGUAUUCAUUAAUUUUUAUAUUGUAUUAAUUGAUGAAUUUAAUAAAUUUUCAGGCCUCUGUUCGUUGAUGCAUAUGCAAGAGUUACACAUUGCUCAUAACGAUUUAAGAGGUAGCUUGCCUUGGUGCUUGGCAAAUAUGACAUCCCUCAGGAUAUUAGAUGUUUCUUCCAAUCAACUUACUGGAAGCAUCUCUUCAUCUCCCCUCAUUCAUUUGACAUCCAUUGAAGAGCUGAGGCUUUCAGACAAUCAUUUUCGGAUUCCAAUUUCACUUGAACCACUUUUUAAUCACUCAAGACUCCAGAUUUUCGAUGCUUACAACAACGAAAUAAAUGCAGAAAUAACUCAAUCACCUUCUUUGACCCCAAACUUCCAAUUAUCACAUCUCUCAUUGUCUUUCGGUUAUGGAGAUGGUGUCACAUUCCCCAAAUUCCUUUACCAUCAACAUGACCUUGUGAAUGUUGAUCUCUCACACAUAAAGAUGAAUGGAGGAUUUCCAAAUUGGUUGUUGGAAAACAACACAAGAUUAGAAACUCUUUCUUUGGUCAAUGAUUCUCUUGCAGGACCUUUCCGAUUGCCAAUUCAUUCACACAAGCAGUUAAGACUGUUGGAUGUCUCCAACAACAACUUCCAAGGCCACAUUCCAGUAGAAAUUGGAGAUAUUUUACCAAGUUUAAUAUCCUUUAACAUUUCAAUGAAUGCUUUAAACGGUAGCAUUCCCUCUUCAUUUGGUAAUAUAAACUCCCUUCAAAUUCUGGACUUAUCCAACAAUCAAUUGAUUGGUGAAAUACCCGAGCACUUGGCUGUGGGUUGCGUCAACUUGGAGUAUCUUACAUUAUCAAACAACAACCUAGAAGGUCAUAUGUUCACUAGAAAUUUUAACCUGACAAACUUGAGAUGGUUACAAUUGGAAAGCAAUCACUUCGUAGGAGAGAUCCCACAAAGCUUGUCUAAAUGCUCUUCACUAGAAGGAUUGUAUCUUAAUAAUAACAGUCUCUCGGGUAAGAUUCCACGAUGGUUAGGUAAUCUCAAAGGGUUAAAACAUAUUAUAAUGCCCGAGAAUCAUCUUGAAGGUCCUAUUCCAAUGGAGUUUUGUCAACUUUAUUCGCUUCAGCUUUUGGACAUUUCAGACAACAACAUAUCUGGAAGUUUACCAUCUUGUUUCCAUCUUCUCUCUAUCGAACAAGUUCAUCUUUCAAAAAAUAUGUUACGUGGACAGCUAAAAAGAGGUACAUUCUUUAAUUGCUCUUCCCUUGUGACAUUAGAUCUUAGCUAUAAUCGUUUGAAUGGCAGCAUUCCGAAUUGGGUUGAUGGGCUUUCUCAACUAAGGCACCUUAUCUUAGGUCACAAUAAUCUUGAAGGUGAAGUGCCAGUUCAAUUGUGCGGAUUAAACCAACUGCAAUUGUUAGAUCUUUCUAAUAAUAAUCUUCAUGGCCAUAUUCCUCCUUGCUUUGAUAACACCACACUUCAUGAAAGUUAUAGCAAUAGUUCUAGUCUUAAGCCAUUUGAAAUAUCUCUUGUCAUGGAAAGCGGGAUGAUCUAUGCAGAAAAGCAAAUCCAUGAAAUUUUUGAGUUCACAACAAAGAACAUUGCGCACAUUUACCAAGGAAAAGUGCUUAGCCUCCUAUCAGGACUUGAUCUUUCUUGCAACAAGCUAAUCGGUCAUAUUCCUCCUCAAAUUGGAAAUUUGACAAGGAUUCAAACAUUGAAUCUAUCACACAACAACUUGAUAGGAUCGAUCCCAUCAACAUUUUCAAACUUGAAGCAAAUCGAAAGUUUGGAUCUUUCUUACAACAAAUUGAAUGGGAAAAUCCCUCAUCAACUUAUGGAGUUAAACGCAUUGGCUGUUUUCAGUGUGGCAUACAAUAACUUAUCAGGCGAAAUUCCAGAAUGUAAAGCACAAUUUGCAACCUUCAACGAGAGGAGCUAUGAGGGAAAUACUUUUCUUUGUGGACUGCCAUUGCCCAUUUGCAGAUCACCAGCAACUAUGCCAGAGGCUUCAAUUGGCAAUGAACGAGAUGAUAAUUUAAUUGACAUUGACAGUUUCUUUAUCACAUUUACAACAUCAUACAUAAUUGUGAUAUUUGGAAUUGUUAUUGUUUUAUAUGUAAAUUCUUAUUGGCGACAUAGAUGGUUUUACUUUGUUGAAAUGUGGAUAACUUCAUGUUACUAUUUUGUUGUAGACAAUCUUAUUCCAACAAGAUUUUGUCAUUGAAAUUAAUUAGUAGUUUAAUUACGAUUCUUUAAGUACUAAUCAGGUUUUCUUGGGAAAUAAAUUUUUUUAUUUUUUAUUAAAAUUGUAGUAGUAUUUAGCAUUAUAUAGCUUCCAACUUCCAAGCACUUCACAUUUGUCUCUACACUUAAAAAGCGAGUGAUCAUGUUUUGUAGAUCUGGAUUUGGAGCAGGAUGGAUCCAAACCCAUAUCUAUCCAUCAUAGCUUAUAGCUUCCCUAUACUGUGCAGCAUACUUAAAUAAGAGAACCAUCUCCAAUGUUAAAAGUAGCCACUCUAUAACAAUCAUUUAGAAACUAUAUUCAGAAUAGUUUUAUAAUCAUACACAAGAAAUGAAACACCUAGAUGCACUUGAUCGCCUAUUUUACUUUGAAAAAGAACAGUUAUGGUGCUUUCAUCAUCUUCUUCACUAGCAACAUUAACACUAAAUCCACCGAUGGACCCAGACAUUUCAUCAAGAAAGGUAUAUAUCUAAUAAAGUUAAAGCUUGACAAAAAAUUCAGGAAGAUUAAUGCCUCGCCACAACAAGGGCCACAACAACAUCAAAGUAGAGAUGAAGCAGUAUUCUCAAAGCUAAAACUCUCAAAUCCACCUAGGGGUGUUUAGAAUCCAAUUUGAUCCGCUCAAUCCGUCUAAUCCAUAGAAAUCCAAUUUGUAAAAAUCUGAUCCGUGGAUUGGUGGAUUAGAUUAGAUUGAAAAUUUGAUAAUCCGCAAUCGGUGGAUUAGAUACGGAUCUACUUCUGUAAAUCUAUAAAAAUCUGUGAAUCCGCAAAAAAAUAAAAAGUAUUUAUUUAAUUAAAAAAUAAAACUUGUAAAUAUGGUAUUAGUACUUACUAGUACAUAAAUAAGUUAAAAUAUAGUUAUAUUAACAGUAUGUUAUAUCUUAUCCGAUAAUAAUAAAAAAUAAAAAAAUAAUUAAAUAAACAAAUAUAGCUUUCUAAAUAGUUAAUUUCUAUGUACUGAUCUAAACGAAUGAGAUUUUUUUCGUUUUGAUGUGUUAUAUUUCGAAACUUUAAAUGAAUUUUUUAAGCUUUAUUUAAACAAUUAAUUUAUUUAAAUCUUAUUUAAUUUUAAAUUUGAAGUCCGUAAACCAAUCCGCAAAAUAUUAGAUUUGGUCAAAUCUGCAUCCGAUCCGUAGAUGUAUGGAUUGGAUUUGGAUUGAAUUUUACCAAUCCGUGGAUUGAAUUGAAUUGAAGAUUUAUAAUCCGCAAAAUCGUAGAUCGGAUAUGGAUUGAGGUCUAAUCCAUAAAAUCCGAUCCACGAACACCCUUAGUUGGAUUCUUGAGUGAGAACAAUUCCUAGGCCAAAUCCAAAUUGUCUACAAGAAAUCCAACGUCCUCAAGAGAUCAUAUAUAGUUUUCAAAUUGCGGGAAAGCUCUAAAACUUGUGAAUUGAGAAAUUGUACAUGCAUGUCAAGCUUUAACCAAUGAAUUUGCUUUAAUUUAUCAACAAUAAGAAUAUAAGAUGAGAUUUGACCUAGUUGUUACUCUUGUGAAUAAAAAAAUUGUGUGCCUGAACAUGAUUUAACUAAUGAAAUGAAUUUUCUUUAAUUUUUUUUAAUAAUAGGAUGAGACUUUCCUGAAACGAAAAGUACGGAUAUAUAAUUUGUUGGCUUUAGUUACCUUACAUAAUAAUGUAUGGUACAUAACCGUUUGAUGAAAAUCCAACAGUCGUGGAAAUAAUAAAAUUUUAUUAUCUUAUAUUUUCACAACUGUUGGAUUUUCAUCAAACGGUUGUGGAAAAUCAAAUGGUUGUGGAAGAGUCAUUUACCUUACAUUAUUAUGUAAGGUAACAAGCUCCUAAUUUAUUUAGUAUGAUUGAAAAUUAUGAAUGAAAAUAGUUUUGCCAAAAUUGACAAAAUCAAAAUCUUUAAAUUAGUGAAAAGUCUUCAAGUCCUAUGUGAUAUAAACACGUAUUUGGCCUACUUCUUAGAACUCUUAUGGCUAUAGUCAAGCUAGAUGAAAAAGAGAUUUACUAAUUCUGAGUUAGAGAUCAUGAUGGUAACAUCUACACCUUACUCAAUAAAAUUCUUUGCUUAUUUUUUUAUUACUUAUGGUUGAAUUAGAAAUUCAAUUAUUCUUUUAUAACGUGGUUUAAAAUAUUUAAUAAAAGGAAAUUCUUAAAUACUUUGGAGAUUUCAGAGCUUUUUUUUUAAUUUUUAAAAAAGAUAGAGAUGUGACAAAACUAAAAAAAAAAAAUUAAACUCAGAUGACCAACUAAAAGUUAUCUGAUCACUUUAUUUGAACGAAAACUUUAAUGCUGUUAUGAAAAUGUGUAGAUCAAGCAAUGAAAAAUUCCAAAAUAUUGGUAAUAACUUCAAAUUACAACGACGGAGGUAGGUUGACGGCGACCUUAUGUAGCGGAGGCAGCCAUAAAUUUUAAAUUUUGUUUGCGUUGAAGUCAAAAUUCAACUGUCGCCGACCCAUUUGGUUUGAACUCUAUGUCAAUCGGGUCUGCCCAAAACCAAACACAACCCAAACCAUAGCCAGCAUAGGUGCUAAGAAGAUUCUUUUACUUUGUCACUUGUCGCCUACAAUGAAAUUGACAUUAAACAAACAUUAAAACGUGUGGACUCCGAUAGCUGCCCCACAACUGUACAAUAAUAAUUGAGUAUGCACUUUUGAUUCUCGGGACCUUUCAAUGAGUUUCUGCCCCGCUGAUUCUAUCAACUAAAGUUUUGUAAAAUGAAAAAAAAAAAGUACAUAGAAUUCCACAAAAUGCAAAACGUGUGGAAUUUAAUUUUUGGCCGUGUGGACCAAAAUAUAAUUUAACGAAAAAGGGCAAAAAUGGUAAGAUAUUUAAAAUGUAUGGAAGAUGAUCCAUAUUUUACUGAAACGACUUAUCUCGAACAUUAAGAUGAUUGAUUUUUUCUUUUUGAAUAAUAUCAACUUCCAUAUCUUUCUACCGGAGAACAUGCUCACAUUAAAGUCUAUCUUACUAAUUUGAAAAAGAAAAUCAAAUCAACACCAAAGCAAUGAAAAGUAAAGCUUUUGAAUUUUAACUCCGGCUGGCAAACGUAUUCAGGAAUUCUUCCCAUUGCAUAUCUUAUUCCUCCAUCAAUGCAAUAUUAAGUAAUUUUUCUUUAUCAUAUUCUUUUCUUUGCAUUUCUUCUUCCUCUAUCAAUGCAAUAUUUGAACAAUUAAGAAAGAGUUUAAGAACAUAAAAGAUCUCCUAGAUUUAUACGGUAUAACAAAUUUAAAUUCUCAAUUAUAAUGGAUAAUAAUUAAACUAAUAAUUAUUUAUUUACUUAUUUUAAUAGUUUCACCUAAGAAUAAUAUUGUAAUUAGAAAAAAUCUAAAAAGCGGGGUGGUUUUAUACAAAAUCAAUUGCAUACACAUAUCCAGAAGCAUAUGCGGAUGCAAAUAAUAUUUUUUAUUCUUUUUUUAUAAGAAAAUUGUGUAUUGAGAUGAAUAAAAUGUUUAAUUUAAUUAAUUUCCUUACUUUCAUAUACAUUGUCUUUCUAUCUAAAGAAAGCUCAUGUUUGUUAGUAUUCAUUCUUAGAGAGGUGAAAAAAUUACAAAUCUUGAACAACAAGGAGUAGUUUAAUUGCCACUAACUUUACUUGGCCUUCUUUAGUUGGAGCUGUGUUUUCUGAUAAGCCAAAGAAUUAGUAGCUGUUAGAAAGCUGAAAUGAGAUUGUAAACUUUGUUUGGAAGCUAAGAAAAUGAAAAGAAAAUGUUCUGGAAAUUUCUUGAUUUUAUUCAAUUUUUCUCAUUACAUAACAAAUACAAUCACGAUAGUAUUUAUACUAAAUCAAGUCUCUAAAACAAAAAUAAUAGUUUGCUUAACAGCUGACGAACAGGACGUAAUGCAUGCUUAACGGAAUUGCUGAGCUGGCUUCUUUUCUUAACUAACUGCUGACGUGUCAUUGGCACACACGUGUUGAAUAUGCAGCUCCCUUUUGUACAAUGUGUGCUUCCUUAACAGCCCCCCUCAAACUCAAGGGGCAGGGAUGCACAUUGAGUUUGCUUCUAAAGUAGUUAAAGUGAAUGAAUGUGAGAGGCUUGGUCAAGAUGUCUGCAAUCUGCUCUUCACUGGGAAUGUAAUUGAUCUCCAGCUCUCUUGCCAACACUUUAUCUCUUAUGAAGUGCAUGUCUAGUUCAAUAUGUUUAGUUCUCGAGUGGUAGACAUGAUUUUUGGCUAGCUCAGUUGCACUUAUAUUAUAGCACUAUUUUGUAGGCACUGAAACACAUUCUAUCUUGAUCGUCUUGAAUAAUGACUGCAACCAUGUAAUUUCUGCACUUGCAAAAGCAAGAGCUCUGCACUCACUCUCUGCACUUGAUCUUGUGACUAUUGAUUGCUUCUUGGAUGACCAAGAUAUCAAAUUAUGCCCCAAGUAAAUGCAGUAUGCCCCUAUUGAUUUUUCUAUCAUCAACAUCAUAUGCCCAAUCUGCAUCUGCAUAUUCUAUUAGCUUUAUUUCUCCACCAGCUGUACACUUUAAUCCAUAGUCUUCUGUUUCUUUCAAAUAUCUAAGUAUCCUCUUACAAGCCAUGAUAUGUUGAAGUGUUAGUGUAGACACAUAUUGACUUAAUUUGUGCACUGCAAAAGCAAUUUCUAGCCUAGUCAGGACUAAAUACUGUAACUCUCCAAUCAAGCUUCUAUAACUAGUUGCAUCUUCAACAUACUGACCCAAAGAUCCCUUAACUUCUUUAUGAAGUUUUGUUCUUGUAACCAUUGGAGUAUCACACCCUUUGCAGUCAAGCAUAUCAACUUUUCUCAGCAAGUCUUUAAUAUAUUUUUUUUUGGGACAGAUAUAUAUCAUUCUCAGUAUAAGAGACUUCUAUACCAAGAAAAUAUGAAAGCUUUCCUAAAUCUUUUAAUGCAAACAUUUUGCUCAAACCUGAGAUAAAUUUUUCAAGUUCAUCACUAUUAGGUCAUGUUAUCAAUAUGUCAUCAACGUAAAUCAGGAUUAGUAUCAUUGAAUUCUGUUCUCCCUUGAAAAAUAGUGAAGUGUCGGCUCUGGAAUUUUGAAAACCCCAAUUUGUAACCAAACAACUCUUCAGUUUGUCAAACCAUACUCUAGGAGAUUGUUUCAACCCAUAUAAGGCCUUCUUCAACUUGCAUACAUAAUCAGGUCUUAUCUCAUCAACAAAUCCUUCAGGUUGGCACAUGUAAACAUCCUCUGUCAAGUCUCCAUUUAGGAAAGCAUUACUAACAUCUACUUGUCUGAUCAUCCACCUAUGCAUUACAGCCAAGCUCAAUAUAACUCUCACUGUAGAAGCCUUUAUAACAGGGCUAAAUCUUUCAAAAUAAUUGAUUCCUUUAGUUUGUUGGAACCCUUUUGCAACCAACCUAGCUUUAUAUUUGGCAAUACUGCCAUCACUAUUUUGUUUGACUCUAAACACCCAUUUGUUUCCAACAAUUUUGUAUUCAGCUGGAGGUGGUAUAAGAGACCAAGUCUCAUUUCUGAUCAAGGCUUCAUAUUCCUCUUUCACGGCCUUAUACCAGUGUUUAUCAUUAAGAGCUUCUCGAACUGUGUUAGGUUCUUUGUUGAUCAAGGUGGUUGUGUACAACUUAGGCUUGAAUAUUCCAGACUUCGAUCUAAUGGUCAUUUUGUGUGUGGGUUGUGAAGUCAGAAUUCUGUUUGGACUGAGUUCAGUUUGUUGUUGACUGGUUACAUGUGGUUCAAAUUGUGUUUGAGUUGGUUCAGGAAUAUGACGGAUAGUUUGUGAUGUUGAUGAUUUUGAUAUGAAUGACUAGAUGAUUCUUGUUGAUGCUGAUUAUUUGUAUGCUCAGGUAAUACAGGUGUUUGUUCAUUACUCGGUACUCUUGCUGAGUAAGUAUCUUCAAAGCUGCUGUUGAGUAAGGGUAAUGUUGAGAGAUGAUAGAUUUGUUGUUUAGAGAAAUUUGACACUGGAGUUUCUGAUUGGAUGACAUUUUCAGAAGAAGAAGUGGCAAAGAUUGUUGCAUAUGGAAAUACAGUCUCAUCAAAGACAUCAUGCCUAAGAAUAUGAACUUGACCUGAGCUUGUAAGACAUUUGCAUCCUUUAUGAGAUGAGCUAUAUCCAAUAAAGAUGCAUUUGCUAGUAUGAAAAUCAAACUCAUGUCUGUUAAAGUCUCUCAUGUAUGGAUAACAAAGACAACCAAAUCAUUUAAGGAAAUUGUAAUCAGGUUUAUGCUUGAAAAGUUUCUGAUGUGGGGAUAAGAGUCUCAAUACAGGUGUUGGCAACCUGUUUAUGUGAUAUACUGCUAUAUGAACAGUUUCCCACCAGAAUUUGAAAGGAAGAUCAGCUUGAGUUAAAAGAGUCAAGGCCAAUUCAAUUAUAUGCCUAUGUUUUCUUUCUACCAGUCCAUUCUGGUGAUGAGUGUAAGGGCAUGAGUGUUUGAAAAUGAUCCCAUUUUGGUUCAAAAAAUCAGUGAAUACUCAAUAUUCUCCCCCUAGUCAGAUUACAUCAUCUUAAUUGUUGUAUUGAACUGAUUCUAUAAUUCUGUCUUUAGAAAUGCAACUAAAUUUUUAAUCUCUUACUCUACAUAAAAUUGAAAUUCGAGUGGCUUAUCAAAUAAAAUUAAAACUAUUAAUUAACCAAAUAAAAUUAUUUAAAACCAUUGGGUAUGGUAGCAGGAGUUCUUGAAACUAUCGAUGCCAUGAAAUUUACUGGCGAAAAGGGUUUUAGAUGUCUAUUUUAUAAAUCUUUUAAUAAUUUUUUUAUUUACCAUUUUACUAUCCAUGGUAAAAGUGUCGCAUCGACAUUGAACAGUUCAACAUAUCAGUCAUUUCUCAUUCAGUCAUUAAGAAUUUACGUUUGGGGUAUUUUUGUAAUUAUGAGAAGGUAAACUAAUCGCAAAAUUCAUUUGGCUUGCACUUGCUCGCCUUUGCUGUGUGUUUGGUUAUGGCGUUAUCAUUAUCAUCUUCUCCACUCCUGCUGACACCAGACCUUAACCGUUCAGAUUCCCUUUCUCGACUGUCAUACCCUACGCCCCGUCUCCGUGUCUCCGAUAAACAGUGCUCAAUUAAGACCAUCAGAUUAUCCCGGACCCACAUUAAUCCAACGGCUCACAAUGACCGACAACCUCUCCAUCUCCAUUACAAGCUCCCUCUUCAGCUGGCUUCUUCUUCCGUCCUACUCUUUCUCGGAUUCGGAGCCCGUAUAUGCUCGGCUGGUCCCACGCAGCUCCCUCUCACUCCAGCUGUCAACCAACAAGACCAAUUGCUUGAUCAAGACACAGAACAAAAAGAGGAUGAGAAAUUGAAUCAAGAAUUUGAGAAUUGGAAAUGGAAGACGUACGCAUUGACCGUGCCUUUGAGAGUCGUUUCUCUUCAGAAUUCAGUGCCUCAAUCUUGGGUUAAGGAUUUUAUGCGAAGUCAAGGAAAGAGAUUGAAGUUUCAGAUGAAUUUGUGUGCUAGCAUUGAUGGGAUCGUUAACAAUUUAUCUACGCCCUUUAACAAAGUUAAGGCUAAGUCAGCUUCGUAUAUGGCUGCUGAUUUGGUUAGUGUUGGUGAUUCAUGGCUCAGUUUUGCGAUUAAAAAGAGAUUGAUCGAGCUAAUAGCUGAAGCUGAAGAUCAAGAUUGGUUCAAAUGCUUAAGUCACAAAUGGAAGGUAACAUCUUUAUCUUUUACCCGAUAAUUUUUAUUGUCUUACCUUGAAAUUUGGUAAUGUAAUUUGUUCUCUAUCUGUGUUACCCUUUAUAGUCAUUUUAUUUAUUUGUUUAUUGCUUUUAUUUGCACUAACGAAAUCUCAGGUAUAUCUACGCAGCAAUGAUGCAGGAGAAAUUGAUCCUCGAGGUCAAAUAUGGGCGGCACCAUACAGGUGGGGCACAAUGGCGAUAGGCUACAAGAAAAGUAAAUUUCAAAACCAUAAUUUGGCUCCGAUUGAGGUAAUAAUUGUACUUAAACUCAUUUAGUUUAAUAUCAAGCAAAAUCAAGACUGCCUUUCUCUUCAAUAUUUUCAAUGAUAAUAUCUUUAGAAGCAUCUCAUUGACGGGUAACAAUGGUAUCCCUGAAAGAGUCUAUAAACUCAAUGAUAUUAUCUUCUACAAUGGCUCAUUAAACUUUGUCGUUGCAGUCAAAUGUACACUCAGAGCAAUGAAAAGCUAUGCCACUGUAGCAUGUAGUGAUGGCACUUAAUAAGUGAAUUGCUAGGAUGUGAACUAGAAAAAUUAAAUAUUGUCUCCUUGGGUAUGCUAGCUCGUAAGUCAGGGUUACUAUUAGAGCUUAAGAUACUAUAACCAUGAGAAGCUAUUGACUGCCAAUUAAAAUAUCCAUUAAAAUGUCUAGGGAGUUAUGAAGGUGGAGGUAGCUUCCAAUAACUAACUUGAGUUUGGUAAAACAAACAGACAGUGUGUCUCAUGUCUCACAAUUCAAAUUAUCAUCUGUAAUGAUGGAGAAUUUUUCUAAUGUAUGAAGUAUGCUUUCAUACGUGGAUUAGCUUGGAGAAGAUAUCUCAAAAUAAAGAAUAUGGGGAGCGAAUGGGAAAAAAACAGUUCAGUAGUUUAUUAUUCUGUAGUCAAGUUUUGUCUUGAAAAUGGUCAAAAUUUAAAUGAAUAAGGACAGGGGAUCUUCAUUCUUUUUUCCCUUUUUUAUACCAAGAUAUCUUUCAACCUUUAUAUAAUCCCCACUGGAUAUCUGCUUCUAAUAAUUAAAAUAAAAAUUUCACCCACACAAAUAAAUACUGACCAAGCUCUAACAAUAAAAACUAACAUCUUUAGUCAAGUAACAUCUUUAGUCACGUAAUUUACAGUUCCUCAUCAUCUUAGUGUGAGCUAUCAGUACGAUCUAAAAACAUAAUAAAACUGGUUUGAUCCUGUUUAUUGAUGUUUAAAUGUUGUUUAUUGUGACAAGUAAAUUAGUAAGAUCUUGUUUGAAGUUGUUUUCCGAAAUGAACUGCCAAAUGGUAGUUUUUUUGGGGCAUCUGAUGGCUCUUUUUUCCUCAUUUUAAACAUGUGCCUGCUUGGAAUGGGAAGGAUUAGGCUGCAGAGUUGUUAUAUAUUUUGACAUGCUCUGGUAAUUACACAAUUUGUUCACACUGGAAAUUAGAAUGAGAAAUUUGUUGAUGCUGUUUUGAUAGAUCUGCAUUCUAUGCACAAUAACAUGAUUAAUGAAAAUGGAUUGUAGGACUGGAAAGAUCCGUGGUGGCCUGAGCUCGCAGGAAGAAUUUCAAUGGUUAAUUCUCCCCGAGAGGUUAUUGGUUCAGUUUUGAAGUAUAUGGGAGCAUCAUAAAAUUCAAACAAUAUUGAUUUGCAAGUUGCUGGUGGGAAGAUUGCUGUUCAGCAGAAUCUGGCAUUACUGGCAAACCAGGUACUCUUAAAGAAAUGAUAUCUGAUCAUUGCAUGUUAUUGCCUGACAACUGAUUUUGUUUGUAGAAGUCUGCUUCUUCAUACAUAUGAAUGCAUAUGCUAGUGUUUUCUUCUCCUUUUCAUACAUAUGAAUGCGUAUGUUGGUGUUGUCUUUUCCUUUUCAUACGUAUUAAUAAUACAUAUGUUGGUGUUCUCUCCUGAGAUGGAUGCAAUAAAGGCUUUUGCUCCUAAAUUUAGCUGAAGAAAUGGCAAGGGAUGUGAGAUUCUGUCUCAUUAAAUUAACAAAAACCCAAAACAAUGAAAAACCAUAAUAAUGUGGUGUGGGUAAACUGGCUCCAUUUGGUUCGUUUCCUUAAUGUGAAUACGCAAACAAUGGAGACUAACAAAAUGAAGUGACAACAACAAGUCAGUGUCCUUUGAUGGAUGCAUUUUUAAGCAGAAAUAGGUUUGUAAUUGACCAAAUUUGUCUGGCAUGCCAAUUUCGAAAAAAUUAAAUUAUGUGAUUAUUACCUGUAAUGAAGGGGGAUAGUAGGUGCAAUCAGGUGGAUCCCGGAAAGUUCAACAAAGUUCUGGUAUGGUGUAUUGAAAUUGGUUUGUGCAACUCAAGAGUCUUUCAGGUGAACGAUGAUGGGUUUUGAUUUAUGAAUGUUAUAAAUCUACUGUGCAUAGUAUUCUAGUAGAAUCAUUUAUAAGUUCUAGUUAUUGAAAUUGUCUACUUUGUCCGGUUUGAGUUAAGGGCACAUGUAAUAUGAAAAAUAGUUGUCGCAUCUUUUAGGUUACCUAACAUUUGAUCAAUCCUAUUAUGAGGGCUUCAAGAUGUCUAACAAUAUGUAGAAUGCCCAUGCUCCUCCCCAUUGUUUAUCUUAUACAAUAAUUUGUUUUAGAUGCUAAUAUCUUUGUCGAUACUGGUAACAUUAUUACAAUCUCUGCUUUUAUUGGGUUCUACAUAGGUUCGACUGUUUGACAGUACACACUAUCUGAAGGCAUUUGGAAUUGGAGAUGUAUGGGUUGCUGUUGGGUGGAGUAGUGAUGUUCUUCCUGCUGUCAAACGUAUGUCUAAUGUUGCUGUUGUUGUUCCCAAGUCUGGUGCAAGCUUAUGGGCCGAUCUUUGGGUAUUCCCAUGCCUGCCAUUCUACUUCGAUAUUCACUUUGUUAUCACCUUCAUAUUAGUGAUCAGUAAACACGAUAAUGUGACUAAUAAGUUUGUAUUCUCUUUAUAGGCGAUCCCUGCUGCCUCAAGACUUGAAACAAAACAAAUUGGAGGGCAAGUCAGAGGUCCGUCUCCAUUAAUCCAUCAAUGGAUAGAGUUCUGCUUGCAAACAGCAAGAGCAUUGCCUUUCAAGCAAGAGGUUAUCCCAGGCGCAUCUCCCUCUGCCCUUGAAAGUACUCUGGUUAAGUUGCCUGAAGAACUUCUGAAGGGUAAACCAAGUGUGGAUACUAACUUAAUUGCUGGAGUACCCCCCCGCUGAAAUUCUGGCCAGAUGUGAGUUUUUGGAGCCAUUAUCUGAAGCUACAUUGUCAGAUUAUGAGUGGCUGGUUGCUAAUCUGCAAAACCUGCUCCUGUCUUGAUGAAAAGGGUGCAGCAUUACUUGUCAUCAUUAAUCCAAAGCUUUCUAGCAAAGCUACAUUGAAAAGUUAAUGGCACUGCAUACAAUCAUGAGUUUUAAUGGAGCAAGAACUAAAUACAAUUAUCGCUAACAAAUACUGAAAACACAACCCACACAGGAAAUCACCCUUCGCGUGGGGAUGGAGAUGUUUACUGGAGCGAUAUUGAAUAUGUGCAAGGUGUUGUCCACUGCUCUUUGGGUUAUGGUGUGACUUGCGAUUUCAAGAUUGCCCAGAAACAAUGGAAAAGAUUAACAUAUCCUCCCAUGAGUGAAAACGGCUUGACUAAUUCUAAUUACCGAAUUGACUCAGGAUCAGGUAGCAAUAAUAACAGUUAACUAACAUUGCACAGUCCCGAGUACUUUUCCAGGAUCAGAUACAACGUGGUCUAAUGUUGAUAAUAAUACCUUAUUAAAGGACAAAUCAUUGUUCUUGGGUGUUGAUAGUAAUAGCUUAUUAAAGUAGAAGAUGAAGGUUGUGCAGGUGAUUUCAGAAAUAAAAUACAUUCUGAGAGAUGAUGGUCUACUAUUGCAAGCCCCCAGAUUUCAGAAUCUUUUGAUUGCGGCAUUUGGCAACGAUUCCACAAAUUCUAGAUUCCAACUGAGUUAUCAAUUGAAAAUGAAGUUGAAUUGAAAAAGAACAACAAAUACACAGUGAAGUUGAAUUGAAAAUGAAGUUGCAAGUUGCGCCCAUAGCUGCUGACUAAUAAUAAAACGAGACAAAUUAAUUAAACUCAGAUCUCUAUGUACAUGUCAACCUAACUUUACUUUUCCUUGUUUGUUAUAUUCACUUAACACUUGAUGCCUAAACCAUUAAAACCAAAUGACCAUAGAGGUAUUUGUAAUAUGUAAAAACAAACAAAAACACGUAAAAAAUUUUAAAAACAAUUAAUAAUCACACUCUAAAUUUACCACUCAACUCUAAAUAAUAACCAUACUCAAACAAUUUACAACUUUUGACGGGAGUAGCUAUGAGGAAAAUCCUUUCUCAAUGGAUUGCCAUUGCCCAAGAGUUGCAAUGAAAACGUACCACCUGCAGCUGUGCCGGAAGAUUCAACUAGGUCUGAAAAAGAUGAUAAUUUAAUUGAUAUGGACAGUAAUUGUGAUAUCGGAAAGCAUUAGUAUUCUAUAUGUGAACCAUUAUUGGCGACAUCGAUAGUUUUAUAUUAUUAAAAUGUGGAUGACUUCCAUUUACUAUUUUGUUAUAGACAAUCUUAUUCAAUUAACAUAUAGUUUUAAACUAUUAUGUAAAUCAAUCUAUUAAUUUUCAUGAUAUUUAACUGAGUUAAAACUAAGUGCAAUCAAUAAAUCUCUUUUCCUUUAAAAAACCGCUACGUUUUAAUUUUAGUGCUUAAUAUUUAUUGAACUCUGAUACAGGAAAUUUGAAAUCAAACUCGUAACUACAAAUUAUUUAAUUGCGAGUUGCUGUCCAUAGCUGCUGAUCUGUAGUAAUUAUCUAAUUGACUGAGGUGACAACAAUUUUUUUUUUUUUCGGAAAAAUGUCAAUAGCACAAAUUCAAUAAUUAAAUUCUCAUGUUUAAUUUGUUUCAAGUUAAAUUAUUAAUUACUAAAACUCUGUUUUAAGUCUUUAAUUUUAUAUCUUGGCGUAUAUGCAGAGUUGGAUUCUUGAGUGAGUUGGGCAUUAAAAUGUGUGGACUCCGGUAGCUGUCCCACAAGUGUACAACUCUACAAUAAUAAUUGAGUACACACUUUUAAUUCUGGGGACCCUUCAAUGAAUUUCUAGCCCCGUUGACUCCACUGACUAGAGUUUUGUAAAAUAAUAAAAAAAAAGUACAUAGAAUUCCACCAAAUGCAAAAGCAAAAUGUGUGGAAUUUAAUUUUUGGCCGUGUGGACCAAAAUACAAUUUAACGAAAAAAGAAAAAAAAAAUUGUAAGAUUUCUAAAAUAUGUGGAAAGUGAUUCAUGUUUUACUGAAAUGACUUGUCUCAUGAUUGAUUUUUUUUUUUUUUUGAAAAAUAUCAACGUCCAUAUCUUUCUACCCUAGAACAUGCUCACAUUCAAGUCUAUCUUUGCUAAUUUGAGAAAGAAAAUCAAAUCAAAUCAAUACCAAAGCAAUGAAAAGUUAAGCUUUUGAAUUUUAACUUCAGCUAGCAAACGUAUUCAGCGUUUUCAAAUUCUUCCCAUUGCAUAUCUUCUUCCUCCAUCAAUGCAAUAUUAAGUACUUUUUCUUCAUUAUAUUCUUUUCUUUGCAUUUCUUCUUCCUCCAUCAAUGCAAUAUUUGAACAAUUAAGAAAGAGUUUAAGAACAUAAAAAAUCUUCUAGGUUUAUACGGUACAACAAAUUUAAAUUCUCAAUUAUAAUAGAUAAUAAUUAAACUAAUAAUUAUUUAUUUACUUAUUUUGGUAAUUUCACCUAAGAAUAAUAUUGCAUUAGAAAAAAUCUAAUAAGUGGGGUGGUUUUAUACAAAAUCAACUACAUACAGUAAUAAGUGAGUACGCACCUUUGAUUCUCGGGACCCUUCAAUGAAUUUCUAGCCCCGUUGACUCCACGGGCUACGGCUAAAGAUCUGUAAAACAAGUAAAUAGAAUUUCCACAAAAUGCAAAACUUGUCGAAUUUAAUUUUUGACCAUGUGGAUCAAAAUGUAAAUUAAAGAAAAAGACAAAACAAAAAGAGGUAAAAUUUCCAAAACGUGUGAAAGAUGACUCAUGAUUUAUUAAAACGACCUGCCUCGAAUAUCAAGACGAUUAAUCUUUUUAAAUUUUUUUUUUUGAAAUAAUAUCAACUCUCAUAUUUUUCCACUCGCAGAACAAGUUCACAUUCAAGUCUAACUUGCUAAUUUGGAAAACGAAAUCAAAUCAAAUCAAUAUCAAAGCAAUGAAAAGUAAAACUUUUGGAUUCUAACUCCAGCUAGCAAACGUUGGAAUGCAAUAAUUAAAUUCUUCUGUUUAAUUUGUUUUAAGUUAAAUUACUAAUUACUUAAACUCUGUUUUAAGUAUUUAAUUUUAUGUGUUGGUGGGUAUGCAGAAUUGGAUUCUUGAGUGACUUGGACAUGACCACAAUGAAAUUGAUGGCAAACAAACAUUAAAAUGUGUGGACUCCGGUACCUGCCGCACAAUUCUACAAUAAUAAGUGAGUACGCACCUUUGAUUCUCGGGACCCCUUCAAAAAAUUUCCAGCCUUGUUGACUCCACUGGCUAAGGCUAAAAUUUUGUAAUAGAAAAAAGGUCAAUUCUUGUGGAAUUUAAUUUUUGGCCUUGUAGACCAAAAUGUAAAUUAAAGAAAAAGACAAAAAAGAAAAGGGGCAAGAUUUAUAAAACGUGUAGAAGGUGGUCCAUGAUUUAUUCGAAUAACCUGCCUCGACUCGAAUAUUGUAAUGAUUGAUUUUUUUUAUUUUUUUAAAAUAAUAUCAAUUCUCAUAUCUUCCCACUCCUUGAAAAUGCUCACAUUCAAGUCAAAUUAAAUGGACACCAAAACAAUGAAAAUUGAAAAGUAAAACUUUUGAAUUCUAACUCUAGCUGGCAAACGUAUUCAGUAUUUUUAAAUUCUUCGAAUCGCUUAUCUUCUUCCUCCAUCAAUGCAAUAUCAAGUAUUUUUUUCUUUUUCGUAAUCUUUUCUUUGCAUUUCUUUUUGCUCCAUUAAUGUAAUUUAACUUCUUUUUUUAUUUGAACGGCUCGGAAAGAGUUGAAGAACAUAAAAAAGCUCUUGGUUUUAUACGGUAAAACAAAUUUAACUUAUAAUUAUUCAACUAACAAUUAUUUAUUUACCUAUUUUAGUAAUUUCACCGAAGAAUAAUAAUCUAAUUACAAAAAAUCUAGUCAGUUGGGUGGUUUUAUACAAAGAGUAAUGAUAUAGCCACAAACUCUUGUACAAACUUAUUUUGUACAAACUGAUGUGGCGUUAAUUCAUUGGUUGAAUUAAAUAUCUCUUGGCCCACAUGAUUUGUUUAUAUUAUUUUAUAUUUCUAUUCAACCAAUGAAUUAAUGCCACAUCAGUUUGUAUAAUAUAAAUUUAUACAAGAGUUUGUGGCUGUAUCAUUACUCUUAUACAAAAUCAACUACAUACCCAUAUACAGAUGCAAAUGCAAAUAAUAUUUUUAAAUAAGAAAAUUGUAUAUUGAGAUGAAUAAGAUGUUUCUAUGAUUCUAUCUUAGGAAAGCUCGGUGGUGGUAACGACAUGAAGUUGCGAGUUGCCGCACACAGUUGCUAGUAAUAUAAUAAAACAAGACAAAUUAAUUAAACUCAGGCCUUUACGUAUAUGUUAUCUUAACUUUACUUGCCCUUGUUUGAUGAUAUUCAUUCUUGGAGCUAAGGGCGCAUGUAAUAUUUGUAAUUGUAUUAAGUAUAUAUUAAUGUGAUUUUCAAAAUCAGGUUUUAAAAUCUGUAGGAUAGGCUGAUUUUGGUAGUUUUGGGUCGGCCGUUGCAGUCAUUGGGACUGACUUAUUAUUAUUAUUAUUAUUAUUAUUAUUAUUAUUAUUAUUAUUAUUAUUAUUAUCAUCAUUAUUAUUAUUAUUAUAAUUAUAAUAUCAACUUCCAUAUCUUUCUAAACCCGGAAUAUGCUCACGUCACGUUCAAGUCUAUCUUGCUAACCUGAAAAAGAAAAUCAAAUCCAAUCAACACCAAAACAAUGAAAAUUAAAGCUUUUGAAUUUCAACUCCAGCUAGCAAACAUAUUCAGCGUUCCCAAUUUCUUCCCAUUGCAUAUCUUCUUCCUCCAUCAAUGCAAUAUUAAGUACUUUUUCUUGAUCAUAUUCUUUUCUUUGCAUUUCUUCUUCCUCCAUCAAUGCAAUAUUUGAUCGAUUAGGAAAGAGUUUAAGAACAUAAAAAAUCUCCUAGGUUUAUACGGUAUAGCAAAUUUAAAUUCUCAAUUAUAAUAGAUAAUAAUUAAACUAAUAAUUAUUUAUUUACUUAUUUUAGUAAUUUCACCUAAGGAUAAUAUUGUAAUUAGAAAAAACUAAUUAGAACAAUUUAAUUUUUGGCCGUGUAGACCAAAAUAUAAUUUAACGAAAAAGGAAAAAAAAAAGGGUAAAGAUUUUUAAAAUGUGUGGAAAGUGAUCCAUAUUUUGUUCGACUUGUCCCGAACAUCACGACGAUUGAUUUUUUUAUUUUUUUUUUAAUAACAUCAACUUCCAUAUCUUUCUACCCUCAGAACAUGCUCACAUCCAUAUUUUUUAUGUACUUAUUUUAGUAAUUUCACCUAAGAAUAAUAUUGUAAUUAGAAAAAAAUCAAAUAAGUAGGGUGGUCUUAUACAAAAUCAACUGCAUACAUAUAUGCAGAUGCAGAUAAUAAUUUUUAAUUCCUUUUUUUAAUAAGAAAAUUGUGUAUUGAGAUGAAUAAGAUGUUUAAUUUAAUUAAUUUCCUUACUUUCAUAUACAUUGUCUUUCUAUCUAGAGAAAGCUUGGUGCUCAGAACGACAUGAAGUUGCGAGUUGUCGCCCAUGGCUGCUGAUUAAUAAUAAAACGACACAAAUUAAUUGAACUCUGGCCUCCAAGUAUAUGUUAUCCUAACUUUACUUGCUCUUGUUUGUUAAUAUUCAUUCUUAGAGAGGUGAAAAAAAUUACAAGUCUUGAAUAACGAGGAGUUUAAUUGCCUCUAACUUUACUUGGCCUUCUAUAAUCUCAUUAAUAAUACAGAGAAUUAAUUAUCUUUUUAUUAUUAAACCAAAGAAUUAGUAGCAGUUAAUAUUAAUAUUGCCCACCCAAGAAAUAUGAGUGAAUUAAAGUAUUGGCAAGAGUUCGCUCAGAGGAGCAUUUAAACCACUUCCUUAUCAAUUGCGGCAGCCGUCUAUUAACUAAAACGCCAAUCUAAUACACGAAGAAAGAACAUUUACAGACUUGGCAAUUGAGUUCAUUAAGAAGUAGCAUCGCAUUCGGGUGAUGAGUUUCCUUUUGUUAAUAAUUUUAGUCUAAUUUCCAUUGUACUGAGAUCGCUUCUCGAGGUAAGUGAAAGUUACAGAUGUGGCAAAAUAAAUAAUUAAAUUAACAAAAUGCUAACUAAUUUUCCUAAAUACCUAGGGUUGUACAAUUUCAUCAACCUGGAAGAAUUGACAUUAAUGGACUGGUCUCCUCCCCAUAUAAUUAUAAUCCUUCUAGAAAGCUAAUUUUUAUUAAAUAUUUUCUUUUAAGUUAAUUUCAAUUAAAAUUUUUUUUAAGUUAUAUAUACUCUAAUGAGAUUCUGAAUUCCUUUCUUCCAAUAAUAAUGAAAACGUAUUAAAUUAGAAAUGAAAAAAUUGGUGUUGAUGAUUCAACCUGUUUGGAUAGAUUACGCGAAUAAAAUUGAAAUUUUGAUUUAAUUUUUGUUUAUUGUUAAUUCUCAGGCUAUCUUAAUUUCAAGAAUUUAGAAUGUUAAUUUGGUCAUGGAUUUCAACCCAUGAGUGUCAUAUUCUAGACUUAAUGGUACCAUUCUUUGAUUGAGGGCAAUGACUCUCACUCCUCUUGUAAAAAACUAUUUUCAACUAUUUUGAUGACUUAAAAAUUGAUAGAUUUAUUGUUGUCAUGACCAAAUUAUUCAUUUUAAUUAAACAUAAUUAAUGCAUCAAAGUUACCAGGUUUAUGUUCUAUCUUAAUGCGCUUUUUUUUUUUUUUCAGUUAUCAGCUAUGCCCCUGAGGCAUUUUGUAGAGUAUAGCUUCUGCUUACCUCUGUUUCAUUUUUUUUAAUAAAAAAAACAAGGGAAGGUUUUUCCGAGUCGUCCAUUAUUUGAUUACCGUCAAUCAAGAAAACGACCAAAUUAAUUUCUCUCCAAAAUUUCCAAAAGCUAGAAAAUUUUGUUAUUUGAAAAUAACAUCAUUAAUUAUAGAGUGGAUCAAACCGCGUUAUUGUCUUUUAUAAAAUUGAUGUCUUUUUAAGAGUCAAUGCAUUUUAUUUACACAAACCAGUCGACAUCAACUUGAACUUCCAUAUUUUUAUUAUUAUGUUAUUUAUUUUAAUCCCCGAUUAUUUGAUUAGCCACUAUAUAUAUCAAGAAAGCGACAAAAUUUAUUUCUCAUGACUUCCAAAAACUAGAAAACAACAUCAUUUAUUAUUUUUUUGCAACCCUAAUUGACAUCAACUUUAACUUUAUUAUGUUAUUAUUUCAAUCCCCCAUUAUGACCUUUCUAAUCCUCCAUUAUGCAUCUUUUAUAGUGCAAAUUUAAUUGCACAUCUAAAUAAAUUGAUUAUUGUCACUCCACCACCAAUAUUUCAAAUAGUCACUAGACCAUUUCUGCCUUUAAUUUUCCCUUAACUAUUGACUGUUUUUAGCAUCUUAAAAUAUACAUUUAUUCCUUGAUUAUGUGAUAAAAUUAUGAAAAUAUCCAUUUUAGCUUAAAUUAAUUGAAAUAACCAUAAGCGUAACUUAAAUUAAUAGAACAAAAUUAUCAAGUGUAUGUUCUAUGUUACAUUUUGAAGAAUUUAACAUAUACAAUGCUAUACUAUUAAUUCAUUUAUCAUUUAAUAUAUAUGUUCAAAUAUUUUAUAUAUUUAUUAAUUGUUAUAUAGUCAAAGGAUGAAUGAUUUUUCAGGUCUACAUGAGUUGGUGCAUCUGCAAGACUCAAUUUUGACAACAAUGAUCUAAGGGGUAAUUUACCUUGGCGUUUGACAAAUUUAACCUCUCUUCAAGAUUUACUUCCAAUCUACUUACUGUAAAUAUCUCCUCAUCUCCUCUCAUUUAUAUGAUAACCCUUGAAGAUCUCACAUUUUCAAACAAUCAUAUUAGGGUUUUUAUUAUUAGCAUCAUCGUGUCAAUAAUAUAUGUUGCAGUAAGAUUUUUUCAGACCAAUUCCCUUCUUCAAAUAAUAAUGGAAAAGUAUUAAUUUAAAAAUAAAAUGAAUAUUGUAAAAUAAAGAACAGAGUUUAUGAAUAAAACUCUUGUAUUCCUUGCAUUAACGUUGCUACAUAUAUAUAUAGAUGUACAACCCUAAAGAAUAGAAUCCCAGGUAGAAAAGCAUUACAGAUUCAUAAUAUAUAUACAAAUCUAAUUGCUUUAAAUAUGAAACCGAAUUCUAUACGACUUCUAUAUACAAAACCGAAUGCUAUACGAAUUCUAUACGUUAAUAAAUAUGCAUUGAUUAUAUCCUAAUUUUCAUCAAUUAUAGCGAGAGUUUCUCCAAAUCAACUCCCUUAUUCAAAUAAUACAGAAAAAAUAGUAAUUUAAUAGUAAAAUUAACAAGUGUUGAUUAUAUAUCCUAAGUUUCAUCGAUUAUGUGAUCAAAGUGGCAUUGUUGAUUUAUUUCUUGUUCAAUGUAAAUUUUUAGGUUAUCUAAAUUUCAAGGAUUUAAAAUCUUUGUUCAUGGAUUACACGCUUAUUAAUUUUUCUGCCAUUGACUGUCAUAUUCUAGACUUAAUGGUACCUUCCUUGAUCGAGGAUAAUUACUCUAUGUUCUCCUCUUAUAAAUUCUUCUUCCAUUAACAUCACUAGGAGUAUGUUGAUCUCUCAGACGUUAACUUCAGUGGAGAGUUUCCAAAUUGAUUGUCACAAAACAACACAAAAACUAGACACACUUGAUCUGUCUAAUAAUUCUCUUUCGGUAAAAUUAAUUAAUUUUAGGGGAAUAUUCGACCAACCUAUAUAAUUUUAGAUUGAUCAUUAAUUAAUUGGACGAAAAAAGUACUUGUGCUUUUGUGGCGACAAUUGAACCAGAGAAGUGAAGCUGUAAAGAUUUGGCAGUAGUAAAUUGUUAGAAAGACAUAAAGACAAGUUCCCAUUAUUAUAAUUUUUUCAAAAAACUUUUUUACAACACAUGCACCUGGCCAAAAAUUUUAUUUUGCUAACUAACAAUAAUUGAUUAGCUGACCGAAUUGACUCCACCUACUUGCUAAAGUAAAAAAAUAGAAAUAGAAUUUCCACAAAAUGGCAAACAUGUAAAAUCUAAUAUUUGGCCGUGUGGAACAAAAUACAAAUGAAAAAAAAAAUAGAAAAAAGGCCUAAAGACUUUUAAAAUGUGUGGAAGUCUUUCUGCCCUUUUAUAAUGGUGUGUUUUUCAAAGGAACAAAUAAUAAUAAUGACACUUCAACGGUUUGUUUUGAUAAUCACACCUAUACUCUUUAAUUUGAUAAAUGGUUACACAAAUUUUGUUUACAAAAAUAUAUUAUUCAUGUUCUGUAUUAUUUUUUAACAUCAUAUUUUUAUUUAUUAUAAUUGUUUAAAGUUAAUUGUUGGGUUGAUAUAUAAUAAAAAUGUAUAAUCGUUCUCUUACUAAACACACAUACUCAUAGUUUCUGUUCAUUUGUCAUCUCAAUCUAUCUCAUUUAUCCUUUGUUGAUAGCUCAAAACGCGUCACUGUAGAAAAUUAUAGCAAAACGACAAAUAUGGAAAAAAUGGGAAGAAAAUUAAUGCAUGAAAGAGUUGCAGAAGACAACCAAAUAAGUCAACUAUACGCUAGUUGGGUGUAUAAAUUGUUAGAUGUGUUAUAAACAAAUAGCAUAGAGCCUUGGUUGGUUACAGAGAUAGAAAAAGUGUGUGUUUUUUAGAACUUAAAGAUAUAGUUAGAAUGGGUGGUUCAAAAUCAAAAAUGGUGAUAAUGUUUGUUCUGUUAUUAAUAAUAUUAGAAGGUGGGUGGAGUGAAGGAUGUUUGGAUCACGAGAGAUUUGCUCUUUUGCGACUGCAACAUUUCUUCAAUGAUCCUUAUAAUUAUCUUCCCAACCGGGUAGAUGAUGAGGGAGCUACUGAUUGUUGUCAGUGGGAAAGGGUUGAGUGCAGCAACACCACAGGCCGACUGAUAGCGCUAGACCUUUUUGGCACGUAUUGGCGAGAGUACAGCUGGUAUCUGAAUGCUUCUUUGUUUACUCCCUUCCAACAACUUGAGUCACUUGAUUUACAUGGCAACAACAUAGCCGGUUUUGUUGAGAAUGAAGGUGCUUCGUCUAAUUCAAUUAAAUUACAUUUCGCUCUCCUAAUUUAAGUCGAAUAUCAAGACUGAGCAGCUAUAUGCAUAUUCAUUCAAUUGACAAUUUUUACAUAUUUUUUAAAAUGUUUAAUUUUGAAAUUACACCAAACAUCAUAUGUGAUCUUUGUUUUGAUUUUACUUGCAGGUCUAGAAAGAUUGAGCAACUUGAAGAGGCUUGAUUUAAGUUAUAACUUGUUCAACAAUAGCAUCUUAUCAUCUGUGGCUCGUCUUUCAUCAUUAGCAUUAUUAUAUUUAAGUGGUAAUAGGUUGGAGGGAAGUAUUGAUGUUAAAGGUACAUAAUAAAAACGUCAUCUCUUCUCCCAACUCUUUCAUUAACAUGCUAAAAUAAGAUUCAAGGCUUUGAAUUCAAUUUUUUUUAUGAGUAAAUAUUAGAAAAAUAGUUUUAAGCAAUUCAUAAAUACAAUUUUCAAUGUUUCUCAUAAUUUCAUCUUGUACUUUUGUAUGUCUUGACUUUAAGAUUAAAAAAAAAAUUACUCUAACUGUGAAGCAAAUACCCCAUGACUAAUUUACAAUUUUGUCCAGUUAAAAAUGAUAAAAUUUAUCAUUUGUUCAUAUUGAUUUAUUAACUCUAUUUUAAGUCUUAAGUCUUGGCGUCUUGGCAUGUUUGCAGAAUUUGAUUCCUUGAGCAACUUAGAGGAGUUGGACAUGAGCUACAAUGAAAUAGACAAUUUCGAGGUUCCUCAAGGUACACAAUUAAAAUAUUAUUUAAUUACAUUAAUUUAUUUCGUUUGAUUAGGGAAGGCCCAAAAUGUACAAAAACAUAAUUAAAAAAAAUAAAGAAACAGAGAAUUCAUAUUAUUUCAAAAAACAAAACGUAAUACUAUUAUUUCAAAAAAAGAAUGUAAUAAAGAUUUGAUUUCGGUUCUUUAAUCUUUACAGCAAUUGAAAAACGAUGUUGCUCUUUUCCUAAAGCAUAAAAUAUGAAAUGAGUCAUAAUUGAAUUAGUCAUUUAUUUUGUUUAGAUCUAAAUUUAGACAAUAAAUUUUGAUUUUUUUUUCAAUCAUUUCCUAAUUAUUAUUAUUAAACAGGUUACAGAGGUUUGAGGAAGCUGAAAAGCCUGCAUCUAUCGGGAGUUGGAAUUAGAGAUGGAAGCAAGUUGUUACAGUCAAUGGGAUCAUUCCCAUCCCUCAACACUCUUCACCUUUCGUUUACUAGUUUUACGAAAACAGUGACAACUACUCGAGGUAAGUAAAAGGUACGGAUGUAGCCAAAUUUAUAAAUUAAUUGUUAAUUAAUUAAUUUUUCCGUAUUAUUAAUUAAGCUAAAUUUGUUGCUCCUUCCUUCUAAAUCUAAACAGAGUUGCACAGUUUCACCAACUUGGAAUAUUUGAGAUUGGACGACUCCUCUCUCCAUAUAAGCCUUCUGCAAAGCAUUGCAUCAAUAUUCCCUUCAUUAAAAAAUCUGUCGAUGUUGGGUGGUAAAGUCAACGGUCUCCUACGCGGUCAAGGUAAAAGAAAAGCUUUGAUUGUGAACUCACUCAAUGGUGUCCUACGUGUUCAACAUUUUUAUUUAUUUAUUUUAUUGUUUAAUGUUUCUGCUAGGUUUUCCUCAUUUCAAGAGUUUGGAAUAUUUGAAUAUGGAUUUCACGCGCAUUGCACUCAACACCAACUUUCUUCAAAUCAUCAGUGAAUCGAUGCCUUCUCUUAAGUACUUAUCACUGUCAGAUUCAUAACAGUAAAAAUUUGUUGCUCAACAUGAUGUGUAUUUUUUUUCAAGGCACUUUGGAAACACAAUUGUUACUACAGAUAUUCUUCUCAACUUGGAGAUAAAUACAAAUAUUAAAAUGCAUAUGAUCACACAUAUUACUUCGAGUUUAGUAAGAUUUCAUUAAAAGAAGCAAUCAAACCACUUAUCAAUUGUCGCAGUCGUUCUAUAAACUAAAAUAGCAAUAUAAUACAAGAAAAAGAACAUAUAGAUACUUGGCAAGAGUUCAUUAAGAAGUCGCAUCACAUUCGGGUGAGGAGUUUGCUUCUGAUAUCUUGCUAGCUGGGGCUUUUUCUUGUCUUUCUACGUAUGCCGAGGGAAACCAACCAGCUUGGCCCUUGCAUUCACCUUCCGACCAUCCAAUAGGAGCAACCUUGAGAAGUUAUAACUAAAACGGUGAAUUAAACAAAAGUUGACCGUUCAAAGACCUAAGGGGAAAACUAAUUCUUUUACGUAGAAUGAGUGAACUAGUUGUGAUCACUGAAAUAACAACAUAACUAUGGAAGCAUAACUAGAUAUAAAUUCACAUGGCUAUAAGGGUAAACUGAGUGGUUUAGAACUGAGCUAGCAACCCUACUAUAUUCUGAUUUGCACUUCAAUGUAAAAGGGAAUAUAUGGUAGGAAGAAAGAAAACCAACCAUCAUUUGUUAACUCAUUGCUUUUCAAUCAAAAUUUUAAGAACAAAAUGCCAUGUGCUUUGAACAUCAAAUAAGUAUAAGCAUUAGUUCUAAAUUCCACAUAUCAUAAGUUGUUAGAAGGAUAAGUUAAUAGCAGAGUAGAAAAAUCUAUGUGUUGGUAUUUAGAGGGGAAAGUACCUGGCGAACCACAAUAUAAUCAUCAAUUGAAAGACUUAGCUUUCCAUUUGCUUGAGCAUCAAAUGGAUGUAUAACCUGCAAGAUAAUGGGAUAAAUAGAACUUUAAAAAAGCAUAACAAAAGCAGCAACAGUAGCAGCAACGUUCAUUGUAACCACUAUGAUCAUGGCCAACAAAGAUAUAUUAGAAACAAAAUUCCAUUUUUACUACGACAUUAAUAUGUACUAUACGAUAUCAUGACGAUUGGGUUACUAAGAGCUAUCAAAGUCUAAUAAGUUCUGUAUAACUUUAUGUAGUUAUUUAAAUUAUGGAUCAGAUUUUAAAUUUGAAAUUUUGACUGCUCUCCACAAAACAUGGCCUAUGCACAAGAAAGUCAUAGAUAAUGAGGAUUACAAGUGUCCGACAUCUUUUGAGUGAUGGAUUUAACAUGAGAGCUUAUGGUCAGUCAAUUUCCUCUGCCUAGCAAUAUAAGCUUUCUCGGCCAGAUUUAUCAUCAAAUACAUAGAUUGCCCCCAAGUCACAUCCAUAUAAACAUAGUUUUUCUAGGUAAACCAAGUAAGGAGUAUCAUAAUUCAGACAUAAUCAUAAAAAGGCCCAUCUAACUUAAGAGAAAAUCUCAAAAAUGGCUACAUCGUCUUGUAUCUAUAAGCAAUAUCAAGACUUUACAUCACCUGCUACAUCGUGAGUGGCUACACAACUUUCAAUGGUUUGUCUUUCUUUGGCAUGCCUAACUCAGCUUUGAUGUUGCUGAGAUAUUGAUAGUAGAGACACAUGAUACUUCUAGCUCAUGCAUUCUAUCUAACUCAUCCAACAACUAUCUCUUUUUUAAUUCAUUAGUGUUUGCUAAACCUCAUGCUUAAAAGUCCUGUUCUCCUAAACAAAGUUUCCUAAGAAUGACUUCCUUAGCACCACAUUUGGACACUUUUAGAGCAAUUUUAUUUUGGGGAAAAGAAUUUUCAAGGUGUUAACUAAUAAAUUUUAAAAAAUAAUUACAAUUUUUCCUACGAUCAUAUGACAAUUUAUCUGGGAUGAAAGGAUACAGAUAGACAUCUUCCACUUUCAAGACUAAUCACUACUUCCGUAGAUGUUGUGCAAUAAUACAAAUACUUGAUCAGAUGGUAGUGAUGGUAGAAAAAAAUUUUAUUGCUCCAAAAUUAAAAUAAGAAUGCAAUAUGUUAAGCAAAAGGCUGUGCAACAUCAAAUUAAUUGAUAAGUUUGUAAUUCAGUAAAUUAACAACUUUCAUGGUAAAAUACAACAAAUUUCUUUUGAAAAAAAUAAAUCUUAAAAGACAGCAUUCAAUUUUGUGCGCAUCUUAUUUCUUAAGAUUUUUCAGGAGGAGGGCAAUAGAGGGACUUUCACCUAUGCAAGAGAGCAGAAGCCUUACUUUCCCUAUAAAGUAGACGUCAUUCUGAUUAAUAUGCGUUUGCAAAUCAGCUCCGUUUGAAUCAGUAUUCUGAUAGACACACGAGGCAUUGACAUCCAUUUCCAAAGUCACAUGUUGCGAGGAGGACUCAUUUGAUUGCUCCUAUACGAUCAUCUAAUUCAAGUAGCAAGGGUUGGAAGAGAAUAAAAAGUCACAAUUAUUCUUUUGCAUAAGUGAGACGAAAAUGAUAAAUGCAAUAUUAUCAACAGUAAACAAGAAGAAGAUGAUAGUGGAAGUAUGCGGUGUGGCUGCCAGGUACUUGGAUUGUAUUGUCGGGUAAGGUAAUAGUAGAGAAUUAUAAGUUUGAACAGAGCAUGUUGGACUUUUGUUGACCAAAUUCAAAAGCCCAAUGGCACGGCCCGGAAGCUUUUGAAUAGAAAAACUUGCUAGAAAGCAUCAGUUUAAAUCACUACUUAAACGCUUGCUUUAACUGCACCACUUUGUACUGUUUUAUGUGUGUAGCGGUUGUGCGGUUGUAAUUCACGGCUGACGCUACGUGUUUGUUAGGUCAAAACUAUGAUACAAUAGUGGUACGGUACCAUUGUUACUUUCAAUCAUUGGAUCUAUAGUUGUACAGUUGCAUUAAUAAGAUCUAAUGGCUGAAAACAACAGUGGUACCAUACCACUGUUGCAACAUAACAGGACCCUAUUAGUUAUUUCAAAGGGAUAAAUAAGAUUGCUUACAACAAACCUACUAAUUUUAUAAAAUUCAAGUAAUAUAGAAUAAAAUAAAAAAAUAAAUACAAAAUUGACUUUUAUUUUUUAUGGUUGACUAUAUUUUGUGUUCUCUUCGGGCACUACUACAAUUCUUCCCUAUAUAUCAAUUACACCACAUACUAUCGACACAAGAAAUGAAAUCUAAUAUCACCCGUUUAGUUAAAAAAUCACUCAUGAAAAAAUUUUACCAUUUUGAUUUGAGGAUCCAUAUUUUAAACUGCAAGCUAAUGUUCAUCAAGAAUUACUGAUGGCCGUUGAGUAGAAAAAUUAUUUUUGGACAAAUUAUUUUUGUUGAUAGAAGAAUUUCUUUAGGGACUACUAAAUUAUUAAUAAAAAUGUCGAACACACCCACAUAUCAUCGACACAAUUGAUUUUGAGGAUCCAUGCUUUGAACUGCAGCCUAAUGUUCAUCAAGAAUAGAGUAUGGCUUGUGAGUAGAAAAUUUUCUUAUUUUGGCCCGAAAUAAAAAGAAAUUAAAUUGGAUGAGAAUCUGCCACUUUCUCAUGAAGAAAGGCAUACGGAGCAUACCAUGGUACCAUACAAAAUAAGGAGCCUCUAUUCUUUGGUUUUUCAAACUCUAAAGGGGCCAAUAUUGCCAAAUUCCCCCUUGAAAAUUCUGAUUACGACAUUAUUCAUCGCUUGAUGCAAUCAAAGUAGUGACAAAGUUAGGAAAAAUAUGAGUCCUAAGUAAUUGCUAGGCAGGGUUCCUGAGAGCAAAAUUGUCCUAAGCAUUAUAUGCAUACAUGGUGCGGUACAUAGAGCACGUUGAAUUCCCCACUAUAACACAAACCCAGAAAGACAAGUAAUAACUCAACUGAUAUAAAGACAAAAAGAAGAUAAAAUGAUAUAGAAAAAAGAAUUCAAAGAGACAGCAACAUACGAUAGACUGAAGCCACUUGAUCUGCUCAUUGAUUGCAGCCUUAAACUUGCAAAUAGUUACUGUACGCUAGUGCUCUAAGAAGUGAAAAUGAUGCCAGCCCUGAUUCCCUUUUGACUUCCAUUUACUGUCAAACAUUCUAGUAAUACAAAAAAUUGUUUAGAUAUCUUGCUAUAAAUAUAGCCGUUUGACUGUCAUAAUAAAGUCACAAAUAACCAUUCAUAUUGAUCUACUGUCACACAGCAUGCUUUAUGCAUACAACAGCUGUAUGUAUACCAACUCCUAACCUUAUCAAUACAUUUGGCAAAAACUUAAGAAGAAAGCUAUUUCUCCAUCUCUUUUUUGAAAUUUCACAAUAACCAGCACAAUGUGAAAGCUAUGUUCUAACCUUAUGAUAAAUGCUCCAGACUCCAAAAGGAUUUUAUAUAUGAGAGUUUGUUGCAGCAGAUAUAUUGACUUAUCAAGUAUGAAUCAUUGUCUGGAUGAACUAUCUUUAGAUAAAAGAAUAUUAGAACCACUGUAGAAUAUCUUUACGCUGCUGGUUCUAACAGGAAUCUGCAUGUGGCAACAAUUGCUAGAUCCACAAUUCCCCAACUUGAAAUACAUAGUUGCACACCAUGAGAUAGUGCUACAAUCUACUGAGAUCUAACUUAUAUGGUACUUUAAGCUACUAAUGUUUGCAUAUUUCUACAUGUUAAAUUAACACUAUCAUCUAUAAUCACUCCAAAACAACAAAUGAUAAGCAGCUUUUGGCCACUUAUUACUAGCAUCCACAAUUAUAAAUAAGAGAUCAUGGGUUUACUUGUUGCACCUACUUAAUUAUCUGCAGUUGACAUCCUGAAGCAAGGUUUAAAUAGUGACUGCUUAGAACCCUUGUAGUUGGAUCUUGACCUCUCCCAUUGUAGCCAAGAUUGGUUACUCUGGUAAUGAAUCAACACUCUCCUGCUCAGGGCCAUGAAGAUCUGAAAGCUCAGCACUAGUGGAGAACUUCAUCAAUCUCUUCUUCUCAGCACACUUGAGACAAGGCUGCAUUACGAGACCAAUCACCACAGCACCAACGCUUAAAACUGCAACUUUUAAAGAAGAAAGAGCCAACACAACACAACACAACACAACACAAAUCAAUAUGGUUGGAGGAAUACACAUGAUAAUGGCUCCAACAGUGCCAGUGGGUAUCUUGUAGGGACGAGAUGCAGCAGGAUAUUGUAUCCUUAACCAUACAAAUGCUAUGAACUCCAUAACCAUUCCAAAACAGUACAGGAAGUUCUCUGCAGCUACAAUAUCUCGAAAGCUCAGCCAUGAUAGCAAAACCACACCAGAUGCUGAGAAUAUGAUUCCAAUCAAAGGAGUCCCAUAACAAGACCUCUUAGCAAAAAACUCAGGUAGCAUUCCACACUCAGCCAUCCCCAAAAGUUGGAAAGAGUUGCUGCUCAUCUCAGCCACAAACAUGCCCAUAUUGGACAUUGCUGCAGCCCCCUGGAUGCAUUAUCUCAACCAAACUCCUCCAAGCACUUUAGCGAUAUCUGAAAAGUAACCAUCGGUCCACAAGUCGCGAUCUAAUGGAAUAGCUCCAGUUCCAACUAGAAGGGGAAAGAAAUACCCAAAAAUGACCAAGAUCAAAGCAUAAAACAAAGCCUUUGGAAGAGUCUUCUUGGGGUUAUCCACCUCUCCAGCUAGUGUACUUAUUGAGUCCCAGUAGUUGAGAUUCCAAAACAGGGUGUUCAAAUACAAAUUCCAAUCCACUUCACCUAAAUUUACUACAAGCCAUCUUGAAGGCUCUAACUUGGGAAGGGACACAAGUCCCAUAACCACAAAAGGAAGGAGUGAGAAAAUCCCUAAAAGAACAGCAGCCCAUCCCACAAUGGUUAGACCCCUAUAGUUCAUGAAAGUGAGAACAAAAGUCAAAGCUAACGCCGCAAAGGCUCUAGGUAACCCAUUGCCCAACGCAGGGAUACCAGACUUCAAGUAGUCAAGAAACAGAACUGGGUAUAAAGCAUUAUCAAUAACCCCACUUAGCCAUUUCAUCCAACCUUGCUGAAAACCCCAAUAUGGGCCUAAGGCAGAUGAAACCCAAACCACAUAACCACAAUUUUCAGAAAACACGGUACCCAUCUCGGCAGUAAUUAAAGCUUCAGGGACACUCCAUAUAAUCGGAAACACCAAGAAACCAAGAAGUGCUAAAAGAGGACCAGCUGCCUUUACACUAUCCUCAACACCAAACGGCCCCCCAGAAACCUCAUAGAAUAUAAGGAAAAUAAGUGGCAAGAUUGAUACUUUUUUAGUGCCAUGGACUCUAGGAGAAGAUGGUUGGUCAUUGAUAUUAACAUAUUCAACAGCAUCAGACUGCCCCAUUUCUACUGAAACUUGCCUAUUUACAGUGUUCCUCAAUUUCUGCAUCAAGUUUUAGCAUAACUAUCAAAAGGGUAUCCGCAUGUAAAUUAUGAAACAAAAUGAGCAUUUACUUUUUAAAAAAAAAUCAAAAAACAGAAAUGGAUUUCGCAGAGCACAUGAAUUUAAGUUCAACAUUAAACAGGCGCUUAAGAAAACAAAAGGGUCUGUUCGUAAAGCCAUCAGAUUGCAAGAUUGAACAACAUUAACGGAAUCAAUAGAAUAGAUGUAAAGAGAUCUGAAAAGAAAAUAAAAUAAAAGAUGAAGAGAGAUAAAACGAACCAUCAAAUAAGUGCAUGCAGAGCAGAGAGGCAGAUACUAGAGAAGCUCCGUCAUGUUAGAGAGAGCCUAAAUCAAUCAGAGCUCACUGAGUUUCUUUUCAACCGACCGGCAAAUUUGGAGUGGCACAAAAUAAUAUUUUUGCUUUUAAUUUUUGGAACACUUUUGAAUGGAAUUUUUUGUUUUUAAAAAAGGUAAGGGAGAUUAGGGCAUCAUAAAAAGAUUUUUUAAAUAAAAUUUUAUUAAUUAUUUAAAAAAUUAUUUUAAUAUUUAAUAUUUUAAAAAAUAUUUUAAUUAAAAUUUUUUAAAUAAAAAAUAAUUUUUUUUAAAUUUAGAGAAUUAAUUUUUUUUAUAAUUUUUUUUAUUAUUUUUUAUUGAAAAAAAAGAGAUAAAUACUUUAAUUGUUAUUAUUUUUUUUAAAUAAUUAUUUGAUUAAAAUAAUAUUAAAUUAUUUUUAUUUGAAGAGUUUUUUAAAAAAUAUCAUAUUUUUUUAUCCUUCUAUUUGCCACAUGAGUAAACAAAUAGAUAUUUAAAGAAUAAAAUUUAUAUAAUCUUUUGGAAAUGCUCUUAAUAUUUAUUUAGUCUUAUAUUUUUUAAAAUAUUUUUAAAAUAUUUUUGUCGUUAAAAUAUUGAUAUUAUUAUUAUUUUUUUAUAUUUUUUAAUUUAUUUUUAUAAUAUUAUUUUUAUAAUAAUUUUUUAUUUAGAUAUUAAUAAAAAAAUAAUUUAAUUAAUAAUUUAAUCCUAAAAUAAAUAAACACGUGUUUGGUUUUGGGCCUUUUCUUUUGUUCGUUUAAUAUCAUCUGGCUCGCUGAUUUGUGACUAAUUAUCAACGGAAUCCCGUUGGUUUCUAAAUUGAAAUAAUAGAAGGUCAUGAGACUAUUUACUCCAUUUAGCACUGCAGACUUAGAGUAUAUUGAAAAAGCUUUGUCAAAUAGUAGUAAUAGGGGCAUAAGAAAUAAAUUAUAGCUAUCACAAAUUCGUUAGGAGAAUUUCAAUUUUUUCCGUCAAUAAUGGCUAUGAAGCAAAAUUACCUUAGGUUAUAUUGCAACACUAAUACUUCAAAUCCUGAUAAGGGGUGAUAAAAUUAAGGUUGUUCAAAUCCCUUAAAAUGCUCCUUUGUUUAGUUUAAAAGUUGUUCUUAAAAUGGAAACGAUGACUUAUUUAGAAGAAAUGGUAAAUUUAUAAUUUGUAAUAUUAUUUGCACAAACAAUAAUAAUGAAGUGUUAAUUACCACUUAACAUUUUUAAUUAAUUUCUAAAUUUAAAACAAAUAUGAAAGUUGAUUGCUUCGAAGGUUGGAUCGACAAAUUGACAUUUGAAAAGAGAAGUAGGGAAUGUAUAUUCUGAUGAAAGGGACAAGAUUAAGUAAGGGGACAAUAUUCUCUAUUGGACCUACAAAUGGGGGGAAAGAUAUAUAUAUAUAUAUAUAUAUUCUUAUUUGUGGAUUGGGCAUCACGUGUAACUAAUAUAAAAGGAGAAAAUUUAGCAUGGUUUUAACAUAUAUAAGAAGAGAAAAUUAAUUGUUCAAACAAAUUAGAAGCAAAUUCUUUCAUAUCUUUCUUUAUUUUUCCGCUUACUUUCUUAGCAUCCAAACAAGUUAAAGUUAAAACGCUGUUGAGCCAACAAUAUGCAGGCAUCAAUAAGCAUAGUAGUUUUGUAUAUGUAUUCUAUACGAUAUUCUGGGGAUGUCAAUUGUAGAACAUUUUGUGGUAACUUUUUUACAUUAAUUAAUGUUUGAAGAACUUGUUAAAAAGAAAAUGGUAAUUUUAUUAUUUUGAAAGACAAAAAAAAAUAAAAAUAAAAGAGUGAAAGUGGCGUUACCUCAUGGUCAUUAGAGACUUGUUGCAAUGAUAGCUCAAAAUUAAAAAUUUGUGAAGAAUUAGUAGACAACGACGAUACUAUAUUUAUAUAGUCACCAACAUGUUGAUUUUUGUUUAAUGUUUGAUCGAUAGAAACUUUUGUCGUCGUCGUCGCCGUUGUUGAAUUCAUGCUUAGAAUACCACAAGAGAAGAAGAAGGGAUGAAAGGGAAGAGAAGAAGAGAGAAGUAGUGGAUAGCAAAUAUGAUAUGCUAGCUACACACAGGCCUUAGAGAGUUUUUUUUUUAAUAUUUAUUGUAUUUUUGUUUUUGUUAUUGGUUUGUCAUAUGCUUCCAAGGCAGCAAUGUGUUACAUCAUAAAUUGCACCUUUUAGGGGAGGUGGUAAAAAACAUGAGAGGAAUGCAUUCUAGCGCAUACAUGCAGAAAGAGUUUCCAAAUUUUCAAAAGUUUGUUAUUUCUUCCACCUUUUUUUUGCUUAAAAUAAAUUUUAAUUGUAUUUUGCAUUAACUUAGAGAAAAAAAAAAUCAAGUUCUAUGCAUAAACGCAUACAUUGAUUAGAAAAUGAGUUUUAUGGACACAAAGGGACAAUAUAAGAGAUUCUUUUUGUUUAUUAGAAGUAACAUAACUAGUUAGUGUAACAUGUAAUUAUAAGCUACCAAGAAUUUGCACUGAUGAUAAUUAACGGUAUAGAUUUUGAGCUAUGAAUGUCUUGUGGCUAGUUUAAUUGGAUUUUCGAGUUUUCAGCAGAUCUAUUUUAAUGAUUAUUAAAUUAUUUUCACUUCUUAUGCUUUAAUAAAAAAAAUUCAAUAUUUUUUGCUGUAUUCUAUAUUUUAAAACUUAAUUUUUAAUUCUUUAUAUUGCAAACCAAACUGAGUCAAAUAGAGUAUGCUCGAAUUUUUCCAAUGCCUUCAAGAAGAAUUCAUUUUAUUUUUAUAUAUUAAUUUAACACAUGUAAACCGGGCCGUUGGAUUGCACAUAAAGCAAAUGAUCAAACCGUUACAAGACCGGCCCAGGCCCACCGACUCUAUUUUCUUUCAUUUGACCAUUAAAAAGCUUUUGGCCACCCCCACCAAAUAAAUAAGCUCUUGUUCUCUUUUGUUUCCCUCUCAAAGGAAAAUAUCUGAUCACCGGAUAAUGAUUCCGGUGACACAAAAGAUCGAAACACCCCCCUAAAUUCCCUAAAUUUACAAUAAUACCCCACCAUGGAUGAUUCCGUUGAAAUGCCGCCUUACGAUGAAAGGCCUAAAAAGGGUUUUAACUUCACCUCCAUGCGCUUGAUCUUAACCCUCGUUUUCCCAAUUUUAACUUGCUUUUUGUUGGCAUUUUUUAUUGGAAUCGUAGCUGUUUUAUUCGGCGAAUCAUCAGUUUCCAGUUCCAUUUUUGUCCCUUCCUAGUGCAAAAUAGUGUCCAGCAGUAAGCUUUUUUUAACAUUUUCAAUUUUUUUUCCAUUUAUGAAGUCCAAAAAUUUUAUUAAUUUUGAUUUUUUUGAAUGAUUUUGCAGGUGUUGAUAUAAGGUCAUCAAAAGUUCGUGAACUUGGGGUGUUGAAUUAUAAGGCGAAGCGUGCGUUUUAUCCAUUUGAAGCAAUUAAAUUUCGCUGUCGGUAUGAUUACUAUUGGGCUUCUAUCUUCAAGGUAUUCAUACAUUUUCCCCUGUACUAUAAGCUUCUUAGUGGCGGUCUUGUGAGCGGAAGUGAGCGGUGUGGCUGACAGCUUCUUGAAAAUUAUGAACAGAGCAUGUUAGACUUUUGUUGACCAAAUUCAAAAGCCAAAUGGCACAACUCAGAAGCUUUUGAAUUGAAUAACUUACUAGAAAGCUCCAAUUUUUUGUUGGCUACAGUAAAAGGAUGUUGUUUUAUUCUUCUUAUACUUUACGCUUGCAUCAGCUUAAAUCACUUCUUAAACGCUUUGCUUUAACUCUACCGCUUCAUACUGUUCUAUAUAUGUAUCGGGUAUGCGGUUGUAGUUCAUUGCUGAGACUACGUGUUUGUUUGACGUGGUAGUUACGUUCCGAGUCUGUUAAACAUUCGGUGAUUAAAGUAUUAUCAGUUAUUUCAAAGGGGCAAAUAAGAUUAGCUACAACACACCCACUAGUUUUAUAAAAUUCGAAUAAGAUGGAAUAAAAUAAAAAAAUAAAUAAGUAAAUUGACUUUUAAUUUUUGUGGUUGAAUAUAUUUUGUAUUCUCUCAGGGCACUGCUGUAAUUGUUCCUUAAAUGUCAGUCACACCCACAUGUUACAGACACAAGAAAUGAAAUCUAAGAUCACCUGUUUAAUUAAAGAAUCACUCAUAAAAAAAUUUUGCCAUUUUGAUUUGAGGAUCCACAUUUUGAACAACCAACUUAUCUUCAUCAAGAACAGAUCAUGGCCUUUGAGUAGAAAAAUUAUUUUUGGACAAACUAUUUUUAUUAAUAGAAGAAUUUCUCAAGGGACUAUUAAAAUUACUAAUGAAAAUGUCAGACACACCCACGUACCAUCGACACAAUUGACUAUGAGGAUCCAUGUUUUGAACUGCCACUUAAUGUUAAUCAAGAACAGAGUAUGGCUUGUGAGAAGAAAAAUUUCUGAUUUUGGCCUGGAACAAAAAGAAAUUAAAUUGAAGGAGAAUCUGGUACUUUCUCAUUAAGAAAGGCAGACGGGGCAUACUAUGGUACCAUACAAUACGAAAAGUCUCCGUUCUCUGGCUUUUAAACUCUAAAGGGGGCAAUAUUCCCCAAUUACCCCGUGAAAAUUCUGAUUACGACAUUAUUUAUUGCUUGAUACAUAAGUAAAAGUAGUGACAAAAUUAGGAAAAAUAUGACUCAUAAGUAAUUACUAGGCAGGGCUCUUGAGAGCAACAUUGUACUAGGCUUUAUAUGCAUACAUGGUGUGGUACAUAGAGCACGUUGAAUUCCACACUAUAACAUAAACCCAGAAAGACAAGUAAUAUCUCAACAUAUAUAAAGACAAAAAGAAGAUAAAAUGAUACAGAACAAAGAAUUUCUAAGAGACAGCAACAUACAAUAGACUGAAGCCAGUUGAUCUGCUCAUUGAUUGCAGCCUUAAACUUGCAAAUGUUUACUGUAGCCUGGUGCUCAAAGAAGUGAAAAUGAUGCAAACCUUGAUUCCCUAUUUACUUCCAUUUACCAUCAAACAUUCUAUUCAUAAGAAAAAAAAUGUUUAGAUAUCUUGCCGUAAAUAUAGCCAUUUGAUUGUUUUAAUAAAGCCACACACAACCAUUCAUAUUGAUCCACAUUGCCACAUAGCCUGAUUUAAGCAUACAACAGCUGAAUGUAUACCUGACUCCUAACCUUAUCAAUACAUUGGCGACAACUUAAGAAGAAAACUAUUUCUCCAUCUCUUUUUUGAAAUUUCACAAUAAAACAGCACAAUGUAAGAGCUGCAAUGAAAAUGGACCGUCUGGAACUAUGGCGGAAGCUUCAACUAGUGUAGUGAUUUGACCUUCUUAUUAACCUGGCAAGAUCAAACACUGCCCUUGAUCUUGAACAGAUCAAUACGAUACGCACAACUUAUGAUUGAAUCCAGAAACCAUCAAAUCUUUAGCAAGAAUAAUUAAUCAGAAUCAAGAAACAAGUUUAAUGAAUAUAAACCUAUAAUUGGAACAAACACAGCCAAAGAACCCAAGAAUGACACAACGUACACCAAGGGAGAAGCUUUCCAGUGAGAUUAUAUUGAUGAUCAAAGAAGAAUCUUUUUACAAAGGUAACAAAAGUGAUUUCAGAGAAUAAGCUAUGACCCUCUCUCUUUUCAAUCUCUGUCUAGUUUGUUAACAGUGAUGACCCCAAUCUGCUUCGUUAGCCAGGUUCAUAACUGCGUCAGUGACAAACUAGCAAACCUAGAUUGAGCAGACUAACGACACGUGCAUAACGGCUUUAACGAACUUGGUUAAAGAACUGCUCACAUGUUCGUCACGCGUGUUGCUUAAAUGAUAGCCAAAACGACUUCAACCAGAUGCCGUUUUGAAGCUUAUGAAUUAUAAGUGAAAACACGUGCUUGUCUCGUGACAUUUAAAUGCAACAACAAGCCCAAAACACUGUCGUUUCACUAUGUUGAGUUUGCCAUCUCCAAGCUUCACAACUAGCAGCGAACAAGAUGAUAAUUUAAUUGACAUGGAGAGCUUUUAUAUCACUUUUACAACAUUCUAUAUAAUUGUGAUAUUGGGAAUCGUCGGUGCUGUAUAUGUGAACCCUCAUUGGCGACACUGGUGGUUUUAUCUUUGUUAAAAUAUGGAUGACUUUUCGUUACUAUUUUGUUGUACAUAACCUUAUUCCUACGAGAUUUAAUCAUUGAAAUUAUGUUAGUUUCAUUAGAAGGCUGAGUGGUUAGUGCUGCUACCCUCCAAUUUGGAGGGCAGUAGUUUGAACCCCCACAAGCGCAAUGUGGGGGUAUUUCCUUCUUUAAUUACAUUGUAUAAUUGAGUAAAGGUAAUUUUCUCUCUUACCCAAGUGUGAGUGGAGUAGACAUCCCUCGAUGGUUAAAACCUGGGCAGAGCUUCAUAAGUAUUGAUGUAAGUUGGUCCCAGUAAUAGUCUGAUUUGUAAAUAUCAGUUAUAGUCUCAUGUUUCCUUCCUUAAUUAUAUUGUAUAAUUAAGUAAAGGUACUCUUUUCCCCUACCCAAGUGUGAGUGGAGUAAAUAUCCAUCGAAUAUUAGUGAGGGUUAAAAUCUGGGCAAAGCUCCAUAAGUAUUGAUGUAAGUUGAUCCCAGUAAUAGUAUGAUUUGUAAAUAUCAGUUAUAGUCUCAUGUAAUAUGAGUUGUAAUUUGAGCAAUAGUUUCAUGUAAUUAAAAAAAAUGUUACUUUCAUUACAUUUUUCUUCGUUAAAAUUCUCAAGUAUCAAUUAUGUUUGCUUAAGAAAUAAAAUUUUGUCAUUAAAGUUGUAGUAGUAUUUCUAAGCAUCUCACAUUUUCAAUGAUUUUUCAUAAAUCAAUUAAUAUGUCGUACCAAUAUCAUGUUUAGUUUUUCAGACUAAAUAAUCAAGAAAGCAAACAAAUUCACAGUUUAGAGGGGUAAACUAGCUUUUAGAUUUUAGAACUAGGCUAGCUACCUCACCAAAUUCCAGUUUGUACAGUGAACUACAAGAUUGAGAAAAUAAUGUAUUUAUAGUUUAAUUGAAUCAUGACAAACAAUGUAGUCAUAGCUCAAUCGGACAUGAUCACGGAGAGGCAUAUUCUUUUCAAGUUAAUUUGAUCCAUUUAUAAGAAAUGAAGUGGAUCGAAGUUAAAAGUUCAAAUAAAAAAUCCUUGUUCUUGAGUUUUACGACGUCGUUACUCCUUCAAGAGGCUGAUUAUGCAAGUGAAUGGAGAAACAUAAUGCAUUUAUAAUUUUUUUAAUAAUUAUAAAAAUAAUUAACCAUAACAAAUCCCUUGCGUAAAUAAUAAUCAUUAUUUAAAAGGUCCAAAGAUGGUUAGUGCACAAUCAAAUUUUAAGCCCCUACCUCCUCGGCCCAAGAUUCAAACUUAGAUGAUAAGCCAAAUAAAAUUAUUUGAAAAUCAUUCAAUCAAGUUCCGGGGCAAAAAUACAAGAUCCUUAUUUACAUGAUAUAUAUGAAUUAAUGUAAUUUAUUUGAAUUGUCCAAAUUCAUUAGAGAUAAAACUAUAAAAUAUACCAAAAAAGUUAGAAGGAAGGCUGUGUUGGGAUAUUUUACAAACUAUAGGGAUCUGGUGAGAUUUUGAGCCAAACUGUAGGGAGUUGAAGGCAUUUGCCCAAUAUGUUUAGACGUACACUAACCGUUAUUUGAUCUUGUUGUUGGUCCCGGAUGAGCUGUAGUCUUAUUUUAAUUUUAUUUAAACUCACCAUAAGAUUCGCGGAGCUCCUAACUAACUUAAAUGACUCUGCAGAGCAUGUCAACACAUACCAUGUUUAACCGUUUUAUUUGUAGAAGAAUUUAUGAUUUCCCAUUAGCAUUAUUAUUGAAGUGGGGCAGGUCAAAUCUCAAUUGCUUGAAAAUUUUAUUUAUUAUUAUUAGUCUUGAAGUGGGGUGGGUAACGGUUCGCUCAAUUCGAGGGGAAUCAAAUAUAUCAUCCAAGGUAGAAUUGUGGAAAAUUAAAGCAAAAUAAGAAAUAUGGAAAGACAAGAAGAAAGUUAAGGCAUGAAAGACAUAUACAGUUGAAAUUGAUAAUCAUGUUUCUAUUUUGUUAACUAAUCAAAUGGAAAGCUGAACUGUAAACAAACAUUAAAACGUGUGGACCAAGCUCGCUGUCCUACAAGUCUACAAUAAUAAUUGAGUACUUUGAUUCAUCCUUCUAUGAAUUUCUACCCAUAUUGACUCCACCGAAAUUUCCACAAAAUAAAAUUAAAAAAAAAAACUGAAUUUCCACAAAAUACAAAACCCGUUGAACUUAAUUUUUGGUCAUGUGAACUAAGAUGUAAAUUAUAAAAAAAAGUAUAAAAUUAAAAAAGAUGAGAUUUCUAAAAUGUGUGGAAAGUGAUUCAUGAUUCACUGAAAUUACUUACCCCAGAUAUAAAGGUAAACCUAUCUAAUUUCAUUAAAAAUAGUUGAAAAACAUUAACUAAUAGAAAGCUACGGAAAUUAACCCCCCACAAAAAUGACUUUUUAUAGAAGAAUUUAUGUUUUUUAAAAUAUGUUAUCAAAGUGUAUUUGAUCAAAUCUGAAUUGCUUAGUAUGGUUAGGAUUUUGUGAACAUCACUAAAAAGUGAAAACUAUGAAUGAUAGGGGUGAUGCUUGCAAUAUGAAUAAAUAAUGGACUGAUUCAAUUUCUGAUUACAUUUAUAUAUUAUUGAUUAUUUAUGAAUUUUCAGACUUGUUAUGAUGUAUAACUAUGUGAUUUUGAAACUUGAAACCGUGGCAAACAUUGAAAGGAAUUAUAACUUGAAAGCAUGACUCACGGGGUAUGUCAUGAUUCACGUGCACAAAAAAGGUAGAAUUGUGGAAAUUUACAACCCAACGACAAGUACGGAAAGAAAGGAAGAAAAUUAAAAGACUUUGGGCCUAGCUGCGUGUAUAAAUUAUUAGAUUACUUUUUUUUUUAUAAGGGUAAUCAUCAAUUUACUCCAUAAAAAUCUUUAAUUCAAUUAAAAUUUAUGGUAUUUUAUAUAUUAAAAAUUCUAAAAUAAUUAUGUAUUCACUUGAAUAUAGUUUUAGUUAUAAAUGUUAAAAUAUUGUGGUAUUUAAUAUAUUAUUUAUUUGACAUUCAAAUUUAAUAAGGAUACAAAUGUAAAAGUAUAUAUUUUUCAGCUUUUUAAGUUGAAAAAAACAAACAACUUAAUACUUAUUUUUUGAGAUUCAGACAAAAAAAUAAACAUAUUAUUCAGAUUCAGACAUUCAGAUCUAUUCAGAAUUCUCACUAAUUCAGAUCUAUUCAGAUUUCAGAUAAAAAAAAAAAAAACAAAACGCCACCUAAGUAUAGUUAGGAUUGUGUGAACAUCACUGAAAACUAUGAUUGAUAGAAGUGAUCUUGGCAAUAUGAAUAAAUAAUUAACUGAAUCAAUUGAUUUAUAUAUUAAUGAUUGUUUAUGAAUUUGCGGACUUGUUGCGAUAUAAUAAUAGCAUAUGAUUUUGAAACUUGAAACAGUGGUAAAUAUUGAAAGGAAUUAAUUUGAAAGCAUGAUCCGUGGGGAAUGUGAUGAAUCGUGUUUACAAAAAAGGUAGAAUUGUGGAAAUUUAUAAUAGAACGAUAAAUAUGGUAAAAAGGAAGAAAAUUGAAAGACUUGGGGCUUGGCCUGGGUGUAUUUUCUAACAGUCCAAUGGACAAAAUUAUAUUUGUAUACUUUCUUUUCAGGAAAAAGUUAUUCUCAUCCCUAGGUUUCAUGCAAUAGCUCAUUCCAUCCUUAUUUUUUAAAUAAUAGACCAAAACAUUCUUCCGUUAACUCACUGUUAGUUGAAUGUCGUUUGUUAGUUAUUCAUUAAGAGUAAAAAAUGAUUUUCUAUCAAAGAGAAAAUUAGAAAAAUAAAUAAAAGUUGACAUAUAACUAAAAAUGAUUUUAUCUAAUCCCACUAAAUAAGAAAUACCAAAAAAGAUGAAAAUUUUAUAUUUCAAGCAGUUCUUUUUUCACUUAUUUCUAUUUUGGCGGUAUGAAAGCCCUAUAAACCCUAGAUCUAAGUACCAAAAAUAUUGCAAUUUUCUUAUUCAUAUAAGUAUACUCUCUAAUUGCACUAUAAAAUGACUUGAAUUGAAUUGAAGAUAAAGAAUAUAUUCAGCACAUACAAAGCACAUAAAAAUUGGUGGCAUUUUUGAGUUUUUCUUCCAAUGAUUUAAAUAUAUUAUUUUAAUUACAGUUUGUUCCUUAUGACAAUUAUUAAAUGGCUAUAUCAAACUAUAUCAUCGUUGAUUUCAUUUAAAAAAAAAAGUUAAUGAAUUUUGCAUACUUUGUAGUGUUAUUUAAUUGUGUAAAAAAAUUAUUUUAAUAUAGUUUGUAUCACUUUAAUGAAAAAUUCUAUUUUGCCCUCAAUGAAUUACUAGUUAACAGUUUUACACUAACGGUGAAUUAACAUAAGGAUAUUUUAGGCUAUUGUUUGAAAAGGAGGGAUAAAAUGGGCUAUUACAUUAAACUCUAAGGAUGAAAAAUGCUUUUUCCCCUUUCUUAUCAAUCAACUAACUGAUAAAAGUCAAAACUCAUAUUUUUUUUUCCUUGUUUCAAUCCCCUCUCAAUCAAAAAAGUUUCAUUGUCUAAGCAAUGAGGAAUAUGGCUAGAAAGAUUGUUAUUAGAAAGAUUUAUCAAUAGUAAUUGGUUCACAAUUGAACCGUUUUAGAUUAUUGUGAGUCAAUAUAGGUCCUGUUUGGAAUUGAAGUGUUGCAGCUCUUAAGUUAUAGAUGCUUUGGAAAAAAAACUAAAAUUAUGAAAUAAGAGUUAAUAAUAUAUAAUAAAUAUAAAUUUUAAAUAAUAAUUGUGACAAAAUUAUUAAAAAUAUAAUAGAUUUUUGAUAAUACAAGUAAAAAAAUCAUAACAACAUAGCUUGCAAGCUACAACAGUUAGUGUUUAACAAAUACUUUAAUACUGUGGCUUUUAAGUUACAGCUGUUCAAUACCUCAAUUCCAAACGCACCUAUAAAAUGGCUUGCUUCAAAAGUCUAUCAACCCAACUUGGAAUGCUCUCAUUCAAGUGGCUAUAACUAAGAUAAAACUUCGCUAAGGAAGAGUAAUUAAAAAAUGUAACUUUAACAUGUCCAUAUAGCAUUUUUGUUUACAAGUGAAUUUGUGUGAUAGAGAGAGGAUGUAAGCAAGAUAGUAAAGUCCUAAAUAUAUUAUUGUGUAUAAUGUCUAAAAUUUAAAGAGAAUCAAGCUGAUAAAACUCCAUUGAAAUUAGACCUUCAAGAAUACGGUUCUUGGGCAUUAUAAAAUGUUGUAAUGUUGAGAGAUUACCCAACCAUUAUGGAAUCCUACCAAGAUGAUUGUUACCACUAAGAUACAAUCCUUCUAGUGAACAACAAUCAGAUAAAUUUUUUGGGGAUCUCUCUUACAAAGUGAUUACCAUCCAAUCGCAAUUUUGAAUGAAAAUAAAUUUUUUUUAUUGGGAGUUUAACCUUAACAUUAAAUUUAGACAAUGAAUUUUAACUUUCUACAGUUAUUAAGCAGAUUACGGACAUUUGAGGAAUUUGAAAACAUUUCAUCCAUCGAAAGUUAAAAUUAGAGAUGGAAGAUAGGUGCUACAGCUAAUGGGAACAUUACUUCCUGUCCCUCAUCACACUUUAUUUUGGGUCUAAUAAUUUUACGGUAGCAUUGACCACUGCUCAAGGUAAGUAAAACUUACAAAUGUGUGGCAAAAUAAAUAAUUAAGUACAUAAACUGUUAACCAAUUUUCUUGAUAUAUACAGCUAAAGUAGUUGUAUAUUAGUGUCCUGAAACAUGUUUAUUAUGAUAGACACCUCCACCGUACCUCAAACAAAUCUGUCAUUAUUAGUGUCCUGAAACAUGUUUCGGCCGUCAAAGUCAUGAGAGGGUUGAUGACGCUACUACGUAUGAUGACACACCAGCCGACAGUGUAGUAACAGCUCAAAAACAAAAUCUACCAAAAUCAACGGAAGUUAAUAAAAAAAUAUUUUAUUAAUAAAAAAACUUAUUAUUUGUGGAGAUAUGUGUAUUUGAGUCUGUGGACUGAAAUGGAAAAUAUGAAGAAGUUCAGAGUCGUUGUGCAGAUUGACUUCAGUUGAGCGGGUCUAAUAGAUAUUUUAUGCUGACGUGGCACGAAUUAGUUAUAAUCUGUUAUAACGAUUCCAGAAAUAUCGGUAUAAAUAGAAGUUGAUGAGCAGUGCCUGUUGUACGAUCCUUUUCUUCUUCAGCAGUUCGUCAAUUUGCAUAGAAUCUGUUUCACUUAUGUUUGAUUAGUUGUUGAUCGAUAACGAGAGUAAAUUUUUCCUUCAAAUCUUGCUGGUUCGUGCCCCUGUUUCAGUUUUGGGUUUUUUUUUUUUUUUAGUUCUGGUUUCUUAAUUCAAUUGAAUUUCUUGGUGCUUAAUUCAUCAAGAUUCAGUGGAAUUGACUUGAAAAGGACUCAAUAGACUCAACAUUAUUUAACGACACUCGGACCGUGGGGUACCGUAAUCAUAAUAUUAAAAGAUUUAAAAUUUUAUGCAUUUAUUAAUUGUUAUAAUCUAAAAAAAAAUUAAUUAAUUCAGGUCAAUCUGAGUUGGUGCAUCUGCAGAGCCUUUUUUUUUUUUCCCCUUAUUGACCAUAACUUUCGACUUAUUAAUAGUUAUAUCAAAGGGUGUGGGUGUUUUACCUCAUCAUGUCUUCAAGCGGAAGAUGAAGACUAUGCAAGUGAAUACAGUGCAUUUCAACAUAGCAUAUUUAACCGUUUUAACAGUUAUUUGGACCGUCUUCAGAGCUAACAUCAACAUACUCAUUCAUAUGCUUAAUAAUGAACGAAUAGUCAUGGAUCGAUGUUUUGCAGCAAGAGCAACUCGACACAAUCUGGAUUCAACCUCCUCCUUUCUAACAGGGUGAUACGCCGCGGAGGUCGUCAAGGAUUCCAAAGCCUAGCAACAAGUAUGCUGGGUACAUUUGAAUUAUGCAUGGAUGCUUGGAAGUCGAACGGUCACAUGGCUCAAGACUUAUGCAUACGUUACAUGCAACAUGCAGCACGUUGGAAGAAUGGUCAUUGGAGCAGUCUACAUGGAUCAUGGGGGGGAUUCGGUCAACAUGGGAUCACUUGCUGAUUUAAUGGAGAUUUAUCAUUUGGUUUAAUUCAUUUUCGGUUGUUUAGUUAAGCUAAAAGAAUAAGUUAAGUUGUUAGCUUAGGACCUGCCUACAAUCUCGAGUGAUAGUUAGAUUGUUUGGCUAAGUUGUUUUAAGUAUAAAUAAGCUCCAACGGACUUGAAUAAAGGGCAUUGACUAUUAUCCAAAAAUCAAAUAUCUUGUGGUCUUAUUUCUCACCCUAAGUAGAAAUAUAUUCAACCACUUACGCUUUGACUGGGACCCCUAUCAGUGGUAUCAGAGCGAGGUUACUAUGUCAACCAACAAGGAACGCAUAGAGCGUGUGGAAGCCGAGAUCGGAAGCUUGCAAGAUGGAAUGAAGCGUAUGGAACUAGGGCUUACUGACAGAUUGCACCGCCUAGAAGAAACAAUGAGCAAACUGGUAGAUUCACUUCCAACUUCAAAAGGGAUGCCAAGUCACAACAAUUCUGAUCACGUUGGAUCCUCACAGCCUAGCCGUGGAGAUAGUGAAGGGAGCCGCCAUCAGCUAGCAUCAAGACUUACCAAACUGGAGUGUCCACGAUAUUCCGGCGACGACCCAACGGAGUGGUAUAAUAGGAUCAUGCAAUUUUUCGAGUACCAGAAAGCAACCAAUGAACAGAAAGUCUCCUUAGCUUCUUUUCACCUCGAAGGAGAGGCCAACCAAUGGUGGCAGUAGAUGCGACGAACUUAUCAAGAAGACGAAAAAAUAGUAACGUGGGAAAUUUUUGUGGAGGAGCUUUGGGCACGGUUUGGCCCUACUGAGUGCGAAGAUUAUGAUGAGGCGUUGUCCAGGGUUAAGCAGACAGGGUCACUACGUGAUUAUCAGAGGGAAUUCGAAAGGCUUGGGAACUGGGUACGAGGCUGGACGCAAAAGGCCUUGGUCGGGACCUUUAUGGGAGGAUUGAAGCCGGCAAUCUCAGAGGAAAUUCGGAUGUUUCGGCCCAAAACUUUAAAAGAAGCUAUAAGCCUCGCACGUAUGAAGGAUGAUCAAUUAACGCGACAAAGGAAGUUGCUACGACCACAGUACCUCAACCGUACACCACCAACACCAACAAACAAUACCCGUGCCCAACCAACGAGACCCAUCAAACGGCUGACUUGGGACGAAAUGCAGCGGCAUCGAGUAAUGGGACUUUGCUUCAAUUGCAACGAUCGGUUUACAGCAGGUCAUAAGUGCACCCAACCUCAGCUAUUGCUCCUUGAAAGUGAGACAAUGAAUGAUGAAACUACAUAUGAGGGAAUUCCUGAAGUCUUAUGAACAAAACCUGACACUAAAGAGCCUACCGAUCCAAAAAUCACUUUCUAUGCCCUCACUGGAUGGGCAGCCCCAAGAACCAUGCGGGUCACGGCAACGGUAGGACCAUAUGAGAUUAUGGUUCUGAUCGAUAGCGGUUCAACUCACAAUUUCAUCAGCUCCCGAAUGGCCAACAUGUUACGGCUGCCAAUCAUUCCCACAGCAGGAUUUUUGGUGCGAGUGGCAAACGGAGAAACGCUAUCGUGCAAGGGAAAAUUCGAACGGGUUCAGGUAUUAUUACAAGAAGUUCCAUUCACUUUGACUCUUUAUUCACUUCCAAUUACAGGGUUGGAUAUGGUGCUUGGAGUCUAGUGGCUUGAGAUGCUAGGCUCAGUGGUUUGCAAUUGGAAACAACUUACCAUGGAUUUCACUUGGGAGAACAAAAGUUGCCGGUUACAAGUCAUCGGGCCUCAAUCAAUCCAAACAGCAUCCUUGACCGAAAUUACCAAAGAGCUGAGACAAGGGCAGUCCGGUUUUGCUAUUUGUUUCCAUGUGAAUGUAGAAGACUCUCUCAACACAACAACUCCAGAUAUGCAAGACUUGUUAAAGGAAUACAACACUUUAUUUCAAAAGCCAACAAAACUGCCACCUAGACGAGAAAUCGACCAUAACAUCACAUUGAAAGAGGGAACUGAGCCAGUCAACGUACGGCCAUACCGUUAUGCCUAUUUCCAGAAAGCCGAAAUUAAAAAACAAGUCCAGGAGAUGCUGAAUUCGGGACUCAUUCGGCCUAGUACCAGCCCUUUUUCAUCACCAGUACUACUUGUCAAAAAAAAAGAUGGAAGUUGGCGAUUUUGCACCGACUAUCGGUCUCUCAAUAACGCCACUGUUAAAGACCGAUUUCCAAUCCCUACAGUCGAUGACAUGCUGGACGAGUUACAUGGAGCAGCAUACUUCACUAAAUUGGACCUAAGGGCCGGAUACCAUCAGGUACGUGUAAACCCAGCCGAUAUCCACAAAACGGCUUUUCGUACAUACAAUGGACAUUACGAAUACUUAGUAAUGCCGUUUGGCUUAUGCAAUGCACCAUCGACAUUCCAGGCCAUCAUGAACUCUAUCUUCCGUCCCUAUCUCAGGAAAUUUAUCCUUGUUUUCUUUGACGAUAUAUUGAUAUACAGUCCCUCUUGGUGUAGCCACCUUACUCAUGUUAAGCAGGCAAUGGAGGUUCUUAAACAACAUCAAUUUUUUCUUAAAGCAAGCAAGUGCACUUUUGGCCAACAAGAACUCGAGUACCUUGGCCACAUAAUUACCAGCCAAGGGGUAAAAGUAGAUGAGACAAAAAUUGCGGCCAUGGUCUCCUGGCCUCAACCGAAGAACAUCUCAGAGUUACGGGGAUUCCUUGGCCUUACAGGUUACUAUAGAAAGUUCGUCCAAGGAUAUGGAGUUUUAGCUCGGCCACUCACGAAUCUUCUAAAAAAAGGACAGUUUGAAUGGAAUGCAGAAGCGGACAAAGCUUUUAUCAAUUUAAAAAAGGCAAUGACAAGUACACCCACAUUAGCCAUGCCUAAUUUUAAUGAAACUUUUAUUAUUGUGACAGAUGCAUCCGGUGACGGCAUCGGCGCAAUACUCCAGCAACAAGGGCAUCCCAUCGCAUUUAUGAGUCGUGCCUUGGGAGUCACAAAAAAAUCUUAGUCCACAUACGCAAAAGAGAUGUUGGCGAUUAUAGAAGCUAUCCGUGUGUGGCGACCUUAUCUGGUGGGACGAAAGUUUAUCAUCCAAACCGAUCAACGCAGCCUUAAGUACCUUUUGGAACAAAAAAUAACGACACCCGAAUAGCAACAGUGGCUGGCCAAAUUGAUGGGGAUUGAAUAUGAAAUCCAAUAUAGGCCCGGCCGUGAGAAUGUUGCCGCCGACGCCCUUUCACGACGACCUGACAGUUCUGCUCUUAACAGUUUAUUUGUGGCGCAGGUAUCUAUUUGGAAUGAAAUAAAAACGGCUGCCCAAGAUGAUGAUUACAUGCAGCAAAUUACACAUCAGGCUCUGACUCAACCUACUGGCCCUUAUUUCAUGCGUAACGGGCUAAUUUUCUUCAAGGGCCGAGUUGUAGUUCCUCUUCGACUCCGUCAAUCUUUAAUUUUUUAAGCCCAUGACACUAAGAUGGGAGGUCAUUCAUGAGUUCUACGUACUUACAAACGUUUGAAACAACAAUUCUAUUGGCCUUCAAUGUUUCAAACGGUUCAUGACUAUGUAGGUAAAUGCGAGAUUUGUCAAAAAACGAAAGCAUCAACCCUUAAGCCUGCGGGUCUCCUCCAGCCCUUGCCAAUUCCUUGCCAAGUGUGGGAUGAUAUCACGCUCGACUUCAUUGAAGGGCUGCCAAACUCACACGGUAAAAAUUCUAUUCUAGUGGUGGUGGAUCGGCUCAGCAAGAGUGCACACUUUAUGGCCUUGACUCACCCAUUCACAGCAAAAACAGUGGCUGAGAAGUUUAUUGAUGGAGUGGUAAAAUUACAUGGCAUGCCGAAAUCAAUAAUCAGUGACCGAGACCCUAUUUUUAUUAGCAAGUUUUGGCAGGAGUUUUUUCAUAUGUCCGGUACACAACUCAAUAUGAGUUCUGCGUACCAUCCGCAAACCGACGGUCAAACGGAAGUUAUUAAUAGAUGUCUUGAACAAUACCUGCGAAGCUUUGUUCACCAAUGGCAGAAGCAAUGGAACUCUUACCUACCUUGGGCAGAAUACUGGUACAACACAACGUACCAUGAGUCCACAAGCAUGACUCCUUUUUUGGCUUUGUAUGGGCGACAUCCACUGGUAGUACCAAUGUAUCAUGUGGAAUCUUCUCCAGUGCACAAGGUAGAUCAAGCUUUGUUGUCUAGGGAUGAGCUGCUGCGACAAUUAAAACAGAAUUUGAAAAUGGCAACCAAUCGCAUGAAACAAUUUGCGGAUACAAAAACGCGCGACGUGGAGUUUAAGGAGGGUGACAUGGUAUUCCUAAGACUUCCACCGUAUAGGCAGACUACUGUAUUCCGUCGUGCUCAUCAGAAGUUGACCAGCAAAUACUCUGGGCCAUAUCCAAUUCUGCGAAGAGUGGGACAAGUGGCUUAUGAGCUUAAACUACCGACGGGAUCUCGAGUGCAUCCGGUAUUUCAUGUGUCCUUACUCAAAAAAUACGUUGGUGAGAUGCCUCAAUUCAGUGCAGAUCUUCCAUAUGUCAAUGACGACGGAGUACUCGUUUUAGAACCGGACAAAAUUAUUGAUGUUCGUUGGCUUAAAAGAGGUGGCAAGUUGGUGGAACAAAGUCUUGUCCGUUGGAAACGCCUUCCACAUGAGGACGCAACAUGGGAAGAUUCAGAGUUCCUGGCAAAGCAAUUCCCUCACCUGACCCUUGAGGACAAGGGUCCUCUUCGUGGAGGCGGUAUUGAUACACCGCGGAGGUCGUCAAGGAUUCCAAAGCCUAGCAACAAGUAUGCUGGGUACAUUUGAAUUAUGCAUGGAUGCUUGGAAGUCGAACGGUCACAUGGCUCAAGACUUAUACGUUACAUGCAACAUGCAGCACCUUGGAAGAAUGGUCGUUGGAGCAGUCUACAUGGAUCAUGGGGGGGAUUCGGUCAACAUGGGAUCACUUGCUGAUUUAAUGGAGAUUUAUCAUUUGGUUUAAUUCAUUUUCGGUUGUUUAGUUAAGCUAAAAGAAUAAGUCAAGUUGUUAGCUUAGGACCUGCCUACAAUCUCGAGUGAUAGUUAGAUUGUUUGGCUAAGUUGUUUUAAGUAUAAAUAAGCUCCAACGGACUUGAAUAAAGGGUAUUGACUAUUAUCCAAAAAUCAAAUAUCUUGUGGUCUUAUUUCUCACCCUAAGUAGAAAUAUAUUCAAUCACUUACGCUUUGACUGGGACCCCUAUCACAGGGGAUUUCGAUUUGAGUUACUUUGUGCUCAAGCAAAUUCACAUCAUAGUUUUGAUUCUUUAGAUAUGAAUUCAUCACAUUACAUAUAUCAGAUUAAGUGUAACAAAAUUUUUAAUUUACUGCGAAAAGAAUAUGCACUAAACAAUGAUUUCAAGACGAUUUGACUACCAAAAGCAGCUGUCAGAGUGCACUAAAAAUUUCUGUAGGAUAUUUUGUAGCUGUUUAAUAUGUUAUGAUGGGCAUAUAAUUCUCAAAUUUUGAUGCCUCUCAGCGAAAAAUAUAUCAAAGUUUAGAUUAUGUGUUCGAGCUUUAAUAAAUGGUCGGAAAAAAAGCUGCUGUCAGAGUGCACUGAGUGAAUAAUAAUAACGACAAUAAUAAUAAACUAAAAAACAGAAUUAAUUACUAUUGAAUGGUCGGAAAAAAAUUUGAAAACGUGUGAACUCCAAUAAUCACCCCACAAAUUCAGUGGCGAAUUUUGGAGAGGGCAAGGCCGGGCUUCUCAGAAAAAAAUUUAUUUAGUUACAAAAUUAUCUUUAUUGAAACCUAUAUAAAUUUUUUUUUAUAUUAAUUAGUUAUGUUACCUCUUCAAUUAUCAUCAAAUUUUUGUCUGUUCAUCAUUUGGUGAAUAAAUGUGUGUCUAAAUAAUUUCAAAUAACAUUUAGAACAAAUAUUUUGAGAGGUAAAGUUUAUUUUGUCUCCCAUUAUUAGGUGCAUCUAUAAUUUCUUAUUUACAAAAUUAUAUUGUACGAUAAAAAUUUAUUGAAUUAGGGGGAAAAAAAAAGUUCAGCUCACUCAAAAACAAAAAAUGGUAUUAACUUCGCCACCGCACAAAUCUAGAAUAAUAAUUAUUCCUUAUCAUGCUGGGGAUCCUUUACUUUCUAGCCGUAUUGACAGCACCAGGUAAAGCUUUGUAAAAUAAUAAGUUACUCAUUAGUGGUUUUUAAUCUUUUUAAUUCUUUUUACCGCACACCUGAUCAAGAAUUUUAUUUUGUUAACUAAUCAAUUGCAAAGCAUAUAUAAGUGUUGAACGGUACGCAAGAUUGGAAAAAAAAAUCUUAAAAAACGUGUGGAUUCGGGUGGCCACACCAGAAAUCUAUUACAAUAAUUAGCUUUGAUGCUGGGAAUCUUUUAAUUUCUGGCCGUAUUGAAAUUUUUAAAAUAACAAGUUCCCCUUCUCGUUUUUUUUUUUAUAAAUAUAUAAGCUUAUAACAAUUUUAGAAUAAUGACUCAUUUGUAGAAGAAUUUAUGAUUUCCCAUUAAUAUUAAUAUUGAAGUGGGGUGGGUCAAAUCUCAAUUGCUUGAAGAAUUUAUUUAUUAUUAUUAAUAUUAUUAGUAUUGAAGUGGGGUAGGGAACGGACCAGCAGUUCACUCAAUUCGUGGCGAAUUAAAUAUUACCAUCCAAGGUAGGAUUGUGGAAAAUUAAAGCAAAAUGACAAGUAUGGAAAGGAAGGCUGAAAGUAAGGCAUGACGAAAGGCUUUGAGAAGGCUGAAGACUUACCAAAGAAGUCAACUGAAAACUAGCUGGGGCCUGAGUGUAUAAAUUGUUAGAUGCGUUUGUUAUAAAUAACAUAGAGCCCUUUUGUUAUUUAUAGUUAUAGAGAAAGAGAGAAUGUGUGUCUUUUAAGAGUUAGAGAUAUAGCUAGAAUGGGCGGCUCAAAAUCCAAAAUGGUGACAAUGUUAGUUCUCGUAUUGGUAAUAUUUUGGGUGGGGGGGGGGGGGGGGGGGGGGGGGGGUUGUGAGGGAAGGAAGGUCCACAGGCCGAGUGGUACAACUACACCUUGGCCUUACUAGGAAUAUCGAUCUGGGAGAGUGGUAUCUGAAUGCUUCUCUAUUUACUUCCUUUCAACAACUUGGUAACAAAAUAGCCGGCUGCAUGCGUUGAGAAUGAAGGUCCUUCAUUUAAUUUAAUUUACUUAAUUUCUCCCUCCCAAUUAAUGUCUAAUGGAGCUCAUUCUUUGGUUUUACUUGCAGGUCUAGAAGCAGGUGUCAUCUAACAGCUGCUUUGAUAAUUUCCCACCCCUUCAUCUUUGAUGGAAAGAUGAAAUAAAAACAAAAUGGUGAAAAUGGUAUUGGUACCUGAGGCUAUGUAAUCUAAUUCAACAACUGCACCAUCAAAACGAUUACAUAAGUCCCAGAAGAAUCAAACAUUAGUUUGCAAAAUAUCAAUUGCUGGAGGUUAGAUUCUAACUUCCGCUCUUGAUUUUUAUGGGCAUGUUGUAUUGUACUUGCAUACGAAAAUCAUAUUUUAGUUUACUUACACUCAAUGCUUGGAUUAAAGUUUCAGGUGGGGAAAAUUGAAGGAGACUAAAAUGACUCAAAAAAAUAGUUGAAUGAGUGAGGGUUUUGUCUUCAUUUGAGGAGCUCUUUAUAAAUUUUAGGAUUUUUUUUCCCGAGAAAAUUUAUGCCAACUUAUUCUUUGCUUCUUUUCUGAAGGGACAAAUGCAACUGAAAGUGUAUUCUUGAAUUCUCCAGGAUAAGAGACAUAUGUUUAAUUAGAUUCUCGAGCCUUCAAAACAAUAUAAAAUUUUAUAUAUCUGAGCAUGAUGGUGUUUGACAUGACUUAAAAUUGUUUAAUUUACUCUCACGUACAAGAAUGCCUAGUUAUAUUGUCGCUCAGAGUCCGAGGUUAAUCCAUAAAGAAAUGAUUUAAUUUGUUUAUUUAAGAUUAUCCCAAAAAAUAAAAAUAAAAUUUAAAUAUAUGUAAUUUAAUUUGAAAAAAGUUAUGAAAUUAAAUUAUUUAGAGUCAUGGAUCCACUCUUAGUAAUAAAUACAAUUUAAUAAAUUCUUUUUAUUUUUAUUUUAUUGCCCAAAAGAUUAAUUAUAUAAAUUAUAAUUAUUUUUCCAUUAAUUUUAUUAUGGAUUAAGUACUUAAUGUGCCAAAACUUAACUUGUCUACAAUAUGUCAAAAUACCAUUUUACCAUACUUUAUGCUAAGAUAUUAAGAAUUCAUGUGCCAAACUCCCAUGUUUGUCUACAAUAAAUCCAAAUUUCAAAACAUAAAAUAUGGAUCAAAUUAAAUAAAAAAUAAUUUAAUUUAUAUAAUUAAAAAUAGAAUUUGAUUAAAUCAUAUUUUUCUACUUAGAGUUUUACCUCACCCUAACUAUUAGUAUUUAGCUAAACAUAUUUGAAAUAAAUGAAAUUAUUAAAAUUGAAAAAUACAUAAUUAAAAAAAUGGUAUUUGAAAAUUAGAAAUAAAACUAAUUUUAUUUAUUGAAAAUGUAUUACAAAGAGAGAUGAGAAGAAGAAUUUGAGGGAAAAGAAGAGAAGAAAAUGUGUGGAGAGGUGUGUGAAAUUAUAUUGUAAAGAUGUUACACAAACAAAUGAAUAAAAAAAAACUAAAUGAAAAUUACACAAAUUAAAAAGAAAAUGAAAAUUAAAUAAAAAAGAUAAAUGUGUAAGAAAAAAAUGCGCAAUAAAAAUAAAUAAACUGAAAAGUAAUUAACUAAAAUUAAAAUAACUAAAUAGGCGGUAAACAAAGUAAAUGCCAAAAAUAAAAUAAGUGCGAAAAUUAAAUUACAGAAAUUAAAAGAAGAAAGAAAGAAAAAAAUAAUUAUCUCAAAGUGUAAACUCUUUUUCUUUUUCUUUUCAAAUUUUAAAUAUUACCAGCCAAUUAAGUGAUUAAUUCAAAUUAUUAGGCUUUAAUAGUAAUUUUUAAAAUCAAUAUUCAGUUUAUUGAGUCCAAAUAAGGUCCAAAGAAGUUCAAGUUGUUGGUCUAAAAUUGAGAAUUUUGGGAAAUAUUGGCAACGGACCUAUUCAAAAAGCUCUAUAAUUUUGUGGUCAAACUGCAAUUAUGAGAAGAAUGAUCCAAAAAUUAGAAUUUUUGGGGUGAGUGAGAUUUAGAAAGAUUUUGUGGAUAUAACAUAAUUUAAGAAAGAAAAAGGAGGUAAAUGAAAAUUUACACAAAAAGUAUAAAAAGAAAGAAAAAAGAAAACAAAAUAAAUACCUCUCCCAGCAAUGGCGGUAAAAACUUAACACGACUUAAAAGCAUUUAAUUUACUCUAAAGUAUAAGAGUACCUAGUUAUAUUAUAUCGCGAGAAGUCCGAGAUCGAUCUACAGAAAAAUGAUUUAAUUUAUUUAUUUAAGUUUAUCUAAAAAAUAAAAAUAAAAUUAAAUACAUGCAAUUUAAUUUGAGAAAAACUAUGAAAUUGAAGUAGUUAGGAUUAUGGAUCUACUCCUAGUAAUAAAUGUAAUUUAAUAAAUUCUUUUUAUUUUUAUUUUAUUGACCAAAAGAUUACUUGUAUAAAUUACAAUUAUUUUCCCAUUAAUUUUAUUAUGGAUUAAGUACUUAAUGUGCCAAAGCUUAACUUGUCUACAAUAAGUCAAAAUACUAUUUUACCAUACUUUAUACUAAGAUAUUAACAAUUCAUUGUGCCAAACUCCCAUGUUUGUCUACAAUAAAUCAAAAUUUCAAAAUAUAAAAUAUAGAUAAAAUUAAAUAAAAAAUAAUUUAAUUUAUAUAAUUAAAAAUAGAAUUUGAUUAAAUCAUAUUUUUCUACUCAGAGUUUUACCUCACCCUAACUAUUAGUAUUUAGCUAAACCUAUUUGAAGUAAAUGAAAUUAUUAAAAUUGAAAAAUACAUAAUUAAAAAAAUAGUAUUUGAAAAUUAGAAAUAAAACUAAUUUUAUUUAUUGAAAAUAUACUACAAAAAGAGAUGAGAAGAAAAAGUUGAGGGGAAUGAAGAGAAAAUAAGGUGUGGAGAGGUGUGUUCCUCCCCCCACUUCUCUAUUUAUACUAAUACAUGAUUAAUCUAUACCACACAAAUAAAUAAAACUAAUUACAUCUUAGGCAUACAUUUGUCCCACUAACAAAAUAUAAACCUAAGUUAAUCCACUUAAGCACAUCCAACACAUUUCACUAACAAUUACCACACCUAACAUGAUAAAAACUUAUAAUUUCACAAUUACCACAUUUACUUUUACAACAAAAACCACGAAUCUUCUCGACAAUAACCUAAUUUCUCGGACUUUCGGAAUCUAAAAAUUUAAAUAAUAUUAAAUUUAUCUAAUAUAAUUAAAUGUAUUAAAUAAAAUAAUGUUUCAUUUUAUAUUUACCCUCCUUUUAUUAAAUUUACUAUAAUUAUAUUUAAUAAAAUAAAUAAUAUUAUAUAUUUAAAUAAUAUUAGUUAUAUUUAACUAAAUUAAAGCAAAAUGACAAGUAUGGAAAGGAAGGCUGAAAGGAAGGCAUGACAAAAGGCUUUGAGAAGGCUGAAGACUACCAAAGAAGUCAACUGAAAGCUAGCGGGGGCGUGAGUGUAUAAAUUGUUAGAUGUGUUUGUUAUAAAUAACAUAGAGCCCUUUUGUUAUUUAUAAUUAUAGAGAAAGAGAAUGUGUGUUUUUUAAUAGUUAGAGAUAUAGCUAGAAUGGGUGGCACAAAAUCCAAAAUGGUGACAAUGUUAGUUCUCGUAUUGAUAGGGGGGGGGGGAGAGGUCGAGUGAGGGAUGUUUGGAGCAUGAGAAAUUUGAUCUUUUGCGGCUGGAUGUUUGGAGCAUGAGAAAUUUGAUCUUUUGCGGCUUAAACAUUUCUUCAAUUCCCCUUAUACACUUCAAAACUGGGUAGGUGAACAAAGGGAAAGGGUUGAGUGCAGCAACUCCACAGGCCAAGUGGUACAACUACACCAUGGCCUUACUAGGAAUAUUGAUCUGGGAGAGUGGUAUCUGAAUGCUUCUCUAUUUACUUCCUUUCAACAAUUUGGUAACAAAAUAGCCGGCUGCAUGCGUUGAGAAUGAAGGUCCUUCAUUUAAUUUAAUUUACUUAAUUUCUCCCUCCCAAUUAAUGUCUAAUGGAGCUCAUUCUUUUGUUUUAUUUGCAGGUCUAGAAGCAGGUGUCAUCUAACAGUUGAUUUGAUAAUUUCCCACCCCUUCAUCUUUGAUGAAAAGAUGAAAUAAAAACAAAAUGGUGAAAAUGGUAUUGGUACCUGAGGCUAUGUAAUCUAAUUCAAAAACUGCACCAUCAAAACGAUUACAUAAGUCCCAGAAGAAUCAAACAUUAGUUUGCAAAAUAUCAAUUGCUGGAGGUUUGAUUCUAACUUCUGCUCUUCAUUUUUAUGGGCAUAUUGUGUUGUACUUGCAUCCGAAAAUCAUAUUUUAGUUUACUUACACUCAACGCUUGGAUUAAAGUUUUAGGGGGGGCAUUGAAGAAGACUAAAAUGACACAAAAAAAGAGUUGAGCGAGUGCGGGUUUUGUCUUCAUUUAAGGAGCUCUUUGUAAAUUUUAGGAUUUUUUUCCUAAGAAAAUUUAUGCCAACUCAUUCUUUGCUUCUUUUCUGAACGGACAGAUGCAACCGAAAGUAUAUUCUUGAAUUCUUUAGGAUGAGAGACAUACGUUUAGAUUCAUCGAGCCUUUAAAACAAUAUCAAAUUUUAGAUUGCUGAAAUUUUAUAUAUCUGAGUAUGAUGGUGUUCCAAUUAUAAGCUCCAGGGUGCAACUUCACUAAGGUUUAGAAUACCUUCCUAUAGAAUUGAGAAAUCUCCAUUGGCAUAAAUAUCCUUUGAAAAUAUUGCCAUCAGAUGUUGAAUUGGAGAACCUGAUUGAACUCAGCUUGCCUUGUAGUAAGGUUAAGCAAAUUUGGAAAAGAGAAAAGGUAUAAUGUAUUACUAUUACCAAAGUAUCUAUUUUUCUUUCUUUAAGUAUUUAUAAUGAAUAACUUUGAAAUUGAAUGAUGCUCAUUUAGUAUAGUUGUGUAUCUUUGGUUAUAGGAAGCUGUCAAGUUAAAAUCUAUAGAUCUUCACCACCCUCUGUAUCUCAAUAGGAUCCCAAAAAUACUAAAUCUUAAAAAAAUAAAUCUUUCAAAAUGUGAAAGCAUGCUUACGUUACCCGCGUAUAUCCACAAUUUCAACUAGCUCAGUAUGUUGUGUUUCAUGGGAUGCAAAAUUCAUUUUGUUUCUCAUGAAAGGAUUGACUUGUUCGGAUGUAUUAGGGUUAAUAAACCAACUAAUCCCAUAAUUUGUUGAUGUCGGGUCCUAACAAAUUACUGCAGUAUAUUGUAGAUCAAUACACUAUUUGAAAACGUAUUUGAUCCACACAGUGAAUGUUUGAGGGUGCAUUUCUCGCGAACCAGCCAUACCCUAAACGAGGAGCCGGUCUCCUUGUAAUUGAGCAGGCAGGUGAAGUCUGGUAGCAAAUAUCCAAGAGCAGGAAUUCUAUGCUCAAUCACAAGGACAUCCUCUUUUGGACUAUAAUUCGAACAAGGUUCCUGCUAGGAGCCGAGAGCCUUUCCUGCUGGAGAGCGGGGUCGGCAGGCCUAGUCUAUAACGGUUAGCGAGACGUGCACUCCUAUUCGAGAAUCUAGGCACGAAACCAACUCAGCUGCAACUACGACAUUCAGGCAUCCACUUCCGUAAGCUGAGGGAGGUGAUGGACGUGGAUCGUAGGGCGUCGGAUUUGUAAGACGGCUAUAAAACGGUAAUCAACGAAGGUAAAGGGGUUAGACACUUUUACACUAGAACUUAAGAAAUAAGACCAUUUACUAAAAAAGGAGAGAAACACUCAUAGGUGUUCCACUGCCUAAGAGAUCAUGAGAGAGCCACGAGAUCAGUGGCCGAGUUUCCCAAAAAGUAAACCUAAAUUUCUGACUUGAGCGUAGGAGGAUUUUUCCGGCGUGCUCUGACAAGUUUUUGUGUGCGCAUGAGUCUGCUAAGUCAUACAAGGCAUAGCUUUGCUCGGUUAGAAGAGUUACGUGAAGUAUCCUAGGUUGGUCGUGAGUUCGGGAGUUAAGGAGAGAUCCUGGUUGCAGACGAGCAGACACCAGAAUCUCGCAUCAACAGUGAAGAUGAUUCAAUAUUAAGCAUGUCAUAUAAUCUAGAAGUGGAUAUUGGACCAAUUUGAUGAUAAUGAAUUUCUUUCAAUCUCAAUCUUUUUCUUUUUAGCAACAUGACUAGUAAUUGUGCAAAUUUAAACUCUGAGAAUGAUUUCUCAAUCGGUUUCUAAAAUGAUGACCAUGCAUGUAUACGUGUGUGUGUGUAGAGAGAGAGAGAGAGAGAUCACACGUGUGUGAUUUCCUUUUGCCAAUAGGAUAUGCAGAGAGCUUGAUCUUACCCAAUAGCGAAACAAACUUCCUAAUAAGUGAAGGUAUAGUAUAAAUACUUAUACUUUCAUGUUAUUUUGUUCAUCGGUAGCUUGAUUAUUUUAUAUGCGUCUUCGAUUUUAAUUUUCUUUCCCUAUAAUCGCUAUUAUCUUUGAACUGGUCAUGAUUUGCCUAUUAGAUUUCUCAUGUUGUUUUGAGGUGCAAUGGAUUUUGAAUUUAGUGACGAGCAGUGGAAGCCAGAAGGCAAAUUAUGAAAAUGGAUAAAGAUCUAUAAUUAGCUGUUAUGGGAUGUCACAUAUCAUAUUGAUGGUAACAUUAUAUAUAUGUACAUAUAAUUAAUGGGGUUGGCUCACGAGCCCAUUAAUAAUCGUAUAUUAGCUUAUAUACUUCAAACAAUGUACUAUGAAGUAAUUUCACAAAUACUUGUUAGCUUAUGUGGAGCUUUAUUGAAUCAGUAGUUCACAGUUCAAUAAAAUGCAGGUUUGCUAUUUGAAGUACAUGGUCAUGGUGCGUACAUUCUUCAUAAGGCUAACUACUAAUUUAUCAUUGAAACUUGAAAAAUGUGAUAGAGAGAUGUAGAUAACAGCCGCAAAACACUGAGAUUGAAAAUCAGGGCUACUAAAUUCUAUUAAAAGCCCUUAAAAUAGACAGCGAUCAUCCUAAAAUAUUAAUUGCAAAGUUAUGCACUAAUAGAACUAUUGACUACUUAUCUUUAGCAGAAGGUAUAUUUUUAACUACAGCUUUCUGCUUUGUUCUAAGAACUAGGCAAAAGUGGUAUAUCUUCAAUCCAAUCAACAUAUAUACCACUUAUUUUCCCCUUCACUUCUGUCCAUUUUGAUUUGCACUUCAUAUCCUGCACUUGCUGCUUAGAAAUAGUCUUAGUCUGGACAUUGAAAGUAGAAAAAGUACUUGAAACAAUCAUUGGCACAGCCCGAGAUUCCAUUGAAUCGUGGACUCCAAGCUUUCAUAGUUCUAUAAAGAAAAUGACAAAACAUCAUACAACUGGCAUUCGGCUUUUAACAUUUGCACAACCUGAGCGCGUUAGCAAGCCCCUUAUUGCGUUCCCAUUGAAUAGACCUACUUCUGUUAUCCACAGAAGAUCCACCUCUCAAAAUGUUUAUCACCAGGCUAUUCUUAAACUGAGCCUAAACUGAGUAGAAACUUCCGCACAUCUCUCAGCAUUUACAUGAAGAAAGCGACAACUAUCCUCAUCUCUCAGCACAUCUCUCAGCAUUCUACAAAGUUGCAUUUCACUAAGCAAUCUAUCCUCUCCAUUCCUAGCAAAGUGACAUUGAUUCCCGUAUUUGUAAUCGCCUAACUUGGGUUUUGGGCAUAGCGUGGUCUUAAAAUUACCACCCAAUACUUUGUUCAGUGCCACUGGCAUCCACAAGCUCUAGCCUUGUUAGCUGAAUCAUAUUCAAUAGGACAGUGAGACAGCAUUUCACUGACAUAUUCAAUUUGACUACUUAUAUUGACGCAAAUAUUAGAAUUUGAAAUCACUUCUUUUAUUGGAAUAUUAUAUUAAAAUGACCCCAAAUGAAAGUUCUUGAAUGGAAAUGAUUUUUAUUUAAUUUUCCAACAGAUUCAAGAAAACCCAGAGAACAUUAAUUUACACAGUAAUAUGAUUAAGAGCUGAGAACGUACAUGUAGUAAAUGUCUAUCAAAAAACACCCAAGGGUUUCUUUAAAAUUAGAAACUAGUAAACAAAAAGAAAGAAUCAUUUUACAUUUUUAUCAACUUUGGGGUGAGUGAGGAGUGAGAAAUUGAAACCCUAAAGUAAUGACAACAGUAAGAUUCAGUAUGAAGUGAAACCCCAAUUUGAAAUGUAGGCAUGAGUUGCUGAGUCAGUAGAUGAAGCUGUAAAUAGGCAUUCGGUUUCCUUCUUUUCGGUUUGGAGGGCCAUGGAAUAGUGUAUUGGAGUGGGCUCCAAGUAAUAGCCUCUAUCACUGGAAUGACACAUCUAUAAAAUGUGAUACAUGGGGAAGGAUUGGACAUUAUAUUCUUAGAUUAGCGCCUUAUUUAGGGUGUAUAUUAAGCAGAUUAUAUAUUACAUGGAGAUGGAGUUUAUGAAAUAGAUUAAAAAGAAAAGGAAAUUUUGGUGCCUAAAGUUUGCCACUUGGAAUAUUUCGGUGUCUAAAAAUUCACUCACCACUUAUUUCAUGUUUGAUUAUAUGUUGAAAAGAUAUUAAAAUAGUAUAAUGCUAUUAAGGCUUAACGUAUAUUUUUUAUUAGUAGAGUGUAGAAUUUUUAAGAAAUAAAUUAUUAAAUUAUUAUAACUAACAUAUUAUUUUAAAGUUGUGUUAUGAAAAAAAUGAAAUAAAAAUGUACAGUAAAUAAGAAUAUUUUAAAACUUUUAUCUUUUUAAAAUUAUUUUUUAACAUAAGGUGAACUAUUUUUUUUUUAAAUCACAUAUUCUAGUUAAAAUCAAAUAUGUAUUUAUAUGAAGCUUGUAAAUUUUUUUUUUAGUACUGAUAUUUGGAUAUUACCAAUAAAAAAAAAGGUAAUGUGCAUGCUGAAUUAUUUUUGUAGCACACAAAAGGACAACACCGUUUAUGUUAUCAUACUAUCACUUCUGUUAUGAUAAUAUUUUUUUGUGGCCAAAUAUCUUCUUUUUUUUUUUAAGUAAAAGUGUGGACAAAAUGCAAAUCAGUUUUUAAUCCUCAAUCUCUCCCAAAAUAUAAAUUCGUAGGUACAUGGGUUGUUAAAACUAUAGCUGACAAAAAGUUACUAACAAAAACAGAAUGUCCAUUUUAUAACUUUCUUAAAAAACUUUCCUUAACUUUUUUAAAAAGUUACCAAUAAAAAGUUAUUUCUAAUUUUUAUUUUGUUAUAAUUUUUAUAACAAAAUUCGUAGUUCGUAGUUAACUAAACUCUUCUUAUUCCCUUUCUCAACUGCCAUACCCUAACCUUGUUCCCCACACUAAACCACGCUCAAUUAAGGCCAUCAGAUUCUCCCGGGCCCACAUUAAUCCAACUGCUCACAGAGACCGACAGCCUCUCUAUCUCCAUUUCAAGCUCCCUCUUCAACUGGCUUCUGCUACCGUCCUACUCUUUCUCGGCUUCGGAGUCCGUAUUUGCUCGGCCUGUCCCACGAAGCUCCCUCUCACUCCAAUUGUCGCCCCACAAGACCAAUUGCUUAAUCAAGACACCGAACAAGAAAAGGAUGAGAAGUUGAAACAAGAAUUUGAGAAUUGGAAAUAAAAAACGUACGCAUUGACCGUGCCUUUGAGAGUCGUUUCUCUUCAGAACUCAGUGCCUCAAUCUUGGGUUAAGGAUUUUAUGCGAAGUCAGGGAAAGAGAUUGAAGUUUCAGAUGAAUUUGUGUGCUAGCAUUGAUGGGAUCUUUAACAAUUUAUCUGUGCCCUUUAACAAAGUUAAGGCUAAGUCAGCUUCUUAUAUGGCUGCUGAUUUGGUUAGUGUUGGUGAUUCAUGGCUUAGUUUUGCCAUUAAAAAGAGAUUGAUUGAGCCAAUGGCUGGAGCUGAAGACCAAGAUUGGUUCAAAUGCUUAAGUCACAAAUGGAAGGUAACAUCUUUGUCUUUGAUCCUCGAGGUAAAAUAUGGGCGGCACCGUACAGGUGGGGCACAACGGUGAUAGCCUACAAGAAAAGUAAAUUUCGAAAGCAUAAUUUGGCUCCGAUUGAGGUAAUAAUUUUCUUUAAACUCAUUUAGUUUUAUAUCAAACAAAAUCAAGACUGCCUUUCUUUUCAAUAUUUUUUAUGAUAAUAUCUUUAGAAGCAUCUCAUUGACGGGUAACAAUGGCAUCCCUGAAAGAGUCUAUAAACUCAAUGAUAUUAUCUUCUACAAAUGGUUCAUUAAACUUUGUCGUUGUACUCAAAUGUACACUCAGAUCAAUGAGAAGCUAUGCUACGUUAGCAUGUAGUGAUGGCACUUAAUAAGUGAGUUGCUAGGAUGUGAACUAGAAAAAUUAAAUAUUGUCUCCUUGGGUAUGCUAGCUGGUAAGUCAGGGUUAAUAUCAGAGCUUAAGAUAGUAUAACCGUGAGAACCUAUUGACUGCCAAUUAAAAUAUCCAUUGAAAUGUCUAGGGAGUUAUGAAGGUGGAGGUAACUUCCAAUUUCUAAGGCCACAGAGUAGACAUCAUCCAGGAUCCUAAAAUAUCCAGUUAACCUCCUGCUCGAUGCGAUUAAUAAAUUUGGUCAAUGCCACUGAAACCUGCUAACUGACGUCACAAUGCGACAUGAGCACUUCAAAAUGGGACAGAUGGUCAGUAGCACUAAAUUUUUCUUGCCUAAGAUUGAGCAAUUGGUCUAACUACUAAUCCCUAUUGUAGGUUGAUCAUUAUUUUUUCAAUUAUGUUCAGUUUGACCCAAAAAGUUGCAGAAUCUUGAGCUGAAUAUUGUCACUGAACACUGUCAAUGUUGUUUAGCAUAGCCAACUAACUUGAUGUUAAAACAAACACACAGUGUGUCUCAUGUCUCACAAUUCAAAUUAUCAUCUGUAAUGAUGGAGAAUUUUUCCAAUGUAUGAAGUAUGCUUUGAUACGUGGGUUACCUUGGAGAAGAUAUCUCAAAAUAAAGAAUAUGGGGAGAAAACAGUUCAGUAGUUUAUUAUUCUGUAGUCAAGUUUUGUCUCGAAAAUGGUCAAAAUUUAAAUGAAUAAGGACAGGGAAUCUUCAUUCUUUUUUCCCUUUUUUAUACCAAGAUAUCUCUCAACCUUUAUAUAAUCCCCACUGGAUAUCUGCUUCUAAUAAUUAAAAUAAAAAUUUCACCGCUCUAACAAUAAAAAGUAACAUCUUUAAUCAAAUAAUUUACAGUUCCUCAUCACCUUAGUGUGAGACUAUCAGUACAUUCCAAAAACUUAAUAAAACUGGUUUGAUCCUGUUUAUUGAUGUUUAAAUGUUGUUCAUUGUGACAUGUAGAAAUGAUGAGGCGAAGUUUAUUUGGACAUCAAUUAGUAAGAUCUUGUUUGAAGUUGUUUUCUGAAAUGAACUGCCCAAUGGUAGUUUUUUGGGGGCAUUUGAUGGCUCUUUUUUUCCUCAUUUUCAACAUGUGCCUGCUUGGAACAGGAAGGAUUAGGCUGCAGAGUUGUUAUAUAUUUUUAGAUGCUCUGGUCAUUGCACAAUUUGUUCACACUGGAAAUUAGAAUGAGAAAUUUGUUGAUGCUGUUUUGAGAGAUCUGCAUUCUAUGCACAAUAACGUGAUUAAUGAAAAUGCAUUGUAGGACUGGAAAGAUCUGUGGCAGCCUGAGCUCGCAGGAAGAAUUUCAAUGGUUAAUUCUCCCCGAGAGGUUAUUGGUUCAGCUUUGAAGAAUAGGGGAGCAUCAUACAAUUCAAACGAUAUUGAUUUGCAAGUUGCUGGUGGGAAGAUUGCUGUUCAGCAGAAUCUGGCAUUACUGGCAAACCAAGUACUCUUACAGAAAUGAUAUCUGGUCAUUGCAUGUUAUUGCCUGACAACUGAUUUUGUUUGUACAAGUCUGCUUCUUCAUACAUAUGAAUGCAUAUGUUAGUGUUUUCUUCUCCUUUUCAUACAUAUAAAUGCAUAUGUUAGUGUUGUCUUUUCCUUUUCAUACAUAUUAAUACAUAUGUUGGUGUUCUCUCAUGAGAUGGAUGCAAUAGAGGCUUUUGCUCCUAAAUUUAGCUGAAGAAAUGGGAAGGGAUGUGAGAUUCUGUCUCAUUAAAUUAACAAAAACCCAAAACAAUGAAAAUCCAUAAUAAUGUGGUGUGGGUAAAUUGGCUCCAUUUGGUUCGUUUCCUUAAUGUGACUGCGCGAGCAAUAGAGACUAACAAAAUGAAGUGACAACAAGAAGUCAGUGUCCUUUGAUGGAUGCAUUUUUAGGCAGAAAUAGGUUUGUAAUUGACCAAAUUUGCCUGGCAUGCCAAUUUCAAAAAAAUUAAAUUAUGUGGUUAUUGGCUGUAAUGAAGGGGGAUAGUCGGUGCAAUCAGGUGGAUCCUGGAAAGUUCAACAAAGUUUGGUAUGGCGUAGUGAAAUUGGUUUGUGCAACUCAGGAGUCUUUCAGGUGAACGAUGAUAGGUUUUGAUUUAUGAAUAUUAUAAAUCUACUGUGCAUAUUAUUCUAGCAGAAUCAUCUAUAAGUUCUAGUUAUUGAAAUUGUAUACUUUGCCCGGUUUGAGUUAAGGGCACAUGUAAUAUGAAAGAUAGUUGUCGCAUCUUUUAGGUUACCUAACAUUUGAUCAAUCCUAUUAUGGGGGCUUCAAGAUGUCUAACAAUAUGUAGAAUGCCCAUGCUCCUCCCCAUUGUUUAUCUUAUACAAUAAUUUGUUUUAGAUGCUAAUAUCUUUGUCGAUACUGGUAACAAUAUUACAAUAUCUGCCUUUAUUGGGUUUUACAUAGGUUCGACUGUUUGACAGUACACACUAUCUGAAGGCAUUUGCAAUUGGAGAUGUAUGGGUUGCUGUUGGGUGGAGUAGUGAUGUUCUUCCUGCUGUCAAACGUAUGUCUAAGGUUUUAUGAGAAACGAAAGAUGAGUGUUUGUUUGAACAAAGUUGUUGCCAAUCUUGCAGAGUUCGAAAAGAAAGAUCACGGAGCGAAUGCCACCGAUUUCUUCAUCAUUUUAGCCUCCAUAGUUGAAGUUUCCUCAUUUGAAGCUGUUUAUGCAUACGCUUUUUCCCUGCUCUAGUACAGGAAAUUGAAGAAUUAACCAGAUGUGAUAUGCUGAAAGAGGGAAGUUUUCUUCCUUGAAUGUGGCCUUUGUGAUUUGUCUUGAAGGAAUAGGAUGAUCACUGGCAAAAACCCUAUCAAGGUAGAUUUUAUGAUGUUAACAUAUUAUUAAGCAUUUUGUUACAUCAGCAAUGAUGCUUUCAUAGCAUGAAAGUGUCUAAAUUUAACUGAAUGAUCUUGAUUAAUCAAUUAUGAGUUUUAAUCGAGUAAAAACUAAAUACAAUAAUCGUUGACAAAUACUGAAAUUGGGUAAAUAUGAUCUUGAUAUUGAGAAUCUGAAAACACAACCCACACAGGGAAUCACCCUUCGCGUGGGGAUGGAGAUGUUUACUGCAGCGAUAUUGCAUAUGUCCACUGCUCUUUGGGUUAUGGUGCGACUUGCGAUUUCAAGGUUUCCCUGAAACAAUGAAAAGAUUGACGUACCCUGCAAUGAAUGAAAGCGGCUGGACUAAUUCUGAUUACCUAAUUGACUCAGGAUCGGCUGGCAAUAAUGACAGUUUAUUAACAAUGCACAGUCCCGAGUACUUUCCAGGAUCAGAUAUUACGUGGUCUAAUGUUGAUAAUAAUAGAUUAUCAAAUGACAAAUCGUUGUUCUUGGGUGUUGAUUUCAGAAAUAAAAUACGUUCUGAGAGAUGCUGGUCUACUAUUGCAAGCCCCCAGAUUUAAGAAUCUUUUGAUGAUAAUUUACCACCUGUAACUGUGCCGGAAGAUUCACCUAGCACUGAAAAAGAUGAUAAUUUAAUUGAUAUGGACAGUUUCCAUAUCACUUUUAAAUCAUCUUAUGUAAUUGUGAUGUUAGGAAGCAUUAGUGAUCUACAUGUGAACUAUUAUUGGCGCCAUUUGUGGUUUUAUUUUAUUAAAAUAUGGAUGACUUCCCGUUACUAUUUCGUUGUAGACAAUCUUAUCAAUUAACAUAUAGUUUAAAAUCAUUAUGAUCUAUUAAUUUUCAUGAUAUUUAACUGAGUUAAAACUAAGUGCAUUCAAUAAAUCUUUCUUCCUUUAAAAAACUGUUGCGCUUUAAUUUUAGUGCUUAAUAUUUACAGAACUCUGGUACAGGGAAUUCGAAAUCAAACUAGUAACUACAGAUUAUCUAAUUGCAAGUUUUUGUCCAUAGUUGCAGAUUUGUAGUGAUUAUCUAAUUGACUGAGGUGACAACAAUUUUUUUUUUAAUUUUCAAUAGCAUAAUGUGGAAUUCAAUAAUUAAAUUCUCCUUUUUAAUUUGUUUCCAGUUAAAUUAUUAAUUACUUAAACUUUGUUUUAAGUCUUUAAUUUUAUGUCUUGGCCUAUAUGCAGGGUUGGAUUCUUGAGCGUGUUGGACACGACCAACAAUGAAAUUGACAGUAAACAAACAUUACAACACGUUGAGUGUCGACUCCAGUAGCUGCCCUACAAGUCUACAACUUUACAAACAAUAAUUGAGUACACACAUUUGAUUCUCGGGACCCUCCAAUGAAUUUCUAGCCCCGUUGACUCCGCCGACAAAAGUUUUGGAAAAUAAAAAAAAUUCAUAGAAUUCCACCAAAUACAAAACGCGUGGAAUUUAAUUUUCGGCCAUGUGGACCAAAACACAAUUUAAUGAAAAAAAAGAUAAGAUUUCUAAAAUGUGUAGAAAGUGAUCCAUAUUUUACUGAAACAACUUGUUAAAUUUUUCAAGGAUUUAGAAUAUUUGAUCAUAAAUUACGCCCAUGUUAAUUUUUCCGCUAUUGACUAUCAUUUUCUAGACUCACUGUCACCUUUCUUGAUGAACGGUACUUAGUCUCUCUUCUCCUCUUAUAAAAAUUAUAUUAAUUGAUUUCUUAUUAUAAUAAAUAGUCUUUAAGAACGUAUAGAUUUAUUGUUUUCGUGACCAAAUUAUGCCUGCUUAAGGUUGAGACUAUUAAUAAAAUUAAUAUUUAAUGUUUAUGUUAAAAGAUAUAAGAUUUUAUGCAUUCAUUAAUUGUUAUUAGCUAAAGGAUUAAUUAUUUUUUCAACCCAAUCAGUUGAUGCAUCUGCAAGAGUUUUUUCUUUUAUUUACCAUAAUUAUAUUCCGGGUACAAUAAAUUAUCUUUGGUGCUUGGAAAAUAUGACUUCUUACUUCAAGUUUGAUGUGUCUCUCUCCGUAAGCUUACUGGAAAUAUAUCCUCAUUUACUGUCAUUUAUCUAAUAUCAAAUGAAAGAUCUCACUUUUUCAAACUAUCACUUCCAAGUCUCAUUGUCACUUAGCCAUUCUUGGACCAUUCAAAACCAAUCUGUUGAAAUAAUCAAAUAUAUGCAAAAUUAGAGUCACGAUUGUUGGUCCCCCAAAUUCUAAUUAUAUAACUUCUAUAUAUCUCAUUGUCAGGUCACGAACUUGUUGGCACAUUUCCAAAUUCCUCUUCCAUCAGCUCUCACACGUUAAUUUUUAGGUUAUCUAAAUUUCAAGGAUUUAAAAUCUUUGAUCAUGGAUUACAUGUUUAAUUUUUCUGCCAUUGACUGUCAUAUUCUAGAUUUAAUGGUACCUUUCUUGAUCAAGCGUAAUUACUCUCUCGUCUCCUCUUAUAAAUUCCUCUUCCAUUAGCUGUUAGCCUAUAUGGCUAUAGAUAUUGAUUUUGAUGAUAACAAACCACAUGUGUUGAUUAAACAAAGAUUUAUGAAUUGUGCAUUUAUAAUAAGAAAAUGAUGUUAUGGAAUUAAAGUGUUUUUGGACUAAAGUGAAAGUAUUUUAAAACCUUUGAUAUUAUUUUAAAAUUUCAGAUUUGGACCUAUUUGAAAAUAUUUAAAUAUUUUGGGUCAUUCUAUAUUUUUACAUGGUUUGGGUGAAAUCAUAAUUUCAAUUUGAGUGUGUGAGACACUUGAGUGAAGAGGUUGGGAGAUAAUCUCUUUGUUGUAAGGGUUCAUUGACACAUUGAAGUCAAUUGUAAACGUUUGAAGCCUUAAAAAAACUUGGAUAGUGAAAUCCUCAAGUUUGAAUCGCUUGGAGGCGUGGACGUAAGCGGGGAUUGCCGAACUACGUAAAAAUUCGUGUGUUUGUUUCUCUUCUCUCUUGCUCAAUUGUUAUUGUGCUUUUAUUGAACUUAUUACUUUUGAAUUUAUUAAUGCAUUAAAUUGGAUUGUUAUGUGGCUUUGUUAGGAUAUUUUUUAAAAUACCAAUUCACCCCCCUCUUAGGUUGCACACUUGUAUUUCAUUAGCAUUACUAGGAAUUUGUUGAUCUCUAAGAUGCUAACUUGAGUGAAGAGUUUCCAAAUUGAUUGUUACAAAACAACAAAAAAACUAGACACACUUGAUCUGUCUAAUAAUUCUCUUUCGGUAAAAUUAAUUAAUUUUAGGGGAAUUUUCGGCCAACCUCUGUAAUUUCAAAGUGAUCAUUAAUUAAUUAAACGAUACAAAUAUCUAAAGUGAUUAGAUGUUUGCUGACAAUACAAGUUCAUGGCUUGAAAUUUGAUCUCUAUCGAUUGGUUUACAAAUGGACGCACUUGUGCCUUUGUGGCGAUAAUUAAACAGAGAUGUGAAGUUGUAAAGAUUUGACAAGUUCCCAUGAUUAGUAUUUUUUUUCAAAAACUUUUUUACAACAAAUUCAUCUCGCCCAAAAAUUAUAUUUUGCUAUCUAACAAUAAUUGAGCACUUGGCCGCAUUGACUCCACGUCUCCACCUACUUUCUAAGUAAAAACAUGGAAAUGUAAUCUCCACAAAAUGUCAAACGUGUGGAAUUUAAUUUUUGGCCUUGUGAACCAAAAUGCAAAUGAAAGAAAAAGAGAGAAAAAAACAAGGCCCAAAGACUACGAAAAGAUAUAAAAGUCUUUGGGCCUUUUUAUAACGGUGGAUUUUUUAAAAGGAAAAAAUAACAACACUUCUAUGGUUUGUUUUGAUAAUCACAUUUACAUAUACUCUCUAAUUUUUAAAAUGGACACAUAAAUCUUUUUUUUUUUUUUCUACAAACGUAUAUUAUUCGUAUUUUUUAUUAUUUUUAAUAUCAUAUUGUUAUUUUUUUUAGAAGAUAUUGUUAUUUAUUAUAAAUGUUUAAAGUAAAUUUUUAGGUUGAAAUAUAAUAAAAAGGUAUAAUCGUUCUCUUAUUAAACACCCAUACUUUUAAUUUCUAUCCAUUUGUCAUCUCAAUCUCUCUCAAUUAUUCUUUAUUGCUAGCUCAAAACGCGUUGCUGUUGCAAAUUAUAGCAAAAAGACAAAUAUGGAAAAGAAAAAAGGGAAGAAAAUUAAUGCAUGAAAGAUUUGGAGAAAACAACGAAGUAAGUCAACUAUAAUCUAGUUGGGUGUGUAAAUUGUUUGAUGCUUUAUAAGCAAAUAACAUAUAGAGACAGACAAUGUGUGUUCGUUUUUUCAUAGUUAAAGAUAUAGUUAGAAUGGGUGGUUCAAAAUCAAAAAUGGUGAUAAUGUUUGUUAUGUUAUUAAUAAUAUUUAAAAGUGGGUGGAGUGAGGGAUGUUUGGAUCACGAGAGAUUUGCUCUUUUGCGACUUAAACAUUUCUUCGAUGAUACUAGUAGUUAUCUUUACGAUUGGGGAGAUGGUGAGGGAGCUACUGAUUGUUGUCAGUGGAAAAGGGUUGAGUGCAGCAACACCACAGGUCGAGUGAUAGUGCUAGACCUUUCUAGCAUGUAUUGGGGAGAGUACAGCUGGUAUCUGAAUGCUUCUUUGUUUACUCCCUUCCAACAACUUGAGUCACUUGAUUUAACUGACAACAAAAUAGCCGGUUGUGUUGAGAAUGAAGGUGCUUCGUUUAAUUUAAUUAAUUUACUUUCUCCACCCUAAUUUAAGUUGAAUAUCAAGACCGAGCAAUUAUACACAUAUUCAUUUAGUCGACAAUUUUGACUUUUUUUUAAAUGAUUAAUUUUGAAAUUACACCAAUAUCUAUGAUCCUUUUUUUUUAUUUUACUUGCAGGUAUAGAGAGGCUAUCAAGAUUGAACAACUUGAAGAUGCUUAAUUUAAGUGAUAACUCGUUCAACAAUAGCAUUUUAUCAUCUCUAACUCAUCUUUCAUCAUUAAGAUCAUUAAAUUUAUUUUGGAAUAGAUUGGAAGGAAGUAUUGACGUUAAAGGUACAUAAUUAAAACUUCAUCCCUUCUCCAAGCUCUUUCAUUAACUUGCUAAAAUAAGAUUCAAGGCUUUGAAUUCAAAUUUUUUUAUGAUUAGUAUUAAAAAAAAACAGUUUUAAGCAAUUUAUAAAUACAAGUUUUAAUGUUUCUCAUAAUUUCAUCUUGUACUUUCAUAUGUCUUGAAUUUAAGAUUAAAAAAAAAAAACUCUAAUAGCGAACCAAACACCUCCACAACUAAUUAUUAUUAUUAUUAUCAUUUUUUUUUUAUUUGUGGUGAGGUUUGAAACAUUCAACUCAAUUUGUACUUAUUACAGAAUUUGAUUCUUUGAGAGAUUUAGAGGAGCUAGACAUUGGCGAGAACAAGAUUGACAAAUUUGUGGUCUCAAAAGGUACUAGAACGACUGCAAAAAAUGUAAACUUCUACAAAUUAGCUAGAUUCUUUGCCAUUUGGUUUAUUAUUUUGCAGGUUUGAGGAAGUUGAGGUAUCUCAGUUUAAGUGGUAUCAAACUCAAUCAUAGCAUAUUAUCUUCUCUGACUGUCUUUUCUUCGUUAAGAGAAUUAUAUCUAGAUGAUACGGGAUUCAAAGGAACAUUAGAUAUUCGAGGUAAGUCUAAGCCCUGCUUUCUCAUUUUAUAUAUGCCAGCUAGACUUGUGUAUCAUCGACAUAAUUUAAUAUUUAAUUUGAUUAGUCUGAAGGAAUUACAUGCUAAUUUAAACAUACUUUUAUUUACUCUGUCAAUCAAUUAAUUAAUUAAUUACUAUUUGGCUUGGUUUGGAUGAAUUCUCAUGAUGUUUUAAUUUCUUUAAAUUAAUUAAUUAAUUAACUCUGUUUUUAAGUCUUAAGUCUGGGCAUGUUUGCAGAAUUUGAUUCCUUCAACAACUUAGAAGUGUUGGACAUGAGUUACAACAAAAUCGACAAUCUUGUGGUUCCUCAAGGUAAACAAUUAAAAUAUUAUUCAAUUACAUUAAUAUAAUUCAUUUGGUUAGGGAAGGCCCAAAAGGUACAAAAAAAAUUAAAUAAAGAAACAGAGAAUUUGUAUUAUUUAAAAAACAGAAUGUAAUAAAGAUUUGAUUCUAGUUCUUUAAUCUUUAAAGCGAUUGAAAAAUAAUGUUGCUCUUUUCCCAAAGCAUAAAAUACGAAUUGAAUGCCAAUUAACUUAAUCAUUCAUUUCGUUUAGCUCUAAAUUUAGACAAUGAAUUUUUAUAUUAUUUCAAAAACAGGACGUAAUAGAAUUUAAAAAAAAAACAGAUUGUAAUAAAGAUUUGAUUCUAAUUUUUUAAUCUUUACUGCGAUUGAAAAAUGAUACAGCUCUUUUCCCAAAGCAUAAAAUACGAAUUGACUCCCAAUUAAAUUAAUCAUUUAUUCCAUUCAUCUCUUAAUUUAAAUAAUGAAUUUUGUUUUCUUAAAUCGUAUUCUAAUUACUAUUAAAAAACAGGUUACAGAGGUUUGAGGAAGUUGAAAAGCCUUUAUCUAUUGAGAGUUAGAAUUAGAGAUGGAAGCAAGUUGUUACAGUCAAUUGGAUCAUUCCCAUCCCUCAACACUCUUUACCUUUCGUCUAAUAAUUUGACGGAAACAGUGACAACUACUACUCAAGGUAAUUAAAAGGUACAAAUGUCGCCAAAUUUAUAAAUAAAUUGUUAAUUAAUUAAUUUUUCCGUAUUAUUAAUAAAGCUAAAUUCGUUGCUCCUUCCUUCUAAAUCUAAACAGAGUUGCACAAUUUCACCAACUUGGAAUAUUUGACAUUGGACGAUUCCUCUCUCCAUAUAAGCCUUCUGCAAAGCAUUGCAUCAAUAUUCCCUUCGUUAAAAAAUUUGUCGAUGAUUGGUUGUGAAGUCAAUGGCGUCCUACGUGGUCAAGGUAAAAGAAAAGUGUUAAUUGUGAACUCGCACAAUGGUGUCCUACGUGUUCAACAUUUUUAUUUAUUUAUUUUAUUGUUUAAUGUUUCUGCUAGGUUUUCCUCAUUUCAAGAGUUUGGAAUAUUUGAAUAUGGAUUUCACGCGCAUUGCACUCAACACCAACUUUCUUCAAAUCAUCAGUGAAUCGAUGCCUUCUCUUAAGUACUUAUCACUGUCAGAUUCUACUCUUGGCACUAACAGCAGCAGGAUUCUUGAUCGAGGUUAAUCAGAUGCUCCCACCCUCCCUUCUUAAUCUAUAAUAUUAAUUUUCAAUUCAAUAUUUAAUUACACAAACGAAUCACUUAUUAUAAAAGAAUAAUACGCAUUCAUUAAUUUUUAUGCUGUAUUAAUUGAUGAAUUUAAUAAAUUUUCAGGCCUCUGUUCGUUGGUGCAUCUGCAAGAGUUGCGCAUGGCUGAUAAUGAUUUAAGAGGUAGCUUGCCUUGGUGCUUGGCAAAUAUGACAUCCCUCCGAAUAUUAGAUGUUUCUUUCAAUCAACUUACUGGAAGCAUCUCCUCAUCUCCCCUCGUUCAUUUGACAUCCAUUGAAGAGCUGAGGCUUUCAGACAAUCAUUUUCGGAUCCCAAUUUCACUUGAACCACUUUUCAAUCACUCAAGACUCAAGAUUUUCCAUGCUAAAAAUAACCAAAUGAAUGCAGAAAUAACUGAGUCACAUUCUUUGACCGCCCCAAACUUCCAAUUACAAUCUCUCUCAUUGUCUUCCAGUUAUGGAGAUGGUGUCACAUUCCCCAAAUUCCUUUACCAUCAACAUGACCUGGAGUAUGUUCGUCUCUCACAUAUAAAGAUGAAUGGAGAAUUUCCAAAUUGGUUGUUGGAAAACAACACAAAAUUAGCAACUCUUUUUUUGGUUAAUGAUUCUCUUGCAGGACCUUUUUGGUUGCCAAUUCAUUCACACAAGCGGUUAGGAAUAUUGGAUAUAUCCAACAACAACAUCCGAGGCCACAUUCCAGUAGAAAUUGGAGAUGUUUUACCAAGUUUAUACGUUUUCAACAUUUCCAUGAAUGCUUUAGAUGGUAGCAUUCCCUCUUCAUUUGGUAAUAUGAAAUUCCUCCAAUUGCUGGACUUAUCCAACAAUCAAUUGACUGGUGAAAUCCCCGAGCACUUGGCCGUCGGUUGCGUCAACUUGCAGUUUCUCAUGUUAUCAAACAACAGCCUAAAAGGUCACAUGUUCUCUUGAAAUUUUAACCUGGCCAAUUUGAUGUGGUUACAAUUGGAGGGCAAUCACUUCGUAGGAGAGAUCCCACAAAGUUUGUCUAAAUGCUCCUCCUUAGAAGGAUUGUAUCUUACCAAUAAUAGUCUCUCGGGUAACAUUCCAGGAUGGUUGGGUAAUCUCACAUGGUUAAUACAUAUUAUAAUGCCCGAGAAUCAUCUUGAAGGUCCUAUUCCAGUGGAGUUUUGUCAACUUUAUUCGCUUCAGAUUUUGGACAUUUCAGACAACAACAUAUCUGGAAGUUUGCCAUCCUGUUUCCAUCCUCUCUCUAUCGAACAAGUUCAUCUUUCAAAAAAUAUGUUACAUAGACAGCUAAAAAGAGGUACAUUCUUUAAUUGCUCUUCCCUUGUGACAUUAGAUCUUAGUUAUAACCUCUUGAAUGGCAGCAUUCCGGAUUGGAUUGGUGAGCUUUCUCAGUUAAGCCACCUUAUCUUAGGUCACAAUAAUCUUGAAGGUGAAGUGCCAGUUCAAUUGUGCGAAUUGAACCAACUACAAUUGUUAGAUCUUUCUAAUAAUAGUCUUCACGGUUCUAUUCCUCCAUGCUUUGAUAACACAACACUUUAUGAAAGUUACAACAACAGUUCUAGUCUUGAUGAGAAAUUUGAAAUAUCUUUUUUCAUCGAAGGCCCUCAGGGAGAUGUAGAAAAGUGAAUCCGUGAAAAAUUUGAGUUCACAACAAAGAAUAUUGCGUACAUUUACCAAGGAAAAGUGCUUAGCCUCCUAUCAGGACUUUAUCUUUCUUGCAAUAAGCUAAUCGGUCAUAUUCCUCCUCAAAUUGGAAAUUUGACAAGGAUUCAAACAUUGAAUCUAUCAUAUAACAACUUGACAGGAUUGAUCCCAUCAACAUUUUCAAACUUGAAGCAUAUCGAAAGUUUGGAUCUUUCCUACAAUAAAUUAAAUGGGAAAAUCCCUCAUCAACUUGUGGAGUUAAAGACAUUGGAGGUUUUUAGUGUGGCAUACAAUAACUUAUCGGGCGAAAUUCUAGAAUGGACUGCACAAUUUGCAACAUUUAACAAGAGUAGCUAUGAGGGAAAUACUUUUCUUUGUGGAUUGCCAUUGCCCAUUUGCAGAUCACCAGCAACUAUGUCGGAGGCUUCAAUUGGCAAUGAACGAGAUGAUAAUUUAAUUGACAUGGAUAGUUUCUUUAUCACAUUUACAACAUCGUACGUAAUUGUGAUAUUCGCAAUUGUUAUUAUUUUAUAUGUAAAUUCUUAUUGGCGACGUAGAUGGUUUUACUUUGUUGAAAUGUGGAUAACUACAUGUUACUAUUUUGUUGUAGACAAUCUUAUUCCAACAAGAUUUUGUCAUUGAAAUUAUUUAGUAGUUUAAUUACGAUUCUUUAAGUACUAAUCAAGUUUGUAUAGGAAAUAAUUUUUUAUUAAAAUUGUAGUAGUAUUUAGCAUUAUAUAGCUUCCAACUUCCAAGCACUUCACAUUUGUCUCUACACUUACAAAACUGAGUGAUCAUGUUUUGCAGAUCUGGAUUUGGAGCAGGAUGGAUCCAAACCCAUAUCUGUCCACCAUAACUUAUAGCUUCCCUAUACUGUGCAGCAUACUUAAAUAAGAGAACCAUCUCCAAUGUUAAAAGCAUUCACUCUAUAACAUUCAUUUAGAAACUAUAUUCAGAAUAAUUUUAUAAUUAAACACAAGAAAUGAAACACCUAGAUACACUUGAUCGCCUAUUUUACUCUAAAAAAUAACGAUUAUGGUGCUAUCAUCAUCUUCUUCACUAGCAACAUUAACACCAAAUCGAUGGACCCAUACAUUUCAUCAAGAAAGGUAUAUAUCCAAUAAAGUUGAAGCCUAACAAAAAAAUCAGGAAGAUUAAUGCCUCACCACAACAAGGGGCAUAACAACAUCAAAGUAGAGAUUAAACAGUAUUCUCAAAGCUAAAACUCUCAAAUCCACCCACCAGAAUUUCAUAUCUCCUCAACAAUUUUAAGAACUAAAGAUAAUUAGGAUUUAACAUUAGUUUUUUAUAUAUUAGUUUCAUAAUUUACAAAUCAAUGAAGAUGAAGAUUAUGCGAAUAAAUUCAAAUUAUACCAUACAUUCUCUAGAUGUUACCAAAAAUUUCUAAGUCAAUCCCACAUAUUUCAUAAUUUUAAGACUAGAAAAUUCACUAGUUAGAAGUUUCAUUACCUUCAAGUGGAAGAUGAAGAACAUUAUGCAAGUGAUUCAGAUUAUAUCAUACAUACUCCAAAUGCAACUAGAAAUUAACAAGUUCAUGUGCACAUAUUUCAUAACAUUAUGAUUGAAAAGUUUCACAAAGAGAAAUUCUAAAUUCAAUCUCUUGCAUGAAGGCAGUUUGAUUGAUUUGAGUUACUUUAUGAUCAAGCUACUAAUAUAACAUUCAAGUCAGGGAGAAAGUAAAUUAAAAAUGGGAAGAAAUAACAGUAAAAAUUUGUUGCUAAACAUGAUGUGUAUUUUUUUCAAGGCAAUUUGGAAACACAAUUGUUACUACAGAUAUUCUCCUCAACUUAGAGAUAAAUACAAAUAUUAAAAUGCACAUGAUCGCACAUAUUACUUGGAGCUUAGUAAGAUUUCAUUAAAAGAAGCAAUCAAACCACUUAUCAAUUGUCGCAGUCAUUCUAUAAACUAAAAUAGCAAAUAUAAUAUAAGAAAAAGAACAUAUAGAUACUUGGCAAGAGUUCAUUAAGAAGUCACAUCACAUUCGGGUGAGGAGUUUGCUUCUGAUAUCUUGCUAGCUGGGGCUUUUUCUCGUCUUUCUAUGUAUGCCGAGGGAAACCAACCAGCUUGGCCCUUGCAUUCACCUUCCAACCAUCCAGUACGAGCCACCUUGAGAAGUUAUAACUAAAACGGUGAAUUAAACAAAAGUUGACCGUUCAAAGACCUAAGGGGAAAACUAAUUCUUUUAUGUAGAAUGAGUGAACUAGUUGUGAUCACUGGAAUAACAACAUAACUAUGGAAGCAUAACAAGAUAUAAAUUCACAUGUCUAUAAGGGUAAACUGGGUGGUUUAGAACUGAGCUAGCAACCCUACUAGAUUAUGAUUUGCAUUUCAAUGUAAAAGGGAAUAUAUGGUAGGAAGAAAGAAAACCAACCAUCAUUUGUUAACUCAUUGCUUUUCAAUCAAAAUUUUAAGAACAAAAUGCCAUGUGCUUUGAAUAUCAAAUAAGUAUAAGCAUUAUUUCUAAAUUCCACAUAUCAUAAGUUGUUAGAAGGAUAAGUUAAUAGCAUAGUAGAAAAAUCUAUGUGUCAGUAUUUAGAGGGGAAAGUACCUGGCGAACCACAACAUAAUCAUCAAUUAAAAGACUUAGCUCUCCAUUUGCUUGAGCAUCAAAUGGAUGUAUAACCUGCAAGAUAAUGGGAUAAAUAGAACUUAAAAAAAGCAUAACAAAAGCAGCAACAGUAGCAGCAGCGUUCAUUGUAACCACUAUGAUCAUGGCCAACAAAGAUAUAUUAGAAACAAAAUUCCAUUUUUACUACGACAUUAAUAUGUACUAUACGAUAUCAUGACGAUUGGGUUACUAAGAGCUAUCAAAGUCUAAUAAGUUAUGUAUAACUUUUGUAGUUAUUUAAAUUAUGGAUCAGAUUUUAAAUUUGAAAUUUUGACUGCUCUCCACAAAACAUGGCCUGUGCACAAAAAAGUCAUAGAUAAUGAGGAUUACAAGUGUCCGACAUCUUUUGAGUGAUGGAUUUAACAUGAGAGCUUAUGGUCAGUCAAUUUCCUCUGCCUAGCAAUAUAAGCUUUCUCGGCCAGAUUUAUCAUCAAAUACAUAGAUUGCCCCCAAGUCACAUCCAUAUAAACAUAAUUUUUCUAGGUAAACCAAGUAAGGAGAAUCAUAAUUCGGACAUAAUCAUAAAAAGGCCCAUCUAACUUAAGAGAAAAUCUUAAAAAGAGGGAUGCUGAGCUAUCAGUCUUGUAUCUAUAAGCAAUAUCAAGACUUUACAUCACCUGCUACAUCGUGAGUGGUUACACAACUUUUAGUGGUUUGUCUUUCUUUGGCAUGCCUAACUCAGCUUUGAUGUUGCUGAGAUAUUGAUAGUAGAGAGCAGAAGCCUUACUUUCGCUAUAAAUUAGACGUCAUUCUGAUUAAUAUGCGUUUGCAAAUCAGCUCUGUUUGAAUCAGUAUUCUGAUAGACACAUGAGGCAUUUACAUCCAUUUCCAAAGUCACAUGUUGCGGGGAGGACUCAUUUGAUUGCUCCUAUACGAUCAUCUAAUUCAAGUAGCAAGGGUUGGAAGAGAAUAAAAAGUCACAAUUAUUCUUUUGCAUAAGUGAGACGAAAAUGGUAAAUGCAAUAUUAUUAGCAGUAAAUAAGAAGAGAACGCUCCAAGGAAUAGAUAGAUGCAGACAAGCAAGUUAAAAUGCAUAGUCCCAAACCUCCGCAUACAACUUCUCUAAAAUAGCAAUAACGUGUUGAUGAUAUAUUUUCUCAGCAUCUACCUGCAAAGGCCCGAGACCGGGAAAACAACAAUAAAACCACUAGCUGAAGGAGAAAGCAAAGAAAAAAAUACACUUGACAUAAAUCUUGACAAGAAGCACAAUUUAAGACAUAACAAACCCCAAUCAUAUUAUUUUUGCUAGUCACACGCUAGUCUGUGCUAGUGAUGUAAGAAGUCACAAGGUCUCUUCAACAUUUGAACCAAUAAAAUUAUUAAGUCAUGGAUGUCACUAGCAAUGAUUUUAAUAUAAAACAUUAAAUAUUUCAGAGUUGUAACUUUAAAAUGGAUUCUUUUAUUCAAUACCAUAGAACUAAGUUUCCUUAUGAGAAGAUAGUAGUUUCGAUAAUAUUUUACAUAUAAUUUUUGCGAUACCUUCGUCUCGCACUACCAGUGAUACCCUCACUCUUNNNNNNNNNNNNNNNNNNNNNNNNNNNNNNNNNNNNNNNNNNNNNNNNNNNNNNNNNNNNNNNNNNNNNNNNNNNNNNNNNNNNNNNNNNNNNNNNNNNNUGUUGAAAUUUAUCUAAGUUCAAAAGUAAUGCAGAGUGGGUUUCUAAACUCCAUUCCACUAGCUACUUCCUUUAAGAAAAAUUCCACAUCAUUGGUUUGAAUUUUAACUGGUGGCAUAGGAUCAUAUGUCUUAAGCUUGAACUUCAUUGUGAUUUCGAAUUCCGAAGUAUUUAUAUCAAUAACUUGAGCUAUCUUCUCCACCAAUUCGGCAUAUGUUGUCGAUCGUGGUAUCAUUAUCCCUUUAGCCUUGGAACCUUUGAAUUUAUACUCGUCAUUUUGCUCAAUCCAUUCACCAUUGAAGAGAAUAAGCACACGUACCAAAACCAUAUAUGAUGAUACAAUAAAAACAAUAAUAUCAAAUUUCAUAUACAAGUAACUACACGACCUACACAACUACAUUACUUACAUGACCUACAUGACCUACAUGACUAUAUUACUUACAUGACCUACACGAAUUAUACGACUUACACGACUAUAUUACUUACACGACUUACAUGACUAACUAUAUGACAUACACAGUAUCAAAAGGAAUGCACGACGCGAAACAUUUUCGCCAUAAAUAAGUUAUAAACAACCUAUAUUGCAUAUAUUUCUAUAUAUAAGAAAAAAUGGUGAAAAUAAAACAUUAUAAUGUGAAGAAAAUUUCUAAAUUUUCCUAAAAAUAAAAAAACUUAAAACCCAACAACAUUAACAUACCUUAUUGGGUUGUUUAAUAAGUAAUGCACAUUAUUUCAGUUAAAAAAAAGUGGGUGUUAAAGAAAUGAAUACAUAAUCAUAUUUGUGUAAGAAGUUAUGAGAGAUUUUGAGAGAUUCUAGGAGAUUUUGAGAGAAUUUCGGCAGCAAGAAGAGAUUUGGGUGUUAAAGAAAUAUGAAGACAAGGAAGUUGAGUGAAUUUGAUUCAUUCAUUAAGGGCAUUUUAGACUUUACUCACAUUUGUUAGGGUAUCCAUGAAAACAAAAAAGGAAAGGGGUAUUUAAAUAAUUUUAAAACUAUUAAAGGGUAUUUAAUUAAAAACCCUAGGAGAAGAUGAUAGUGGAAGUAUGCAGUGUGGCUGCCAGGUACUUGGAUUGUAUUAUCGGGUAAGGUAAUAGUAGAGAAUUAUAAGUUUGAACAGAGCAUGUUGGACUUUUGUUGACCAAAUUCAAAAGCCCAAUGGCACGACCCAGAAGCUUUUGAAUAGAAAAACUUGCUAGAAAGCAUCAGUUUAAAUCACUACUUAAACGCUGCACCGCUUUGUACUGUUUUAGGUAUGUAGCGGUUGUGCAGUUGUAAUUCACGGCUGACGCUACGUGUUUGUUUGUACUGUUCUAUUCAGUGAUAGAGUAUUAUUAGUUAGGCCAAAACUAUGUUGCAACAGUGGUACAGUACCACUGUUGCUUUCAUAGCUGGACCCUAUUAGUUAUUUCAAAGGGAUAAAUAAGAUUGGUUACAACAAAUCUACUAUUUUUAUAAAAUUCAAGUAAUAUAGAAUAAAAUAAAAAAAUAAAUACAAAAUUGACUUUUAUUUUUUAUGGUUGACUAUAUUUUGUGUUCUCUUCGGGCACUGCUACAAUUGUUCCCCAUAUAUCAAUUACACCACAUACUAUCGACACAAGAAAUGAAAUCUAAUAUCACCUGUUUAGUUAAAAAAUCACUCAUGAAAAAAGUUUACCAUUUUGAUUUGAGGAUCCAUAUUUUGAACUGCAAGCUAAUGUUCAUCAAGAAUCACUGAUGGCCGUUGAGUAGAAAAAUUAUUUUUGGACAAAUUAUUUUUGUUGAUAGAAGAAUUUCUUUAGGGACUACUAAAUUAUUAAUAAAAAUGUCGAACACACCCACAUAUCAUCGACACAAUUGAUUUUGAGGAUCCAUGCUUUGAAUUGCCGCCUAAUGUUCAUCAAGAAUAGAGUAUGGCUUGUGAGUAGAAAAUUUUCUUAUUUUGGCCCAAAAUAAAAAGAAAUUAAAUUGGAUGAGAAUCUGCCACUUUCUCAUGAAGAAAGGCAUACGAAGCAUACCAUGAUACCAUACAAUAUAAGGAGCCGCCGUUCUUUGGUUUUUCAAACUUUGAAGGGGCCAAUAUUGCCAAAUUCCCCCUUGAAAAUUCUGACUACGACAUUAUUCAUCGCUUGAUGCAAUCAAAGUAGUGACAAAGUUAGGAAAAAUAUGAGCCCUAAGUAAUUGCUAGGCAGGGUUCCUGAGAGCAAAAUUGUCCUAAGCAUUAUAUGCAUACAUGGUGCGGUACAUAGAGCACGUUGAAUUCCCCACUAUAACACAAAUCCAGAAAGAGAAGUAAUAACUCAACUGAUAUAAAGACAAAAAGAAGAUAAAAUGAUAUAGAAAAAAGAAUUUCAAAGAGACAGCAACAUACGAUAGGCUGAAGCCACUUGAUCUACUCAUUGAUUGCAGCCUUAAACUUGCAAAUAGUUACUGUAUGCUAGUGCUCUAAGAAGUGAAAAUGAUGCAAGCCCUGAUUCCCUUUUGACUUCCAUUUACUGUCAAACAUUCUAGUAAUACAAAAAAUUGUUUAGAUAUCUUGCUAUAAAUAUAGUUGUUUGACUGUCAUAAUAAAGUCACAAAUAACCAUUCAUAUUGAUCUACUGUCACACAGCAUGCUUUAUGCAUACAACAGCUGUAUGUAUACCAACUCCUAACCUUAUCAAUGCAUUUGGCAAAAACUUAAGAAGAAAACUAUUUCUCCAUCUCUUUUUUGAAAUUUCACAAUAACCAGCACAAUGUGAAAGCUAUGUUCUAACCUUAUGAUAAAUGCUCCAGACUCCAAAAGGAUUUUAUAUAUGAGUUUUUGUUGCAGCAGAUAUAUUGACUUAUCAAGUAUGAAUCAUUUUCUGGAUGAACUAUCUUUAGAUAAAAGAAUAUUAGAACCACUGUAGAAUAUCUUUACGCUGCUGGUUCUAACAAGAAUCUGCUUGUGGCAACAAUUGCUAGAUCCACAAUUCCCCAACUUGAAAUACAUAGUUGCACACCAUGAGAUAGUGCUACGAUCUACUGAGAUCUAACUUAUAUGGUACUUUAAGCUACUAAUGUUUGCAUAUUUCUACAUGUUAAAUUAACACUAUCAUCUAUAAUCACUCCAAAACAACAAAUGAUAAGCAGCUUUUGGCCACUUAUUACUAGCAUCCACAAUUAUAAUAAGAGAUCAUGGGUUUACUUGUUGCACCUACUUAAUUAUCUGCAGUUGACAUCCUGACGCAAGGUUUAAAUAGUGACUGCUUAGAACCCUUGUAGUUGGAUCUUGACCUCUCCCAUUGUAGCCAAGAUUGGUUACUCUGGUAAUGAAUCAACACUCUCCUGCUCAGGGCCAUGAAGAUCUGAAAGCUCAGCACUAGUGGAGAACUUCAUCAAUCUCUUCUUCUCAGCAUACUUGAGACAAGGCUGCAUUACGAGACCAAUCACCACAGCACCAACGCUUAAAGCUACAACUUUUAAAGAAGAAAGAGCCAACACAACACAACACAAAUCAAUAUGGUUGGAGGAAUACACAUGAUAAUGGCUCUAACAGUGCCAGUGGGUAUCUUGUAGGGACGAGAUGCAGCAGGAUAUUGUAUCCUUAACCAUACAAAUGCUAUGAACUCCAUAAUCAUUCCAAAACAGUACAGGAAGUUCUCUGCAGCUACAAUAUCUCGAAAGCUCAGCCAUGAUAGCAAAACCACACCAGAUGCUGAGAAUAUGAUUCCAAUCAAAGGAGUCCCAUAACAAGACCUCUUAGCAAAAAACUCAGGUAGCAUUCCACGCUCAGCCAUCCCCAAAAGUUGGAAAGAGUCGCUGCUCAUCUCAGCCACAAACAUGCCCAUAUUGGACAUUGCUGCAACCCCCUGGAUGCACCAACUCAACCAAACUCCUCCAAGCACUUUAGCGAUACCUGAAAAGUAACCAUCGGUCCACAAGUCGCGAUCUAAUGGAAUAGCUCCAGUUCCAACUAGAAAGGGAAAGAAAUAUCCAAAAACGACCAAGAUCAAAGCAUAAAACAAAGCCUUUGGAAGAGUCUUCUUUGGGUUAUCCACCUCUCCAGCUAGUGUACUUAUUGAGUCCCAGUAGUUGAGAUUCCAAAACAGGGUGUUCAAAUACAAAUUCCAAUCCACUUCACCUAAAUUUAAUACAAGCCAUCUUGAAGGCUCUAACUUGGGAAGGGACACAAGUCCCAUAACCACAAAAGGAAGGAGUGAGAAAAUCCCUAAAAGAACAGCAGCCCAUCCCACAAUGGUUAGACCCCUAUAGUUCAUGAAAGUGAGAACAAAAGUCAAAGCUAACGCCGCAAAGGCUCUAGGUAACCCAUCGCCCAAAGCAGGGAUACCAGACUUCAAGUAAUCAAGAAACAGAACUGGGUAUAAAGCAUUAUCAGUAACCCCACUUAGCCAUUUCAUCCAAACUUGCUCAAAACCCCAAUAUGGGCCUAAGGCAGAUGAAACCCAAACCACAUAACCACAAUUUUCAGGAAACACGGUACCCAUCUCGGCAGUAAUUAAAGCUUCAGGGACACUCCAUAUAAUCGGAAACACCAAGAAACCAAGAAGUGCUAAAAGAGGACCAGCUGUCUUUACACUAUCCUCAACACCAAACGGCCCCCCAGAAACCUCAUAGAAUAUAAGGAAAAUAAGUGGCAAGAUUGAUACUUUUUUAGUGCCAUGGACUCUAGGAGAAGAUGGUUGGUCAUUGAUAUUAAAAUAUUCAACAGCAUCAGACUGCCCCAUUUCUACUGAAACUUGCCUAUUUACAGUGCUCCUCAAUUUCUGCAUCAAGUUUAAGCAUAACUAUCAAAAGGGUAUCCGCAUCUAAAUUAUGAAACAAAAUGAGCAUUUACUUAUUAAAAAAAAAAUCAAAAAACAGAAAUGGAUUUCACAGAACACAUGAACUUAAGUUCAACAUUAAACAGGCGCUUAAGAAAACAAAAGGGUCUGUUCGUAAAGCCAUCAGAUUGCAAGAUUGAACAACAUUAACGGAAUCAAUAGAAUGGAUGUAAAGAGAACUGAAAAGAAAAUAAAAUAAAAGAUGAAGAGAGAUAAAACGAACCAUCAAAUAAGUGCAUGCAGAGCAGAGAGGCAGAUACUAGUGAAGCUCCGUCAUGUUAGAGAGAGCCUAAAUCAAUCAGAGCUCACUGAGUUUCUUUUAAACCGACCGGCAAAUUUGGAGUAGCACAACAUAAUAUUUUUGCUUUUAUUUUUGGAACACUUUUGAAUGGAAUUUUUUGUUUUAAAAAAUGGCAAAGGAGAUUAGUAUUUCUAUCGUUAAAAUAAUAAUUUUCCUAACAUUAUUUUUUAUAUUUUUUAAUUUAUUUUUAUAAUAAUUUUUUAUUUAAAUAUUAAUAAAAAAUAAUUAAAUUAACAAUUUAAUCCUAAAAUAAAUAAACACGGUUUUGGGUUUUUUCUUUUGUUCGUUUAAUAUCAUCUGGUUCCCUGAUUUGUGACUAAUUAUCAACGGAAUCCCGUUAGUUUCUAAAUUGAAAUAAUAGAAGGUCAUGAGAUUAUUUACUCCAUUUAGCACUGCAGACUUAGAGUAUAUUGAAAAAGCUUUGUCAAAUAGUAGUAAUAGGGGCAUAAGAAAUAAAUUAUAGCUAUCACAAAUUCGUUAGGAGAAUUUCAAAUUUUUCCAUCAAUAAUGGCUAUGAAGCAAAAUUACUUUAGGUUAUAUUGCAACACUAAUACUUCAAAUCCUGACAAUAAAUUUGAAGAACUUGUUAAAAAGAAAAUGGUAAUGUUAUCAUUUUGAAAGACAAAAAAAAAAAGAGUGAAAGUGGCGUUACCUCAUGGUCAUUAGUGACUUGUUGCAAUGAUAGCUCAAAAUUAAAAAUUUGUGAAGAAUUAGUAGACAACGACGAUAUUAUAUUUAUACAGUCACCAACGUAUUGAUUUUUGUUUAAUGUUUGAUUGAUAGAAACUUUUGUCGUCGUCGCCGUUGUUGAAUUCGUGCUUAGAAUACCACAAGAGAAGAAAAAGGGAUGAAAGGGAAGAGAAGAAGAGAGAAGUGGUGGAUAGCAAAUAUGAUAUGCUAGCUACACACAGGCCUUAGAGAGUUUUUUUUUUUAAUAUUUAUUGUAUUUUUGUUUUUGUUAUUGGUUUGUCAUAUGCUUCCAAGGCAACAAUGCAUUACAUCAUAAAUUGCACCUUUUAGGGGAGGUGGUAAAAAACAUGAGAGCAAUGCAUUCUAGCGCAUACAUGCAGAAAGAGUUUCCAAAUUUUCAAAAGUUUCUUUAUUUCUUCCACCUUUUUUUGCUUAAAAUAAAUUUUAAUUGUAUUUUGCAUUAACUUAGAGAAAAAAAAAUCCAAUUCUAUGCAUAAACGCAUACAUUGAUUAGAAAAUGAGUUUUAUGGACACAAAGGGACAAUAUAAGAGAUUCUUUUUGUUUAUUAGAAGUAACAUAACUAGUUAGUGUAACAUGUAAUUAUAAGCUACCAAUAAUUUGCACUGAUGAUAAUUAACGGUACAGAUUUUGAGCUAUGAAUGUCUUGUGGCUAGUUUAAUUGGAUUUUUGAGUUUUCAGCAGAUCUAUUUUAAUGAUUAUUAAAUUAUUUUCACUUCUUAUGCCUUAAUAAAAAAAAUUCAAUAUUUUUUGCUGUAUUCUAUAUUUUAAAACUUAAUUUUUAGUUCUUUAUAUUGCAAACCAAACUGAGUCAAAUAGAGUAUGCUCUUCAAAUAAUUUUUCCAUUGCCUUCAAGAAGAAUUCAUUUUAUUUUUAUAUAUUAAUUCAACACUUGUAAACCGGGCCGUCAGAUUGCACAUAAAGCAAAUGAUCAAACCGUUACAAGACCGGCCCAGGCCCACUGACUCUAUUUUCUUUAAUUUGACCAUUAAAAAGCUUUUGGCCACCCCCACCAAAUAAAUAAGCUCUUGUUCUCUUUUGUAGGGGUGGGCAAAAAAACCGUAGUCUUAAAAAAACCGAACCGAACCGACGGUUUUUUCUAAUUCGGUUUGGUUUUUAUUUUUUUAAAAAACCGAAAUAUACCAUUUGUAAAAAAAAACCGAAAUGUCGGUUUGGUAUUCGGUUCACUUAGCUGAACCGAAAAACUGAACCGAAAAACCGAAUUAUUUUUUGAUUUUAUUCAAAUCAAACAUGUGUUAAUUUUUAACUGAUUGUGCAAGAUAACUAACAUAAACUUGCAUACACACAAUCAUGAGUAUAUAUAUGUAAGUGUUACAAUUUCGUAAAUCUUUAUUUCCCCCAAAAUAAACCCUAAAGCUAAAAUCAAAGAUUCAAAAUCGAAACCAAAUCCAAAUCACCCACCCCAAUCCACUGCAAUCACAGCCGACGCUGCUCACCGGCGAUAGUGUCACCGUGCAACACGCUGCUCACCGCGAAAGCUGCAGCUUCUUUUCACCGUGGGACAGCUUCAACUCACAGGCCUGAGGCCACCACGCGACAGCUUUGCUCUGCUCACCUGAUUGGAGUGGAAAUUCGAUGGUUUUGAAUGGUUUAUAUAUGCAUGUGAGGUGUUCGGCGCAUAUAAUCAACUUAAUUGUGCAAGAUGGGUUGUCACAAGUGAGUCAAUCAAUAGCUAGUAUUCGAAAUGCGGUGAAAUAUGUUAGAUCAUCUCCGGCAAGAUUACAAAAGUUCAAAACAUGUGUUGAUAGGGAGAAAAUCUCACGUGGAGGGCUUAUGGUGUUAGACGUGCCGACUCGGUGGAAUUCAACAUAUUUGAUGUUAGAAAAAGCGGUAGCAUUUGAGAGGCUAAAGGAAGAUGAUGGCCAUUAUACAAACUGGUUUGAUGAGGAUGAGAGUGAAUAAAGGAGGGUGGGGCCACCGAUUGAUAAGGAUUGGGAAAAUGCAAAGAGGUUAGUCAAGUGUCUUUCGAUUUUUUAUCAUGUGACUUUAAAAUUCAGCAGCUCUUUAACAGUCACUUCCAAUAAUUUCUUGAAUGAAAUGUGGAAAGUUUAUAUUCAUUUGAAGUCACUGGUUGAUUUUGUUAACAUAUAUGUUUUCAUAAUGUUAAUUUUGAUGAUAACAAACAAGAUUAAGAAUGAUUAAUCUUUUAAGAUCAAAUUAUUUUUUAUAUAUUUUAAAUAAAUCAUUAUUUUCACAUUAUAAAUGUUUUAUAUUUAAUGGAAAAAUGAUUUUAUGAAAAAUGAUUGUUUAAAUACAUGAAAUGUUUGUCAUCAUCAAAAAGGGGGAGAUUGUUAACAUAUAUGUUUUCAUAAUGUUGAUUUUGAUGAUAACAAACAAGAUUAAGAAUGAUUAAUCUUUUAAAAUCAAAUUAUUUUUUAUACAUCUUAAAUAAAUCAUUAUUUUCACAUUUUAAAGGUUUUAUAUUUAAUGGAAAAAUAUUUUAUGAAAUUGAUUGUUUUUAUUCUUUUUAAAUAAAUCAUUAUUUUCACAUUAUAAAUGUUUCAUACUUAAUGGAAAAAUGAUUUUAUGAAAUUGGUUGUUUUUCAAAGUUUAUGGUUUAAUUGAAAGAAUUUUGAAAACUUUGAUAUAAACAAGUAUUGCUUGAAAUUUUGGUAAAGGACUUAUUUGAAAAGUGUCAUAGCAUCUUUGGGCGAAAUCAUAAUUUCAGAAAGUUUUGGGAUUAACGAAGAAUUAUUUAGAAAUUCUGAAAUUGGACUUAUUUGCAAAGUUUAAUAACGUUUUGGGCCAUACUACAGUUUUAUAAAGUUUUGGGGUCAAACUAUAAAUUUUGGGAAAUGUUUUACUGUAGCAGUUACUGUAGCAAGCGGCUUACCGGAUACUAAUAAACGGCAAGUCGGAUACGGGGUAGUAAGCACCAGAACGAAAGCGGCUAACCGGAUGUCCAUAAACGGCAAGCCGGUUACGACAAAAAAUGUGCAUAACGGCUAGUAACGGCUAGUUUUUGAGUUCAAACUAUAUAAACUCAAAACCAAUUCAUUUUUGGUAACUCAAGCAAGCAUAAACAAGUGCACACAACUUAUAUUGAGCUUCAAAUUCGAAAAUCUUCAUAGAUUAAAUCUUCAUUGGGCUAUCAUUUGUAAAUCCACUCUUAAAGAGAGUUUUUGUUGUAAUUUUCAUUUCUCAUCAAAUUGUGAGAGUACAAGUGUGAGAAACACUUGGAGUGAAGAGAUUGGAGAUAUAAUCUCUUGUUGUAAAGGUUCAUUGACACCUUGAAGUCAAUUGUAAUCGUUUGAAGCCUUGGAAAGGCUUGGAUAGUGAAAUCCUCAAGCCCGGUGUGCUUGGAGGCGUGGACGUAGGCGGGGAUUGCCAAACCACGUAAAAAUCCUUGAGUUUGCUUUCUCUUCCCUUACUCUUUAAUUAUUGUGCUUUGAUUGAAUUUAUUGUUUUCGAAUUUAUUAAGGCAUUAGAUUGCUUGUUGUGUGGAUUUGUUAGGAUAAUUUUUAAAAUUCCAAUUCACCCCCCCCUCUUGGGUUGCACACUCAUAUUUCAGAUUUUAAUGAUUUUUUGUUAAAUCAAAUGGGUUACAAGAUGGAGGAAAAAUUUGUCAAGUAUUGGGGUCAUUUUUUUGAAAAGGUUAACAUGUUGUUGAUUGUGGCAAAUGUGCUUGAUCCUCGCUGCAAACUUGACUUUGUUAUAUGGUGUUUUAGUAGCUUGUAUGAUAUUAGAAAGGUUGAUGAAUUGAGAGCUAAUAUUAAAGAGUUGUUGUUGAAGCUUCUUGAAAGCUAUGGUGGUGAGAGUAAUCCAAAUAGAGGUGAGAGAUGUACGGCUGUUCAUGAUGGUGCUAGUAGUAGUAUUGAGUUAUUUGAUCCUUUUACACAAUUUAAAAAGAUGAAAGAAAGUUCAAAUGAUGACAUUAGUGGAAAAAAUGAUGUUGAAAAGUACUUGUCAGAGACUUGUGAGAGUGCUAGUAAUCCCCAGUUUGAUAUUUUGACUUGGUGGAAAUUGAAUGGGCCUCGGUAUCUGAUUUUAUCUCAAAUUGCCAAAGAUGUUUUGGCAAUUCCGGUGUCUACUGUGGCUUCUGAAUCAGCAUUUAGUACAGGAGGGCGCAUUCUUGAUCCUUUUAGGAGUUCUUUAACUCAUAAAACAGUCGAGUCAUUAAUAUGCACUCAAAAUUGGCUUCGUUCAACUCUAUUAGGAGAGCGUACAAUACAACCAAGUCAGGAAGAAGCUGAAUUCUAUGAAUUAGUUGAAACAUGUAAUAUUGUAAUUUAUUAUGUUAUUUUUUUCUAUUUCACUUAUAACAUUUUGAAUAUUAGAAUUAAUUAUUUUAAUAUAAUUGUUUUAAUUUCUUGAAGAAUUUUUUAGGCCAAUGCAAUCUCAAGAACAACAGCAAGUAGCUGAGGAGUAAAUGACAAUUGAUUGAUGUUGCUUACCAGUAAGUUUUCUUUAUUUUUUUUAAACUAGCAUCUUAUUUAUAUAGAUUGUUUAUUUAAUUAUUUAUUGUUUAAAUUUUUUUUAUAGAUCCAAAUAUUGAGUUGGAAAAUGCCUAAAGUUGAUGUUGAUAUUGAUGAAGAUGGGAGAAUAUUGUUGGCAUUUGUUUGCAAUUUUUUUUUUAUUUUGUGUUGUAAGUUGUAAUUGUUGUUAUUUUUAUUUCUCUUUAUAACAUUAUGAUUAUGUUUAUAUAGAUGGAGUAUUGGAGUUUGGUUAUGUAUUUUGAAAUUUUAAUAUUUCAUAUUUUGGGAGUAUCUUAUUAAUAGUUAGUAAGAUAUUAGUGAUAAAAUGUGUUUUGAAUACUUUGUAUUUAUUGUUAAUAUUUGUAAUAAAAUUAGAAUAAAUUAAUUGUUAAAAAAAUUAUUACAUUCAUGAGGCCCAAUGGGCUAAAAAUUCAAAAUAGGCCCAAUAGGCCCAGAAUCGAAAAAACCGAACCGAACCGAACCGAUCCGAAAAGAACCGUUUGAGUUCGGUUCUUAUUGAGUUCGGUUCUUAUUCAGUUCUUUUGAUAAAAUAACUGAUUUAAAUCGGUUCUACUUAAUUUCGAUCCGAACCGAACCGUGCCCACCCUUACUCUUUUGUUCCCUCUCAAAGGAAAAUAUCUAAUCACCGGAUAAUGAUUCCGGUGACACAAAAGAUCGAAACACCCCCUAAAUUCCCUAAAUUUAUGAUAAUACCCCACCAUGGAUGAUUCCGUUGAAAUGCCGCCUUACGAUGAAAGGCCUAAAAAGGGUUUUAACUUCACCUCCAUGCGCUUGAUCUUAACCCUCGUUUUCCCAAUUUUAACUUGCUUUUUGUUGGCAUUUUUUAUUGGAAUCGUAGUUGUUUUAUUCGGCGAAUCAUCAGUUUCCAGUUCCAUUUUUGUCCCUUCCCAGUGCAAGAUAGUGUCCAACAGUAAGCUUUUUUUAACAUUUUCAAUUUUUUUUCCAUUUAUGAAGUCCAAAAAAUUUAUUAAUUUUGAUUUUUUUGAAUGAUUUUUCAGGUGUUGAUAUAAGGUCAUCAAAAGUUCGUAAACUUGGGGUGUUCAAUUAUAAGGCGAAGCGCGUGUUUUAUCCAUUUGAAGCAAGUAAAUUUCGCUGUCGGUAUGAUUACUAUUGGGCUUCUAUCUUCAAGGUAUUCAUACAUUUUCCCCUGUACUAUAAGCUUCUUAGUGGCGGUCUUGUGUGCGGAAGUGAACGGUGUGGCUGACAGCUUCUUGAAAAUUAUAAGUUUGAACAGAGCAUGUUAGAGCACCACCAAAAGGCUCUUUAAAUAAGAUUUUAUUAUUUAUUUGAAGAGCCACAUCAAUAUUGAAAACUUCAAAAGACACUUCAAUUAAAAUUCUUCAAAUAAGAAUUGAUUCUCUCUCUUCAAAUUUGGAGAGUUAAUUUAUUCCUCUUCAAUUUAUAUUUUAUUACUUUUCAUUGAAGAAAGAGAGAAGUGCUUUAAUUGCUAUUGACUUUUCCUUUAAAAAACUAAUUAUAUGAUUAAAACAAUAUUAACUUAUUUAUAUUUGAAGAGUCUUUUGGAGAAUAUCAUAUUUUUUCACCCUUCUAUUUGCCACAUAGGUAAACAAAUAGAUAUUUAAAGAGUAAAAUUUAUAGAGGCUUUUAGAGAUGCUCUUAGACUUUUGUUGACCAAAUUCGAAAGCCAAAUGGCACAGCUCAGAAGCUUUUGAAUUGAAUAACUUACUAGGAAGCUCCAAUUUUUUGUUGGCUACAGUAAAAGGAUGUUGUUUUAUUCUUCUUAUACUUUACGCUUGCAUCAGCUUAAAUCACUUCUUAAACGCUUUGCUUUAACUCCACUGCUUCGCUGGGGCGGAUUUACCUUGGAACAAGUGGGGACUUAAGUCCCCACUGAAAAAAAAAAAUUGUUUUAAUAAUUAAUUUGAUUUGCCAAAACUUCUCAAUAAAUUUUUCUUAAGCCCCCCAUAAUUUCUUUCAACAAACAAUUGAUCUAAAUGAGUUAUUUUCUGUCAGUUGUAUCCAAAUGAGUUCUCUGCAAUUGAUAUCAUGGCACUUAAAAUUCAACUUGAUACAUAUAUUUUGGAUAUGCGCACUAGUGCGAGACUAAAAGACAUAAGGUAUAUCCAUUGGUUUACUUGUUAAUAAUAUUAGCAUUGACUUUACCUGUUGCCACUGCUAGUGUAGAGAGAGUAUUUUCAGCCAUGAACAUUUUGAAGAAUUGAUUAUAAAGCUGUGAGUAAUGGAUGAAUGAUAGUUUAAUUAUUUACAUAGAAAAAUACUUAUUUAAUAAUAUUGAUAAUGAACUUGUAAUGCAACAUUAUUAAUGUAUGAAAACUUGAAAGGACAAUUGUAAACAUAUAUUGAAGUAUGAUAAAUCUUUCAAAUUUAUAUAUUUAUUACUUUUUAAAUUUUUUUAUAUUGCCGUUGAAUGAGCCCCCAGUCAAUCAAUAUGUUGUCUUCGCCCUACUUCGUACUCUUCUAUAUAUGUAUCGGGUAUGCAGUUUUAGUUAACAGCUGAGACUACGUGUUUGUUUGACGUGGUAGUUACGUUACGAGUCUGUUAAACAUUCAAUGAUUAAAGUAUUAUCAGUUAUUUCAAAGGGACAAAUAAGAUUAGCUACAACACACCCACUAGUUUUAUAAAAUUCGAAUGAGAUGGAAUAAAAUAAAAAAAUAAAUAAGUAAAUUGACUUUUAGUUUUAGUGGUUGAAUAUAUUUUGCAUUCUCUUAGGGCACUGCUGUAAUUAUUCCUUAAACGUCAGUCAUACCCACAUAUAAUAGACACAAGAAAUGAAAUCUAAAAUCACCUGUUUAGUUAAAGAAUCAUCAUGAAAAAAUUUUGCCAUUUUGAUUUGAGGAUCCACAUUUUGAACAACCAACUUAUGUUCAUCAAAAACGGAUCAUGGCCUGUGAGUAGAAAAAUUAUUUUUGGACAAAUUAUUUUUUUUAAUAGAAUAAUUUCUCAAGGGACUAUUAAAAUUACUAAUAAAAAUGUCAGACACACCCACGUACCAUCGACACAAUUGACUAUGAGGAUCCAUGUUUUGAACUGCCACAUAAUGUUCAUCAAGAAUAGAAUAUGGCUCGUGAAAAGAAAAUUUUCUGAUUUUGGCCUGGAACAAAAAAAAAUUAAAUUGAAGGAGAAUCUGCUACUUUCUCAUUAAGAAAGGCAGACAGGGUAUACUAUGGUACCAUACAAUAUAAAAAGUCUCCGUUCUCUGGCUUUUCAAACUCUGAAGGGGGCAAUAUUCCCCAAUUCCCCCUUGAAAAUUCUGAUUACGACAUUAUUCAUCACUUGAUACAUAAGUACAAGUAGUGACAAAAUUAGGAAAAAUAUGACUCAUAAGUAAUUACUAGGCAGGGCUCUUGAGAGCAACAUUGUACUAGGCUUUAUAUGCAAACAUGGUGUGGUACAUAGAGCACGUUGAAUUCCACACUAUAACACAAACCCAGAAAGACAAGUAAUAUCUCAACUGAUAUAAAGACAAAAAGAAGAUAAAAUGAUACAGAACAAAGAAUUUCUAAGAGAUAGCAACAUACAAUAGACUGAAGCCAGUUGAUCUGCUCAUUGAUUGCAGCCUUAAACUUGCAAAUGUUUACUGUAGCCUGGUGCUCUAAGAAGUGAAAAUGAUGCAAACCUUGAUUCCCUGUUUACUUCCAUUUACCAUCAAACAUUCUAUUCAUAAGAAAAAAAAUGUUUAGAUAUCUUGCCGUAAAUAUAGCCAUUUGAUUGUCUUAAUAAAGCCACACACAACCAUUCAUAUUGAUCCACAUUGCCACAUAGCCUGAUUUAAGCAUACAACACCUGAAUGUAUACUGACUCCUAACCUUAUCAAUACAUUGGCGACAACUUAAGAAGAAAACUAUUUCUCCAUCUCUUUUUUGAAAUUUCACAAUAAAAUAGCACAAUGUAAGAGCUGCAAUGAAAAUGGACCAUCUGGAACUAUGGCGGAAGCUUCAACUAGUGUAGUGAUUUGACCUUCUUAUUAACCUAGCGAGAUCAAACACUGCCCUUGAUCUUGAACAGAUCAAUACGAUACGCACAACUUAUGAUUGAAUCCAGAAACAAUCAAAUCUUUAGCAAGAAUAAUUAAUCAGAAUCAAGAAACAAGUUUAAUGAAUAUAAACCUAUAAUUGGAACAAACACAGCAAAAGAACCCAAGAAUGACACAACCAGCACCAAGGGAGAAGCUUUCCAGUGAGAUUAUAUUGAUGAUCAAAGAAGAAUCUUUUUACAAAGCUAACAAAAGAGAUUUCAGAGAAUAAGCUAUGACCCUCUCUCUUCUCAAUCUCUGUCUAGUUUGUUAACAGUGAUGACCCCAAUCUCCUUCGUUAGCCAGCUUCAUAACUGCGUCAGUGACAAACUAGCAAACCCAGAUUGAGCAGACUAACGACACGUGCAUAACGGCUUUAACGAACUUGGUUAAAGAACUGCUCACAUGUUCGUCACGCGUGUUGCUUAAAUGAUAGCCAAAACGACUUCAACCAGAUGCCGUUUUGAAGCUUAUGAAUUAUAAGUGAAAACACGUGCUUGUCUCGUGACAUUUAAAUGCAACAACAAGCCCAAAACACUGCCGGUCCACUAUGUUGAGUUUGCCAUCUCUAAGCUUCACAACUAGCAGCGGACAAGAUGAUAAUUUAAUUGACUUGGAGAGCUUUUAUAUCACUUUUACAACAUUCUAUAUAAUUGUGAUAUUGGGAAUCGUCGGUGUUGUAUAUGUGAACCCUCGUUGGCGACACUGGUGGUUUUAUCUUUAUUGAAAUAUGGAUGACUUUUCGUUACUAUUUUGUUGUACAUAACCUUAUUCUCAGGAGAUUUAAUCAUUGAAAUUAACAUGUUAGUUUCAUUAGAAGGCUGAGUGGUUAGGGCUGCUACCUUCCAACUUGGAGGGCAAUAGUUUGAACCCACAAGCGCAAUGUGGGGGUAUUUCAUUCUUUAAUUACAUUGUAUAAUUGAAUAAAGAUAAUAUUCUCUCUUACCCAAGUGUGAGUGGAGUAGACAUCCUUCGAAUAUUAGCGAGGGUUAAAACUUGGGCAGAGCUCAAUAAGUAUUGAUGUAAGUUGGUCCUAAUAAUAGUCUGAUUUGUAAAUAUCAGUUAUAGUCUCAUGUUUCCUUCCUUAAUUAUAUUGCAUAAUUAAGUAAAUGUACUCUUUUCUCUUACCCAAGUGUGAGUGGAGUAAACAUCUCUCGAAUAUUAGUGAGAGUUAAAAUCUGGGCAGAGCUCCAUAAGUAUUGAUGUAAUUUGAUCCCAAUAAUAGUAUGAUUUGUAAAUACCAGUUAUAGUAUCAUGUAAUAUGAGUUGUAAUUUGAGUAAUAAUUUCAUGUAAUUACAAAAAAAAAUGUUACUUUCAUUACUUUUUUCUUCGUUAAAAUUCUCAAGUAUCAAUUAUGUUUGCUUAAGAAAUAAAAUUUCAUUAUGAAAAUUGUAGCAGUAUUUCCGAGCACCUCACAUUUUCAAUGAUUUUUCAUAAAUCAAUUAAUCUGCCAUACCAAUAUCAGGUUUAGUUUUUCAGACUAAAUGAUCAAGAAAGCAAACAUACAAAUUCACAUUUUAGAGGGGUAAACUAGCUUUUAGAUUUUAGAACUAGGCUAGCUACCUCACCAAAUUCCAAUCUGUACAGUGAACUACAAGAUUAAGAAAAUAAUGUAUUUAUAGUUUAAUUGAAUCAUGAGAAAACAAUGUAGUCAUAGCUCAAUCGGACAUGAUCACGGAGAGGCAUAUUCUUUUCAAGUUAAUUUGAUCCAUUUAUAAGAAAUGAAGUGGAUUGAAGUUAAAAGUUCAAAUAACAAAUCCUUGUUCUUGAGUUUUACGACGUCGUUACUCCUUCAAGAGGCUGAUUAUGCGAGUGAAUGAGGAAACAGAAUGCAUUAUCCAAUUUCACUCAUAUAGAAAAUUAAUUUUUUAUAUAUACUAAUCAACACUAGAUUGAUUAUGUUUUGUAUGUUUAUAUGCUAAUCAACAAUAAAUUAUAGUAAAUGAAGAAAUGCUUCAAAAUUUUUUAAUUUAAUUUAGAAAAUCAAUUAUUAACAUUAAUAUUCCUAAUAAAAAUUAUUUUCCAUCGGUAUUCAAAAUUUUCACUUAUAGAAAAUGCGUUUUACGUGAAUACAAGUUAUUGUGUAAAUUUGAAUGAUAGCGAAAAAUAUUUUUUUUAAUAAUUGUAAAAAUAAUUAACCAUAACAAAUCGCUUGCGUAAAUAAUAAUCAUUAUUUAAAAGGUAGAAAGAUGGUUAGUGCACAAUCAAAUUUUAAGCCCCUACCUCCUCGGCCCAAUAUUCAAACUUAGAUGAUCAGCCAAAUAAAAUUAUUUGAAAAUCAUUCAAUCAGGUUCUCGGGGCAAAAAUACAAGAUCCUUAUUUGCAUGAUAUAUAUGAAUUAAUGUAAUUUAUUUGAAUUAUCCAAAUUCAUUAGAGAUAAAACUAUAAAAUAUACGAAAAAAGUUAGAAGGAAGGGUGUGUUGGGAUAUUUUACAAACUAUAGGAAUCUGGUGAGAUUUUGAGCCAAACUGUAGGGAGUUGAAGGCAUUUGCCCAAUAUGUUUAGCCGUACACUAACCGUUAUUUGAUCUUGUUGUUGGUCCCGGAUGAGCUAUAGUCUUAUUUUAAUUUUAUUUAAACUCACCAUAAGAUUCGCAGAGCUCCUAACUAACUUAAAUGACUCUGCAGAGCAUGUCAACACAUAGCAUGUUUAACCGUUUUAUUUGUAGAAGAAUUUAUGAUUUCCCAUUAGCAUUAUUAUUGAAGUGGGGCGGGUCAAAUCUCAAUUGCUUGAAAAUUUUAUUUAUUAUUAUUAAUUUUGAAGUGGGGUGGGUAACGGUUCGUUCAAUUCGAGGGAAUCAAAUAUAUCAUCCAAGGUAGAAUUGUGGAAAAUUAAAGCAAAAUAAGAAAUAUGGACAGAAAAGAAGAAAGUUAAUGCAUGAAAGACAUUUACAGUUGAAAUUGAUAAUCAUGUUUCUAUUUUGUUAACUAAUCAAAUGGAAAACUGAACUGUAAACAAACAUUAAAACGUGUGGACCAAGCUAGCUGCCCUACAAGUCUACAAUAAUAAUUGAGUACUUUGAUUCAUCCUUCUAUGAAUUUCUACCCAUAUUGACUCCUCCGAAAUUUCCACAAAAUAAAAAAAAAAAAAAAACUGAAUUUCCACAAAAUGCAAAACCCGUAGAACUUAAUUUUUGGUCAUGUGAACUAAGAUGUAAAUUAAAGAAAAAGUAUAAAAUUAAAAAAGAUAAAAUUUCUAAAAUGUGUGGAAGGUGAUUCAUAAUUCACUGAAAUUACUUGCCCCAGAUAUAUAGGUAAACCUAUCUAAUUUCAUUAAAAAUAGUUGGAAAAAAUUAACUAAUAGAAAGCUACGGAAAUUAACCCCCCACAAAAAUAACUUUUUAUAGAAGAAUUUAUGUUUUUUAAAAUAUGUUAUCAAAGUGUAUUUGAUCAAAUCUCAAUUGCUUAGUAUGCUUAGGAUUUUGUGAACAUCACUAAAAAGCGAAAGCUAUGAAUGAUAGGGGUGAUGCUUGCAAUAUGAAUAAAUAAUGGACUGAUUCAAUUGAUGAUUACAUUUAUAUAUUAUUGAUUAUUUAUGAAUUUUCAGACUUGUUACGAUGUAUAACUAUGUGAUUUUGAAACUUGAAACCGUGGCAAACAUUGAAAGGAAUUAUAACUUGAAAUCAUGACUCACGGGGUAUGUCAUGAUUCACGUGCACAAAAAAAGGUAGAAUUGUGGAAAUUUAUAACCCAACGACAAAUACGGAAAGAAAGGAAGAAAAUUAAAAGACUUCGGGCCUAGCCUGCGUGUAUUAAUUAUUAGAUUAUUUUUUUUUUAUAAGGGUAAUCAUCAAUUUACUCCAUAACAAUCUUUAAUUCAUUUCUUAAAACUAUCAAAACUUUAAUUUAUCUUUUAAACAUCGUUACCUCUUCAUUGGUUUUAAUAGUUCAAAGGGUAAAAUUAUGUUUGCAUAUUUUCUUGACCGCCAACUAAAUGAUAAAACUCAAAAUUCAAUCUUGUUAUCUUGUUUCAAUCCUCUAUCAAUCAAAUAAGAUUUCUAAAAUAUGUGGAAGAUAUUGCAUGAUUUCCUCAACCUACCUGGCCCGAACAUCAAGGUAAAUAUCUCUAAAAUAGUUUAUUAAAUCUCAGUUGCUAAGUAUAGUAAGGAUUGUGUGAACAUCAAUCAAAACUAUGAUUGAUAGAAGUGAUCUUUGCAAAAUGAAUAAAUAAUUAACUGAAUCAAUUGAUUUACAUAUUAAAGUUUAUGAAUUUUCGGACUUGUUGCGAUAUAAUAAUAGCAUAUGAUUUUGAAACUUGAAACAGUGGUAAAUAUUGAAAGGAAUUAAUUUGAAAGCAUGAUCCGUGGGGAAUGUGAUGAAUCGUGUUUACCAAAAAGGUAGAAUUGUGGAAAUUUAUAACAGAACGAUAAAUAUGGUAAAAAGGAAGAAAAUUGAAAGACUUGGGGCCUGGCCUGGGUGUAUUUUCUAACAGUCCAAUGGACAAAAUUAUAUUUGUAUACUUUCUUAACAGUCAACUGAUUGAUAAAAGUCAAAACUGGUCUCUUUUUUUUUUCCUUGUUUCAAUCCCCUCUCAAUCAAAAAUGUUUCCUUGUCUAAGCAAUGAGGAAUAUGGCUGAAAAGAUUGCUAUUAGAAAGAUUUAUCAAUUGUAAUUGGUUUAAAAUUGAAUAGACACUUCAUUUUUAAGAUUGUUAUGAGUCAAUAUAGGUCCUAUUUGGGAUUGAGUUCUUGUAAUUUUUAAGCUACAGCGGCUGUGGAAAAAAAAUUAUAAUUAUGAAAUAAGAGUUAAAAACAUGUAAUAAAUAUAAAUUUUAAAUAAUAGUUUUGACAAAAUUAUAAAAUAUAUAAUAUAUCUUUCAUAAUACAAGUAAAAGAUCAUAUCAACAUAGAUUGCAAGCCACAACAGUUAGUGUUUACCAAACAAUUUAGUGCUGUAACUUUCAAGUUACAGCUGCCCAAUCUCAAUUUCAAAUGCACUUAUAAAGUGACUUGCUUCAAAAGCCUAGCAACCCAAAUUGGAAUGCUUUCAUUCAAGUGGCUAUAACUAAGAUAUAACGUCCCUAAGGAAGAGUAAUUAAAAAAUGUACCUUCUUUAACAUGUCCGUAUGGCAUUUUUUUUUUAAGUGAAUUUGUGUGAUAGAGAGAGGAUGUCAGCAAGAUAGUAAACUCCUAAAUAUAUUAUUGUUUGUAAUGUCUAAAAUUUGAAGAGAAUCAAGCUAAUAAAACUCCAUUGAAAUUAGACCUUCAAGAGUACGGUUCUUGGGCAUUAUAAAAUGUUGUAAUGUCGAGAGAUUACCCAACCAUUAUGGAAUCCUACCAAGAUGAUUGUUACCACUAAGAUACAAUCCUUCUAGUGAACAACAAUCAGACAAAUUUUUUGGGGAUCUCUCUUACAAAGUGAUUACCAUCCAAUCGCAAUUUUGAAUGAAAAUAAAUUUUUUUUAUUGGGAGUUUGACCUUAACAUUAAAUUUAGACAAUGAAUUUUAACUUUCUUCAAUUAUUAAACAGUUUACAGACAUUUGACAAAUUUGAAAACACUUCAUCCAUAGAAAGUUAAAAUUAGAGAUGGAAGCUAGGUGCUACAGCUAAUGGGAACAUUAAUUCCUGUCCCUCAUCACACUUUAUUUUGGGUCUAAUAAUUUUACGGCAGCAUUGACCACUGCUCAAGGUAAGUAAAACUUACAAAUGUGUGGCAAAAUAAAUAAUUAAGUGCAUAAAUUGUUAGCUAAUUUUCUUGAUAUAUACAGCUAAAGUAGUCGUUCCCCUUUAAAAAAAAUGUUAAACAAUUUCGGCUGAGCCUGCUUGUGGUUUUGAUAAAAAGGAGGGGCUGGCUUCAAAUAUUUGAAUAGGCAUCUCCGCCGUACCUCAAACAAAUCUGUCAUUAUUUGUGCCAUGAAACAUGUUUCGGCCGUCGAAGUCACGAGAGGGUUGAUGACGCUACUACGUAUGAUGACACACCAGCCGACAGUGUAGUAACAGCUCAAAAACAAAAUCUACCAAAAUCAACGAAAGUUAAUAAAAAUUUAUUUUAUUAAUAAAAAUAAAUAAAUAAACUUAUUAUUUUUGGAGACGUGUGUAUUUGAGUCUGUGGACUGAAAUGGAAAAUAUGAAGAAGUUCAGAGUCGUUGUGCAGAUUGACUUCAGUUAAAUGGGUCUAGUAGAUAUUUUAUGCUGACGUGGCACGAAUUAGUUAUAAUCUGUUACAACGUUUCCAGAAACAUCAGUAUAAAUAGAAGCUGAUGAGCAGUGCCUGUUGUACGAUCCUUUUUCUUCGUCAGUUGUUCGUCAAUUUUCAUAGAAUCUGUUUCAUUGUGAUCUGUACAAAGUCUUCUGUAAAUCCACUUAUGUUUGAUUAGUUGUUGAUCACUAACGAAGUAAAUUUUUCCUUCAAAUCUUGCUGGUUCGUGCCCCUGUUUCAGUUCUGGAUUUUUCUUUUUCUUUUUUUAGUUCUGGUUUCUUAAUUCAAUUGAAUUUCUUGGUGCUUAAUUCAUCAAGAUUCAGUGGAAUCGACUUGAAAAGGAAAACAUUAUCCACCUGGAACGACUUCAAGUCCAAAGUAAAAGACAAGAGUGGCUCCCCGCAAUUUUCUUGUUUUCAGUAUAUUUUCUCUUUUUCUUUUUUAAAAUCUUUUGACGCAUGCAUAAUAUACCCUUGUUUAUUAUCUCUACUUUGCUCUGCUCAAGUCCAUUUUUUUCAAAUAUUAUUUUAAAUAAUAAAUUUAAUAAAAGUACAUUUGUGUAAUUAAGACUCUGCUAUUAUAUCACACAUACGCAUAUAAUAUAACUAAGCAUUUGUUAUUAUAGCAAAGAUCCAUAGCAUGAAAGUGAAUAAAUUUAACUAAAUGGUUAAUUAAUCAAUUAAGUUUCAUGAGCUUUAAUCGAGUUAAAACCAAGUACAAACAUCGUUAACAAAUACUGAAAUUGAGUAAAUUAAAAAAAUAAAAAAAAUUAAUUCAAGUAAUAUGUAGUUUUUACAUGUUGAUCAGCAGAAUACAACAUUAAAUUUUGUCAUUGACAAUAUUGCAUACCAGUCAUCUAAAGCAUUACCUCACGAGGUUUUAUGAGAAACGAAAGAUAAGUGUUUGCUCUGAACAAUUAAAGUUGCUGCUACCAACCUCCCCGAAGACCAAGAAGACGGAACAGGAAGCUAAUGCAUCAAUGUCUUCUUCAUUAUAGCUGCUGCGUAGUUAGGUGUAGUUUCCUCAUUUGAAGCUGUCUAUACAUAGGCUUUCCCCCUGCUUAUGUACAAAUAAAUGAACAGCCUUGAAGCUUUAUUAUUCGCAACAAAAGGGAUUACCAAUUGGAGAAGACUUUACAGAGUUCCUCUCACACACUCUCUCAAUUUCAUCUAGAAGUCCCUCCGAAAGCAUCUCCCAAAACAGUUAGUCAUCUUUUAUACUCUGUUUUCUAGAAACAGAGUCCUAACUAAAUUAAUUGACUGUACAGUGCAUUUCAACAUAGCAUAUUUAACCGUUUUAACAGUAAUUUUAACCGUCUUCUGAGUUAUCAUCAACAAAUUCAUUCAUAUUUCUCCAGUCUUACGGACGAUAUCAUAUGUUUAAUAAUGAAUGAAUAGUCUUGGAUCAGUGUUUUGCAGCAAAUUCACAUCAUAGUUUUGAUUCUUUAGAUAUGAAUUCAUCACAUUACCGAAAAGAAUAUGCGCUAAAAAAUGAUUCCAAGACUAUUUGACUACCAAAAGCUGCUGUCAGAGUGCACUGAAAUCUUGACUCCUCUCAGCGAAAAAUAUAUCAAAGUUUAGAUUAUGUGUUCGAGCUUUAAUAAAUGCCUGAGUUAAUAAUAAUAACAACAAUAAUAAUAAACUAAAAAGCAAAAUUACUAUUGAAUGAUCGGAAAAAAAAAAAUUUGAAAACGUGUGAACUCCAAUAACCACCCCACAAAUUUAGUGGCGAAUUUUGGAGAGGGCAAGGCCGGGCUUCUCAGAAAAAAAAUGACGAGUAGAAUUGUGGAAAAUUAAGCAAAAUGACAAGUAUGGAAAGGAAGGCUGAAAGUAAGGCAUGACGAAAGGCUUUGAGAAGGCUGAAGACUACCAAAGAAGACAACUGAAAGCUAGUUGGGGCCUGGGUGUAUAAAUUGUAGAUGUGUUUGUUAUAAAUAACAUAGAGCCCUUUUGUUAUUUAUAGUUAUAGAGAAAGAGAGAAUGUGUGUUUUUUAAUAGUUAGAGAUAUAGCUAGAAUGGGUGGUUCAAAAUCCAAAAUGGUGACAAUGUUAGUUCUCGUAUUAAUAAUAUUAGGGAGGGGGGGGGGGGGGGGUGUGGAGUGAGGGAUGUUUGGAGCAUGAGGAAUUUGCUCAUUUUCGGCUUAAACAUUUCUUCAAUUCCCCUUAUAGACUUCAAAACUGGGUAGGUGAACAAAGGGAAAGGGUUGAGUGCAGCAACUCCACAGGCCGAGUGGUACAACUACACCUUAGUCUUACUAGGAAUAUCGAUCUGGGAGUGUGGUAUCUGAAUGCUUCUCUAUUUACUCCCUUUCAACAACUUGGUAACAAAAUAGCCGGCUGCAUGCGUUGAGAAUGAAGGUCCUUCAUUUAAUUUAAUUUACUUAAUUUCUCCCUCCUAAUUAAUGUCUAUAACCAUUAGGAGGAACAAGGGAUUUUAUUAACUCAAAUAUAUCUAAUGGAGCUCAUUCUUUGGUUUUACUUGCAGGUAUAGAAGCAGGUGUCAUCUAACAGCUGCUUUGAUAAUUUCCCACCCCUUCAUCUUUGAUGGAAAGAUGAAAUAAAAACAAAAUGGUGAAAAUGGUAUUGGUACCUGAGGCUAUGUAAUCUAAUUCAAAAACUGCACCAUCAAAACGAUUACAUAAGUCCCAGAAGAAUCAAACGUUAGUUUGCAAAAUAUCAAUUGCUGGAGUUGUUUCGGUUGCACGUUAAUAUCAAUUCCGCUCUUGAUUUUUAUGGGCAUGUUGUAUUGUACUUGCAUACGAAAAUCAUAUUUUAGUUUACUUCACUCAACACUUGGAUUAAAGUUUUAGGUGGGGAAAAUUGAAGGAGACUAAAAUGACUCAAAAAAAUAGUUGAAUGAGUGAGGGUUUUGUCUUCAUUUAAGGAGCUCUUUAUAAAUUUUAGGAUUCUUUUUCCUGAGAAAAUUUAUGCCAACUCAUUCUUUGCUUCUUUUUUGAAGGGACACAUGCAACCGAAAGUAUAUUCUUGAAUUCUCCAGGAUAAGAGACAUACGUUUAGAUUCUGGAGCAUUUAAAACAAUGUCAAAUUUUAGAUUGCUGAAAUUUUAUAUAUCCGAGUAUGAUGGUAUUCCAAUUAUAAGCUCCAGGGUGCAACUUCACUGAGGUUUAGAAUGCCUUCCUAUAGAAUUGAGAAAUCUCCAUUGGCCUAAAUAUCUUUUGAAAAUACUGGCAUCAGAUUUUGAAUUGGAGAACCUGAUUGGACUCAGCUUGCCUUGUAGUAAGGUUAAGCAAAUUUGGAAAAGAGAAAAGGUAUAAUGUAUUACUAUUACCAAAGUAUCUAUUUUUCUUUCUUUAAGUAUUUAUAAUGAAUAACUUUGAAAUUCAAUGAUGCUCAUUUAGUAUAGUUAUGUAUCUUUGGUUAUAGGAAGCUGUCAAGUUAAAAUCUAUAGACCUUCACCACCCCUCUAUCUCAAUAGGAUCCCAGAAAUACUAAAUCUUAAAAAAAUAAAUCUUUCAAAUUGUGAAAGCAUGCUUACGUUACCCCCGUAUAUCCACAAUUUCAACUAGCUGAGUAUGUUGUGUUUCAGGGAUGCAAAAUUCAUUUUGUUUCUCAUGAAAGGAUUGACUUGUCCGGAUGUAUUAGGGUUAAUAAACCAACUAAUCCCAUAAUUUGUUGAUGUAGUAGAUUGUAGAUCAGUACACUAUUCGAAAAUGUAUUUGAUCCACACAGUGAAGUGGAUAUUGGACCAAUUUGAUGAUAAUGAUUUUCUUUCAAUCUCAAUCUUUUUUCCUUUUAGCAACAUGACUAGUCAUUGCGCAAAUUCAAACUCUGACAAUGAUUUCUCAAUCGGUUUCUAAGAUGAUGACCAUGCAUGUAUAUGUAUAUGCGUGUGUAUAUGUGUGUGUGUGUGUGUGUAGAGAGAGAGAGAGAGAUCACACGUGUGUGAUUUCCUUUUGCCAAUAGGAUAUGCAGAGAGCUUGAUCUUACCCAAUAGCGAAACAAACUUCCUAAUAAGUGAAGGUUAGUAUAAAUACUUACACUUUCAUGUUAUUUUGUUCAUCAGUAGCUUGAUUAUUUUAUAUGCGUCUUCGAUUUUAAUUUUCUUUCCCUAUAAUCACUAUUAUCUUUGAACUGGUCGUGAUUUGCGUAUAAGAUUUCUCAUGUUGUUUUGAGGUGCAAUGGAUUUUGAAUUUAGUGACGAGCGGUGGAAGCCAGAAGGCAGAUUAUGAAAAUGGAUAAAGAUCUAUAAUUAGCUGUUAUGGGAUGUCACAUAUCAUAUUGAUGGUAACAUUAUAUAUAUGUACAUAUAAUUAAUGGGGUUGGCUCACGAGCCCAUUAAUAAUCAUAUAUUAGCUUAAAUACUUCAAACAAUGUACCAUGAAGCAAUUUCACAAACACUUUUUAGCUUAUGUUGAGCUUUAUCAAUAAAAUGCAGGUUUGCUAUUUUACGUACAUGGUUAUGGUGUGUGCAUUCUUCAUAAGGCUAACUACUAAUUUAUCAAUGAAACUUGAAAAAUGUGACAGAGAGAUGUCGAUAACAGCCGCAAAACACUGAGAUCGAAAAUCAGGGCUACUAAAUACUAUUAAAAGCUCUUAAAAUAGACAGUGAUCAUCCUUAAUCGCAAAGUUAUGCACUAAUAGAACUAUUGACUACUUAUCUUUAGCAGAAGGUAUAUUUUUAACUACAGCUUUCUGCUUUGUUCUAAGAACUAGGCAAGUGGUAUAUCUUCAAUCCAAUCAACGCAUAUACCACUUAUCUUCCUCUUCACUUUUGUCUAUUUUGAUUUCCACUUUAUAUCCUGCACUUGCUGCUUAGAAAUAGUCUUAGUCUGGACAUUGAAAGUAGAAAAAGUACUUGAAACAAUCAUUGGCACAGCCCGAGAUUCCAUUGAAUCGUGGACUCCAAGCUUUCAUAGUUCUAUAAAGAAAAUGACAUAACUUUAUACAACUGGCAUUCUGCUUUUAACAUUUGAUCAACCUGAGCGAGUUAGCAAGCCUCUUGUCGCGUUCCCAUUGAAUAGACCUACUUCUGUUAUCCACAGAAGAUCCACCACUCAAAAUGUUUAUCACCAGGCUAUUCUUAAACUGAGCCUAAACUGAGUAGAAAUUUCCGCACAUCUCUCAACAUUUACAUGAAGAAAUCGACAACUAUCCUCAUCUCUCAGCACAUCUCUCAGCAUUCUACAAAGUUGCAUUUCACUAAGCAAUCUAUCCUCUCCAUUCCUAGCAAAGUGACAUUGAUUCAUGUAUUUGUAAUCGCCUAACUUGGGUUUUGGGCAUAGCGUGGUCUUAAAAUUACCACCCAAUACUUUGUUCAGUGCCACUGGCAUCCACAAGCUCUAGCCCUGUUAGCUGAAUCAUAUUCAAUGGGAGAGUGAGGCAGCAUUUCACUAACAUAUUCAAUUUGACUACUUAUAUUGAUGCAAAUAUUAGAAUUUGAAAUCACUUCUUUUCUUGGAAUAUUAUAUUAAAAUGACCCCAAAUGAAAGUUCUUUAAUGGAAAUUAUUUUUAUUUAAUUUUCCAACAGAUUCAAGAAAACCCAGAGAACACAAAAUUUACACAGUAAUAUGAUUAAGAGCUGAGAACAUACAUGUAGUAAAUGUCUAUCAAAAAACACCCAAGUGUUUCUUUAAAAUUAGAAACUAGUAAACAAAAAGAAAGAAUCAUUUUACAUUUUUAGCAACUUUGGGGUGAGUGAGUGAGUGAGUGAGUGAGAAAUUGAAACCCUAAAGUGAUGACAACAGUAAGAUUCAGUAUGAAGUGAAACCCCAAUUUGAAAUGUAGGCAUGAGUUGCUGAGUCAGUAGAUGAAGCUAUAAAUAGGCAUUCGGUUUCCUUCUUUUCGGUUUGGAGGGCCAUGGAAUAGUGUAUUGGAGUGGGCUCCAAGUAAUAGCCUCUAUCACUGGAACGACACAUCUGUAAAACGUGAUACAUGGGGAAGGAUUGGGCAUUAUAUUCUUAGAUUAGCGCCUUAUUUAGGGUGUAUAUUAAGCAAAUUAUAUAUUACAUGGAGAUGGAGUUUAUGAAAUAGAUUAAAAAGAAAAGGAAAUUUCGGUGUCUAAAGUUUGCUACUUGGAAUAUUUCGGUGUCUAAAAAUUCACUCACCACUUAUUUCAUGUUUGAUUAUAUGUUGAAAAGAUAUUAAAAUAGUAUAAUGCUAUUAAGGCUUAACGUAUAUUUUUUAUUAGUAGAGUGUAGAAUUUUUAAGAAAUAAAUUAUUAAAUUAUUAUAACUAACAUAUUAUUUUAAAGUUGUGUUAUGAAAAAAAUGAAAUAAAAAUGUACAAUAAAUAAGAAUAUUUUAAAACUUUUAUCUUUUUAAAAUUAGUUUUUAACAUAAGGUGAACUAUUUUUUUUUUUAAAUCACAUAUUCUAGUUAAAAUCAAAUAUGUAUUUAUAUGAAGCUUGUAAAUUUUUUUUUUUAGUACUGAUAUUUGAAUAUUAUCAAUAAAAAAAAGGGUAAUGUUCAUGCUGCAUUAUUUUUGUAGCACACAAAAGGACAACAAAGUUUAUGUUAUAAUACUAUCGCUUCUGUUAUGAUAAUAUUUUUUUGUGGCCAAAUAUCUUUUUUUUUUUUAAGUAAAAAAAAGUGGACAAAAUGCAAAUCAGUUUUUAAUCCUCAAUCUCUCCCAAAAUAUAAAUUCGUAGGUCCAUGGGUUGUUAAAACUAUAGCCGACAAAAAGUUACUAACAAAAACAGAAUGUCCAUUUUAUAACUUUCUUAAAAAACUUUCCUUAACUUUUUUAAAAAGUUACCAACAAAAAGUUAUUUCUAAUUUUUAUUUUGUUAUAAUUUUUAUAACAAAAUUCGUAGUUAACUAAACUCUUCUUAUUCCCUUUCUCAACUGCCAUACCCUAACCCGAGCAAAUUGCGUAGGAUAUACCUGUUUUCCCUCAAAAUACUUAAAAUAUACCUCCAUAUAUUAAAAUUGCUAGCUUUACACAUUUAUACUUAAAAAGAUCAGGGAAAAUACAAAAAUAACCUUAAUAAAAAUACUCAACUUAUUAAUAUGCUUAAUCGACUCAUUUAAUAUUCUUACUCGACUUUUUACCGGACCAUACACUCGACUUAGUUAAUAUGCUUACUCGACUUAUUUAAUAUUCUUACUCGACUUCUUACCCGACCAUAUACUCGAUUUAUUUAAUAUGUUUACUCGACUCAUUUAAUAUUCUUACUCGACUUCUUACCCGACCAUAUACUCGACUUAUUUAAUAUGCUUACUCGACUCAUGUAAUAUUCUUACUCGACUUCUUAUCCGACCAUAUACUCAACUUAUUUAAUAUGCUUACUCGACUCAUUUAAUAUUCUUACUCGACUUCUUACCGGACCAUAUACUCAACUUAUUUAAUAUGCUUACUCGACUCAUUUAAUAUUCUUACUCGACUUCUUACCGGACCAUAUACUCGACUUAUGUAAUAUGCUUACUCGACCCAUGUAAUAUUCUUACUCGACUUCUUACCCGACCAUAUACUCAACUUAUUUAAUAUGCUUACUCGACUCAUUUAAUAUUCUUACUCGACUUCUUACCCGACCAUAUACUCGACUUCUUUAAUAUGCUUACUCGACUCAUUUAAUAUUCUUACUCGACUCAUUUAAUAUUCUUACUCGACUUCGUACCCGACCAUAUACUCGACUUCUUUAAUAUGCUUACUCGACUCAUUUAAUUUUCCUACUCGACUUCUUACCCGACCAUAUACUCGACUUAUUUAAUAUGCUUACUCGAUUCAUUUAAUAUUCUUACUCGACUUCUUACCCGACCAUAUACUCGACUUACUUAUCUCUAAUUCUUACUCGACUAAAUUCUCGAUUUACCCGACUUCUUCCUGCACUGAUUCUUCAAUCACUCAUAACUUAAAUGUAGUCUUAAAUCCCUACAUUGAAAUAGUGUGUGUGUGCAAGCACAAAAAAUGAAUAAUGUACUACUAAAAUUCAUAAAUCAUUAGGAAGUACACUUAUAAGAAAAAUAGAGAAUGGUGAGAGAAGCCCAAAAAAGAGAAGCAAUGGGAGAAGAGAGAUGUGAAUUCUUAGUUUUUUUAAGGUUAUUUUUGACUUGUCCUAUCUUCAUAAGGUAUAUGUGUGUAAUAGGGUACAAAUUUGGCAUUUAAGGGUAAAUUGAGGGUAUUUAAAUAAAAAACCCCCUAACCCUGUUCCCCAUGUCCCCACUAAACCACGCUCAAUUAAGGCCAUCAGAUUCUCCCGGGCCCACAUUAAUCCAACUGCUCACAGAGACCGACAGCCUCUCUAUCUCCAUUUCAAGCUCCCUCUUCAACUGGCUUCUGCUACCGUCCUACUCUUUCUCGGCUUCGGAGUCCGUAUUUGCUCGGCCUGUCCCACGAAGCUCCCUCUCACUCCAAUUGUCGCCCCACAAGACCAAUUGCUUAAUCAAGACACCGAACAAGAAGAGGAUGAGAAGUUGAAACAAGAAUUUGAGAAUUGGAAAUCAAAAACGUUUGAGAGUCGUUUCUCUUCAGAACUCAGCGCCUCAAUCUUGGGUUAAGGAUUUUAGAAGUCAGGGAAAGAGAUUGAAGUUUCAGAUGAAUUUGUGUGCUAGCAUUGAUGGGAUCUUUAACAAUUUAUCUGUGCCCUUUAACAAAGUUAAGUCUAAGUCAGCUUCUUAUAUGGCUGCUGAUUUGGUUAGUGUUGGUGAUUCAUGGCUUAGUUUUGCCAUUAAAAAUAGAUUGAUUGAGCCAAUAGCUGGAGCUGAAGACCAAGAUUGGUUCAAAUGCUUAAGUCACAAAUGGAAGGUAACAUCUUUGUCUUUGAUCCUCGAGGUAAAAUAUGGGCGGCACCAUACAGGUGGGGCACAACGGUGAUAGCCUGCAAGAAAAUUAAAUUUCGAAAGCAUAAUUUGGCUCCGAUUGAGGUAAUAAUUUUCUUUAAACUCAUUUAGUUUUAUAUCAAACAAAAUCAAGAAUGCCUUUCUCUUCAAUAUUUUUUAUGAUAAUAUCUUUAGAAGCAUCUCAUUGACGGGUAACAAUGGCAUCCCUGAAAGAGUCUAUAAACUCAAUGAUAUUAUCUUCUACAAAUGGUUCAUUAAACUUUGUCGUUGUACUCAAAUGUACACUCAGAGCAAUGAGAAGCUAUGCCACUUUAGCAUGUAGUGAUGGCACUUAAUAAGUGAGUUGCUAGGAUGUGAACUAGAAAAAUUAAAUAUUGUCUCCUUGGGUAUGCUAGCUCGUAAGUCAGGGUUAAUAUCAGAGCUUAAGAUAGUAUAACCGUGAGAACCUAUUGACUGCCAAUUAAAAUAUCCAUUAAAAUGUCUAGGGAGUUAUGAAGGUGGAGGUAACUUCCGAUUUCUAGGGCCACAUGGUAGACAUCAUCCAGGAUUCUAGGAAAGUGCAGUUAACUUCCUGCUCGAUGCAAUUAAUAAAUUUGGUCAAUGCCACUGAAACCUGCUAACUGACAUCACAAUGUGACAUGAGCACUUCAAAAUGGGACAGACGGUCAGUAGCACUAAUUUUUUCUUGGCUAGGAUUGAGCAAUUGGUCUAACUACUAAUCCCCUAUUGUAGGUUGAUCAUUAUUUUUUAAAUUAUGUUCAGUUUGACCCAAAAAGUUGCAGAAUCUUGAGCAGAAUUUUGUCACUGAACACUGUCAAUGUCAUUUAGCAUAGCCCACUAACUUGAUGUUAAAACAAACACACAGUGUGUCUCAUGUCUCACAAUUCAAAUUAUCAUCUGUAAUGAUGGAGAAUUUUUCCAAUGUAUGAAGUAUGCUUUGAUAUGUGGGUUACCUUGGAGAAGAUAUCUCAAAAUAAAGAAUAUGGGGAGAAAACAGUUCAGUAGUUUAUUAUUCUGUAGUCAAGUUUUGUCUCGAAAAUGGUCAAAAUUUAAAUGAAUAAGGACAGGGGAUCUUCAUUCUUUUUUCCCUUUUUUAUACCAAGAUAUCUCUCAACCUUUAUAUAAUCCCCACUGGAUAUCUGCUUCUAAUAAUUAAAAUAAAAAUUUCACCGCUCUAACAAUAAAAAGUAACAUCUUUAGUCAAAUAAUUUACAGUUCCUCAUCAUCUUAGUGUGAGACUAUCAGUACAUUCCAAAAACAUAAUAAAACUGGUUUGAUCCUGUUUAUUGAUGUUUAAAUGUUGUUCAUUGUGACAUGUAGAAAUGAUGAGGCGAAGUUUAUUUGGACAUCAAUUAGUAAGAUCUUGUUUGAAGUUGUUUUCUGAAAUUUCUGAAAUGAACUGCCAAAUGGUAGUUUUUUUGGGGCAUUUGAUGGCUCUUUUUUUUCCCUCAUUUUCAACAUGUGCCUGCUUGGAACAGGAAGGAUUAGGCUGCAGAGUUGUUAUAUAUUUUGAGAUGCUCUGGUCAUUGCACAAUUUGUUCACACUGGAAAUUAGAAUGAGAAAUUUGUUGAUGCUGUUUUGAGAGAUCUGCAUUCUAUGCACAAUAACAUGAUUAAUGAAAAUGCAUUGUAAGACUGGAAAGAUCUGUGGCAGCCUGAGCUCGCAGGAAGAAUUUCAAUGGUUAAUUCUCCCCGAGAGGUUAUUGGUUCAGUUUUGAAGUAUAGGGUAGCAUCAUACAAUUCAAAUGAUAUUGAUUCGCAAGUUGCUGGUGGGAAGAUUGCUGUUCAGCAGAAUCUGGCAUUACUGGCAAACCAGGUACUCUUACAGAAAUGAUAUCUGCUCAUUGCAUGUUAUUGCCUGACAACUGAUUUUGUUUGUAAAAGUCUGCUUCUUCAUACAGAUGAAUGCAUAUGUUAGUGUUUUCUUCUCCUUUUCAUACAUAUAAAUGCAUAUGUUAGUGUUGUCUUUUCUUUUUCAUACAUAUUAAUACAUAUGUUGGUGUUCUCUCCUGAGAUGGAUGCAAUAAAGGCUUUUGCUCCUAAAUUUAGCUGAAGAAAUGGCAAGGGAUGUGAGAUUCUGUCUCAUUAAAUUAACAAAAACCCAAAGCAAUGAAAAUCCAUAAUAAUGUGGUGUGGGUAAAUUGGCUCCAUUUGGUUUGUUUCCUUAAUGUGAAUGCGCGAGCAAUAGAGACUAACAAAAUGAAGUGACAACAAGAAGUCAGUGUCCUUUGAUGGAUGCAAUUUUAGGCAGAAAUCAGUGUCCUUUGAUGGAUGCAUUUUUAGGCAGAAAUAUGUUUGUAAUUGACCAAAUUUGUCUGGCAUGCCAAUUUCAAAAAAAUUAAAUUAUGUGGUUAUUAGCUGUAAUGAAGGAGGAUAGUAGGUGCAAUCAUGUGGAUCCAGGAAAGUUCGACAAAGUUUUGGUAUGGCGUAGUGAAAUUGGUUUGUGCAACUCAGGAGCCUUUCAGGUGAACGAUGAUAGGUUUUGAUUUAUGAAUAUUAUAAAUCUACUGUGCAUAGUAUUCUAGUAGAAUCAUCUACAAGUUCUAGUUAUUGAAAUUGUAUACUUUGCCCGGUUUGAGUUAAGGGCACAUGUAAUAUGAAAGAUAGUUGUCGCAUCUUUUAGGUUACCUAACAUUUGAUCAAUCCUAUUAUGGGGGCUUCAAGAUGUCUAACAAUAUGUAGAAUGCCCAUGCUCCUCCCCAUUGUUUAUCUUCUACAAUAAUUUGUUUUAAAUGCUAAUAUCUUUGUCGAUACCGGUAACAAUAUUACAAUAUCUGCAUUUAUUGGGUUUUACAUAGGUUCGACUGUUUGACAGUACACACUAUCUGAAGGCAUUUGCAAUUGGAGAUGUAUGGGUUGCUGUUGGGUGGAUUAGUGAUGUUCUUCCUACUGUCAAACAUAUGUCUAAUGUUGCUGUUGUUGUUCCCAAGUCUGGUGCUAGCUGCCUGCCAUUCUACUUCGAUAUUCACAUUGUUAUCUCCUUCAUAUUAGCGAUCAGUAAACACGAUAAUGUGGCUAAUAAGUUCGUAUUCUCUUUAUAGGCAAUCCCUGCUGCCUCAAGACUUGAAACAAAACAAAUUGGAGGGCGAGUCAGAGGUCCAUCUCCAUUAAUCCAUCAAUGAAUAGAAUUCUGCUUGCAAACAGCGAGAUUUUUGCCUUGCAAGCAAGAGGUUAUCCCGGGUGCAUCUCCCUCUGCCCUUGAAAGUACUCUGGUUAAGUUGCCUGAAGAACUUCUGGAGGGUAAACCAAGUCUGGAUACUAACUUAAUUGCUGGAGUACUCCCGGCUGAAAUUCUGGCCAGAUGUGAGUUUUUGGAGCCAUUAUCUGAAGCUACUUUGUCAGAUUAUGAGUGGCUGGUUGUUAAUCUGCAAAAACCUGCUCCUGUCUUGAUGAAAAGGGUGCAACAUUACUUGUCAUCAUUAAUCUAAAGCUUUCUAGCAAGAGCUACACUGAAAAGUUAAUGGCGCUGCAUGCCAGUCAUUAUAAUGCUGUCAGGGCAAUUGGGUCAGGGCAAUUAGGUCUGAGCAUAACUUCAUUAGGAAAAGAGGCUUCAGCUACGUUAAAUAUUACAGGAUGUACUGAGAUGGCUGAAGUUCUGAAGGUUUUAUGAGAAGCGAAAGAUGAGUGUUUGUUUGAACAAAGUUGUUGCCAAUCUUGCAGAGUUCGGAAAGAAAGAUCACGGAGCGAAUGCCACCGAUUUCUUCAUCAUUUUAGCCUCCAUAGUUGAAGUUUCCUCAUUUGAAGCUGUUUAUGCAUACGCUUUUUCCCUGCUCUAGUACAGGAAAUUGAAGAAUUAACCAGAUGUGAUAUGCUGAAAGAGGGAAGUUUUCUUCCUUGAAUGUGGCCUUUGUGAUUUGUCUUGAAGGAAUAGGAUGAUCACUGGCAAGAACCCUAUCAAGGUAGAUUUUAUGGUGUUAACAUAUUAUUAGGCAUUUUGUUACAUCAUGAAAGUGUUUAAAUUUAACCGAAUGAUCUUGAUUGAUCAAUUAUGAGUUUUAAUCGAGUAAAAACUAAAUACAAUAAUCGUUAACAAAUAUUGAAAUUGGGUAAAUAUGAUCUUGAUAUUGAAGAAUUUGAAAUCACAACCCACACAGGAAAUCACCCUUCGCGUGGGGAUGGAGAUGUUUACUGCAGCGAUAUUGAAUAUGUCCACUGCUCUUUGGGUUAUGGUGCGACUUGCGAUUUCAAGGUUGCCAUGAAACAAUGGAAAAGAUUAACAUACCCUCCAAUGAAUGAAAACGGGUGGACUAAUUCGGAUUACCUAAUUGACUCAGGAUCAAGAUCGGCUGGCAAUAAUAACAGUUUAUUAACAAUGCACAGUCCGAGUACCUUUCCAGGAUCAGAUACGACGUGGUCUAAUGUUGAUAAUAAUAGUUUAUUAAAUGACAAAUCGUUGUUCUUGGGUGUUGAUUUCAGAAAUAAAAUACAUUCUGAGAGAUGCUGGUCUACUAUUGCAAGCCCCCAGAUUUAAGAAUAUUUUGAUGAUAAUUUAUCACCGGCAACUGUGCCGGAAGAUUCAAGUAGCACUGAAAAAGAUGAUAAUUUAAUUGAUAUGGACAGUUUCCAUAUCACUUUUAAAUCAUCUUAUGUAAUUGUAAUGUUAGGAAGCAUUAGUGAUCUAAAAGUGAACUAUUAUUGGUGUCAUUGGUGGUUUUAUCUUGUUAAAAUAUGGAUGAUAUUUUAUUGUAGACAAUCUUAUUCAAUUAACAUAUGGUUUAAAACCAUUAUGUUUUAUAUAAAUCAAUCUACUAAUUUUCAUGAUAUUUAACUGAGUUAAAAUCAAGUGCACUCAAUAAAUGUCUUUUCCUUUAAAAAAACAGCUACGCUUUGAUUUUAGUGCUUAAUAUUUCGUAACUACAAAUUAUAUAAUUGCGAGUUGCUGUCCAUAGCUGCUAAUUUGUAGUGAUUAUCUAAUUGCCUGAGGUGACAAUAAUUCUUUUAUCUUCAAUAGCACAAUGUGGAAUUCAAUAAUUAAAUUCUCCUAUUUAAUUUGUUUCAAGUUAAAUUAUUAAUUACUUAAACUCUGUUUUAAGUCUUUAAUUUUAUGUGUUUAUGCAGAAUUGGAUUCUUGAGCGUGUUGGACAUGACCAACAAUGAAAUUGACAGUAAACAAACAUUACAACGUGUGGACUCCGGUAAGCACCAAUGAAUUUCUAGCCCUGUUGACUCCGCCAACUAAAGUUUUGUAAAAUAAAAAAAUAAUACAUAGAAUUCCACCAAAUGCAAAACGCGUGAAAUUUAAUUUUCGGCCGUGUGGACCAAAACAUAAUUUAACGAAAAAGGAAAAAAAUAAUAAGAUUUUUAAAAUGUGUGGAAGGUAAUCCAUAUUUUACUGAAACGACUUAUUAAAUUUUUCAAGGAUUUAGAAUAUUUGAUCAUAAAUUACGUGCAUGUUAAUUUUUCCGCCAUUGACUAUCAUAUUCUAGACUUAAUGGUACCUUUCUUGAUGAAGGGUACUUAGUCUCUCUUCUCCUCUUAUAAAAAUUAUAUUAAUUGAUUUCUUGUUAUAGUUAAUAGACUUUAAGAACGGAUAGAUUUAUUGUUUUCAUGACCAAAUUAUGCAUGCCUAAGGUUGCAACUAUUAAUAAAAUUAAUAUUUAAUGUUUAUGUUAAAAGAUAUAAGUUUUUAUGCAUUCAUUAAUUGUUAUUAGCUAAAGGAUGAAUUAUUUUUUCCCAAUCAGUUGAUGCAUCUGCAAUAGUUUUUUUUUUCUUUUAUUGACCAUAAUUAUAUUCCGGGUGCAAUAAAUUGUCUUUGGUGCUUGGAAAAUAUGACAUCUCUCCGUCAACUUACUGGAAAUAUCUCCUCAUCUACUCGCAUUUAUCUAAUAUCAAUUGAAGAUCUCAUAUUUCCAAACUAUGACUUCCAAAUCUCAUUAUCAUUUGAGCAUUCAAAACUAAUCAAGUGUGGAAAUAAUCAAAUAUAUGCAAAAAUCGAGUCACAAUCUUUGGCCCCUCAAAAUUCUAAUUAUAUAACUUCUAUAUAUCUCAUACAUUUUCCAAAUUCCUCUUCCAUCAACAUCACUAGGAGUAUGUUCAUCUCUCACACAUUAACUUGAGUGAAGAGUUUCUAAAUUGAUUGUUAGAAAAUAAUACAAAAGCUAGACACGCUUGAUCUGUCUAAUAAUUCUCUUUCUGUAAAAUUAAUUAAUUUUAGGGGAAUUUAGCCAACCUCUGUAAUUUCAGAGUGAUCAUUAAUUAAUUAAACAAUACAAAUAUCUAAAGUGAUUAGAUGUUUGCUGACAAUACAAGUUCAUGGCUUGAAAUUUGAUCUCUAUCGAUUGACUUACAGAUGGACGUACUUGUGCCUUUCUGGUGAUAAUUGAACCAGAGAUGUGAAGCUGUAAGGAUUUGGCAGUAGUAAAUUGUUAUAAAGACAUAAUGACAAAUUCCCAUGAUUAUUAUUUUUUCCAAAAACUUUUUUACAACAAAUUCAUCUCGCCAAAAAUUUUAUUUUGCUAACUAACAAUAAUUGAGCACUUGACCGCAUUGACUCCACGUCUCCACCUACUUUCUAAGUAAAAACAUGGAAAUGUAAUCUCUACAAAAUGCCAAACGUGUGGAAUUUAAUUUUUGGCCUUGUGGACCAAAAUGCAAAUGAAAGAAAAAGAGAGAAAAAAACAAGGCCCAAAGACUUCUAAAAGAUGUAAAAGCUUUGGGCUUUUUUAUAAUGGUGGAUUUUUUAAAAGGAAAAAAUAACAACACUUCUAUGGUUUGUUUUGAUAAUCACAUUUACAUAUACUCUCUAAUUUUCAAAAUAGACACAUAAAUAUUUUUUUUCUACAAAUGUAUAUUAUUCAUAUUUUUUUAUUAUUUUUAAUAUCAUAUUAUUAUUUAUUAUAAAUGUUUAAAGUAAAUUUUUAGGUUGAAAUAUAAUAAAAGGGGAUAAUCGUUCUCCUAUUAAACACCCAUACUUUUAGUUUCUAUCCAUUUGUCAUCUCAAUCUCUCUCGAUUAUUCAUUCUUUCUAGCUCAAAACGCGUUGCUGUGGAAAAUUAUAGCAAAAAGACAAAUAUGGAAAAGAAAAAAGGGAAGAAAAUUAAUGCAUGAAAGACUUGGAGAAAACAACGAAGUAAGUCAACUAUAAUCUAGUUAGGUAUAUAAAUUGUUUGAUGCUUUAUAAGCAAAUAACAUAUAGAGACAGACAGUGUGUGUUCGUUUUUUCAUAGUUAAAGAUAUAGUUAGAAUGGGUGGUUCAAAAUCAAAAAUGGUGAUAAUGUUUGUUAUGUUAUUAAUAAUAUUUAAAAGUGGGUGGAGUGAGGGAUGUUUGGAUCACGAGAGAUUUGCUCUUUUGCGACUUAAACAUUUCUUCGAUGAUACUGGUAGUUAUCUUUACGACUGGGCCGAUGAUGAGGGAGCUACUGAUUGUUGUCAGUGGGAAAGGGUUGAGUGCAGCAACACCACAGGUCGAGUGACAGCGCUAGACCUUUCUGACACGUAUUCGGGAGAGUACGGCUGGUAUCUGAAUGCUUCUUUGUUUACUUCCUUUCAACAACUUGAGUCACUUGAUUUUAGUUUAAACAAAAUAGCCGGUUGUGAUGAGAAUGAAGGUACUUCGUUUAAUUUAAUUAAUUUACUUUCACUCUCCUAAUUUAAGUGGAAUAUUAAGACUGAGCAACUAUAUGCAUAUACAUUAGUUGACAAUUUUGACAUAUUUUUUGAAGUGAUUAAUUAAUUUUGAAAUUACACCAAUAUCUAUGAUCUUUUUUUUUUUUUUAAUUUUGCUUGCAGGUCUAGAGAGGUUAUCAAGAUUGAACAAUUUAAAGAUGCUUAAUUUAAGUUAUAACUGGUUCAACAAUAGUAUCUUAUCAUCUUUAACUCGUCUUUCAUCAUUAAGAUCAUUAAAAUUAUAUGCGAAUAAUUUGGAAGGAAGUAUUGAUGUUAAAGGUACAUAUUUAAAACUUCUCUCUUCCCCAAGCUCUUUCAUUAACCUGCUAAAAUAAGAUUCAAGGCUUUGAAUUCAAUUUUUUUAUGAUUAAUAUUUUAAAAAAAAGUUUUAAGCAAUUUAUAAAUACAAGUUUUAAUGUUUCUCAUAAUUUCAUCUUGUACUUUCAUAUGUCUUGAAUUUAAGAUUAAAAAAAAAACUCUAAUAGCGAACCAAACACCUCCACAACUUAUUAUUAUUAUUUUUUAAUUUGUGGUGAGGUUUGAAACAUUCAAGUCAAUUUGUACUUAUUACAGAAUUUGAUUCUUUGAGAGAUUUAGAGGAGCUAGACAUUGGAUGGAACAUGAUUGACAAAUUUGUGGUCUCAAAAGGUACUACAAAUACCAUAAAAAAAUGCCAACUUUUACAAAUAAGCUGGAUUCUUUGCCAUUUGGUUUAUUAUUUUACAGGUUUGAGUAAGUUGAAGUCUCUCGGUUUAGCUGGUAUCAAACUCAACCGUAGCAUCUUAUCUUCUCUGACUGUCUUUUCUUCGUUAAGAGAAUUACAUCUACGUGAUACCGGAUUCAAAGGAACAUUCGAUGUUCGAGGUAAGUCUAAGCCUUGCUUUCUCAUUUUAUAUAUGCCAGCUAGAUUUGUGUAUCAUUGACAUAAUUUAAUAUUUAAUUUGAUUCGUCUGAAGGAAUUACAUGCUAAUUUAAACAUACUUUUAUUUACUUUGUCAAUUAAUUAAUUAAUUAAUUACUAUUUGGCUUGGUUUGGAUGAAAUUCUCAUGAUGUUUUAAUUUCUUUAAAUUAAUUAAUUAAUUAACUUUGUUUUUAAGUCUUAAGUCUGGGCAUGUUUGCAGAAUUUGAUUCCUUCAAUAACUUAGAAGUGUUGGACCUGAGUUGGAACGAAAUCGACAAUCUUGUGGUUCCUCAAGGUAAACAAUUAAAAUGUUAUUUAAUUACAUUAUUUUAAUUCAUUUGAUCUGGGAAGGCCAAAAAGGUAAAAAAAAAAUUAAAUAAAGAAACAGAGAAUUUGUAUUAUUUAAAAAACAGAAUGUAAUAAAGAUUUGAUUCUAGUUCUUUAAUCUUUAAAGCGAUUGAAAAACAAUGUUGCUCUUUUCCCAAAGCAUAAAAUACGAAUUGAAUGCCGAUUAACUUAAUCAUUCAUUUUGUUUAGCUCUAAAUUUAGACAAUGAAUUUUUAUAUUAUUUCAAAAACAGGACGUAAUAGAAUUUUUUUUAAAAACAGAUUGUAAUAAAGAUUUGAUUCCAAUUCUUUAAUCUUUACAGUGAUUGAAAAACGAUACUGCUUCCCAAAGCACAAAAUACGAAUUGACUCCCAAUUAAAUUAAUAAUUUAUUUCGUUUAGGUCUAAAUUUAGAAAAAUGAAUUUUGAUUCUCUUCAAUCCUUUCCUAAUUAUUAUUAAUAAACAGGUUACAAAGGUUUGAGGAAGUUGAAAAGCCUUGAUCUAUCGGGAGUUGGAAUUAGAGAUGGAAGCAAGUUGUUACAGUCAAUGGGAUCAUUCCCAUCCCUCAACACUCUUCACCUUUUGUUGAAUAAUUUUAACAAUAUAGCGACAGCUACUCAAGGUAAGUAAAAGUUGGAGAUGUGACCAAAUUUAUAAAUAAGCUGUUAAUUAAUUAAUUAAUUAAUUUUUCCGUAUUAUUAAUUAAGCUAAAUUCCUUGCUCCUUCCUUCUAAAUCUAAACAGAGUUGCACACUUUCACCAACUUGGAAUAUUUGACAUUGGACCAUUCCUCCCUCCAUAUAAGCCUUCUGCAAAGCAUUGCGUCAAUAUUCCCUUCGUUAAAAGAUUUGUCGAUGUUUGAUUGCAAAGUCAACGGUCUUGUACGCGGUCAAGGUAAAAGAAAAGUGUCGAUUGUGAACUCACUCAGUGUUGUCCUACGUGUUCAACAUUUUUAUUUAUUUAUUUUAUUGUUUAAUGUUUCUGCUAGGUUUUCCUCAUUUCAAGAGUUUGGACCAUUUGGACAUGGUUUUCGCGCGCACUGCACUCAACACCAGCUUUCUUCAAAUCAUCCGUGAAUCAAUGCCUUCUCUUAAGUACUUAUCAAUGUCAGAUUCUACUCUUGGCACUAACAGCAGCAGGAUUCUUGAUCAAGGUUAAUAAUAUAAAUAUUUAAUUACACAAACGAAUCACUUAUUAUAAAAGAAUAAUACGCAUUCAUUAAUUUUUAUGUUGUAUUAAUUGAUGAAUUUAAUAAAAUUUCAGGCCUCUGUUCGUUGAUGCAUCUGCAAGAGUUGUACAUCGAUAAUAAUGAUUUGAGAGGUAGCUUGCCUUGGUGCUUGGCAAAUAUGACAUCCCUCCGAAUAUUAGAUGUUUCUUCCAAUCAACUUACUGGAAGCAUCUCCUCAUCUCCCCUCGUUCAUUUGACAUCCAUUGAAGAACUGAUGCUUUCAAACAAUCACUUCCAGAUCCCAAUUUCACUUGAACCACUUUUCAAUCACUCAAGACUCAAGAUUUUCGAUGCUGCGAACAACGAAAUAAAAGCUGAAAUAACUGAGUCACAUUCUUUGACCGCCCCAAACUUCCAAUUACAAGCUCUCUCAUUGUCUUCCGGUUAUGGAGAUGGUGUCACAUUCCCCAAAUUCCUUUACCAUCAACAUGACCUGGAGGAUGUUCGUCUCUCACACGUAAAUAUGGAUGGAGAAUUUCCAAACUGGUUGUUGGAAAACAACACAAAAUUGAGACAACUUUAUCUCGUCAAUGAUUCUCUUACAGGACCUUUCCGAUUGCCAAUCCAUUCACACAGAUGGUUAAGAUUCUUGGAUGUCUCCAACAACAACUUCCAAGGCCACAUUCCAGUGGAAAUUGGAGAUAUUUUACCAAGUUUAAUAUCCUUCAACAUUUCAAUGAAUGCUUUAGAUAGUAGCAUUCCCUCUUCAUUUGGUAAUAUGAAAUUCCUCCAAAUUCUGGACUUAUCCAACAAUCACUUGACUGGUGAAAUCCCCGAGCACUUGGCCGUGGGUUGCGUCAACUUGCAGGCUCUUGCAUUAUCAAACAACAACUUAAAAGGUCAUAUGUUCUCCAGAAACUUUAACCUGACAAACUUGAGAUCAUUACAAUUGGAAGGCAAUCACUCGUAGGUGAGAUCCCACAAAGUUUGUCUAAAUGCUCCUCACUAGAAGGAUUGUAUAUUAACAAUAAUAGUCUUUCGGGUAAGAUUCCACGAUGGUUGGGUAAUCUCACAUGGUUACAAUAUAUUAUAAUGCCCAAUAAUCAUCUUGAAGGCCUUAUUCCAGUGGAGUUUUGUCAGCUUGAUUCGCUUCAGAUUUUGGACAUUUCAGACAACAACAUAUCUGGAAGUUUACCAUCUUGUUUCCAUCCUCUCUCUAUUGAACAAGUUCAUCUUUCAAAAAAUAUGUUACAUGGACAGCUAAAAAGAGGUACAUUCUUUCAUUGCUCUUCCCUGGUGACAUUAGAUCUCAGCUAUAACCGUUUGAAUGGCAGCAUUCCGAAUUGGGUUGAUGGGCUUUCUUAGUUAAGCCACCUUAUCUUAGGUCACAAUAAUCUUGAAGGUGAAGUGCCAGUUCAAUUGUGCGAACUGAACCGAUUGCAAUUGUUAGAUCUUUCUAAUAAUAAUCUUCACGGUCCUAUUCCUCCUUGCUUUGAUAACACCACACUUCAUGAAAGUUACAGCAAUAGUUAUAGUCUUGAUGAGCAAUUUGAAAUAUUUGUUUCCAUCGAAGGCUCUUGGGGAUCGGUAGAAAAGUAAAUCCAUGAAAUUUUUGAGUUCACAAUAAAGAACAUUGCGUACAUUUACCAAGGAAAAGUUCUUAGCCUCCUAUCAGGACUUGAUCUUUCUUGCAACAAGCUAAUCGGUCAUAUUCCUCCUCAAAUUGGAAAUUUGACAAGGAUUCAAACAUUGAAUCUAUCACACAACAACUUGACAGGAUUGAUCCCAUCAACAUUUUCAAACUUGAAGCAUAUCGAAAGUUUGGAUCUUUCCUACAACAAAUUGAAUGGGAAAAUCCCUCAUCAACUUGUGGAGUUAAAGACAUUGGAGGUUUUCAGUGUGGCAUACAAUAACUUAUCAGGCGAAAUUCCAGAAUGGACAGCACAAUUUGCAACCUUCAAUGAGAGUAGCUAUGAGGGAAAUACUUUUCUUUGUGGAUUGCCAUUGCCAAUUUGUAGAUCACCAGCAACUAUGUCGGAGGCUUCAAUUGGCAAUGAACGAGAUGAUAAUUUAAUUGACAUAGACAGUUUCUUUAUCACAUUUACAACAUCGUACGUAGUUGUGAUAUUCGGAAUUGUUAUUGUUUUAUAUGUAAAUUCUUAUUGGCGACGUAAAUGGUUUUACUUUGUUGAAAUGUGGAUAACUUCAUGUUACUAUUUUGUUGUAGACAAUCUUAUUCCAACAAGAUUUUGUCAUUAAAAUUAAUUAGUAGUUUAAUUACGAUUCUUUAAGUUCUAAUCAAGUUUGCUUAGGAAAUAAAUUUAUUUUUAUUUUUUAUUAAAAUUGUAGUAGUAUUUAGCGUUACAUAGCUUCCAACUUCCAAGCACUUCACAUUUGUCUCUACACUUCCAAACCCAUAUCUAUCCACCAUAACUUAUACUUCCCUAUACUGUGCAGCCUACUUAAAUAAGAGAACCAUCUCCAAUGUUAAAACCAGCCACUCUAUAACAUUCAUUUAGAAACUAUAUUUAGAAUAGUUUUAUUAUCAUACACAAGAAAUGAAACACCUAGAUGCACUUGAUCGCCUAUUUUACUUUAAAAAACAAUAAUUAUCGUGCUAUCAUCAUCUUCUUCACUAGCAACAUUAACACCAAAUCCAGCGAUGGACCCAGACAUUUAAUCAAGAAAGGUAUAUAUAUAACAAAGUUGAAGCUUGACAAAAAAUUCAGGAAGAUUAAUGCCUCGGUAUAUAUAUAUAAUAAAGUUGAAGCUUGACAAAAAAUUCAGGAAGAUUAAUGCCUCGCCACAACAAGGGGCACAACAACAUCAAAGUAGAGAUGAAGCAAUAUUCUCAAAGCUAAAACUCUCAAAUCCACCCACCAGAAUUUCAUAUCUCCUCGACAAUUUUAAGAACUAAAGAUAAUUAGGAUUUAACAUUAGUUUUUUAUAUAUUAGUUUCAUAAUUUACAAAUCAAUGAAGAUGAAGAUUAUGCUAAUGAAUUCAAAUUAUACCAUACAUUCUAUAGAUGUUACCAAAAAUUUCUAAGUCAAUCCCACAUAUUUCAUAAUUUUAAGACUAGAAAAUUUCAUUAGUUAGAAGUUUCAUUACCUUCAAGUGGAAGAUGAAGAACAUUAUACAAGUGAUUCAGAUUAUAUCAUACAUACUCCAAAUGCAACUAGAAAUUAACAAGUUCAUGCGCACAGAUUUCAUAACAUUAUGAUUGGAAAGUUUCACAAAGAGAAAUUCUAAAUUCAAUCUCUUGCAUCAAGGUAGUUUGAUUGAUUUGAGUUACUUUCUGAUCAAGCUACUAAUAUAACAUUCAAGUUAGGGAGAAAGUAAAUUAAAACUGGGAAGAAAUAACAGUAAAAAUUUGUUGCUAAACAUGAUGUGUAUUUUUUUUAAGGCAAUUUGGAAACACAGUUGUUACUACAGAUAUUCUCCUCAACUUGGAGACAAAUACAAAUAUUAAAAUGCAUAUGAUCGCACAUACUACUUGGAGCUUAGUAAGAUUUCAUUAAAAGAAGCAAUCAAACCACUUAUCAAUUGUCGCAAUCGUUCUAUAAACUAAAAUAGCAAUAUAAUACAAGAAAAAGAACAUAUAGAUACUCGGCAAGAGUUCAUUAAGAAGUCGCAUCACAUUAGGGUGAGGAGUUUGCUUCUGAUAUCUUGCUAGCUGGGGCUUUUUCUUGUCUUUCUACGUAUGCCGAGGGAAACCAACCAGCUAGGCCCUUGCAUUCACCUUCCGACCAUCCAGUAGGAGCCACCUUGAGAAGUUAUAACUAAAACGGUGAAUUAAAAAAAAGUUGACAAUUCAAAGACCUAAGGGGAAAACUAAUUCUUUUACGUAGAGGAAGUGAACUAGUUGUGAUCACUGAAAUAAAAAAAUAACUAUGGAAGCAUAACAAGAUAUAAAUUCACAUGUCUAUAAGGGUAAACAGGGUGGUUUAGAACUGAGCUAGCAACCCUACUAUAUUCUGAUUUGCACUUCAAUGUAAAAGGGAAUAUAUGGUAGGAAGAAAAAAAACCAACCAUCAUUUGUUAACUUAUUGCUUUUCAAUCAAAAUUUUAAGAACAAAAUGCCAUGUGCUUUGAACAUCAAAUAAGUAUAAGCAUUAGUUCUAAAUUCCACAUAUUAUAAGUUGUUAGAAGGAUAAGUUAAUAGCAUAGUAGAAAAAUCUAUGUGUUGGUAUUUAGAGGGGAAAGUACCUGGCGAACCACAACAUAAUCAUCAAUUGAAAGACUUAGCUCUCCAUUUGCUUGAUCAUCAAAUGGAUGUAUAACCUGCAAGAUAAUGGGAUAAAUAGAACUUAAAAAAAGCAUAACAAAAGCAGCAACAGCAGCAGCAGCAUUCAUUGUAACCACUAUGAUCAUGGCCAACAAAGAUAUAUUAGAAACAAAAUUCCAUUUUUACUACGACUUUAAUAUGUACUAUACGAUAUCAUGACGAUUGGGUUAUCAAGUGCUAUCAAAGUCUAAUAAGUUCUGUAUAACUUUAUAUAGUUAUUUUAAUUAUGGAUCAAAUUUUAAAUUUGAAAUUUUGACUGCUCUCCACAAAAUAUGGCCUAUGCACAAGAAAGUCAUAGAUAAUGAGGAUUACAAGUGUCCGACAUCUUUUGAGUGAUGGAUUUAACAUGAGAGCUUAUGGUCAGUCAAUUUCCUCUGCCUAGCAAUAUAAGCUUUCUCGGCCAGAUUUAUCAUCAAAUACAUAGAUUGCCCCCAAGUCACAUCCAUAUAAACAUAGUUUUCUAGGUAAACCAAGUAAGGAGAAUCAUAAUUUAGACAUAAUCAUAAAAAGGCCCAUCUAACUUAAGAGAAAAUCUCAAAAAGAGGGAUGUUGAGCUAUCAGUCUUGUAUCUAUAAGCAAUAUCAAGACUUUACAUCACCUGCUACAUCGUGAGUGGCUACACAACUUUCAGUGGUUUGUCUUUCUUUGGCAUGCCUAACUCAGCUUUGAUGUUGCUGAGAUAUUGAUAGUAGAGACACAUGAUACUUCUAGCUCAUGCAUUUUAUCUAGCUCAUCCGACAACUAUUUCUUUUUUAAUUCAUUAGUGUUUGCUAAACCUCAUGCUCAAAAGUCCUGUUCUCCUAAACAAAGUUUCCUAAGAAUGACUUCCUCAACACAACAUUUGGACACUUUUAGAGCAAUUUUAUUUGGAGGAAAAGAAUUUUCAAGGUGUUAACUAAUAAAUUUUAAAAUAUAAUUACAAUUUGUCCUACGAUCAUAUGACAAUUUAUUUGGGAUGAAAGGAUACAGACAGACAUCUUCCACUUUCAAGACUAAUCACUACUUCCGUAGAUGUUGUGCAAUGAUACAAAUACUUGACCAGAUGGUAGUGAUGGUAGAAAAAAAUUUAUUGCUCCAAAAUUAAAAUAAGAAUGCAAUAUGUUAAGCAAAAGACUGUGCAACAUCAAAUUAAUUGAUGAGUUUGUAAUUCAGUAAAUUAACAACUUUCAUGGUAAAAUACAACAAGUUUCUUUUAAAAAAAAUAAAUCUUAAAAGACAGCAUUCAUUUUUGUGCGCAUGUUAUUUCUUAAGAUUUUUCAGGAGGAGGGCAAUAGAGGGACUUUCACCUAUGCAAGAGAGCAGAAGCCUUACUUUUGCUAUAAAGUAGACGUCAUUCUGAUUAAUAUGCGUUUGAAUCAGCUCCGUUUGCUAUAAAGUAGACGUCACACAUGAGGCAUUUACAUCCAUUUCCAAAGUCACAUGUUGCGAGGAGGACUCAUUUGAUUGCUCCUCUAGGAUCAUCUAAUGCAAGUAGUAAGGGUUGGAAGAAAAUAAAAAGUCACAAUUAUUCUUUUGCGUAAGUGAGACGAAAAUGAUAAAUGCAAUAUUAUCAGCAGUAAACAAGAAGAGAACGCUCCAAGGAAUAGAUAGAUGCAGACAAGCAAGUUAAAAUGCAUAGUCCCAAACCUCCGCAUACAACUUCUCUAAAAUAGCAAUAACGUGUUGAUGAUAUGUUUUCUCAGCAUCUACCUGCAAAGGCCCGAGACCAGGAAAACGGCAAUAAAACCACUAGCUAAAGGAGAAAGUAAAGAAAGAAAUACACUUGACAUAAAUCUUGACAAGAAGCACAGUUUAAACCCCAAUCAUAUUGUUUAGAACUACCAUUCGUUAUUGUAACAUUUCGAACAAGUGUUGACUUAAUUCAACAUUGUUGGAAAGAUAGGCUUUUAAAAGCGGAAGAAAGCCACUCAAACCAAAGUGAUUGUCCUUGUAUUGAUCAAGGGAUGUAAACAUAUUACAUUUGCAGGAUAAGUUUUAAUUAAUCACUCCCCUGAUUUAUUUGGGUUGCAGUUUAAUUUGUGAAUUUCGUUAUUGUAACAUUUCGAACAAGUGUUGACUUAAUUCAACAUUGAAAAAUUAUUCAAUAAAUUAUGCAAACAUUAAAAUAGAGGACAUAUUAAAAAGUUUCUAAUUACAAUGUUAAUAUUUCCUAUAUUUUAGCAUUUGCAUAUUUUAAUUUAUUUAAAAGCUACGUCGAUCAACUUUGGGCGUGAAGAUUUUAGCUUCUACGAGACUUGAUUGGAAUAUGCAUAAGGAAGAGUGUUAAAAUAUGAUGCAUCCAACGAAAGACAAACCACGUGUAGUCUUUUAAUUAAGCCAAAGUAGCAGCUCAAACAAAUGACACUUGGACCAACAUGCAAUCAUGAAGUGGCCGGAAAAAGGACAAAUGCAACUUUGGCUUAAAUAAAAAAUAACAUGUGACUUGACUUUUGCUGGACAUGCAUCAUGUUAUUACAAGACAACAGAAAUCAGUAUGAUAGUACUAAAAGUUGACAAUAACAUGAAGAUAAGAGGCAGAAUAUCAACACAUGCAUAGGCACACACAAGGAAGUAUUAACUUAUAUACCAUAGCAAAAAGUCUUUGAUAUGUCAUCUGUUGCUGCUGUGAUUCAACUGACAGCAUGGCAGUUGUCGCUUCUCUACCAAGAGCCAUUAUUGUAGAUUUAAGCUCGGUCAAUCUUGCUUCUGCAUUUCGAAGCUUCACAGCACUCUCUGCUGAUAUAUCAGAUUCCCUAAUCUUUGAUCGGCGCCUAAAUACUUCAGCUGCCUGGUGAAAAUAUUCAAUAUAAAUCUAACAUAAUUCUAAUCUUGCCUUAUACAUGCAUAUGUUAACUCAAAGCUUACCUGGGCUUCAACUUCAUGUCGAAGUUUGUCAUAACGAUGAGUCAGGUGUCGAGCAUCUUCCAAAGGUGCUCCGUUGAUUAACGCCCGUAGUGGCUCAGAUACCUACAUGUCCAAAAACCUGUAACAUAGUUAGAAAAAUGAAAAGAAAGAGCGAAACCUCAAUUAAAAAGUUCCUCCAACAUAAUCAUGGAAUUUGGGCCUACUUCAAGGACAUAUAUAAGGAUAAUUUAUGCAAUUUUGGGUCUUAGGAUGAUUGGCAUUAGGUUAGUGUUCUUCUCUUCUGUAUUUAAGGUUAAAAUAGAAAUAAACCUAUGAAAAUAUCUAAAUUAGGGCUGUAAGACUUCCACAUGCAUCCUUCAGUCUCAUGGAUUUGAUUUUACUAUAGAUGCAAGUGUCUUUAUCGAAAAUGCUUGGAGUCAAUUGAGAGAACUCACGGCCAAUAACUUGUCACACGCUAGUCUUUGCUAGUGAUGUAAGAAGUCACAAGGUCUCUUCAACAUUUGAACCCAUAAAAUUAUUAAGUCAUGGAUGUCACUAGCAAUGAUUUUAAUAUAAAACAUUAAAUAUUUCAGAGUUGUAACGUUAAAAUUCUUUUAUUCAAUAUCUUAGAACUAAGUUUCCUUAUGAGAAGAUAAUAGUUUCAGUAGUAAUUUACAUAUAAUUUUCUAUAUUUGAAUUAUUUUCUAGUUAGGGAUGAACUAACCUGAUCACCAAGAAUCCCAAGCAAAGUUUCCCUCUCAUUUUCCAUCAAAUCAUGUGAAGUGCCAAAUUGAAGAGCAGCUCUUGCAACGCAAGAAUUGUCACUUUGAUUCUCCGCUCCAUACUUGCAACAAUCUUCAGCCAACUUUCUCGCUACAAUAUUUGAAUACAAAAAUAUUGUGCACAAGAACUAGUCAAGAAAAAAAAAAUCAAAUAUUAUAACGAAUGCAAGAGCAAACAAACAACCUAUUUCCAUUUGUUUCAAGCUUACUGCAACAAGCCCUUCAAUGCCACGAACAAUAUUCCUCUGAAAAUGCUGCGCUACAGAGCAUAUAUUCCAAAUUAUUGUUCAGAUAAAACCAUAGAAACCAUCAUAAUUAUUCAACAUACAUUAAGCUCCGUUUGGUAAAUACUUGCAACUUCAGUCUAGAGAAUACAGUUCUAUAUAUGUAGCAGUCUAAAGGAGGAUGGUGCCUUAGCUGCCCUGGUGGAAUUGUAUAGAUUUUGAAGUUGUUGGUGACACUCAAUUUCAGCUUCAUCAACUGCCUGUACAAAUCAUAAAAAACUAAUGAAAAAAAUAAAUAAAAUCGAGAAAUUUCACUAAUUAAAAGUCUAAAUAUAAUUUUAAAAAAGAAAGAAACGCACUUGGUGCUGCUUGGCGACUUGUUCUCGGAGCUUGAUUGCCUGUUUCUUGAUAGCUUCCAUACUGUUUCUUUCAAAAAGCGGCGACGGCUCAGCUCAUGGAAGUUGGGGAAAAAAAAAAGUGUGAUCAAGAAAAUAAAAAGGCAUAUUAUUGUUGACAAAAUGUGAAAAUAAAAAAGAAAAAAGAAAAUUAUAAGUUUGAAAGGAGAAGAUGAUAGUGGAAGAGUGCGGCGUGGCUGCCAGCUACUUGGAUUGUAUUGUCGGGUAAGGUAAUUGUAGAAAAUUAUAAGUUUGAACAGAGCAUGUUAGACUUUUGUUGACCAAAUUCAAAAGGCAAAUGGUACGGCCCAGAAGCUUUGGAAUACAGUAACUUACAAGAAAGCUCCAUUUAUUCUUCUUAUACUUUACGCUUGCAUCAGCUUAAAUCACUUCUUAAUCGCUUGCUUUAACUGCGCCGCUUUGUACUGUUCUAUAUAUGUAGCAGUUAUGCGGAUGUAGUUCACGGCUGAGGGUACGUGUUUGUUUGACGUGGUAGUUACGUUACGACGUUACGAGAGUAUUAUUAGUUAUUUCACAGGGAUAAAUAAGAUUAGUCACAAUAAACCCACUAGUUUUAUAAAAUUCGAGUAAUAUAGAAUAAAAUAAAAAAUGAAUACAAAAUUGACUUUUAUUUUUUAUGGUUGACUAUAUUUUGUGUUCUCUUCUGGUACUACUACAAUUGUUCCCUGUAUAUCACUCAUACCCAUAUAUCAUUGACACAAGAAAUGAAAUCUAAUGUCAGAUGUUUAGUUAAAGAAUCACUUAUGAAAAAAUUUUACCAUUUUGAUUUGAGGAUCCCUAUUUUGAACUGCAAGCUAAUGUUCAUCAAGAACAGAGUAUGGCAGUUGAGUAGAAAAACUAUUUUUGGACAAAUUGUUUUUAUUGAUAGAAGAAUUUCUCAAGGGACUACUAAAAUUAUUAAAAAAAAAUGUCAAACACGCCCAUAUAUCAUCAACACAAUUGGUUUUGAGAAUCCAUACUUUAAACUGCCGCCUAAUAUUCAUCAAGAGCAGAGCAUGGCUUGUGAGUAGAAAAUUUUCUGAUUUUGGCCCCAAAUAAUCCAGCACUUUCUCAUGAAGAAAUGCAUACAAAGCAUACCAUGGUACCAUACAAUACAAGGAGUCUCCGUUCUCUAGUUUUUCAAACUCUAAAGGGGCCAAUACUCCCUAAUUCCCCCUCGAAAAUUCUGAUUAUGACAUUAUUCAUCCCUCGAUGCAAUCAAAGUAGUGACAAAGUUAGGAAAAAUAUGAGUCCUAAGUAAUUGCUAGGCAGGGCUCCUGUGAGCAAAAUUGUCCUAAGCAUUAUAUGCAUACAUGGUGUGGUACAUAAAGCACAAUGAAUUCCACACUAUAACACAAACCCAGAAAGAGAAGAAACAACUUAAUUGAUGUAAAGACAAAAAGAAGAUAAAAUGAUAUAGAAAAAAAAAUUCAAAGAGAUAGCAACAUACUAUAGACUGAAGCCACUUGAUCUGCUCAUUGAUUGCAGCCUUAAACUUGCAAAUAGUUACCGUAAGCUAGUGCUAUAAGAAGUGAAAAUGAUGCACACCCUGAUUCCCUUCGACUUCCAUUUACUGUCAAACAUUCUAUUAAUACAAAAAAAUUGUUCAAAUAUCUUGCCAUAAAUAUAGCCGUUUGACUGGCUUAAUAAAGUCACAAAUAACCAUUCAUAUUGAUCCACAGUGUCACACCGCCUGCUUUAUGCAUACAACAGCUGUAUGUAUACCAACUCCUAACCUUAUCAAUACAUUUGGCAAAAACUUAAGAAGAAAACUAUUUCUCCAUCUCUUUUUUGAAAUUUCACAAUAAACCAGCAUAUUGUAAACGUUAUGUUGUAACCUUAUGAUAAAUGCUCUAGACUCCAAAUGAAUUUUAUAUAUGAGGGUUUGUUGCAGCAGAUAUAUUGACUUAUCAAGUAUGAAUCAUUGUCUAGAAGAACUAUCUUUAGAUAAAAGAAUAUUAGAACCAUUCUAGAAUAUCUUUAGGUUGCUAGUUCUAACAGGAAUCUGCAUGUGGCAACAGUUGCCAGAUCCACAAUUCCCCAACUUGAAAUACAUAGUUGCACACCGUGAGAUAGUGCUGCAAUCUACUGAGAUCUAACUUAUAUGAUACUUUAAGCUACUAAUGUUUGCAUAUUUCUACAUGUUAAAUUGACACUACCAUCUAUAAUCACUCUAAAACGACAGAUGAUAAGCAGCUUUUGGCUACUUAUUACUAGCAUCCACAAUUAAUUUUUGUUCAGCAAUCAGCUUAUUUUAUAGAAAUUGAUUUAGUCAGCAACAAACACUAUAAUCCUUGAAAUUAGUUCUUGUUCUUUGUAAUUUUCUAUGAUUUUUCAUACAUCAAUUAAUCUGCAGUGCCAAGAUGAGGUUUGGUUUUUCAAACUAAAUAAUCAAGUAGCAAAAAUACAAAUUUAGAGAUUAGGGGGUGAACUAGCUAGGUGGUUUACAAAUAUUCCUAUUUGUAAGGUGAAUUAAUUGAAUCAUGAGAAAACAAUGUGACCAUAGCUCAAUAUGAGAUGAUUUCGGAGAGGCAUAUUGUUUUCAAGUGAAUUUGAUCCAUUAAGAGAUGAAGUGGAUUGAAGUGGAAAGUUUAAAUAACAAAUCCUUGUUCUUGAGUUUUACGACGUUGUUACUCCUUCAGGUGGCAGAUUAUGCAAGUGAAUUCAAAAACACAAUGCAUCAAUCACGGGGAUGCUACACCAAAAGACGGGAUCAUAGUCUAUGCAUUGAACAGUUACAGUUGCUGCUACCAAUUGACUCGGCAAAGAUCAAGAAGACUGAACGGGAAGUUAAUGCCAUCAAUGUCGUCUUCACUAUAGCUGCUGGGAAUGUAGGUGAACUUUCCUCAUUUGCGGCUGUCUAUACAUAGGCUUUUCCCCAGCUUAAGUACAAAUAAAUGAACCUGCUUUGAAGGCUUUAUUAUUGACCACAAUAAGGAUUACUAAUUGAAGAAGACUAUACGGAGUUAAUCCCACACUUUCGUUCUCUCAAUUUCUUUCAGAAGUGCCUCUGAAAAUAGCUGCCAAACCGUUAGUCAGCUUGUUAGACUCUGUUUUCUGGAAACAGAGCCCUAACUAACUGACUGUACAGAGUAAGUCAACAUAGCAUAUUUAAUCGUUUUAAUUGAAUUGUCUUCGUAGCGAUCAUCAACAAACUCAUCAUGAGAUUUUUGAAGCACCCAAGGACUAUCACUGGGUUUCUCUUCUGGUUGAUUAAUUAAUUAAUCAAAGAACGGUUGGAUACCCAAGGACAAUUAAAAUUAUUCGACUUCUGGAACUGGGAAUGAAGUGCAAUGAUGGAGCAAAAUUUACAAUGUCUCCGGUUUCUCCUACCAUCGGACUUUUGCAGUGAGAACAUAUAACAAAAAGGCCUUCAUCAAAAUUUGUAGACUCCGGGUAUGGAUUGGAUCGAUUUUUUUGUUUGAUAUUGAAGAACCUCUUUACUAUCGCGAUAUAGAUUAUGUGCAAGGAGUUGUCUACUGUUCUUUGCCUUGUGCUAUGAUCGGUGCUCUUGAGGCUGCCCUGAAACACAGGAAAAUACUUCGAUAUCCUCCGUUCGAUGAUGCAAAGAACCGGUUAAUGUAUGAUUACCUAAUUGACUCAGGAUCAGGUAACAACAACAACAAUUUAUUAAUAUCACAAACGAAGAAGAUCGCGGAGAGGGAGAUGUAUGCCUAUACUGUUUACAGGUUUGAUCCAUUGGGGAUGAAGUGGUCUCAAGUCGAAAGUGAUUUAUUAAACAACAAAUCAUUGUUCUUGGGUUAUACCUCAUGAUGUCAUCAAGUGGAAGAUUAAGAUUAUGCAAGACGAAGAUCGUUUGAUAUUGAAGAAUUUGAACAGAAAGCCCAUAGAAAGUACUUAAAAAAGCAUAUUCUUGUUGGGGUAGAAUAUUGAGAAAGGAGUUGUCUACUGUGUGUUGCGUGAUUAUGCUAUGAUCUGUGCUUUGAACAUUGCCCUGAAAACAGUGGAAAAUACUUCAUAUCCUCGACAUGAUGAUAAAAAAUUGGUUACCGAUUACGUAACUGACUCAGGUGACAACAAUCCAUUAAUAGCACAAUUUGAGGUGAUGCCGUUUAGGUAUAUGGUUAACAGGUUUGAUUCAUCAAUGAUGAAGUGGGCUUAAAUUAAAAGAUCAUAUAAUAAGUCGUUCUUCUUGGGCAUAUCGUCAUUACUACUUCAAGUGAUCAAAGAUGAAGAUGAAGAUGAAAAUUGUGCAAGUGAGUUCAAGAAUACCAUACAUCGUUACUUGGGAUACUUCUUCAAAUAUGGAUGGGGUCAUAAUUUACUCCCACGAAUUUCAACCCAAUUUUAUGAUUGGAGUGUCCCACCAUGACUCAGAAAAAUUUUGAUUCAACCUCCUCCACCAAUGGAUUUUGAUUAGUCACUUUGUGAUCAAGCAACUUAAUUAAACUCAGAGAGUCAGAGUUCGAUUUUGCUGGCACCGCAUUUUCUUUAAAAUGUGGCCAUGUAAGGAGAGCGGCACAUAAUGUCACUUCCUUAUCAAGCACUUUAAAGAGGGAUUUUAGAAGAAGAUACAACUGCAAUUGUUUUCGUAUGUAUAUAUAUAAACAACAGCACACAUUCAGUUCAUAAAAGAAAUUUUUGCUAACCAUGAUAUGUGGUAGUGCUUUUUAGGCAAUUUAGAAACAGAGUUGUUCAACUUACAGCAGGUAUUCUCCUCAAGUUCGACGUAAAUACAAAUAUUAAUUAGAAUCCAUAUUAUAAUGACACACAUAACUUGCUUCAAAAUUAUCAGAAAUUAAAAUUGCUGAUUCAUAAUGCAGAUAACUUGGAUGAAUUGAUGUUAAAGGAAAAAUCACAGGCAUAACUUGGAGAGCAAUUGCGACAGCAGCCAAGUAUAUAUUUUUAUUUGAGAGUUGAGAAGAAUAUAUUUAAUGAAGCUUGAUAACAUUUGAUGGGAUAGCAAGUAAGGGUAAAUAAGAUAUUUUUAUUUGUUAUUUAUUUGAAUUAUAUCUAUUUUGUUCAAGUUAAAAUACUAAAUAUAAAUUGGAGGUAGACAUUUUAACAGAUCAUCUAAGCUCUCAAAUCUGAAAUUUUGUGUAGAUUUAAAUUCAUAAUUUUAGUUAAUUUUCAUUCAUUCAUAUAAACAAAUUUAUGAGAUUUUUCUUUUCAGCAUGUUAUAUUUUGAAACUUUCAAUGUAUUAUUCUAGCUUUAUUUAAACAAUUAAUUUAUUUAAUUUUGAAUUUGAUCAGUAGUAAAAUUAUUUUUAUAUCAAAUUUUUUUUAUUUAAAUAGUUCGUGGAUUGGACAAAAUUAAAAAAUUUUAAUCUACAAAAUGGUGGAUUAGAUAUGAAUUGGGUUAAAUCCACAUUCGAUUUGCAGUCGUAUGAAUUUGAUUUGGAUUGAAUUUCAUCAAUCCAUGGAUUAGAUUGGAUUGAAAAUUUAUUAUCCGCAAAAUCGUGGAUCGAAUAUGGACUGAUGUCCAAUCAGCAAAAUCCGAUCCCCGAACACGCCUCUAUCAAAAUUUUCAAGAAUAUGUUUUAUCUUACAAAUUUUUUUUUAAAGUCAUAAUCUAAUGGCAGCCCAAUUUUAUAAAGUCACACACAACCAUUCUUAUUAAAUUAGAAAGAUCAAACACUGCACUGGAUCUUGAACAGAUCAACACAAGUUGCACAACUUGCGAUUGAAUCCGGCCUGAAACAAUCAACUCUUUAGCAAGAACAAUUAAUCAGAGUCAAGAAACAAGUUUAAUGAAUAUAAACCUAUAAUUGAAACAAACAUAGCAAAGAAAAAAAAUACAGAUUUUACACGGUUCAGUUGUACCUAGGAUGGCACAACCUACACCACGAGAGAAGCUUUCUGGUGAGAUUUUAUUGAUGAUCAAAGAAGAAUCUUUUGACAAAGCUAAUAAUAGAGAUUUCAGAGAAUAAGCUAUAACCUCUCUCCCUCUUCAAUCUCUCUCUAUUUUGUUCCCAUUGAUGACCCCAAUCUGCUUAGUUAGCCAGCUUUAUAGCUGCAUCAGUAACAAACCAGCAAACCCAGAUUGAGCAGAUUGACGACACGUGGAUAACGGCUUUAACGAACCUGGUUAAGAACUGCUCACAUGUUCGUCACGCGUACUGCUUAAAUGAUGGCCAAAACGACUUCAAACAAAUGUCGUUUUGAGGCUUAUGAAUUACAAGUGAUAACACGAGAUUGUCUCAUGACUUUUAAAUGCAACAACGUGCCCAAAACGCUGUCGUUUUACUCUGUUGAGUUUGAUUCAUUACUAAGCUUUACGACUGGCAAUGGAGAAGAUGAUAAUUUAAUUGAUAUGGACAGUUUUUAUAUCACUUUUACAAAAUCCUAUGCAAUUGUAAUAUUGGGAAUUAUUGAUGUUUUAUAUGUGAAUCCUCAUUGGCAAAAACUAGUGGUUUUAUCUUUGUUGAAAUGUAGAUUACCUCUCGUUACUAUUUUAUUAUAAACAUAUAGUUUCGUAAGUGAAACUAUAUAUUUAUAAUAAAANNNNNNNNNNNNNNNNNNNNNNNNNNNNNNNNNNNNNNNNNNNNNNNNNNNNNNNNNNNNNNNNNNNNNNNNNNNNNNNNNNNNNNNNNNNNNNNNNNNNCAUUUCUGCCUCAUUAAGAUUCUCAAAUACCAGUCAGGUUUGCUUAAGAAAUAAAAUUUUUCCAUUAAAAUUGCAGUAGUAUUUCCAAGCAUAUCGCAUUUUCUAUGAUUUUUCAUAAAUUAAUUAAUCUGCGGUGCCAAUAUCAGAUUUAGUUUUUCAAACUAAAUAAUCAAGAAAGCAAACAUACAAAUAUACAGUUUAGAGGGGUAAACUAGGCAGGUGGUUUAGAUUUUAGAACUAAGGCAGCUACCUCACUAAAUUCCGAUUCGUACAGUGAACUGCAAGAAAUUGAGAAAACAAUGUAUUUAUAAUUUAAUAGAAUCAUAACAGAUGAAGUGGAAUGAAGUUGAAAGUUUAAAUAACAAAUCCUUGUUCUUGAGUUUUUACGACGUCGUUACUCCUUCAAGUGGCAGAUUAUGCAAGUGAAUGCAGAAACACAAUGCAUCUUCCGCGGGAUGAUACAUCAAAAGGCGGGAUUUGUUUAUGCCUUCAGAUUAGCAAUUUCACUCAUAUAGAAAAUUAAUUUUUUAUAUAUACUAAUCAACACUAAAUUGAUUAUGUGUUGUAUGUUUAUAUGCUAAUCAACACGAAAUUAUAUUGAAUUAUUAACAUUCAUAUUCCUAAUAAAAAUUAUUUUCCAUUAGUAUUCAAAAUUUUCACUUAUAGAAAAUGCAUUUUACGUGAAUACUAGUUAUUGUGUAAAUUUGAAUGAUAGCAAAAAAUAAACCUAUUUGAAAACUGUAAGGGUGUGUUGGGAUAUUUUACAACUGUCGGAAUCUGGUAGGAUAUUGCACCAUUUGCCCAAUAUUUUUAGACGUACUCUAACCGGUAUUCAAGAUAAGUAAAAUUUACAAGCGUGGCAAAAUAAAAAAAAUUAAAUUCGUAAUUUGUAAACGAAUUUUCCUGACAUGUAUAGUAGAUGAAGUUGUUGACCCUUUCUUUGGAUUAUUUCAGCUCUGGUUGUUGGUCACCGAUGAGCCGAAGUCUUAUUUUAAUUCUAUUUAAACUCAUCAUAAGAUUCGUGGAGCACCUAACUAACUUAACUGACUGUGCAGAGCAUCUCAACAUGGCAAAUUUAACCAUCAUUCAAGUGAUGGGUUUAAUAAGACUGCUUUUGUUCUACCAAGUUCCUCCGCCUCUAAGCAGAAUUACUAUUGAAGGGCCAAAUGGAAAAUGAAAACGUGUGAACUCCAACAACCACCCCACAAAUUCAAUGACGAUGCUCGGAGAGGGUUAGGUUGGGCCUCUGAGAAAAAAAAAAAUUAUUUAGUUAAAAAGUUACCCUUAUUGAAACCUGUAUAAAAAUUUUAUAUUAAUUAGUUAUGUUGCCUCUUCAACUAUGAUCAAAUUUUUAUCUGAGCUCAUCAUUUAAUGAGUAAACAUGUAUUUUAAUGAUCUCAAUUAAUAUUUAGAACAAAUAUUUUAAGAAGUAAAGCUCAUUAUAUCCCCCAUUAUUAUGUAUCUCUGUAAUGUAUUGAAUUAGAAGAAAAAAAAAAUUCAACUCACUCAAAAAAAAAAAAAUGCUGGUAGCUUCGUAAUAAUUACUGUCUUGACUGCACCAGAUAAAGUUUUGUAAAAGAAUUCUGAUAUUUACCCCGGGUCAAACCCCGAAAAUAACUUAAACGGUGUCGUUUUGAUUUUUUUUUUUUUUAUACUCCAAAACGUUCUUACCAUUUCCGUUUCACUUACCAUUUAAUGCUCACAACUCAAAUAAAAAGCCCAGAAACUAGAAUCAAACUUUACAGAAACUAGAAUGCCCAGAAACGUUGUAUAGCAGGAACGUAUGUAAAGAGAGUAAACAAGAGGGAUUAAACAGAACAUACGUUUUCUUCACUUAUUAUUAGCAACAAACACCCUACACAACACACAUUUAAUGCUCACAACUCAAAUAAAAAGCCCAGAAACUAGAAUCAAACUUUACAGAAACUAGAAUCAAACAAUACACAUUUCAUUUCUUCAAGGUUAGGGAGAGACUCAGGGGAGUGAUUAAUUAACAAAAAUAAGAAUAAUAAUACCAACAUUUGUACAGGUCAAAUAAGAAUAAUAAUACUCAACCUAAUACCCAGUAUAUACAAACAAAUGCCCAGGCCAUCGUUCCUAUUUUGCCAUAACCUAAAGAGGAAAAAGCGAAGCACUACCUCAGGCUGUGAACUUUGCCGCUUCGUGAGUUUAAUUUCCCGAACAAGUUUCGGCUACCAGCGUUACCAGUGUUGACGGUGACCGUGGCUGUCAGCGUUGACGGUGACCGUUGGUGGAUCCCGAAUGCCUGGACCUUGGUCGAGGAAGGAAAGUAACGAAUUUUUUGAACAAACGAAGAAACGAAGCACCGAAGAGAUUUACGGUCAAACGGAACAAGACCAACUUGCUCUUCUAUCUAUGGCUUUCCCAGUUGAAACGAAGAAACGAAGAGGAAGAGGUUUAAUUCUUCUCAAAAUCGUCCAUCAGAAACGGCAACGUUUUGGAGUAUAAAAAAAGAAAAAAAAAUCAAAACGACGCCGUUUAAGUUAUUUUUCGAGUUUGACCCAGGACAAACAUCAUUUUCCUUUGUAAAAUAAUAAGUUCUCAUUAGUGGUUUUUAAUUUUUAAUUUUUUUUUCGGCACACCUGAUCAAGAAUUCUAUUUUGUUAACUAAUAAAUUGCAAAGCAUAAGUGUUGAACGGUACAAAAAAAUUUGAAAAAAAACACUUAAAACGUAGGGAAAUGAGAAAUAUAGAAAGAAAGGAAGAAAGUUAAGACAUGAAACUGAUCUGCCGUGAAAUUGAUAAUCAUGUUUCUAUUUCGUUAACUAAUCAAACGGAAAACUGGAACUGUAAACAAACAUUAACACGUGUGGACUCUGCUAGCUGCCCUACAAGUCUACAAUAAUAAUUGAGUACCUUUGAUUCAUCCUUCUACGAAUUUCUAGCUGUAUUGACCCCAACUGCUAAAGUUUUGUAAAAUUAAAAAAAUAAAAAAUAAAAACUGGAAUUUCAACAAAAUUCAAAACGUGAGAAAUUUAAUUUUUGGCCAUGUGGAACAAAAUGUAAAUUACGGAAAAAGUAUAAAUCUCAAUUGCUUAGUAUGGUUAGGUUUUGUGAGCAUCACUAGAAAGUGAAAACUAUGAAUGAUAGGGGUGAUGUUUGCAACAUGAAUAAACGAUGAACUGAAUCAAUUGAUGAUCGUAAUUAUAUAAUGAACAAAAUUUACAAAAUCAACAAAAGUUAAUAAAAAUUUAUUUUAAUAAUAAAAAAUAAUAAAACUUAUUAUUUAACGGCGCUCUAACCAUGGAGUGCCAUAAUCAUAUUCUUCUUUUAAGAAAAUUAUAACUUAUUUCAAAUAGCACCAUAACAUAAUUCUAGAUAUUUAAAAGAAAAGCAUUAUCCACCUGAAAUGACUUGAAGUCUAAAGAAAAAGAGAGAGUGGCUCCCCACAAUUUUCUUGUUUUCAGUAUAUUUUCUUUUUUUUUUCUUUUUAAAAUCUUUUGACGCAUACAUAAUCUACCCUUGUUCAUUAUCUCUAUUUUGCUCUGUUCAAGUCCCUUUUUUUCAAAUCUUAGUUUAAAUAAGAAAAUUGAAUAAAAGUACAUUUGUGUAAUUAAUUAGUAUCUGUUUUUUUUGGGGGGGGGGGGGGGGGGGGGGGGGGGGGAGGGGGAGGAUAUUUGGUGUAAUGUUUUGCUAUGUAAGACUCAGCUAUUAUUAAACAGUUCCUUAACCUGUUUCGCAGUUUAUUUGCUAUCUUUGUGGAUCUCAUAGGCGUUGCAGAAUUUAAUAAUUUUAUUCGUCAGAAGAAUAGGAUACUGACUUCAAUAAAUUUAAUUUAAACCAACUUUUAUUUACUCCAUCAAUUAAUUAAUGCCAUUUUGUUUUGAAAAAUUCAAUAAUUAAAUUCUCACGUUUUAUGUGUUUGAAGUUAAAUUAUUCAUUAACUAGAACUCUGUUCAAAAUUGACUGUCUUGUGGUUCCCAAAUGUAGUUGUAAUAUUGAAUGAAAGUAAAAACUUUCUAUGGCGAGUUUAAAUCUAAAUCUGAACAAUGAAUUUUGACUUUCUCAAUGCUAUUCUAAUUACAAAAAUUAUAUUGAUUGAUUUAUUGUUACAGUUACUACCCUUUGAAAAUGUAUGGAUUUAUUGUUUCCGUGACCAAAUUAUGCCUGCCUAACGCUGCAACUAUUAAAAAAACUAAUAUUUAAUGCAUGUGUUAAAAGAUUUAAAAUUUUAUGCAUUUAUUAAUUGUUAUAAUCUAAAAAAAUUAAUUAGUUCAGGACAAUCUGAGUUGGUGCAUCUGCAGAGCCUUUUUUUUUUCCCCCCUUAUUGACCAUAAUGAUCUAAGGGGUAUAAUACGACCUUGGUUCUUGGUAAAAAUUAAUUAGUUCAGGUCAAUCUUUUAUGCUCUGUUUUCUAGAAACAGAGUCCUAACUAAAUUGAUUGACUGUACAGUGCAUUUCAACAUAGCAUAUUUAACCGUUUUAACAGUUAUUUGAACCGUCUUCAGAGUUAACAUCAACAAACUCAUUCAUAUUGGUCCAAUCUUACGGCCGAUAUCAUAUUAUCAUAUGCUUAAUAAUGAACAAAUAGUCUUGGAUCAGUGUUUUGCAGCAAGAGCAACUCGACACAAUCUGGAUUCAACCUCCUCCUAUCUAACAGGGGAUUUCGAUUUGAGUUACUUUGUGCUCAAGCAAAUUCACAUCAUAGUUUUGAUUCUUUAGGUAUGAAUUCAUCACAUUACAUAUAUCAGAUUAAGUGUAACAAAAUUUUUAAUUUAUUGCGAAAAGAAUACGCGCUAAAAAAUUAUUUGACGACUAUUUGAUUACCAAAAGCUGCUGUUAGAGUGCACUAAAAAUCGCCAUUGGCAUAAAUAUUUUUUGAAAAUACUGCCAUUAGAUAUUUUUAUUAUUCAUACUUCAUUGCACAAGGCAGCACCUAGCUUCUAUUUCCAGCCCUAAUAAUGAUCCGCUGCUGGAAAAGAAUUUGUGCAGCAUGUACGCUCCUUGACCACAACAGCAAAGUUUAUUGAUGUUAUUUCAUAUUCUGCUGUGACUCAAAUAAAAAUUUACCAUGCCCUUUCGGCAUGGCUUGCCUUUCAGCAAAAAAAGAAAAAAAAAAAUCUUUCAAAUUGUGGAAGCAUGCUUACAUUAAUCAGCUCAGUAUGUUGUGUUUCAUGGGAUGCAAAAUUCUUUUUGUUUCUCAUGGAAGAAUUGACUUGUCUGGAUGUAUUAAUCUCAUAGAUUUUCCACAGAUUCGUGGGAAUAUAACAAAGCUAGACUUAAGUGAGACCCCAAUAGAAGAAGUUCCGUCAUCAAUAGAGUGCCUAGCUGAUCUUAAAACGUUGCGUUUGAGUAAUUGCAUGAGGCUGAAGAGGCUUUCCAUCAAGCAUUUGUAAAUUGAAAUCUCUUCUUGAGCUUUAUCUCUAUAACUGCUCAAACCUUGAAAGUUUUCAAGAAAUCAUGGAGAAAAUGGAACGUUUAAAGAUAUAAAUUUAAAAAGGACGGCCAAUUACAGAGCUGCAAUCUUGAUAGCCUUCGGGAUAACAUUAGAAAUUUAAAAUCUUUGAGGUACAUCUCUACUAAUGGAUCGGCCAUUAGUCCUCUGUCGCAGGUUCGAUUGUACUUAAAUAUCUAUCAUUUUCUCAAUGCAGAGGUUUGGUAUCAUUGCCUCCAAUAUUAUUUUCAGGUUUAGUUUAUCGAAUUUGUUACAGCUAAAUUUAAGGGACUCUGCUAUAAUGGAAAUUCCCCAAAAUAUUGUUUGUCAAUCCUCAUUGAAAAUUUUAAAUCUAAAGGCUUGUUUGUUAACUACUUGAAGUAUGUAAUUAAUGCUUUUUUUUGUGUAAUUUAUGUUUGAUUUUGAGAUAUUUACAUUUGAAUAAAAAAAAAAAACUUUUGUUACAUUUAUCUAAAUAAGAAAAAGGCUGAAUGAGAAGUAAAUAAUCUCCUUUUUUGUUUUAACUUAGAAAAACAUAAACGUUAACUAACUAUGUUUAAAAAAAAUUUUAUUUAUGAAAAGAAACCAAAUACUACUUAUAUUCAUAUAUCAAAAAAUGAAAAACAAACAUAUUAUUCAUACGUGCACGCACAAACUCAUUCAGACCUCAGCUACAUACAAAUCCAUUUAGAUUUCAAACAAAAAAAUAAAUACUUCCUAAGUGGGAAUAACUUUGAGAGUUGACUUGCAAAUGUCAAGCAACUUGCAGGGCUAGAAUAUCUUGACUUGAACGGUUGCAAUGAUUUCUCAUCAUUGAGAGUUUAUCAUUGUGCUUCAUCAUCAUCAUCAUCAUCAUUAUUAAUAAAAAGGUAAGCAAUUAAGAGUCAAAUUAAACCACUUGAAAAUCACUCAUCCACACUUUUGGGACAUCAUCUGCUCAUUAUUUUUAUUCCGUAUCUUCAUUGUUUUAUUUGGUAAUUAUUACCAUUAGUAAAUAAAGGGAUUAGUUGAUUAUUGUGAAGUAACUAAAUGGAGCUCACCCUUAAAUGUCGGCUUAUAUCAAGGAGGCGCCUUAGGGUUAAUAAAUCAACUAAUCCCAUAAUUUGUUGAUGUAGGGUCCUAACAAAUUAUUGCCGUAGAUCAGCACACAGCUCGAAAACAUAUUUGAUCCACACAGUGAAGAUGAUUCAAUAUUAAGCAUGUCAUAUAAUCUGGAGUUGGAUAUUGGACCAAUUUGAUGAUAAUGAGUUUCUUUCAAUCUCAAUCUUUAUCUUAUUCGCAACAUGACUAGCCAUUGCGUAAAUUCAAACUCUGAAAAUGAUAAGUUUGUGAUAAAGGAAUCUAUGAGUACAAUGGGAAAAUUACAUGAACUUAUGUUAUCAAUCAUUGUUUUUCCUUCUCGUGAUAGAAUUCAGUGCAACAUAAAACAUGAUAUAUUUGUACCUUACCAUGCCAUGUUGUGAACCUAGAAGCAAUGCAAAUUGCAAGGAACAUUAAGCUAUCCACUGUAUAUAACAAAUUCUUAUUAGCCCACAAUCUUGUGCCGCCACAUUGAUCAAGUAACACUAUUAUAUCAUUUCCAAAAUGGCAUAUAUAAUCUAAUGUUGAACAAACCAAAUUGGGAAUCAUCAUUCCUUACAUUAAGUUGACAUUCGUACCUGCUAGUCCAUGAGCAAAGUUGCAUAUAUUUCUACACAGGCCGCUCCCCUUAUCUCUCGGUUCCGACAGAGCUUUGUUUUCCCAUCACCAGCUUUGGAUUCAUUCGAUCACUGGUGCUCCGAGUUAGAACGGUCUACAAAGCUGCAUUUCGUUAGGCAAUCUAGUCUCUCCAUUCCUAGCAAAGUGACAUUGAUUCCCGUAUUUGUAAUUGCCUAAUUGGGGUUUUGGCAAUAGCCUGGCUUAAAAUUACCACCCAUUACUUUGUUCAAUGCCACUGGCAUCCUCUGAUUAGGAACAUUUUCACAAUUUUUGGUCCUGUUAGUCGAAUCACAUUCAACGGGAUAGUGAGGCAGUAUUUCACUAAAAGAUUCAAUUUGACUACUCAUAUUGAUGCACAUAUAAGAAUUUGAAAUCACUUUCUCUUGGAAUAUUUAAUGACCCUUGAUGAAAGUUCUUGAAUGGAAUUAUUUAAUUUGAUUUGAUUUCCAACAAAUUCAAGAAACCCCACAUAGUAGCUAAACAAAAAUCAACCAAUAAUACGCAAUGGGUUUCUUUCUUUUUGCCUUUGGAGGGCCAUGGAGAUCUGGAGUGGGCUGUAAGUAAUAGCCUUUAUCACUGGAAUGACAGAUUUGCAGAAGAUGAUACAUGGGGAAGGAUUGGGCGAGCAUAAAAAUGGGUUUACACUCUUGGAUUAGCGCCUCAUUUAGGUUGUAGGCUUGUAGCGAGAUAAAGAUAUUAAUUAAAGUUUUAUAAUCCCUGUUAUGAUUAAGGCUUCACUUAGUAUAGCAUAGAGCUUUUUGAGUUUUACCAGAAAAUUUUUUUAAAAUUAUUAUUUAUCGGAAAAAGGAGACUUACACUCCAUGGUCUAAGGAAAUAGUCACAAAGAUACUAAGUUUUCAAUAAAAGACACCAAUUUUUUUUUUUUUUUCAUAAUGCCCUUUGACUCCAUAAAUUUCUAAAAAAAUAACUCCAAAAUUUUAUAAUAAAUGAAAAUAUGGCAUUAAAAUAAAUGCAGUAAUAUAUACAUUUCAAAAUAAUUUUAAUAUUUAGAAAUAUUUUAAUAUUUUUCAAUCUAUUAAACCUAUUUUUAAGCUGUUGACCUAUUAAAGUAAUUCUUAAUAAUGAUAGAAACAUAAUAUUAAAAUAAAUUAAUUAAAAUUAAAAUUAAAAUUAAAAGUAUUUUGAAAUUAUAUAAAACUAAUUUUAAUAUUAUUAAUAGGUAGAUUUUUAAUUGUAAAAUCUAUUUAACAAAAGAUUUAUUCAAAAUCUUUAUGAUAUUACAAAUAUAUUGUUAAAAUAAAUAUAAUAAUUUAAAAUUUUAAUAUUAUUUUAAAUGUAAAAAAUAAUUUAAUAUUAUUAGUCUACUAGAUAGAUUAUGUUAUUUAUAUUAAAUUUGUUUUAAUUAAAAGUCUUUAAAGUUAAUUUUUUAAUUACUAUAGUGAAAGGGUAUUAUGGGCAAAAAAGUGUCUUGGUAUCCUUCUUUUAAAACUUGAGAGUUUUUGUGACUAUUUUCCUAAAUCUUAAAGGUAUAAGUGUCAUUAUCCCUUAUUUAUUUGGUUGUUUUGCUCUCGAGAGUUUUUAAAGCUCCAAAAUCUUUAAUCAGUACUUUUUUUUUUUAAGUAAAACUUUUAACAAAAAAUUAUUAUUCAUUUGAUUGUUUACGAGAGUUUUUAUUAGAAGUUAUAUAAAGUUCUUUAAUUUUUUUAUUGGUGCAGCUUUUUACAUGUAUAAUUUUUAUUUUUUAACAAAAAUUAAUUAAAUAAUAUUAGAAAUCCUAAUAUUUGAGUCCCAAUAUCAUAUAUCACUCAUUUUUUAGAUGACAGAUUUCAUAACUUAUAAAAUUAUUUAACUAACAUCCAAUUAGUGAAUGUUACUAUAGUGAAGACUCAAAUUGAAAUUUAAAUGUUGGGUUGCGUGACAUUUCUCUUAUUUGGUUGUUUAUGAGAGCUUUCUUGUACAAAAUAAUUUUUAUACAAAUUGAUAUAGUCUAAAUUCAUUAAUUAGAUUAAAAUACAAAAUAAUAAAAAUAAAUAAGUUUGUAUAAGAAUAAUUCAUUCUUUAAUCCAUCUAAUUGAAUUAUCCUAUGUCUAUUUAUACUAAAUAAGUUUAUAUAAAAAUUUAUAGUUUUGUUUUUAGAUGUGCAACUAAAUUUUUAGUCUCUUAUUCCUCGUAAAAUUCAAAUCUGAGUGGCUCAUCAAAUAAAAUUAUUUGAAACCAUACGGUAUGGUAGCUGGAACCCUUGAAACCAUCGAGGUCAUGAAAUUUACCAGCCAAAAGAGUUUUAAAUGUCUAUUUUAUAAACUUUUAAAAAAAUUUUUAUUUACCAUUUUACCAUCCGUAGUAAAGGUGUCGCAUCGACAUUGAACAGAUCAACAUAUCAGUCAUUUCUCAUUCAGCCAUUAGGAAUUUACGUUUGGGGUAUUUUUGUAAUUAUAAGAAGGUAAACUAAUCGCAAAACUCGUUUGGCUUGCACUUGCUCGCCUGUGCUCUGUGACUCUGUGUAUGGUUAUGGCGUUAUCAUUAUCAUCUUCUCCACUCCUACUGACGCCAGACCUUAACAGUUCAGAUUCCCUUUCUCGACUGUCAUACCCUACGCCCCGUCUCCGUGUCUCCGAUAAACAGUGCUCAAUUAAGGCCAUCAGAUUAUCCCGGACCCACAUUGAUCCAACGGCUCACAAUGACCGACAUCCUCUCUAUCUCCAUUUCAAGCUCCCUCUUCAACUGGCUUCUGCUUCUGUCGUACUCUUUCUUGGAUUCGGAGUCCGUAUUUGCUCAGCCGGUCCCGCACAGCUCCCUCUCACUCCAAUUGUCACCCAACAAGACCAAUUGCUUAAUCAAGGCACAGACCAAGAAGAGGAUGAGAAGUUGAAACAAGAAUUUGAGAAUUGGAAAUCGAAAACGUACGCAUUAACCGUGCCUUAAAGGGUUGCUUCUCUUCAGAAUUCAGUGCCUCAAUCUUGGGUUAAGGAUUUUAUGCGAAGUCAAGGAAAGAGAUUGAAGUUUCAGAUGAAUUUGUGUGCUAGCAUUGAUGGGAUCGUUAACAAUUUAUCUGUGCCCUUUAACAAAGUUAAGGCUAAGUCAGCUUCUUAUAUGGCUGCUGAUUUGGUUAGUAUUGGUGAUUCAUGGCUCAGCUUUGCGAUUAAAAAGAGAUUGAUUGAGCCAAUAGCUGGAGCUGAAGACCAAGAUUGGUUCAAAUGCUUAAGUCACAAAUGGAAGGUAACAUCUUUAUCUUUGACCCGAUAAUUUUUAUUGUCUUACAUUGAAAUUUGGUAAUGUAAUUUGUUCUCUAUCUGUAUUACCCUUUUUAGUCGUUUUAUUUAUUUGUUUGUUUGUUUAUUUGCUUUUAUUUGCACUAACGAAGUCUCGGGUAUAUCUACCCAGGAAUGAUGCAGGAGAAAUUGAUCCUCGAGGUGAAAUAUGGGCGGCACCAUACAGGUGGGGCACAAUGGUGAUAGCCUACAAGAAAAGUAAAUUUCGAAAGCAUAAUUUGGCUCCGAUUGAGGUAAUAACUGUCUUUAAACUCAUUUAGUUUUAUAUCAAACAAAAUCAAGGCUGCCUUUCUCUUCAAUAUUUUUUAUGAUAAUAUCUUUAGAAGCAUCUCAUUGACGGGUAAUAAUGGUGUCCCUGAAAGAGUCUAUAAACUCAAUGAUAUUAUCUUCUACAAAUGGAUCAUUAAACUUCUUUUUUGUAGUCAAAUGUACACUAAGAACAAUGAGAAGCUAUGCCACUGUAGCACGUAGUGAUGGCACUUAAUAAGUGAGUUGCUAGGAUGUGAACAAGAAAAAUUAAAUAUUGUCUCCUUGGGUAUGCUAGCUCGUAAGUCAGGGUUAAUAUUAGAGCUUAAGAUACUAUAACCAUGCGAAACUAUUGACUGCCAAUUAAAAUAUCCAUUAAAAUGUCUAGGGAGUUAUGAAGGUAGAGUUAUCUUCCAAUUUCUAAGGCCACAUAGUAGACAUCAUCCAGGAUCCUAGGAAAGUGCGGUUGAUCUCCUGCUUGAUGCAGUUAAUAAAUUUGGUCAAUGCGACUGAAACCUGCUAACUGACGUCGCAAUGCGACAUGAGCACUUCAAAAUGGGAUAGACAGUAGCACUAAAUUUUUCUUGCCUAAGAUUGAGCAAUUGGUCUAAAUACUAACCCCUAUUGUAAGUUGAUCAUUAUUUUUUCAAUUAUGUUCAUUUUGACCCAAAAGUUACACAAUCUUGAUCUGAAUAUUGUCACUGAACACUGUCAAUGUCGUUUAGCAUUGGCAACUAACUCGAGUUUAGUAAAACAAACAUACACACUGUCUCAUGUCUCACAAUUCAAAUUAUCAUCUGUACUGAUGGAGAAUUUUUCUGAUGUAUGAAGUAUGCUUUGAUAUGUAGGUUAAGCUUGGAGAAGAUAUCUCAAAAUAAAGAAUAUGGGGAGUGAAUGGGAAGAAUCUGUAGUCAAGUUUUGUCUCAAAAAUGGUCAAAAUUUAAAUGAAUGGACGGGGGAUCUUCAUUCUUUUUUCACUUCUUUAUACCGAGAUAUCUCUCAACCUUUAUAUAAUUCCCACUGGAUAUCUGCUUCUAAUAAUUAAAAUAAAAAUUUCAACCACACCAAUAAAUAAUCAUCUUAGAGUGAGACUAUCAGUACAACCCAAAAACAUAAUAAAACUGGUUUGGUUCUUUUUGUUGAUGUCUAAAUGUUGUUCAUUGUGACAUGUAGAAAUGAUGAGGUGAAGUUUCUUUGGUCAUCAAAUAGUAAGAUCUUGUUUGAAGUUAUUUUCUGAAAUGAACAGUCAAAUGGUAGUUUUUUUGGGCCAUUCGAUGGCUCUUUUCUUCCUCAUUUUAAACUUGUGCCUGCUUGGAACGGGAUGGAUUAGGCUGCAGAGUUAUAUAUUUUGACAUGCUCUGGUCAUUACACAAUUUGUUCAUACUGGAAAUUAGGAUGAGAAAUUUGUUGCUGCUGUUUUGAGAGAUCUGCAUUCUAUGCACAAACAUGAUUAAUGAAAAUGGAUUGUAGGACUGGAAAGAUCUGUGGCAGCCUGAGCUCGCAGGAAGGAUUUCAAUGGUUAAUUCUCCCCGAGAGGUUAUUGGUUCAGUUUUGAAGUAUAUGGGAGCAUCAUACAAUUCAGACGAUAUUGAUUCACAAGUUGCUGGUGGGAAGAUUGCUGUUCAGCAGAAUCUGGCAUUACUGGUAAACCAGGUACUCUUAAAGAAAUGAUAUCUGGUCAUUGCAUGUUAUUGCCUGACAACUGAUUUUGUUUGUAAAAGUCGGCUUCUUCAUACAUAUGAAUGCAUAUGUUAGUGUUUUCUUCUCCUUUUCAUACAUAUGAAUGCAUAUGUUAGUGUUGUCUUUUCCUUUUCAUACAUAUUAAUACAUAUGUAGAUUUCUUCAUCAUUGUAGCCUCCAUAGUUGAAGUUUCCUCAUUUGAAGCUGUUUAUGCAUAUGCUUUUUCCCUUCUCAAGUACAGGAAAUUGAAGAAUUAACCAGAUGUGAUAUGCUGAAAGAGUGAAGUUUUCUCCCUUGAAUGUGGCCUUGUGAUUUGUCUUGAAGGAAUAGGAUGAUCACUGGCAAGAACCCUAUCAAGGUAGAUUUUAUGGUGUUAACAUAUUUUUAAGCAUUUUGUUACAUCAGCAAUGAUGCUUUCAUAGCAUGAAAGUGUUU